UACUAAUUAAUCGAGUUUUAUCAUGAAACUAUAUUGUAUAAAGGUUGGAUUGGUUACUAAAUUUCUCCUUUUUUUUCAUAUAUAUGAACGAGAAAGAGUUGACUAGAUAAUUAUACUGCACUCUAUAAUAUUACUUUGAUCAUAGUAAGGCUCUUACAUUACAGGUUGAUUAUGUACAAAAUUCAGCAAAAAAAGUACAAUUUACAUCAACAUGCAGAAAUUAAGAAAAUUUUCUCCCAUCAUCUAGCAAUUCAUUAAACUACAAUAUUCCAUUUAAAAACAAUUGCUAGAGCAGAAUCUGAUUGUUGAUAAGCAGUCGACCUUGCCUUCGAAACUCUUUGAUUGCCUCUUUGCUGUCACCAUUCCAUGACCAUAGUUCCUCUGCUAGCUAGUAGUUUAUCAAAUAACUAGUAAGGACCCCAGCAACUCAAGUACAUGACUCUCCUCAGGGACUCCUCUGCUUGCGUUGCUUUCUGAUUUUCUUUUACUUUACUUGAAACCACAGUACUAGAAGUUGGAGAAGACAGCUUCUUGGCCUGAGAGAUUGACUUGACUUGGUUCUUGGCAUUCUGAUGGAACGAUCUUGCUGAAAUCAUCUUUCUUUACCCUUUCUUUGCACUAGAACAACAACAAAAAAGGACAAUUUUUAGUUGAGAAAGAUAAGAUGUAAUAUAAGAUUUUGUUUGAUGGUGCGACCAAGCCUAGGUUUUGCUUAUAUAGAGAGUAGAGGCCCAAAGGUUUGGAGGAAACCAAAAACUAGCACAAGUUGUCGAUGGUGGUUUCGGCUGAAGUGAGAAAGCCAAUGGUAUUAUUUAGUAGACGGGAUGAAUCUAAUACCUAGGAAGGACCAUUCUUUCUUGAACGAGGAAGGACCAUUUGGCUGCCUAAAAUACAGAGGAGGAGGAGGAAAUCGGGGAUCAUGACAAAACUAGAAUGGGACUUGUUUACGAAAGGUAAAGGCACUCGGUUUUUGUUCAUGAGAGGGGAUAGAAGGAUAAGAAUUCUUGGCAUUUGUCUGGACGUCUACUCAAAAACAGUAUAGGAUCACAUCAUGAACACAAUAAUUGUGAAUCCAUCCAUAUCAAAAACAUCUAAAUUCAAUACUUAAAUUAUUAAAUAAAAUUAAGAUAUAAUUUAUAUUAUUUUUUAAUAUAUAUAUUUAAAUGAAAGCUAUUUGAACUUAAAAUUUAUACAACUUUAUAUUAUUUUUUGCUUGAUUUUUAUGAAAUAAAUAGGGAUGAUAAGAUUUGAACUCGUGACUACUUGGUCAUCAAGGCUCUGAUACCAUGUCAAAAAACCAUUUCAACCCAAUAAUUUAAAUUCUUAAAUGAGGUCCCAGAAUAUAAUUUAUAUUAUUUUUUAACAAUCUAUAUAUCACUAAAAAGAUAAAUAAAUAAGUAAAAUUUAAGGAAAAAACAGUUCUCAAGUUUUGAUAAUUAUUAUUAAAUCUGAAUCAAGUUAAUUUUUUUUUUAAAUAGAUGAUAAUUAACUUAGUUAAACUAAAAAAUAUGAUCGAUCAAAUUAUCACCCGAUUGAAUUAGUUUCAAAGUUGACUUAAUUUAAAAAGUAAAUUAAAUAAUAUCAUUUUAAUUAAUAAAAUCAAUUCGAAUUAUAUAACUUGUUUAAUCCAAAUCUUAAAAUAAGUUAUUAGCAUAUCCAAUUUAAUAACUUUAGUUGCAAGGGGUUCAAAAAAGAAAAAAUGACUCGCGAUGCAUAAUGUUGAUAUGGAAACGACGUGGACUGUGAUCAGAAAAUAUAUUGGUUUUCUUAUUUUACGAAAGAUUAUGAAUAAUUACUCCAAAUAUUUGUUCUAACUUGUGAAUUCCUUUUACAGAGCUUUAAACUCCGGCGCUAUGCCAUGGGUUGUAGCAGAUUUUAAGGAAAAAAAAAUUAUUUAGAUAUUAGUAAUAUGUUUUUUAAAUAAAUUAAAUUCUAACUAUAAAUAAUAAUGAUAUUUUUAUUUAAUAUUGAAAUAGAAAAACAUUUAAUUUACCUAGGUUAACAUGCAUUCACCUAUGAAAUUUAUAGGGAUAAUCUUGAAAAAAAAACAAAUUGAAAAUUCAAUCAUAAAUUAACUUAAUGUUGAAAAAUAAAAUCGGUAAAAAAAUAGCAUUUAAUUAAAAAAAUUAAGUCAACUCGAAUCGGCCAGUCAAACUCACAGCGCAAAUCAUGUUAGUCAUCAGAUUCAAUAAAUUUUUUAUCCCAAAAAUUAUUUUUCAUUUAAUUAUAUAACAAUAAAGCACAUGAUAAUUUUUUUUGUAUAAAAACAUUUGUUUUAAGUAACAAAAUCAUAAUAACGCUAGGAUAACAAAAGUAGAUCAUUGAUAAUAAAUAAUAAAAUUAAAAUUAUAUUUUUUUAGGUUGGGGUUUAAAAAAAUAGAUCAUCGAUAAUAAAAAAUUAUUUUUUUAAAAGCUAAAAAGAAUUUAAAAAAAUAAAUAAAUAAUAACAUUGUUAAACUUGUAACCUACAUUCUAAACUUAAUUAAAUUUAAUAAUUUUUUUAAUCAAAAUAUAAAAUAACAAAAAAACAAAAAAUUUAAAAGAAGCUCAAACACGCAAGUCUUCCAGCCCAGUUCUUAAAAGUUUAUUUUUAAACAAAGACAACGAACUACAUUUGUUUUUUUCAGAAUCCGUCAAUCAAAUGUCACUGAAAAUGAAAAUAGAACCUAUUAAAACUAAUUUACACUCUCUAUUGAGAAUCCAAGAAUCCUCUCUCCUUUGAUAUUUAUAAAAAAAAAACUAAAAAAAACUAAAUUUUAAUAUCAAAAUUAAAUUUAGAACCAACAAUCUAUAAAACAAAAAAAUAUAAAAGACCCAGAUAAACUUUUUAUAUAAAAUUCAAAAUCAUUAUUUAUUUUACCUUUUCUUUUUCCUUUUAAUCCAAUCAUCUCUUUCGAAAAAGUAAACAGUGCAUCUUCAACAUUGAAAACCCCACGCGGUUUCAUUUUUGUUAAUUAAUUACAUCAUGUUACUCAAGACUUGACUGCAGCCUAACCCCAAUAUAUAAACUUAUAGUAGAAAGUGUCGUGUUAGGUUCAUCCACUCUGCCACAGUCCAAGUUUCAUGAAGGAACACAAGUUUUGACGUUGCAGUAAUUAAUCCCCAUGGGCUAAAAGGAGAGAACAAGACUUUAAUCCACUCAUGUAAUUAGCUUAUUGAUUCAAUUGAGUCUUCAUUUUAAAUGCCGUUUCAUUCUGAAAAAUUACAAUUUACAUCACUUGCAAAUUGUUGCAGCAAUGGAAGGAAUUUGCUCCCAUCAUUCAGCAAUUCAUUGGACUACAAUUGGUUGAAACAUAUAUUGCUAGAGCAUAACAUUCAAAUGAAGCUGAAUAAUCGUUGAUGGGUUCCAGCGUCCACCGCCAUAAGAAGUCGGCCUUGUCAUGUUUCUCCAAAUGAGUCUCUCUUGGAAAGACUUCGAUUGUCUCUAUGCUGCAACCAGUCCAUGCAUGGCCAUAGUUACUUGCUGGUAGUUUACUGCCUAGCUAGUAAGGACCCCAGCAACUUAAGUACAUGACCUGCCUCAGUGACUCCUCGGAUUGCCUUGCUUUCUGAUUUUCUCUUACUUUACUUGCAACCACAGUAGAAACUGGAGAAGAGAGCUUCUUGGGCAGAGAGGAUGACCUGCCUUGGUUCUUGGCAUGUUGGUAUAGUGAUCUUAUUGUGUAGUUCCAUCUGCAAAAUCCUUGAUCUUUCAAAGCCUCCACAGCUGCAAUACUAGUGGCAACAGCCCAAGCUUUGCUUGUUGAACUCAUUUUUCUAUUUCUUUUGAUUGAACUGAACAGCUAGAAGAUGGACAACGUUUUGAAAAAGUUGAGAUGUAAUUGAGAAGGGAAAUUAUGUUUGAUGGUGUAGAUGACAAGCUGGGAUUGCUUAUAUAGAGAGGAGGGGACUAGGGGACCAGAAAAUUGGAGGAAACCGGAAGCCAGGGAUAAGCUGUGGCUGGUGGUUUUGGCAUAAGUUAAAGCCAAUGGUAUUAUUUUAGUGCAGUUAGGCUAGGAUGGGACUGAAUCUUUAUGUCUAUCAAGGACCACUUGGUGCCAUUAAAUACAAAUGGAGAAAAAAUGGGGGAUUUCUUUUUCAUGCAUCUUAUCAUAUUCAAUGACGACAAAGCUGGAGUGGGGACUCGUUUUGGUAAGAGGCACGCGGUUUGCUUUAUAAAAAUCAAAAUUGAGCCUCAAGUAUUGGAGGCAAAUCCACUUGUUUUUCUUUAAUAGUGGGGCUGGAAGGAUAGCAUUUUAGCAUUUGUCCAGGCAUCUACUCAAAAACAGGGAACGGACAGGAUUACCUCCUGAAGACAAUAAUAAGUGUAGAUCCAUUGCAUGUAUCACAAGAUACGAUUUUUUUUCCAAAAUAACAAUCGUGGCAAAAAAAUUAAUUGUUAUGUAUCACAGUUGAGAACAAAAAAAAUUAAAGAACCAGCACAUUAUAACUAGCCGUGUUACGGGAAAAAAAAAAAAGAUAUAUUGGAAAUGAGCUAAUAAAAACAAAACAAUUGACAAAUUAACAGAGAAACAAAAUUUUUAAUGAAAUUGUAUAUUUUCACUUUAUUGCGUUUUAAAAUACAAUAUUUAUUAAAUAUUAUUAUUUUUAAAAGAGAAAAUAAUUAUCACGUUUUAAAAUAAUAACAUUUAAUAAAUAUCAUGCUUCUGAAGCACGACAAGGUAAAAUUUCAAUUAUAUAACUCAAUUGGUUGAUCGAUUCAUAAUGAUCAGUGAAAUUGAUCGACUAAUUCUAAAAAUAACAAAAAAAAUAUUAAAACUACUAAAUUUGAGGGGCCUCAACUAGAUUUUUUAUAUCUAAAGAUUUAAUGGUUCACAUAGCAACACAGUGACUACUAUAGAGAAAACGGCCUUUUAAAACUACUAUAAAGAAUUUGAGCGUCUAAUUAGAAGUUAUGGUCCUAUUAAGAGUUAUUUUGGUCUGACAUGAUUAGACCUUCUCUUUAAGUUUAGAUUUAUCUCAUUGAUUCAUAAAUACAUCUGUUAGGUUGUUCAAGUACUAUGCUUGGGCCAAAACUCAUUCAGUUAUAGUAGACUCACAUCUGACUGCUUAGAAUCACAUAUUAUCGCAAAUCCAACUACAUCAUUGACAUUGAAAAACAUAGGACAAGCAUUUUGCAUACGAUAACAUUUUGAGAUUUUAAUUGGAGUCUAUUUUUUAGUCUACAAGUUGAAUAAAAAUAUAUAUCUUGACUCUUAAAAUAUAUUUGGAAGAAAAAAUUCAUUAAAUUAUAGUUUUUAUAUAAAACAAUCGACCAAUUCAUACAACUAAAUUUAAUUAGUCAACCACUUGAGCCAGGUGAUUGGAGAUUCACCUAGUCACUUUUAGAAACAACGAUAUUUAGUAAAUGUCACGUUUUUAAAGUAUGAUACGGUAAAAAUAUAUUAUUUCACCAAUUUUUUUUCAAAUGAUAUUAUUCCGUUAAAAUUUAUAAAAAAAAAAUACUAAUUUUAAAAAAUAACCACUAAAAACAGAUUAAUAAAUUAUGAUAUUCCUUUACAACCUUUAAAAAUAUACAUAAAAAAAAGUAAUGAUAAUAUUUACACCGUUAGGUAAAGAUCAACCUUUAAAAAAAAACCGAUUAUUUAUCCUAAUAAUUUAUUUUCUUACGAGUAGUGGACAAAUGAUUCCCUUACGUUACGAAACAUUACUCACUUCAAAAAAAGUAUUUCUUGCGAUCUAAUUCAUCUUUCAGAGAUUCAAGAAAAUGUUAAUUUUUUGGGCCAGUUCAACCAUUUUGCAACAUUCCCAAGUUUCUUGAAAUUUCAUAAGUUUUGACAUCGAAGAAAAUAAUCCCUAUUGAUCUUCAUUUAUGCAAAAAAGCAAAAGACGUAAAGAACUUCCUUUUGGCUCCAAAAAGUCCAAUAAUUAUUUCUUAAUCCAUUUUUGUCCUUGAAAAAACCAGUUUAAGUUCUAAAUCUACUGUUUCUUGAAUUGAAUUUUUAUUUUUACCAAACUAUAAUUUAGAUUCUAGUGAGAUUCCGAUUGAUGCAAAUAUCUUUGACAAAUGCCCCUCAAUUUAUUUAUUUUAGCUGUGGUGCGCACUAAAAUUAACCUUGUCAUGAUCCUUUUAACUUUGCUACAUGAGGGCCUGCGAAAAGAAAUGGGAAAACAGAAAUUAUAAAAUAAAUGGUGCAAGGAAAAAUUAAUCCAAAAAUAAUAUGGUUUGAUUCCAUUAAGUCAGCACCAAAAUUUACAAAUAUUUACAUCAACUUGCAACAUUCAGGGUAAUCCUAUCACGAUAAUUUCUCAAUUUCAUCUUGCUUCUUAGCUUUAGUAAGGACCCCAACAGCUCAAAUACAUGACUUUUCUUAGAGAUUCCUCAGACUGUUUUGCUGUCACUUCCUUGACUUUAUCCGAGAUCAUGGCAGAAGAUGAAGAAGAAAGCUUCUUGGCCUGAGAGGCUGAUCUGACAUGGUUCUUGGCAUGUUGGUGCAGGGAUCUCAAGGUGUAGUUCCACCUGCAGAACCCUUGGUCUUUCAACGCCUCAACACCUCCAACAGCUGCUGCAACCAACCAAGCUUUGCUUGCUGAACUCAUUUUCGAUGUUACUGUAAUAUAGAACCAACAAGUUGGAAACUCUUUGAAGUGGGAUUUGUAGAGAUUAAGAUAUCAGGAGCUAUGAUCUGAUGAAGUAAAUGGGAGUAAAGGGGUUUGGUUAUAUAGGUGGGUGUACCAAAAUUGGAGGAGAAAAACCAGAGGCUAAAGGCUUCUUGGUGGUGGUUUUGAGUGAGGAAACCAGCGAAGGCCAACGGUAUUUUUUAUAAGACAAGUGGUCUCUAUUUCCCCUUUAAUUAUUGGAAUACAACUUGGUCAUUAAAAAAAUAGAGAUAAAAAAAACCAAAGUUGUUAACCUUCGGAACUCCUCCUAGUAAUAAAGAUGGGACUGCUAUCAAUAAAAAAACAAGAAACAAAUAUAAAAAAAUCUCAUAAAAAAAUAUUAGGAAAUGAAAUUAAAAAAUUAUAUAUAAUAAAAAAAUCCAAAACAAAUCAAAUAACAAUAAAAAAAAUAUAGACCAAAUUUAAUAAUAAAAAAAAUUAUAAUCAAAUACUGAGAGAUGAAAUUGAAAAAAAAAUAAUUUAGUUAGUAAAAGAUUUUUUAAAAUAAAAAUAAAAAUAAAAAUCAUGUUUGAUUUGAAAAUAAAGUUAAAUCAAACGUUAGGGUUGAAAUUGAAGAAAAAACCAAUUAAAAAAAGAUAGAAAAAUAAAAUAAAAAAUCAUAGAGAAAUGAUAUUAAUUCAAAUAUAAAUUAAAAAAGAUUAAAAAAGAUUUUUUUUUCAAGAAAGGUAUCAAUUAAAAUUAAAAUUAAAAUUAAAAAGUUAAAAUAAAAUAAAAUGAUAGUUUAGAUGUCGCAAGCACAUUUAAAAUUAACAAAAAAAUAACUCAAUUUAUAUAUAUAGCCUGGUUUAUGUUUAAUAAGUCGGUUUUAUUUUAAUAAAAUAAUAAAUAAAUAAAUAAUAAUAGUAAAUGAUUUUUUUAUAAAAAAAUCAUAAUAACCUAAAAAAAUAACUUUUGCAAGCAUGAAAUUGGAAUAAAAAAGUCCGAAUCAACUUUAGAUAGUGUGAUAAAAAUGUAAGAAAUAAAAUCCAGCUCCUCUAAAUCUUCAUACUGAGAUUUCCUUGUAUCAAUUGAAUCCCCAUACAUGUCUCCAAGACUCUAUAACCAUAUAUUUUCAAAAAGUAUAAGGAGGUUUCCGGGAUUACUGGGGCCCCAAUAAGAAUCAAGGAACCCCUUUUCAGGCCUUGGAACCUCCCAGGGGAAAGGCCCUCCCCGGAAACUUAUUCAUAUUACUUACUUUUACACUUUUUUUUACUAGAUACUCUUUUAAUGAGAAAGACAAUUAAACUCUCUUCUUUUUUGCAAAAACGUUUGACAAAAAUUACCCACACUUGUAACCUCUAUACAAAACAAUUUAUUUUAUUUUAUUUUUUGUGUUUCAAGUCUACAUGAGAGGAAAAUAAUGGUGUAUAUUUUUUAGAAAAACAAAACUGUUGUGGUUAGCCCAAAUGGCAACAAAUCUUUGUCUCCUUGUUAUUGUCUGGGUUGUGGUCCAAACAAAAACACCCAUGCUAUCUGGGGCCCGACCCAAACAACUGAGCCUAGUCCCAAAAGGAAUUUCUUGUUGAUAACACACACCUUAAUGUAUUGCUAAUCACCCACACAAACUACUUUUCUCUAUGCUUUACUAACAGAUUCUUUGCUAAUACACAUUUUGAUAAAGGAUUAACACCACUUAUCUAGCCAGUAGUUACAUGUCUAUGCAAAUCAAGCGUCUCUUCUCUAUACCACUAGCUUUUUCUAGCUAAUGUUUUGCUAACAUUAGCCAACCCAACAUUGUAUGGCACUACGAUCAAUGAUGACACCUACAUUUCCACCGAAUAAUUGUUGUCAAGACAUCCCAAGAUAAGCCGAUGUGAUUCAAGUCCAGAAAUACAUUGAAUCACAGAUAAACAAGAGAGGCUUUUGAUAAUGAACAUUUUACUCCUCUACAAUUCGUUCUUCUUACAUUGUUCUCAUUUUCUCUUUUAUACUUCCUAACUUGAACAUUAAAAGUCUCUGGUUCCAUGCUGACCUUAUUUUGUAAGGCUAAUCCCAUAUUUAGACCUCCACAUAUCUUCAUCUAUAAUCGUUGUCUAUAAAAACCCAAUUUCUGUGUGAAUCUUUUUCACAAAUUCAUCAGUUAAUUAUUCACAAAUUCUUCGGUUAAUUAUUUAUACAAUCCUGUUGUAAUUUAAAGGCUUGUUUCAUUCACAUACAGUGAUCAUCACCCUGCCGUGAACACUUGUGAGUGAACAAAUAUACUCUCCUAAACUAAUUUUCUUCUGGGCUGGGCCAAAUUGAAAUUGAGAAUUCCAGUUCAAGAUUUGCACUAAUUUGUCAACUUAUCAAGAUAUUUAGCUUUUGUGAUGCAACCCCUCCUCCAAUUGAGUUGCUGAUUUUUUUUUUUUUAACAGGAGCCAUAUCCUUGUUAAUGUUACGUUAAGGCCAUUUUCCCAAAAUUUUGCCAAUAAAAUGAGAUAUAUUUGAUUGGCAAUCAGCACAAGCAUUUACAGUUUAAAUCAACUUGCAAAAAUUUACUCUAAUCCUAUGAACUCAUUUCCUCAGAGUUUCUUUUUUCUUGAGAGUAUCAGUUUGGACCCCAGCAACUCAAAUACAUGACUUUUCUUAGAGACUCCUCUGACUGUUUCGCCUUCUCUUCCUUGAAUUUACUUGAAAUAAUGGCAGAAGAUGAAUGAGGGAGCUUCUUAUUAGCCUGAGAAAUUGACCCGACAUGGUUCUUGGCAUGUUGGUGUAGCGAUCUCAAUGUGUAGUUCCACCUACAGAAGCCUUGGUCUUUCAAGGCCUCAACACCUCCAAUAGCAGCAGCUACCAACCAAGCUUUACUUGCUGAACUCAUUUCUCUGUAAUAUAAAACAGAACAAUAGUUGGAAACUCUUUGAUGUGGGAUUUUUAGUUGAAAAAGAAGAGAUGUGAUUGAGAAUUCGUGUCGAUGGUGUAAAUGGCAAACUGGGAUUUGCUUAUAAAGAGAGUAGGUAGGGAACUAGGUGCCAGAAAUUGGGAGGAAACCGGAAGCUAGGAACAAGCUGUGGCUGGUGGUUUUGGCUUAGGGGAGCCAGUGGUAUUAUUUUAGUGUGGUUAUGCUAUGAUGGGACUGAAUCUUUAUGUCCCUCAAGGACCACUUGGUGGCAUUAAAUACAUUUCUUUUUCAUGCAUCUAUCUUAUCAUGUUGCUAGAGCGGGGCCUUGUUUUGGUAAGAGGCACACGGUUUGCUUUAUAAAAAUCCGAAGUGAGCCUCAAGUAUAGGAGGCAAAUCCACUUGUUUUUAUUCAGGAGUGGGGCUCGAGUAAAGGACAGACAAUAAUUGUAGAUCCAUUGCAUGUGUCACAAAAUACCAAGUUCUCAACUCUCAAGCUCUCCUUAUCCAGACAUGUCAUCCAGCAAAAUUUUGAUGCAUAAACGACUUGAGCAGAGAUCAAAUGGAUUCUCUUAUGUUACGAAACAUUAUUCACUUAAAAAAAAUUAUUUCUUACGAGCUAAUUCAUUUUUCAGAUAUUCAAGAAAAUACUAAUUUUUUCUGUCAAGUUCAACCAUUUUGCAACAUUCGAAGUUUCUUGAAUGAUCAAAAGUUCUGACAUUGAAGUAAAUAAGCCCUGUUGAUCUUCAUUUAACAGAUAAUAUAUAUAUAUAUAUAUAUAUAUAUAUAUAUAUAACUUCCAUUUGGCUCCAAAAACGGGGUAAGGUUUUAAUCCAAUAAUUAUUUCUUAAUCCAUUUAUGUCAUUAAAAAACCAAUCAAAGUUACAGGCCUAGCUUUUUAUUAAUAGAUUUUCUUAACGAAAUUAGAAUUUAGAUUCUAUCUUGAGAUUGCAAUAGAUUCAAGUAUCCUUAGCAAAUGCUGUGAUGCACUAAACUUGAACCUUGUCAUGAUCCUUUUUCACUUGUGACACGAGGUGCUCCCAAGAGAAGGGGGAAAACAGAAAAAAUAAAUGGUGCAAGGAAAAAUUAAUCCAAAAAUAAUAUAGUUUGAUUCCAUUAAGUCAGCACCAAAAUUUACAAAUAUUUACAUCAACUUGCAACAAUCAGGGGUAAUCCUAUCACAAUAAUUUUCUCAAUUUCAUCUUGCUUAUCAGCUUUAGUAAGGACCCCAACAGCUCAAAUACAUGACUUUUCUUAGANNNNNNNNNNNNNNNNNNNNNNNNNNNNNNNNNNNNNNNNNNNNNNNNNNNNNNNNNNNNNNNNNNNNNNNNNNNNNNNNNNNNNNNNNNNNNNNNNNNNNNNNNNNNNNNNNNNNNNNNNNNNNNNNNNNNNNNNNNNNNNNNNNNNNNNNNNNNNNNNNNNNNNNNNNNNNNNNNNNNNNNNNNNNNNNNNNNNNNNNNNNNNNNNNNNNNNNNNNNNNNNNNNNNNNNNNNNNNNNNNNNNNNNNNNNNNNNNNNNNNNNNNNNNNNNNNNNNNNNNNNNNNNNNNNNNNNNNNNNNNNNNNNNNNNNNNNNNNNNNNNNNNNNNNNNNNNNNNNNNNNNNNNNNNNNNNNNNNNNNNNNNNNNNNNNNNNNNNNNNNNNNNNNNNNNNNNNNNNNNNNNNNNNNNNNNNNNNNNNNNNNNNNNNNNNNNNNNNNNNNNNNNNNNNNNNNNNNNNNNNNNNNNNNNNNNNNNNNNNNNNNNNNNNNNNNNNNNNNNNNNNNNNNNNNNNNNNNNNNNNNNNNNNNNNNNNNNNNNNNNNNNNNNNNNNNNNNNNNNNNNNNNNNNNNNNNNNNNNNNNNNNNNNNNNNNNNNNNNNNNNNNNNNNNNNNNNNNNNNNNNNNNNNNNNNNNNNNNNNNNNNNNNNNNNNNNNNNNNNNNNNNNNNNNNNNNNNNNNNNNNNNNNNNNNNNNNNNNNNNNNNNNNNNNNNNNNNNNNNNNNNNNNNNNNNNNNNNNNNNNNNNNNNNNNNNNNNNNNNNNNNNNNNNNNNNNNNNNNNNNNNNNNNNNNNNNNNNNNNNNNNNNNNNNNNNNNNNNNNNNNNNNNNNNNNNNNNNNNNNNNNNNNNNNNNNNNNNNNNNNNNNNNNNNNNNNNNNNNNNNNNNNNNNNNNNNNNNNNNNNNNNNNNNNNNNNNNNNNNNNNNNNNNNNNNNNNNNNNNNNNNNNNNNNNNNNNNNNNNNNNNNNNNNNNNNNNNNNNNNNNNNNNNNNNNNNNNNNNNNNNNNNNNNNNNNNNNNNNNNNNNNNNNNNNNNNNNNNNNNNNNNNNNNNNNNNNNNNNNNNNNNNNNNNNNNNNNNNNNNNNNNNNNNNNNNNNNNNNNNNNNNNNNNNNNNNNNNNNNNNNNNNNNNNNNNNNNNNNNNNNNNNNNNNNNNNNNNNNNNNNNNNNNNNNNNNNNNNNNNNNNNNNNNNNNNNNNNNNNNNNNNNNNNNNNNNNNNNNNNNNNNNNNNNNNNNNNNNNNNNNNNNNNNNNNNNNNNNNNNNNNNNNNNNNNNNNNNNNNNNNNNNNNNNNNNNNNNNNNNNNNNNNNNNNNNNNNNNNNNNNNNNNNNNNNNNNNNNNNNNNNNNNNNNNNNNNNNNNNNNNNNNNNNNNNNNNNNNNNNNNNNNNNNNNNNNNNNNNNNNNNNNNNNNNNNNNNNNNNNNNNACAGAGAGAGAUUCUAGUGAGCUGUAAAGAGUGAUUUAGCAAUGACAUUCAAUUGUGAAUCAGCAUCGUUCCUAGUUUCUGAAAACUGCAGCUUUGACAGGGAAAAGGACAUAAUUCUGUAAUUUAAAUAUCAAAAGAUUUCAAUCCAAUCUUACUUAUUAAUAAAUUUAUGUGAUAGUAUAAGGUCCUCUUCCAUUUUUCACACAAUGAUCACUCCUGUUGUGAUUAGUGACUGGGAAUUUUACACCAAAAUGGAUUUUCUUUUGGGUCAAAUCCAAUUUGAGAUUUUCGUUUUUCAUGUAGCCUUUUAAUCCAUUUGAGGAUGUGGGGAGAAAGAUAUUUUAGAUUCCAGUUGAAUGUCAUAUCUCAAAUUGAAAUUAAAUGAAAUUGCCUGUUUAUUCCACUAGAAAACUAGAAAAGAGCUUUGUUAAAUUUACUCACUGAGGAGAUGCACUGCGCGCUACCAAAAGAAUUGAUAAAAACAUAUGAUAAUGUUCGAUUUCAGCAAAUGAGCAUCAAAAUUUACAAUUUGCAUAAGCUUGCAAGGAUUUACUCCUAUAAACUAUAAACUAUAAACUAAGUCCCUCGAUUUCAUCUACUAGAUUCAUAGCUUCAGUUUGGACCCCAACAACUCAAGUACAUGACUUUUCUUAAAGACUCCUCCGACUGUUUUGCCUUCUCUUCCUUGACUAUAUUUGAGAUCAUUGCUGAGGAUGAAGAAGAAAGCUUCUUGGCCUGAGAGGCUGAUCUGACAUGGUUCUUGGCAUGCUGGUGCAGGGAUCUCAAGGUUUAGUUCCACCUACAGAACCCUUGGUCUUUCAAGGCCUCAACACCUCCAACAGCUGCAGCAACCAACCACGCUUUGCUUGCUGAACUCAUUUUCUCUGUUACUGUAAUAUAGAACCAACGAGUUGGAAACUCUUUGAAGUGGGAUUUGGAGAGAUUAAGAUAUCAGGAGCUAUGAUUUGAUGAAGUAAAUGGGAGUAAAGGGGUUUGAUUAUAUAGGUGAGUGUACCAAAAUUGUAGGAGAAAAACCAGAGGCUAAAGGCUUCUUCGUGGUGGUUUUGAGGGAGGAAACCAGCAAAGGCCAACGGUAUUUUUGAUGACAUGAUGCAUCAAUGAAAAAAUAAAACUUAACUAUUAAACAAUUAUGACAAAAAUGAAAAUAAAUAUAAAAAAAAAUCAAUAAAAACUUUUUUUUGAUCAACCUAAGUUAAUCCACUAACUCCAUGAUGCUGAGCACUAGAUUGUGAUAGCCCUAUGAAAAUAAAAGUGAAUAAACAAGCAUGAAAAUAAAUCUCAAAAAUUUAAAUGUUGAAGGAUGAAAUUAAAAAAAAAUUAAUUUUAAAAAAAACCUAAAAAAAUCAAAGUUAACAAAUGAUAACUUUUAAAACCCAUAACAGUAGUCAUGAGAUGAGACCGACCGCAUGGAAGGCAAACAAAAAAAACAAUGGAAUAAAAUUCUCAAUAAAAAGAUGUUUAGCAAUGGUACUAAAAAAAAUUAUAUAUAUACAUACACGAAAAAAAAUCCAAGUCAAUUUGGAUUAAUCCACUAACUCUGAGACUAUAGGUAUAGGAUUGAGAUAACCCCACAUAAAGAAAGAUGAAAAAACAAAUUAAAAAAAUUAAAUGUUAAAAGAUGAAAUUAAAAAUAAAUCAAUUUGAUAAAAGAACCUGAAAAAAUCGAAGUCAACCAGUGUUAACCUUCAAAACUGGUGACCCUAGUAAUGAAGAUGAGACUAACCCCACGAAAGACAAGAAGAAAAACAAAUAACGAGGACCAAAUUUAAUAGAAAAAUCAAUUGAAAUCAAAUGCCCAGGAAUACAAUUGAAAAAAAAUCAAUUUGUAAAAGGUUUUAAAAUAUUAAAAGAAUAAGAACUAAGUUUGAUUUGAAAAUCAAAUUAAACCAAACGAUAUUAAUGAAAUUGAAAGAAAAAUCAAUUAAAAGAAGAUAAAAUAAAUAAAAAAACAGAAAAGAGAUAUUAAUUCAAACAUAAAUUAAAAAAAUAUCAAUUAAAAUAAAAAAAGAUAACUAUAGUCUAGUGUCACAAGCGCAUUUAAAAAAAAUACAAAACACAAAUAACUUAGGUUAUAGCCCCAUUUGGAUUUAACAGUAGUGUGAUAAACAUAUAAAUUAUAUUGCAAAUAAACUCUUGCUCCUUGAAAGCUUCAUAGUAAGAUAUUCAUGUUUCAAUUGAAUCUUCAUUCAUGUCUCCAAAACUCUAUGAACAUAUAUUUUCUAAAGUAUAAGAUAUCCUUUUUCAUUAUUCUAUAACCACUUGUCUAUAAAAAAACAUCACAAAUCUUUCUUAAAGUCUUUAUGACUACCUGUCUCCAAAACAUGAUCAUUCUCUUCGAUAAGAAUUAAGAUAUCCUUUUUCAUUAUUCUAUAACCACUUGUCUAUAAAAAAACAUCACAAAUCUUUCUUAAAGUCUUUAUGACUACCUGUCUCCAAAACAUGAUCAUUCUCUUCGAUAAGAAUUAAGAAUCCUUUUUUAGUCCUUGGACUUCUCAUGUAAUGCGUCUUGAACUUGUACACUCAUUCAGAUGCCGUAUUGCGUGCUUUUACACUCUUUUUUUUUUUUUACUAAACUACCUCUAAGCAAGAUAAUUAAACUUUGUUCUUUCUGGCAAAAACUUUUAACAAAAACUAUCUACCCUUGUAAACUCUAUACAAAACAAGCAAGUUUUCUUCUUUUUUUUUAAAUUUUUUCUUUUCUUUUCAUGGCUUUCGAGCAUGUUUGUUUAAAAAACAUGAGAGGAAAAUGAUGGCAUCCAUUUUAACCAAAAACAAAAUUGUUUUUGUUGGCCCAAAUGGCAAAAAACCUUCGCCUCCUUGUUAUUGUUGGGGUCGUGAUCCAAAUUCCGAACAUCAAGCCAAUAAUCACAUGUCUAUGCAAAUCAAGUAUAUAUUUUCUAUACCAAUAGCUUUUUCUAGAUAACGUUUUGCUAACAUCAAUGAUAACACCAAAGUUUUCACCAAAUCAACUGGUUUGAAAUUCUUCACGUCCCAAGAUAUUUUUUAAGGCUAAUCCCAUAUUUAGACCCCCACACAUCUUUCUUCUAUAAUUGUUGUCUAUAAAAACCCAAUUUCUGUGUGAAUUUUUUUCACAAAUUCAUCAAUUAAUUAUUCACAAAUUCUUCGGGUUAAUUAUUUAUACAAUUCUUUUGUAAUUUAAAGGCCUCUUUCAUUUCACAUACAGUGAUCAUCACCCUGCCAUGAACACUUGUGAGUGAAAAAUAUACUAUCCUAAACUAAUUUUCUUCUGGGCCAAAUUGAAAUUGAGAAUUCCAGUUCAAGAUUUGCACUAAUUUGUCAACUUAUCAAGAUAUUUAGCUUUUGUGAUGCAACCCCUCCCCCAAUUGAGUUGCUGAUUUUUUUUUUAUUUUUUAAAACAGGAGCCAUAUCCUUUGUUAAUAUUACGUUAAGGCCAUUUUCCCAAACAAUUGCCAAUAAAAUGAGAUAUAUUUGAUUGGCAAUCAGCACAAGAAUUUACAGUUUAAAUCAACUUGCAAAAAUUUACUCUAAUCCUAUGAACUGAUUUCCUCAGAAUUUCUUUUUUCUUGAGACUAUCAGUUUGGACCCCAACAACUCAAAUACAUGACUUUUCUUAGAGACUCCUCUGACUGUUUCGCCUUCUCUUCCUUGACUUUACUUGAAAUAAUGGCAGAAGAUGAAUAAGGGAGCUUCUUAUUAGCCUGAGAAAUUGACCCGACAUGGUUCUUGGCAUGUUGGUGUAGCGAUCUCAAUGUGUAGUUCCACCUACAAAAGCCUUGGUCUUUCAAGGCCUCAACACCUCCAAUAGCAGCAGCUACCAACCAAGCUUUACUUGCUGAACUCAUUUUCUUUGUAAUAUAAAAUAGAACAAUAGUUGGAAACUCUUUGAUGUGGGAUUUUUAGUUGAAAAAGAUGAGAUGUAAUUGAGAAUUCGUGUCGAUGGUGUAAAUGGCAAACUGGGAUUUGCUUAUAAAGAGAGUAGGGGACUAGGUGCCAGAAAUUGGGAGGAAACCGGAAGCUAGGAACAAGCUGUGGCUGGUGGUUUUGGCUUAGGGGAGCCAGUGGUAUUAUUUUAGUGUGGUUAUGCUAUGAUGGGACUGAAUCUUUAUGUCCAUCAAGGACCACUUGGUGGCAUUAAAUACAUUUCUUUUUCAUGCAUCUUAUCAUGUUGCUAUAGCGGGGCCUUGUUUUGGUAAGAGGCACACGGUUUGCUUUAUAAAAAUCCGAAGUGAGCCUCAAGUAUAGGAGGCAAAUCCACUUGUUUUUCUUCAGGAGUGGGGCUCGAGUAAAGGACAGACAAUAAUUGUAGAUCCAUUGCAUGUGUCACAAAAUACCAAGUUCUCAACUCUCAAGCUCUCCUUAUCCAGACAUGUCAUCCAGCAAAAUUUUGAUGCAUAAACGACUUGAGCAGUGAGCUAAUUCAUUUUUCAGAUAUUAAAGAAAAUACUAAUUUUUUGUGUCAACUUCAACCAUUUUGCAACAUUCCAAGUUUCUUGAGAGUUCAAAAGUUCUGACAUUGAAGAAAAUAAUCCCUAUUGAUCUUUCAUUUAACAGAUAAUAUAUAUAUAUAUAUAUAUAACACUUCCAAUUGGCUCCAAAAACGGGGUAAGGUUUUAAUCCAAUAAUUAUUUCUUAAUCCAUUUAUGUCAUUAAAAAAACAGUCAAAGUUAGACCUGGAUUUCUUUUUAAUAGAUUUUCUUAACGAAAUUAGAAUUUAGAUUCUAUCUUGAGGUUGCAAUUGAUUCAAAUAUCCUUAGCAAAUGCUGUGAUGCACUAAACUUGAACCUUGUCAUGAUCCUUUCCAAAAGAAGUGGGAAAACAGAAAAAAAUAAAUGGUGCAAGGAAAAAUUAAUCAAGAAUUAAUGUAGUUUGAUUCCAUUAAGUCAGCACCAAAAUUUACAAAUAUUUACAUCUACUUGCAACAAUCAGGGUAAUCCUAUCACGAUAAUUUUCUCAAUUUCAUCUUGCUUCUUAGCUUUAGUAAGGACCCCAACAGCUCAAAUACAUGACUUUUCUUAGAGAUUCCUCAGACUGUUUUGCUUUCACUUCCUUGACUUUGUUCGAGAUCAUGGCAGAAGAUGAAGAAGAAAGCUUCUUGGCCUGAGAGGCUGAUCCGACAUGGUUCUUGGCAUGUUGGUGCAGGGAUCUCAAGGUGUAGUUCCACCUGCAGAACCCUUGGUCUUUCAAGGCCUCAACACCUCCAACAGCUGCUGCAACCAACCAAGCUUUGCUUGCUGAACUCAUUUUCUCUGUUACUGUAAUAUAGAACCAACAAGUUGGAAAACUCUUUGAAGUGGGAUUUGGAGAGACUAAGGUAUCAGGAGCUAUGAUUUGAUGAAGUAAAGGGGAGUAAAGGGGUUUGGUUAUAUAGGUGAGCGUACCAAAAUUGUAGGAGAAAAACCAGAGGCUCAAGGCUUUUUCGUGGUGGUUUUGAGCGAGGAAACCAGCGAAGGCCAACGGUAUUUUUUAUAAAACAAGUGGUCUCUAUUUCCCCUUUAAUCAUUGGAAUACAACUUAGAACAUGAAAAAAAUGGAUUUGUAGAGAUGAAAUAAGUUUCUUUUAUUAUUAUACUAGCUAGUUUGUUUCUAUUUUUUAAAAAUAUUUUUUUAAAAGUAAUAUAUAAAGUUAAAAAUAAAAUUUUUAAAAUAAUAAAAUAUUAUUUAAAUCCAUUUAUUCUAAUAUCAAACUUGUCUCUGCUCUGAGUCACACGCAUUAAACAAAUGGGGUUUGUCACUUCUCAAUCAAUGUUUUGUUUUGGGCAAGACUGUUUUUGAAGACAAUUGAAGUAAUAGUGAGGACUGUCUGUAAACAAUUGUGGUGAUCUAGAAAACUACAAUAAACUAUUUCAACAGCGCUUCGUAGAGGAUUGUAUAUUUUUUUAAUAAAAAAAAGAAUAAAUAAGUUUUUCGUCAGGUUUUUUAUAUAAAAAAUUCUCCAUCAUAUAUUAAAAUAUCUAUACAUAUAUUUAAUUAAAUUAAUUAAUAUUUAAUUAUUAAAAUUAAAAUAUUUUAUCAUACAACACAUAUUAUAUACUUAGUUAUUUUUAAUAACUUUGUUUUUUGGACUAAAAUUUUUAUUUAAUCAAAAGAUUAUUCGUGCUAGUAAACAAUAAAAGAGUUGUUAACAAAAGCAAAUAACAAUUAAAUAUGAAACUCAACUAUUAAAUAAUUAAAUAUUGAGCGACAAACUUAAAAUAAAUAUUUUUAAAAAAUCAAUAAUAAAAAAAUUGAGUCAACUUGAGUUAACCCACUAACUCCACGAUCAUGGACACCAGAUUAGGAUAGCUCCAUGAAAAGAAAAGUGAAAAAAAAAAAACACAGAUCAAUCCCAAAAUUUUAAAUAUUGAAGGAUAAAAUUGAAGAAAAAAAUCAAUUUUAAAAAAGAUUUUAAAAAAUCAAAGUUAAGAAAUGUUAACUUUUAAAACUCAUGACCGUGAUCAUGAGACUAAGACCGACUGCAUGAAAGGCAAACAAAAAAAAACAAUGAAAAAAAAUUCUCAAUAAAAAUAUGCUUACUAAGGGAACUAAAAAAAUUAUAUAUAUAUAUAUCCGAGUCAAUUUGGAUUAACACAUUAACUCUGAAACUAUAGGCAUAGGAUUGAGAUAAUUCCACAUAAAGGAAGAUGAAAAAAACCAAUUAAAAAAAUUAAAUGUUAAAUGAUGAAAUUAAAAAUAAAUCAAUUUGAUAAAAGAACAUAAAAAAUUUAAAGUUAACUAGUGUUAACUUUCGAAACUUGUGACCCUAAUAAUAAGGAUGAGACUAACCACGUAGAAGACAAGAAGAAAAAUAAAGAACGGAGACCAAAUUCAAUAGAAAAAUCAAUUGAAAUCAAAUGCCGAAGAAUGCAAUUGAAAAAAAAAUAAUUUGUAAAAGGUUUUAAAAAAUAAAAAAAAUAAGGAUCAAAUUUGAUUUGAAAAACAAAUUAAACCAAACGAUAUAAAUGAAAUCAAAGGAAAAAUUAAUUAAAAAAUAAAAUAAAUAAAAUAAAAAAUAACAGAGAAGAGAUAUUAAUUCAAACAUAAAUUAAAAAAAUAUUUUUAAAAACAUAAAUUAAAAAAAUAUUUUUACCAAAAACAAAAUUGUUUUUGUUGGCCCAAAUGGCAAUAAACCUUCGCCUCCUUGUUAUUGUUGGGGUCGUGAUCCAAAUUCCAAACAUCAAGCCAAUAAUCACAUAUCUAUGCAAAUCAAAUAUAUGUUUUCUAUACCAAUAGCUUUUUCUAGAUAACGUUUUGCUAACAUCAAUGAUAACACCAAAGUUUUCACCAAAUCAUCUGGUUUGAAAUUCUUCACGUCCCAAGAUAUUUUUUAAGGCUAAUCCCAUAUUUAGACCCCCACACAUCUUUCAUCUAUAAUUGUUGUCUAUCAAAACCCAAUUUCUGUGUGAAUUUUUUUCACAAAUUCAUCAGUUAAUUAUUCACAAAUUCUUCGGGUUAAUUAUUAUACAAUUCUUUUGUAAUUUAAAGGCCUGUUUCAUUUCACAUACAGUGAUCAUCACCCUGCCGUGAACACUUGUGAGUGAACAAAUAUACUCUCCUAAACUAAUUUUCUUCUGGGCUGGGCCAAAUUGAAAUUGAGAAUUCCAGUUCAAGAUUUGCACUAAUUUGUCAACUUAUCAAGAUAUUUAGCUUUUGUGAUGCAACCCCUCCUCCAAUUGAGUUGCUGAUUUUUUUUUUUUUUAACAGGAGCCAUAUCCUUGUUAAUGUUACGUUAAGGCCAUUUUCCCAAAAUUUUGCCAAUAAAAUGAGAUAUAUUUGAUUGGCAAUCAGCACAAGCAUUUACAGUUUAAAUCAACUUGCAAAAAUUUACUCUAAUCCUAUGAACUCAUUUCCUCAGAGUUUCUUUUUUCUUGAGAGUAUCAGUUUGGACCCCAGCAACUCAAAUACAUGACUUUUCUUAGAGACUCCUCUGACUGUUUCGCCUUCUCUUCCUUGAAUNNNNNNNNNNNNNNNNNNNNNNNNNNNNNNNNNNNNNNNNNNNNNNNNNNNNNNNNNNNNNNNNNNNNNNNNNNNNNNNNNNNNNNNNNNNNNNNNNNNNUGAGAAAUUGACCCGACAUGGUUCUUGGCAUGUUGGUGUAGCGAUCUCAAUGUGUAGUUCCACCUACAAAAGCCUUGGUCUUUCAAGGCCUCAACACCUCCAAUAGCAGCAGCUACCAACCAAGCUUUACUUGCUGAACUCAUUUUCUUUGUAAUAUAAAAUAGAACAAUAGUUGGAAACUCUUUGAUGUGGGAUUUUUAGUUGAAAAAGAUGAGAUGUAAUUGAGAAUUCGUGUCGAUGGUGUAAAUGGCAAACUGGGAUUUGCUUAUAAAGAGAGUAGGGGACUAGGUGCCAGAAAUUGGGAGGAAACCGGAAGCUAGGAACAAGCUGUGGCUGGUGGUUUUGGCUUAGGGGAGCCAGUGGUAUUAUUUUAGUGUGGUUAUGCUAUGAUGGGACUGAAUCUUUAUGUCCAUCAAGGACCACUUGGUGGCAUUAAAUACAUUUCUUUUUCAUGCAUCUUAUCAUGUUGCUAUAGCGGGGCCUUGUUUUGGUAAGAGGCACACGGUUUGCUUUAUAAAAAUCCGAAGUGAGCCUCAAGUAUAGGAGGCAAAUCCACUUGUUUUUCUUCAGGUGUGGGGCUCGAGUAAAGGACAGACAAUAAUUGUAGAUCCAUUGCAUGUGUCACAAAAUACCAAGUUCUCAGCUCCCAAGCUCUCCUUAUCCAGACAUGUCAUCGAGCAAUUUCUUACGAGCUAAUUCAUUUUUCAGAUAUUCAAGAAAAUACUAAUUUUUUCUGUCAAGUUCAACCAUUUUGCAACAUUCCAAGCUUCUUGAAAGUUCAAAAGUUCUGACAUUGAAGUAAAUAAGCCCUAUUGAUCUUCAUUUAACAGAUAAUAUAUAUAUAUAUAUAUAUAUAUAUAUAUAUAUAUAUAUAUAUAUAUAUAACUUCCAAUUGGCUCCAAAAACGGGGUAAGGUUUUAAUCCAAUAAUUAUUUCUUAACCCAUUUAUGUCAUUAAAAAACCAGUCAAAGUUAGGCCUAGCUUUUUUUUAAUAGAUUUUCUUAACCAAAUAAGAAUUUAGAUCCUAUCUUGAGAUUGCAAUUGAUUCAAAUAUCCUUAGCAAAUGCUGUGAUGCACUAAACUUGAACCUUGUCAUGACCCUUUUUCACUUGUGACACGAGGUGCUCCCAAGAGAAGGGGGAAAACAGAAAAAAUAAAUGGUGCAAGGAAAAAUUAAUCAAAAAAUAAUAUAGUUUGAUUCCAUUAAGUCAGCACCAAAAUUUACAAAUAUUUACAUCAACUUGCAACAAUCAGGGUAAUCCUAUCACGAUAAUUUUCUCAAUUUCGUCUUGCUUCUUAGCUUUAGUAAGGACCCCAACAGCUCAAAUACAUGACUUUUCUUAGAGAUUCCUCAGACUGUUUUGCUCUCACUUCCUUGACUUUAUUGGAGAUCAUGGCAGAAGAUGAAGAAGAAAGCUUCUUGGCCUGAGAGGCUGAUCCGACAUGGUUCUUGGCAUGUUGGUGCAGGGAUCUCAAGGUGUAGUUCCACCUGCAGAACCCUUGGUCUUUCAAGGCCUCAACACCUCCAACAGCUGCUGCAACCAACCAAGCUUUGCUUGCUAAACUCAUUUUCUGUGUUACUGUAAUAUAGAACCAACGAGUUGGAAACUCUUUGAAGUGGGAUUUGGAGAGAUUAAGAUAUCAGGAGCUAUGAUUUGAUGAAGUAAAGGGGAGUAAAGGGGUUUGGUUAUAUAGGUGAGUGUACCAAAAUUGUCGGAGAAAAACCAGAGGCUCAAGGCUUCUUCGUGGUGGUUUUGAGUGAGGAAACCAGCAAAGGCCAACGGUAUUUUUUAUAAAACAAGUGGUCUCUAUUUCCCGUUUAAUCACUGGAAUACAUCUUUUCCAUUAAAAAAAUGGAGAUAAAAUAAGUUUCUUUUUAUUUAUUAUACUAGCUAGUUUGUUUUUGUUUUUAAAAAUAUUUUUUAAAAAAUAAUAUAUAUUUUUAUUAUAUUACAUUAUAAAAACAUAAUACUUACUCAAUAUCAUUAUUUUAAAGAGAAAUAAGAUAGUUGUCUGCUUCACAAUAGUAAUAUUUAGUAAAUGUCACAUUUAAAAACGCAACAAAAUGAAAUUUCAAUUAUUUAAUUUAAUUAGUUAACCAGUUCAUAAAGGUCAGUGAAACCAGUUAAUCGAUUCCAAAAAUAAUAAAAAAAAUCUCAAAAUUGCUAAAAUUAGGGGGUCUUAACAAUAUUUUUUUAUAUCUAAAGAUCAAAUAGUUCGCGUAGCAACGCAACUACUACUAUACAAGAAAUGACAUUCAAAAUCUCCAAUAAAAAAUUUGAGUGCUUAAUAAAAAAUUUAUGGUCCAUUUGAGAGGUAUUCUAGUCUAACGCGAUUAGGCCUUCUCUCUAAGCCUAAACCUAUCCUUUUGUUCCAUAAAAUCAUAUAUUAAGUCAUCCAAGUAAUUUAUUUGAAUCAGAUUUCAUUUAAUUAUGACAAACCUAUACAUGACUGCUCAGAAUCAUUUGUUAUCGUAAGAUUGACUAUAUCAUUGACAUUAAAAAACAAAAGACAACUACUAUGUAAAUAAUAACCUUUUGAGAUUUUAAUUGAAGUUUAUUUUUUAGUUUACAAGUUGAACGAAAUGUAUAUUUUCACUUAAAAUAUAUUUGAAAGAAAAAAUUUAUUAAAUUAUAGUUUUUGCAUGAAACAGUCGACCGGUUCAUACAAUUAAAUUCAACCGGUCGACCAGUUGAGCCAGGCAAUUGAAGUUUCACCUAACCAUUCUUAGAAAUAACAAUAUUUAGUAAAUGUUGUAUUUCUGAAAUACGAUAAAGUAAAAGUAUAUUAUUUCACCGAAUCUUUCUCAAAUGAUAUUACACUGUUAAUAUUUUUAAAAAAUAAACUAUAAUUUUAAAAAAUAACUCUGAUAGUUUUUUUAAAAAUAACCAUUAAAAACAUAUAUAUAUAUAUAUAUAUAUAUAUAUAUAUAUAUAUAUAUAUAUAUUCACUUCAAAAAAAGUAUUUCUUGCGAUCUAAUUCAUCUUUUAGAGAUUCAAGAAUUUUUAUUUUUUUUGGGCCAGUUCAACCAUUUUGCAACAGUCCCAAGUUUCUUGAAAUUUCGUAAGUUUUGACAUCGAAGAAAAUAGUCCCUAUUCAUCUUCAUUUAUGCAAAAAAACAAAAGACAUAAAGAACUUCCUUUUGGCUCCAAAAAGGGGAUAAGUCCAAUAAUUAUUUCUUAAUUCAUUAAUGUCCUUGAAAAACCAGUAUAAGUUCUAAAUCUAAUUUUUUUUUUAAUUGAAAUUUUAUUUUUACCAAAUUGUAAUUUAGAUUCUAGUGAGAUUCUGAUUGAUGCAAAUAUCCUUGACAAAUUAACCUUGUCAUGAUCCUUUUCACUUUGCGACAUGAGGGCCUGCGACAAAAUAAAUGGUGCAAGGAAAAACUAAUCCAAAAAUAAUAUGGUUUGAUUCCAUUAAAUCAGCAACAAAAUUUACAAAUCAAUUUACAUCAACUUGCAACAAUCAGGGUAAUCCUUUCACGAUAAUUUCCUCAAUUUCAUCUUGCUUCUUAGCUUGAGUAAGGACCCCAACAGCUCAAAUACAUGACUUUUCUUAGAGAUUCCUCAGACUGUUUUGCUCUCACUUCCUUGACUUUAUUGGAGAUCAUGGCAGAAGAUGAAGAAGAAAGCUUCUUGGCCUGAGAGGCUGAUCUGACAUGGUUCUUGGCAUGUUGGUGCAGGGAUCUCAGGGUGUAGUUCCACCUGCAGAACCCUUGGUCUUUCAAGGCCUCAACACCUCCAACAGCUGCUGCAACCAACCAAGCUUUGCUUGCUGAACUCAUUUUCUGUGUUACUGUAAUAUAGAACCAACGAGUUGGAAACUCUUUGAAGUGGGAUUUGUAGAGAUUAAGAUAUCAGGAGCUAUGAUUUGAUGAAGUAAAUGGGAGUAAAGGGGUUUGGUUAUAUAGGUGAGUGUACCAAAAUUGUAGGAGAAAAACCAGAGGCUAAAGGCUUCUUCGUGGUGGUUUUGAGCGAGGAAACCAGCAAAGGCCAACGCUAUUUUUGAUGACAUGAUGCAUCUUUUGUCUAAGUAGACGACNNNNNNNNNNNNNNNNNNNNNNNNNNNNNNNNNNNNNNNNNNNNNNNNNNNNNNNNNNNNNNNNNNNNNNNNNNNNNNNNNNNNNNNNNNNNNNNNNNNNNNNNNNNNNNNNNNNNNNNNNNNNNNNNNNNNNNNNNNNNNNNNNNNNNNNNNNNNNNNNNNNNNNNNNNNNNNNNNNNNNNNNNNNNNNNNNNNNNNNNNNNNNNNNNNNNNNNNNNNNNNNNNNNNNNNNNNNNNNNNNNNNNNNNNNNNNNNNNNNNNNNNNNNNNNNNNNNNNNNNNNNNNNNNNNNNNNNNNNNNNNNNNNNNNNNNNNNNNNNNNNNNNNNNNNNNNNNNNNNNNNNNNNNNNNNNNNNNNNNNNNNNNNNNNNNNNNNNNNNNNNNNNNNNNNNNNNNNNNNNNNNNNNNNNNNNNNNNNNNNNNNNNNNNNNNNNNNNNNNNNNNNNNNNNNNNNNNNNNNNNNNNNNNNNNNNNNNNNNNNNNNNNNNNNNNNNNNNNNNNNNNNNNNNNNNNNNNNNNNNNNNNNNNNNNNNNNNNNNNNNNNNNNNNNNNNNNNNNNNNNNNNNNNNNNNNNNNNNNNNNNNNNNNNNNNNNNNNNNNNNNNNNNNNNNNNNNNNNNNNNNNNNNNNNNNNNNNNNNNNNNNNNNNNNNNNNNNNNNNNNNNNNNNNNNNNNNNNNNNNNNNNNNNNNNNNNNNNNNNNNNNNNNNNNNNNNNNNNNNNUUAGCUUUGCUAAUCUAAUCUAUCAUGCAGGGGUUAAUGGCUAUGAUCAUGCAUGAAGUUAAAAGUCAGUUGUUUUCUUCCUUCAAGAAGGUCAUAUGCAGGUAGCUUUCCACUAAUGUUAACUAUUAGCGCUUGAAUAGAAAUUUAGGGAAAAAUUGUAUUGGUCACGACCAUUUGUAUUUCUGAAAAUAAACGCUCAUAUUUUUAAUUUUUUCUUUUCAUUUGGGUUUUUAACAGAGAGAGAUUCUAGUGAGCUUGUAAGAGUGAUUUAAGAAUGAACAUUAAUUUUGAAUCAGCAUCGUUCCUAGUUUCUUGAAACUGCAGCUUUGACAUGGAAAAGGACAUAAUUCUGUAUUUUUAAAUAUCAAAAGAUUUCAAUCCAAUGUUACUUAAUAAUAAAUUUAUGUGAUAGUAUAAGGUCCUCUUCCAUUUUUCACACAAUGAUCACUCCUGUUGUGAUCAGUGACUGAGAAUUUUACACCAAAAUGGAUUUUCUUUUGGGUCAAAUCCAAUUUGAGAUUUUCGUUUUUCAUGUAGCCUUUUAAUCCAUUUGAGGAUGUGGGGAGAAAGAUAUUUUAGAUUCCAGUUGAAUGUCAUAUCUCAAAUUGAAAUUAAAUGAAAUUGCCUGUUUAUUCCACUAGAAAACUAGAAAAGAGCUUUGUUAAAUUUACUCACUGAGGAGAUGCACUGCGCGCUACCAAAAGAAUUGAUAAAAACAUAUGAUAAUGUUCGAUUUCAGCAAAUGAGCAUCAAAAUUUACAAUUUGCAUAAGCUUGCAAGGUUUUACUCCUAUAAACUAAGUCCCUCGAUUUCGUCUACUAGAUUCAUAGCUUCAGUUUGGACCCCAACAACUCAAGUACAUGACUUUUCUUAAAGACUCCUCCGACUGUUUUGCCUUCUCUUCCUUGACUAUAUUUGAGAUCAUGGCUGAGGAUGAAGAAGAAAGCUUCUUGGCCUGAGAGGCUGAUCUGACAUGGUUCUUGGCAUGGUGGUGUAGGGAUCUCAAUGUGUAGUUCCACCUACAGAACCCUUGAUCUUUCAACGCCUCAACACCUCCGAUAGCAGCGGCAACCAACCAAGCUUUACUCGCUGAACUCAUUUUUUAUGGUACUGUAAUAUAGAACCAACAAGUUUGUAGUGGGAUUUGUAGACAGUAAGAUAACACGAGCUAUGCUUUGAUGAAUCCCAUGGAAGGAUGGGGUUUGGUUAUAUAGGUGAGAAUGCCAAUAGUUUAGGAAAAAACCUGAGGCUAAAGGCUUCCUGCUGGUGGUUUUGGGUGCGGAAACCAGCAAAAGCCAAUGGUAAUUUUUUACGGUGAGAUGACUGUAUUGACAUUCAACUACCACAUGCCGACAAUAAGAAAAUGGGGACAAAAUCGGGUUCGUGGGAUGGCUAGAUUUGUUUUACUUUUGCUCUACAACAACCCAAUAGCUUCUCUGCCUGCCUUGAAGAAAUGAGCACACGGUUUUUCUUCGUAAAAUAAAUAAAUCCAAGCCAAAGUAUCAGGAGGAGCAUAGCUGAAGGGUGAGUCAUGCAUUCCACAAUUUGGUGGCACUUUCUCAUUGAAGUGCAUUUGCCACUUGUAAGGAAUGUAAGAAAGUGUGGGACUGAGGAUAAACAAAUGUCAAAUUGCAUGCUUCUCCUUUUCUUCUUUAUAUAAAAUAAAUUUGAUAGCCUCUCUCUCUCUCUCUCUCUCUCUCUCUCUCUUUUGGAAUUCAUCUUUUUCAUACUUUAUUUUACGGUAAACAUGUAUUCACAUAAAGCUUGAAUCAAUCCCUUCUCAGAAACUUACAGUAUUGAGCAAAUUACUUACAUCCAGACAUGAAGAUAUAUAAAAAUCCUACUCGCCAUCAACUUUCACAGGAAGGUUUAUAAAAGAUUUGGGAAAAGAAAAUACGUAAGCACCAAUUAGCACAUUAUUUUAUAUUUGAUGUUGUGGUACAGUCAUAUUUUUAAAUUUUUUUGUGUUAAUUUAAAAAUUAAAAAUUUUAAAAAAUAUUAUUAAAACAAUCUCUAAAAAGAAAAAUUCCAAAUUGGAAUCCUCUAUCUAUAAAAAUUAUCCAAUUAUGAUAAACAAAAUUUAUUAUUUUAAGUCAAAUUGAUCCUCAACUUUAUGAAUCAUGAUUUGUUUACCAACAUAGAUGUGCACAAUUUUCUUUUUAUAUUUGAUAUGAAAUAGUUUUUUCAGGUUAUUUUGUGUAUCAAUCUUACUUGUAUGAUUUUAGAAGCCAUAUCCUAUAAACACAUGAUACAUUAAAAAAAAUUAAACUCAGAAUGCUAACUUUUGAAUAAAAAUAAAUAAAUCAUGCACAAAUUUUAAAACGAGGGUUAAUUAGGUGAGUACAAUUUCAAGCUAACAGUGACGAAGUUGUAGAAACCACUUGCAAAAGAAUUAGCUUCCUUUUAGGUUGAGUUGGACUAAAACCUGCUUGAGAAAGUAUUGGGAUGGAUGAUAACCUUCAAAACAAGUAUUUUGAUGCAAAUGAUAGAUCCUUCAAUGCUUAAAUCAAUUUAAGUAGGAGAGAAAGAGCCUUGAAUAACCAUGUAUAUGUGUGGGUGUUAGAAUAGUAGCAAGGUUAAGGAGGAUAUGAUGGCGAAGAAGAUGAAGAAAUUAUCCCUUACUUCAAGAUUUAAGUCUGUAAAUGUCCUUUGCUCUAAAAAAUUCUGCCCACCAUUCAACGGAAGCCUCUAAAAUCCUAUCGAAGCCCUAUUAUCCAAGCGUAGAAAUGGUUAAUCGUUUACUUGAAGUGAGAAGUGGUCACACUGAUAGUCAGGUUGGAAUUUGGAAGACUACAGAUCUCCAGAAAAAUUGUUGAAAUUCCAGUUUGAAUUCUAAAUUGAAAAUGCACAUGUAUCUAAUCUUGUUGCUUGACGUUAAGCAUCAAACCAUGAUCUAUCAAGGAAAGGCUUAAUCCAUGCUCAAAAUUAAGCAGGAUGUUUGAAUGUCAUUUAGCCCAUGUCACAGAAACCAUGAAAAUUUGGUGGCAACAUCUCACAACGAAAUGAUCAAAGAACAAGGAAGAUUUUUUAGAUUGCAUGGGUCGACAUCAAUUAAAAAGCGAUAGGAAAAGAUAGGAAGAUGGUGACAACAUUUUUGUUCCACAAAAUUUUCGUGUUGCAUAUAGCAAUGAGGGCAGUCAGACUAGCUACAGUUCACAUCAGGCUUGCAUCAAUCACUAAUCAAGCCCCGCAAAUUUUCUCUCACAAACCAUAAUCAUGGCUUUGACUAUGUUCUUCUCAAUGGACCAGCUUCAGCCUGCACAAGGCAUCAGAUUCUCAUGGCAAACUUCUCAACUCAUUUAAUUUGGACCCCAACAACUCAAGUACAUGACUUUCCUCAGAGACUCCUCGGAUUGGCUUGAUUCCCUCAAUUUACUCGAAACCAUAACAAAAGAUGAAGAAGAAAGCUUCCUGGCCUGAGAGAUUGACCUCAUAUUAUUCUUGGCAUGUUUGUGUAAUGAUCUCAUGGUGUAGGUCCAUCUGCAAAAACCCUGGCCCUUCAAUGCCUCUACAGCUCCAAAUGAGCAUCAAAAUUUACAAUUUGCAUAAGCUUGUAAGGUUUUACUCCUAUAAACUAAGUCCCUCGAUUUCGUCUACUAGAUUCAUAGCUUCAGUUUGGACCCCAACAACUCAAGUACAUGACUUUUCUUAAAGACUCCUCCGACUGUUUUGCCUUCUCUUCCUUGACUAUAUGUGAGAUCAUGGCUGAGGAUGAAGAAGAAAGCUUCUUGGCCUGAGAGGCUGAUCUGACAUGGUUCUUGGCAUGGUGGUGUAGGGAUCUCAAUGUGUAGUUCCACCUACAGAACCCUUGAUCUUUCAACGCCUCAACACCUCCGAUAGCAGCGGCAACCAACCAAGCUUUACUCGCUGAACUCAUUUUUUAUGGUACUGUAAUAUAGAACCAACAAGUUUGUAGUGGGAUUUGUAGACAGUAAGAUAACACGAGCUAUGCUUUGAUGAGUCCCAUGGAAGGAUGGGGUUUGGUUAUAUAGGUGAGAAUGCCAAAAGUUUAGGAAAAAACCUGAGGCUAAAGGCUUCCUGCUGGUGGUUUUGGGUGCGGAAACCAGCAAAAGCCAAUGGUAAUUUUUUAUGGUGAGAUGACUGUAUUGACAUCCAACUACCACAUGGCGACAAUAAGAAAGUGGGGACAAAAUCGGGUUCUUGGGAUGGCUAGAUUUUUUUACUUUUGCUCGACAACAAGCCAAAAGCUUCUCUGCCUGCCUUGAAAUGAGCACACGGUUUUGCUUCGUAAAAUAAAUAAAUCCAAGCCAAAGUAUCAGGAGGAGCAUAGCUGAAGGGUGAGUCAUGCAUGCCACAAUUUGGUGGCUCUUUCUCAUUGAAGUGCAUUUGCCACUUGUAAGGAAUGAAUGUAAGAAAGUGGGACAAACUAUACAUGAGGUGAAAAAAAAUUUGGGAUUAAAAUAUUUGUUUUUUUUUAAAUUCAGUUUGAAAUCUUGUGAUUGUUUAUAUGAUGGUCACUGAAAACUUAUAUAGUCGUUAAUUUUAGGACCCGUUGGAUUAAUUGAGGUAUGUGCAAGUUGGUUCGGAAAAAAAAAAAAAAAGUGGGGGACUGAGGAUAAACAAGUGUCAAAUUGCAUGCUUCUCCUUAUCUAUAUAUUAAAUAAAGUUGAUAGCAUCUCUCUGUCGAUUUCUUGGAAUUCAUCUUUUUUCAUAUUUUAUUUUACGGUAAACAUGUAUUCACAUAAAGCUUGAAUCAAUCCCUUCUCAAGAACUUACAAAAUUGAGCAAAUUACUUACAUCCAGACAUGAAGAUUUAUAAAAAUCCUACUCGCCAUCAACUUACACAGGAAGGUUUAUAAAAGAUUUGGGAAAAGAAAAUACGUAAGCAUCAAUUAGCACAUUAUUUUAUAUUUGAUAUUUCAGCUUAGAUUGUUUAAACAAUAUAUUUAGAUUAUGUUGUGGUAGUGGUUUUUAUUAAAUAUUUUUCAAAAUAUAUUAAAAUAAUAUUUAUUUUAUUUUUAAAAAUUCAUUUUUAAAAUCAUAAAAUACAAAAAAAAAAAAAAAACGCCGGUACACGUGUUUUUUUUAAGGGAAGUACCAUCCAAGCAUAUCUAAGGCCCAUCUACACAUCCAAGUGCAUCCCUGGCCUUUCUAGUUUUCUAUUUGGGGAUCCAAUUGAGAAUUAAAUGAAAGUUGGUGGUUUGUAUAUCCAUUGCUCUAAAAAAUUCUGCCCACCAUUCAAAGUAGGCCUCUAAAAUCCUAUCGAAGCCCUAUUAUCCAUGCACAGAAAUGGUUAAUCGCUUUACUUGAAGUGAGAAGUGCUCAAACUGGUAGUCAGGUUGGAAUUUGGAAGCCAGAUCUGCAGAAAAAUUGUUGAAAUUCCAGUUUGAAUUCUAAAUUGAAAAUGCACAUGUAUCCAAUCUUGUUGCUUGACGUUAAGCAUCAAACCAUGAUCUAUCAAGGAAAGGCUUAAUCCAUGCUCAAAAUUAAGCAGGAUGUUUAAAUGUCAUUUAGCCCAUGUCACAGAAACCAUGAAAAUUUGGUGACAUUUAAGCAAUGGUGUAAUUACAAGCUGAUCAUGAGAUGGCAGUCUGCCUAGCUACAGUUCACACCAGGCUUGCAUGAAUCACUCAUCAAGUCCCACAAAUUUUCUCUCACAAACCAUAAUCAUGGCUUUGGCUUUGUUCUUCUCAAUGGACCAGCUUCAGCCUACAUAAGGCAUCAGAUUCUCAUGGCAAACUUCUCAACUCAUUUAAUUUGAACCCCAACAACUCAAGUACAUGACUUUCCUCAGAGACUCCUCGGAUUGGCUUGAUUCCCUCAAUUCACCCGAAACCAUAGCAAAAGAUGAAGACGAAAGCUUCCUGGCCUGAGAGAUUGACCUCAUAUUAUUCUUGGCAUGUUUGUGUAAUGAUCUCAUGGUGUAGGUCCAUCUGCAAAAACCCUGGUCCUUCAAUGCCUCUACAGCUCCAAUGCUAGCUCCCACAAUCCAAGCCUUUCUUGCUGUACUCAUUUUUUUUCUUUAACCCUUAAAGUUUCCCUUUUCUUUUGCAAGUAGAUGACUACAGAUUAAAGAUGAUCUUAAUGAAGCUAAUGGAUUCUAAGGGGCCUUUAUUUAUAGAGGGGAUGGUGAUAGCUGAAAGUCAGUAGUAGAAAGCCAGAAACCAUUAGCUAUAGGCUAAUGUCACUGGUUUUGGCCCCUGGUAAGGCAAAUAGCAUUAUUUUUUCUAAAAUUACUUUCUUGACCAUGCAUAACCACUUGUCAUACUAUUAUAUUAAUAAUAGAAUUACAAUCAACUCGAGGAUUUUCCCUUAAUUGUUAAAAAUUAGGUUUAUUUUCUAGAAAUUAUCAAAUUUAAAUUCUAUAAAUUUUAAAAUUAUUAGAAAUUUAUAUAGUUAUUAAUUUUAGGGCCAGUAAAAUUAAUCAAGGUAUGUGUAAAUUGAUUCGAACAUUCAUGUUAAUAAAAAAAAUAAAAGGACAAUCUUCCUAGAGGUUACCAGUUUGAGUUUCGCAAAUCUCAGGAUCAUUGAAGAUUUAUAUAGUCGUUAAUUUCAUGGCUUAUAAGAUUAGUUGAACUAUAUACAAACUGAUCCGAAUAUCUAUAUUAAAAAAUAAUAAUAAUAGAAGGAUAAGUAUGGGUUUUGGUCACAACUUGACGUGAAAAUGUGACAAGAUAAUGCAGCCACUAGACUAAAGUGAGUAAUAAUGGACACGCAGUUUUCUUGUGAAACUGCCUGGUACUCUGUCAGAUGAGGCCACCGGCAACAAAUGAUGGCACCCACUCUGGUCAUUUGUGGGUUUUGACUUCAGAGGACAAGCCGACAAGUCGUGGAGACAAACAAACUUCAAGGGUAAAAUUGCUAAAUUGUUUCUUUAGAGACUCAACUGUGAAUACAAAUGUGGGUUGGGAAUUCGUGGUAACUUAUAUGAGAUGAUUCAUAAUGUUCUAGACAAUUGUAUUAAACUCACUCUGUCUUAUCAAGUAAAUUCGGUAAUCUAUCCAUCCAGAGCUUGGUAUGAACUAUAUGAGAGUUGAAUCGGUAAAAUCGGGUUUAAUCAUUCGGGUUUAUUCUUAACUUGAUCAAAAUAAAUUUUUGAUGAGAUCUGAUUUGAUUUUUUUUGUUUAAAACAAUAUUGAUUUAAUUUUUUUCUUAAAAAAACUUGAAAAUAAGCCGUUUUAUAAUUUCCGGAUGAUAUCCAUGCAUAGGUUUUCUGUGGUCUGUCUAAGAAAGCGCGGUAAUGAGCUCAUUAAUUGCGCCAUUUUCGCGAUCUGGAGAUUUAUUAAUCGUAAUUUUGCUUGGUUUACAAAAAUUGCUUCUAUUGAAAAAAACCCUCUUGAAAAAGCACCAUGUUUUGGCUAGCUUAAGAAUCAAAUCGCCUGAUUCUUCUAUCAGGCCAAACAUUAAGGUCAUCAAGCACAGGAGUUAAACCUGACGUUUAGAGCCAACAAACACGAGUCUAAGCUACUUAAGCAGGAAUUGUCUUGGAGCCGUUCAAGGGCUCAAAGACCAGAACUCUAAAGGGAUGAUGAAGCAUCAUCAGGCAAGAGCAGCAAGACCAGAAUCCGAAAAUUCCACUCAGUUUAGAUGGGUUUCUGGUGCCAUUAAGCCCAUGAAGAUGGGUGGUGUUAGAGAGAUGCUCAGGGUAAGGGAAGCCGGAAAGGCUGAGAAUGCCAUGCAUCUCUCAUUUGUUGGGGACCUCGUUAAGAUAAUCAGUAUGUUGUGUACUCGUUCUGUAAAUUUCUCAACAUAGAUGAAUUAAUAUGUUGGUGUUUUGUAACAAUACAUAUAGCUUAUAGAAAUUACUAGCAUCAAGUGUAUUAGUCUAUUCGGGUUCAAUCGGUUCUAAGGGAUUUUAGUGGACAUCCUAUCAAGAAUUUAAAUCCUAUAGACACUGCAAGUCCAAUUUGAAAAGCAUGUGUUUUGGACUUGUUGGCCAAUCAUGACUUUAAAAGUAUAAAUCUAUGAUCCAUUUUCUAGACAAGCACUUGACUAAGUAAUAUAUCCAAACUCGAGUGAUUAAGUAUUAAAUGAAUGUAUGUAACUUACGAGAGGAGAGGUGCACCUCAACUUAUCAUAUUUUAAGUUUGUUUUUCAAAAUUUAUCAUUUUAAGUUUUACAAAUAUCAGGACCACUAAAAAUAAAAACUUAUAUGAUCAUUAACUUCAAGACCUAUAAAAUUAGUCGAAGUGUACGUAAAUAAUAUACCAAAAAUUAUUAAAAAAAAUUAAUGGAUCAAAAAUAAAAAAAAAACAUAUCCGACUAGUAUGUGAACUUAUCAAAUUUAUGAACCGGGUAACUCGAACCUAUGAAUCGGGUUAUGAAUUCCAUUGGGAUUAUAAUUUUUUUUCGAAACUAGUUUUUAUUUACUACAUGAUAAAAACAAUAUAAUCACAAAAUAAAACAUCAACCAAAUACUAAGAUGCUGUAAAAAAUUAAGAAACAAAUGAAAAUCAAAAUAUUUAAUAUCGCAACAUGAGUAAUUUACCUUGUUAUGUUUAAUGAAUUUCUCUAUCAAAAUAAACUUGUAAUAGAAAAACAAAUAAAAUUUAUAAUAGAAACCAAAAAAACACAUCAAAUUUAUUGAAUAAAAAAAUGCAAGGCUUCACACAUUAAAAAUCUUGUAAAAAAUCUAUAUUAAAAAAAUCUAUAUAAAAUGAAAAAAAAACAAUUACAGAUGAGUCAUACAUACCUCUUUAAAAACUAAACACACUUAAUAUCAUUAAAAAAUAAUUACAAACUAAUUAAAAUAAUAACUAUCAGGUUGAUGGUAGGUCAGGCUUAGCACCUGGCCCAAUCAAGCAACAGACCGCACGCGAGCCUACAAGGCUAGACCAACCAUGUGGGCCUAUAUUUUUUUAAGUUCAUCAUCUGCCCAUGCAUCAGAAAAAAAUUUGACGUGUCACCUGCAUCAGCAAAUUACACGUAUUAUGUUCAUCCCUAGAAUCUAGUAACUAUGGUAGUCGGAAAAAUUGUGUAAUUUGUUUUUUUAAUCUAAAAACCUAUCUUCAAUCCAUUUUCUACCCAAAAAUACCUAGAAAACACCGUAGAAAACUUGUUACACCAAUACAUGGUCACGAAAAACAUAAAGAACUGCCUUAAAACCCAAAAUCCACAUGAAACAAAAAAUAUUUCGAGCUCAAUCUGAUUUUUAGGUGUUUAUAAGGUAGAAAAAAUACUUAAUAUUAAUUCCCCUCAUCAUAUGGAACCAUUUAACAUAAAAAAACAACUGUUUUGAUGACCGGAUUCCUCACCAACAUACACCUUUUCUCUCCAAGCCAGAAUUUGACGACUUUCUCUCUCUUCUCCAUCUAACAAAAAACUGAAAAAUAAGUUAAAUAAAAUUUGAUAUUAAAAUUAAAUUUUAUAAAAUUUAAAGGACUAGUCACCUAAUAACUAAAAAUGAUAAGGGACUCAAAUAAAUUGUUGACAUAAAUUUUCAAUCAGCCACCUAUAUUACUAUAAAUUUUCAAUCAGCCACUUAUAUUCCUUGAUUGUCUCACUUUAGUCCAUUUCCUUUUGAUUCAACACUCUCUUUACAAAAAAAUAAUAAUAAUAAUAAUAACAUGUAGUUGAAUUUUAAUUUAAUUUCAAAAUAGCUCAAUUAUACAAAAUUUUUAAAAAUUACACUAUUAUAAUUCACAUAUACGAGAGAAACAAUGAUAUUUUUAUAAACAGUGGAUUUAGCUUUAUGUAUAAUGAUAGUAAAUAUCAGUAUGUUGCUUAACAAUGAGCCUUCUAGUAAAUUAUUGAAACACAAGAUUAUUAAUGUGUUCAUACAUGUUGUCUAAUCCUCAGAGGUACAGUGCUUCUUCUGUGUCGAUUUCUUAACCUCUCACACAUGUUCUUAGCAUGUUCCAUAUAUCAAGUGUUUUCUUUAGAUGAAAAGGCUAUUUGUGUGAUCCAUGAUAGUUUGAUGCCUUUCUUUACUAGAGAGAAUAUGUCCUUGAACUUCAAUUUUAUUUAUCUUCAAAUUGUUGAUUUCGAUUGAUGUUUUGAAUGAAUCAUAAGCAAAUCUAUCUCCAAAUCCUGUGGCCUUAAUUCCCAUCAUGAUCAAGGGAAAGCAUAUCUUAUAAUCAAUUUUCAUGGAGUCUCUAUCUUGCUUUUUUAGGUACCACCAUGCAUUAGCAAUUUUAAGAGUUUCAGGCCAUUUUCUGUGCUCAAGGAUCUGAUCAUUACUUGCCAUUUUCUCACUUUAAAGUUCCCAUGACGAUGAACAAGAAAAGAUAGGCAUAUAUGUUAAAUACAGUACAUAUUCAUGAACACUCCACUUACAUUACAGACUCUGUACAUUAACUUCGAUGCAAUACCCCAGCCUGCUCUCACGAUUUGGAUUGCAUAGCAGUUAAUUAGGACCCCAACAACUCAAAUACAUCACAGUCCGCAGCGAUUCCUCUGCCUGUUUACGCUUGUUAUCUUCACUAUUUUUAGCAGGAUUAUUGAUAUCCUUGGAACUGAAAUUACCUGAGAAACUUGUUUUCUGCUUGGAUGAAGCAGAGGUACAAGCAGCAUCAUUAAGGGGCUUGACACUUGAGUCAUUUUUAGAAGCUUUAUCUUUAACACUCUGCAUCCUUUGGAAACCUGGCUGAAAGAAUUCCUUCCCAAUGGAUCUCAAGCUCAUAAUAACUUGUUCUAAGAGAGACUAAACGCUUUCCAUUUUUACUGCUUCUGUGUGUGUAGAAAAUAGUAUUUGUUUCCGGAGUGUUAUAGGAGAGUGGAGUGAAGAGAGAUGUAAAGUCUACACCAUAAGAGUAAGAACAAAGCUGGAGUAAAGAAUCACAAGUAGCUUAUCUAGUUAUUGACUUUAGCGGGGAACUUGCAAUAUAUAGAGGAAACAACGGUAUUUUGUAAUAUUAUUUUUUUUUAGCUCUGUGAUUCCUGCUUUGAAAAAGUAAGUGUAGAAAGCAGCUAGCCAGUGACCAUGAUUAAAAUAUUAAUUCACUGAAAGAUCUUGUGACUCCACUUGGCUAUAAAUCUAUCCCCUUCCAAUUUUGUAGAUUUUAAUCUAUCUCGCAUGUCAUCAUGAUUCUUCUUGAUGUUUAAUGCUACAUGUAAUGAGAUUAAAUUUUGUCUUGUUUAAUCUUGAACUAAUUUAGGUACCAGGAAAUGUGGAGGUCCUGUUGUUUUUUAGUGUUAUUAAAUUUAGUCUUGUUUAAUCUAGUGGAUAUAUUAGAUUUUAAAUUAAAUUAAGUUAUAGUUAAUUUGAUGUGAUUAGGUCAAAACUUAAUUUAACUUUUUAAAAUGAUAUUAUUUUAAUUUAAAAAAAAAUCUGAAAAAAAAGCUAUUAUACAUUGAUUUAAUUAAUACACUUAAUUCAUUGGUUUUAAUAUUUUUUUUAUUAUUUUGUACAAAAAAAAAUGAAGGUGAUAGUCUAGUUUAAACUCUUGAUACAUAUGAUAUUGUUUGUUUUUACAGUUUAUUUAAAAAAGUUAAUUUUUUUAAUAUUUUAAAAUUAUUGUAAUGUGUUGAAAUAAAAAAAAUUUAAAAAAAUAAAAAAAAUUAUUUUAAUAUAUUUAUAAAUAAAUGUUUUUUUAAAAAGUAAUCAAUAUUACAACCACUGACGGUCUGAUAAUACACUGCGUUCAAUGACCAUAUUAUGAAAAUCUAUCACAUCAAUAUGUCAUGUCCGAAACUAUGAUUUUGUCUAUAAAUCAUAGGACAUAGAGUUGCCGGCAAUAAUAAUACCCGCAAAUCUCAUGGCCAUAGGCGAGGCCAGGAUCCUGUGUUACCGUGCAGUGUAAUUUAAUGAAACAGCCACCACAGCCACAUGAAGCUUUACCUUGAGUCUCCACCGUUUCAAUUUACAGUGAAAGAUUCUAAACCCAUCACACAGUUGCAGAAAUUGUCAACUGAUACUUCAAUUUCUCGCAUAUUAUUUAUAUGUUUGUAGCUAUAGCUAGUUUCCAUCCAUGUCUAGAGAGAGACAUGACUUGACAUGAAAUCUCCAUCUUAAGAUUUUCCCUCACUGUUACUCUUCCCUCUUUUUACCACAGAUGUCUCUCAUUUAUGUUCAGACCAUCCAUGACUUUAUUUGACGUAGAUUUUUACUCGGUAAUAUAUUAACUCGGUAAAACAAAAUUACCUUGAAGUUAAUAUGAAAAAUAAGAAUAAAAUGCUAUCAUUUUAAUAAAAACAAUAAACUUUAAUUAAUCUAAUAAUUUAUGGAUUGAUAGAUAAAUCAAUCACAUGCUUUUUUUUUUUAUUUUUAAAUCAACACAUUUAAUUAAGAAUAUUGACAUGAUAGCAUGGUUAAAAUAAUAAUCGGUAAAAUAGCAUAAUUUACACAUGUCAUGAUUGAAAAAUACAACUUUUAUAACUUGUCGCUAUUCAAAAUAAUGAUAUAUUUUAAAAAAUAUUAAAUGAGCCGGAUAAAGGAGAGAUGCAAUAAAAAUAAAGAAAAGAAAAAAAAGAUCUUGAAAAUACACCGAAAAAACUAUGAUCAUAAUACCAUAAAUAUAAUGAGAAAGAUUUUAAUAAUUCAAAUUCAAUAAUACUAAAAAAUAUUCUUCAAUAAUAGCAACUUGAAUGAACCACACUAAUCAUUAAAGUGGGUUAUUUUUGAAUGAUAAAUAUGACUCUUGGGUUGCAAUGGUAAACUUUUUUUAUAUGUUAAAUUGUUUUGGUUAAGAUUUUUUUUUAAUAAUAUUGAUAUUUUGUAAUCAAAGCUCAAGUGGGUAUUGAAUUUUUUUUCCUUUUUCUUUCUUAGUGGCUCCCUCCUAUAGAAUAUUACAAUCCUAAAUAACAUAAGUUAUAAAAAUUACGUUUUUCAAUGAUGAUAUUUAUAAAUGGUACUAUUUUGCUCGUUUGGGGCUACAUUAUUUCAACUUUUUUUUUCCGAAAAAUAUCCUCAAAACAAAAAAUAGGCCUUCUUUUCUGAAUCAAUUACCGAGUAGAGGCUCACAACUAUACAGUGUUUCUGUCUCUUCAACUGCUGUACUGGACAUUUGUUUGUCUCUUCCUUUGUAAUUAGAAAUCUGUACGGUAAGAUUGUUGCUGAAAAUGAAAAGAUAGCGAGCAUGUUACUUCCAUGGUAAUUGGAGCAGAAGGCAUAUAACCACGUGAAUCAAUGGAUAGCCUAGGCACGUUAAAAGUGACUUGGAUAAGAUCGACACGUCAUCAGGAGAAGCCAUGACUGCAAGCUACAAUUUGACUGCUUUCCCCCUUUUUGUUUUGUAAAUUUUAUUUCUUUAUUACUAUUGUUUCUUGUAUUACCCGCGGGUUAUUUUCCAUUUUUUAAAAAAACAUUAUGAAUCAACCACAAUGUUAAUUGAGUGGAGAAAAUAUUUUAAUUUAUUUAAUGCAAAAAACACUUUUAAAAAGUUCAUUACACCAAAAUACUAAACACAUAUUAAAUUACAAUCAUUUAAUUUAAAUUUAAUAUUUUAAAUUUAACGAGCAUAUCAAUCAUAUUAUUUUAAAAUCAUGGGAUCGUCUCGUUCUUUCUUACGAGUUCCUUAAUCAUAACUAGGAUGACUUGAUUCCAAGAAUUGCGAGGACAAGAUUUAAGGAAAAAUAAAUAUUUAAUGACAUGAAAAUACUACUUAAUCGUAACACAAACCACUAAUCAUCUUGACUAAAUCAAUUUCCAAUAUUUUCUUUUUUUUAAUUAAUCGUAAUUCUACCAUCAAAAUUACUUCUUAUCUCAAUUAUAUGGCGAAAUUAUUUUGCCUUUUAUCUAAAUUUCUAAAUACGACUAAAACAAUAUACAUCAAAUCAAAACAACAAGUGAGCUCACUUAAACUGGUAGAUCAGCUGAUAAUAUUCAAAUAUUUUUUUUAAAAAAAAAUAUACUUGAUUUGAAUCCUACCACUUAUAUUUCUUAACUAAAUAUAAAUAUGAGUUUGAUCAUUGUCUUCCAUGUAACUUAAGCAAGGCGCAUUUGCUUCUGUACAAACACCCAUGCAGUUCCUGCCAAGAUGCAUCCACUCAAAGAAAAUGGCAUCAAUGGAAACGAUGCAUGUACCUCUCAGUUUUGGCAUUAUGAGUGAAAAGACUCACGAGAAAAAAGGCUGCUUGUCUAACUCACAGACAGCAAUUCAAUGUUCCAUGACAUCAGCUCAACAAUGUUUAUCUCUCUCUCUCUCUCUAUGUAAGAACAAAAUACUCUCCCCGGCAUAAGGAAGCAUGGUGCCCAAGUACAGAAAAGUAGCCGAACAGAUGAAGCCUCGGAGACAAGAAAGGGCUAGAAGCCCAGAGAUAAUAGAGCGAACCCACUAGAGCUGUUCACGGACAAUACUUCGGCCGAUGUCCGGUCCAAAUUAUAGAAAAUUCUUUAGGACCCAACAACAUAGAAAUUGGAUACGUGGUAGUAGCUACUAGAUAUAUUGCCUGUGUUUCGGCUGAAUAUUAUUUUUAUGUAUAAAAGUAAUAGUAAAAAAAAAAUUCAAGUCUCAAGUAAAGUGACAAUUUAAAUAAUAAAAAAAACAAUAAUAAUAAAUAAACCAAUAAGAAAACAACAACAAAAAUAAAUCAUAUUUGAACUUAUUUGGAUUAUCAAACAACCCAAUACUACCCUAAUUGAAGGAAAGCCAUAAAAAAACAGAGUCAAAGUUCAAAAAACAAAAAAUAUUAGCUUAAUAAAAGGGGGAAAUAACCAAGCAAACCAAAACGAAACUCCUAAACAUAGUCUAAUCUAAAAAACUUGUUUCUUGUUAAAUUAUGAACUCGAGUUCAAUUAAAAAACUUAAAUGUCAUCCAAUUUAACUUUGAAUGUUGAAAUCGUUGAAAAAACUAUUAAUAAAAAAACUUGAAAAAAAAACAACAACAAAAAAAAAGAAUGAGGCUAAAAUUUGGCAAGAAAAAACCCAAUAAAAAUGAAAUUUGAGAAAAAAAUAUUGCAAACCAAAAAAAUUAUAAUUAAAAAAAUUAGGACAAAACUUGAAAGAUUAAAAAAUUAUAAGAAUAAAAUUUAAAAUUAUUUGUAAUAUGAAAAAUAAUUUAUAGAUUAAAAAAUAAUAGAAAAUGAAAUAAAAUAAAUAAAUUAUUAAGGGUUAAUCUAAUAGAAUUAAACUAAAAAAAUAAAAAAUAAAAAUUUUAAAUUAAUCAAUAUCUACUUUUAUUGAAGGAAAAAAAAAACUUUAGCUAAAUUCAGACAAAUCAUUAAAUUGAUUUAUCAAAUCAAAUCAAGUUUAAUGUACUUAUAAAUGAGAUCUUAGUUUUAAGUUUUAUCCCUAUAUAAACCCUUUAAAAUUAUAUAUUUACAUGUUGAUUUAAAUAAAUUAAAUUGAAAAAAAUAUAUAAAAAGAAUAGAAAAUCCAAAUUUCCAUCGACUAUCUUUUCUUAUUUCUACUACCCCAUCAAACCACAACCACGAAUUCUUAACAAAACGUACCAAAAUCCCAAUCACCCAUAACAACUUACGUGUCAAAACCUCACCGGUUCCCUCUAAAAAUCAAAAUAAUCCAAUUUGUUCUUACAAAAAAUAACGGAUAAUCCUCUCUUUCAAUUUCCAACCUCUCACUUUCUCUACUUUCCCCUCGAUCCAAACACACCAAAAAGAAAAAGAAAAUAAAAAUGCAAAUCAAUUUUCUCUCUUCCUUCCCUAUGACUUAAAAAAAGAGAAGAAAUAUCAAAAUUUUCCCGGAAAAUUCACUCUCAUUUUCUCUCCAUCCAACCACAAUGGCUGCCGUUACUCCAGUAUCAUUCUCUGCGAUUUCCCAAUCUUCGAGCGACAGAAGGGCUUUCUGUACAGUAGCGCGUAAUUUAGGUUUUGAAGGCUUCCGGUUUCGAUCCAGUUUUUCGUGUCAUUAUGUCGGCGUUAGAGCUUCGAAUUCGACUUCCCGUAUGGUUAUCCAUUGCAUGUCCACUUCUACUGGUAGAAGAAAAAAUCUUUGUUGAUUUUUUUAGAUAUUCGUCUUUCUUUUUUGUGUCUGGUUGUUGAGAAAGUGAGAGAAAAUAGAAAUAAAAGUCUUAGAAAGUUAGUGUAAUUAAGAGGUUUAGGGUUUUAUUAUUUAAUUUUUUUAUUAUAGAAUGAUUUUUGCGAUUCCUUUUUUUUUGUUGAACUUUGUUGAGGAAUUAGUGUGAUUUAUUUAUUUUAUGAAUAAUUACAGUGAAAAUUUCUAUUUAGAUUUUGAAAAUAACUAAUUUUGCUAUUUGCUUAAUCACAAAAUUAAUGAUGAAGUAAGCUUUAGUAUUUUUUUCUUCAAAAAUUAAUGCUUCAUUUGGAACUAUUAAUAAAGUUUUUUUUUUUUUUUUUUUUAUGGAAAGGAAUAUCAUCGAGACAGUUUGUGCGUCAGUCAUUCAAGACUAAAACUUUUAUUAUAUUUUUUUAAGUAAUAAAGCUGAAGUUUAGCAUCUGAAUUUUGCAAUGCUGGCCGGUAGUACGGUAGAAUUUGAGGUCAUAGAUUUUUUUUUUUCGUAUUCAUUAUUUUGUUUAUCGUUUUAAUCGUGUAAAGUAGUGUGUGGAUUUGUUUGAUGAAUUGGGUUAAUUUUCAGAUGUGCCACCAACGGUAGCUGAUACCAAGUUGAAUUUCUUGAAGGCUUAUAAGAGACCGAUCCCGAGUAUCUAUAACACGGUUCUGCAGGAGUUGAUAGUGCAACAACAUUUAAUGAAGUAUAAGAAGACUUUCCGUUAUGAUCCUGUGUUUGGUCUUGGUUUUGUUACUGUGUAUGAUCAACUCAUGGAAGGGUACCCGAGUGACGAGGAUCGAGAGGCCAUUUUUCAGGCUUACAUUAAGGCAUUGGAGGAGGAUCCGGAGCAAUACAGGUUUGUCUUCUGAGUUUUUCUGUCUUUUUGCAGGAAAUCUUUUUGUUAUUUCAAUUUCGUGAUUUAUAUUUAGUUUUUGUAGAGGAAUUGAUGGAAGUAGCGGUUGUUAAUGCUUUAUGACAGUUUUUCUUUACCAAGUGAAUUGCAUCUGAAUCUGACAUUUGAUAUUGCGUUGCAUGAGGAAUAAGAAAGCAUCAGUUAUCAUUGAAUAUUGGUUUUUGUUCUGUAUACCAAAAAUCAUAACAAAAAAAAAUCUGUUUAUUUAGACUGAGAGACUAUAAUAAUUGCUGGAUGUUUGGAAGAAUAAUGUUUAGGUGGUUGUCAUUGAUGGUUAUGAAGAAAAAAAGAAGAAGAAAAACCCUUCUAUUCUAUGCACAAUUUACAAGUAGUUUUCCCAAGAAAAAUGCGUUAUCAUCAUUUUUACUUUUAUAUAUAGAUCAUUUGAGUUUCUUUGACUAAGUGAAACGAAAAGGAAAUAUUUGCAACCAUAAAGAUUGAUAAAUAGUAGAAACUGAAACAUUCGAAAAGCGUAUGUAGCCAGAUGCUCAGAAAAAUUGGAGAUUCUUAGUUCUGUUAAGAUUUUCAUAUAUUAGUGGUCAACUUUUUCUCCCUUUUUCCUUCAUUACCAUGCAUAACAAAAAAUUGAAAGAAUACAAUUGUUACUCCAUAUUUCUGCAAAAUUUGAACGGCGCAAUUAUUUUCAUUGGCGCUUGAUAGUUUCAUUGAACAGGUUCUAAAAAUGCCCUUUCUAUUUGACUUUAAUCACCAUUUGGGUUGAUUAAUUCUGUAUGUUAUGGCCUGCAGAAUAGAUGCAAAAAAGCUUGAAGAAUGGGCUCGGGCUCAGACUCCUAGUUCAUUAGUUGACUUUUCAUCCAGGGAAGGAGAAAUUGAGGGGACAUUAAAGGACAUUGCAGAAAGAGUUGCGAGUGGGAAUUUCAGCUACAGCCGUUUCUUUGCUGUUGGGUUAUUUCGCCUUCUUGAGCUGUCAAAUGCUAGUGAACCGACAGUAUUAGAAAAGGUAGGUUGUUGAAUUCCUUCUCUAUUGCAAUCUAUGUAAUGUAAAGAGUGCCUUACAAAGUUUUAAAAUCUUUUUUUCUAGUGAUUUUCAUUGUUUUGAAUGUGUUUUAGUUCAUCAAAUCCAGAAAAUUUUCUGUUCCUAAUAACCUGGUCCAUUUUACCCUCAAAUCCAAGACCAAGGAUUUUCCUCUAGAGUAUCUAGUUGUGGCAAGAACUUUGGAGAAGAUGGAUAUAUCUGAGAUUGCUAACUUAAGGUUAUUUUUUCCUUCCACGAGCUCAAGAACUCCAUACGCUUCCUUAGUGCAUAGAUACAACAACCAUGACAUCUCACUUAUGAAAGUGGAAGAAUACCUAUUUCUUCACAGGAGAUCUUCAAUCCUGUUCCAAUUCUCUUGGCAGAUGGACAAUUGUAUCCAAAAUUCAUAUCCUUCCAUCACUUGUCCAUUGGUAGCUUUUUUCUUCUUAUUUUUUUUAAUUGAAGAUUCAGUUCCUUGAACAAGAUAUGAUGUAUGCAGGAUUUCUAAUUCAAAGAGACCUCAAUGAAUUUUAAGUGUUUAAGAUUUCUAAUUUGGCUAACUUCAAGACCUCAAUGAUUACUUUAUGUAUCAAAGAUUUUUGCUCGAUAGUUUGACAUUUCUCUUUAAUUUUCAUGCAAAAGCUUUGUUCAGCACUAAACAUCAAUAAAAGAAGUGUGGAUCGGGACCUUGAUGUAUACCGGGGCCUUCUUUCUAAAUUGGUUCAAGCAAGAGAGUUGCUGAAGGAGUAUGUAGAUAGGUAAAGAUCUAUCUCCCGGAUAGAUUUUGGCGUUCUGCUUUUGUUUUUUUUGUCUGUUCCAUCACGCGUGUGAUGUAUUUUUCUAAAAUGAUUUUGAAUUUCAGGGAAAAGAAGAAACAAGAGGAACGUGCAGAAUCACAGAAGGCUAGUGAGACUGUAACAAAAUGUUUGGGAGAGCCUCAAUUUGUAGGACAGUAGUUCAAUCAGCACAGCAGCUCUCACCUCACAGAUCAAAUUAUAUGAGGCUCCACUAUCGUCACUCCUCUCUCUUUUAAGGUACACUUGAAAGACUUCACUGUUUCAGCAAACCAUAUGACAUCUUAUGGAUUUGCAUUCUUAAGUCUGCUGUUUUGGAUUUGGUGAUCAAGAUACGUUUCCCCUUUGUUUCCCAUGUUUAUAUACUUGUUUCUUCUAUUUCAAACAAUUUUAUUUUUUAUUUUUUGUACCACAAAUGUUUCCUGCUAUUAAAUACUCCGUUGCAAAUAUAUCUGUGUGCAUCACCAUAUUGUCUUUGGAUUGCUGUUCAUCUAUUAAACUUCCCUUUUGCAUUAAAAGGGGGAAAAAUCCACCAUUUCUUGGAGAUUGAUGCCAUCAUCAACUGUUUGAGUAAUGUUACAAGAACAAAUUAUUCAAAAUUUUUAUUUAAACACAUAUAGCUUAUUAUUUUAGAGACUCACCAAAGAUGGUAUGGGAUAUUAAUUUGUUCCACUGGUGAUUAAAACACAAUACAGGAACAAAACGAUAACUAUGCAUUAGUCUGAACUGCAUCUGUUAGCUGCCAGUAGGCACCCUCUUAAAAUGAGAGUUAUCUGGAAAUAAGAUGUACUGAUUGUGAAUCAUUUUCCAAGUUUGAUUUGCUAAAAUGUUUUCAAGGUACUGCAAUGGAAAGUAAACUCUUACUGUUAUUAUUUAUUAAUCGGUGAAAGAUUUUUUGGUUGCAAUUACAAAUUUGCACAUACAAUUGGAACUCAAUUCACGGGUUAAUUUGAAAUCGGAAAAUCAGAUAAACUUUGGUUUGAUUCUUAACAAGCCGGCCGAGAAUUGACCUAAUUAGAUGAGACUGAAUUAAACGUGAUGAGAUACAAGAUGAACAUGGAAUCAUGACCCAAUUUUAACUGUAAUUGCCUAAUUGGGAUGUUGAUUCAAAGUAUCAGCUGCAGCAAAUAGUCUCCGCUCCACUCCAAUGUACAAAAACUUUCUCAUUAAUAACUUUGUCCUUUCUGUCAAUUAUGAUGAUUUAGAGGGUGUUUAGGAUUGAUAGUCCUAGAUUUCAACCUGUAUGGGAGCGGUUUAUCAUGUAUUUUAGAAAAAAAUAAAUUUUUAUAAUUUUAAAUUAUUUUUUAAAUAUAUUUUUAUUGUAUUAAUAUAUUGAUAUGAAAGAUAAAUUUUUUAAAAAUAUUAUUUUAAAAUAUUUUCAAAUAAUAAAAAGCAAUAUGUUCUUUCCUUCCAAACAUUUCUUAUGAGUUGAAACGCAACCUUUAUGGCCACAAUCUUGAUCAAAAUCCAUAAAGGAAAAACAUAAAAAUUUUAAAUUUUAUUCAAACCACACCAUUUAAAAAACAAGAUGGUGGGAUUUGAAUUGGGAUUUGUGGGUAAACCGUAAAAAUUGAAUCGAUGCAUCAGUCCUCUCAUUAAAAUAGUAUUUUAAACAAAAAGGACAUCAAUCAUUACUGGCGGCUAGUAUGAGCAACCAUUUCAGAGACAAAAUAAUGAGAUCAAAUGAAUUAAAGAGUAUCAAAUUUGAAUGCAAUUCCAAUUUGUCUACCAAUUUAAGUUUUAUAUUUUAUUUUAAAGUGAAAACAUUGGAAGUGAUGAUCACUCAAAUCCAUGAGAAUCCUACCAAACCAUGAUAAUACUGCUGGCCAAAAGUCACGAUAGUUAGUUCACACAUGAUCAUAUUUAUUGCAUCAAGCAUGUUGUCCUAUAUAUCUAAAUUUUGUUUUUCUUACUUACAUUCUUUUUUUUUUUCGCUUCCGUCUACCUUACUAUCCAUCAUAAUAUUUUUUUUUAAUCUUAUUGUAUUGUUUUAAAUCUGAUUAUAAGAGAAGAAACAUAUUUUAUUAUUUAAUAAUAUGUAUUUUCUUUAUAUGUUCUUUAACUUAUAAAUAUUUAAAAAAAAAACUAAAAGAGACUAGUGUUUCACGAUAUAGAGUAGACUCAUUGCACUAUAGAUUGAAACAAUACAAUGAUGAUUUUUUCCUUCACAGCAAAAACCAAUGAAUUGGGAUUUGUGGAAAAAAUAGUCUUUUCACGAUAUUCAUUUGUCAUUAUAAAUUGAUCGAAGUUAAAAUGAUCACUUCACAUUUUUAAUGCAUAAUAAAAUGAUUAACUUAUCCUUAAAAACAAAAUUUAUUUAACUUGGAUUUAUGGGCUUUUUUAGAUAUUUAUUUUUUAAAGUAUUGCAAAAUGACUAAAUUAAUAAUCACCUUGACUUAGAGGCAAUUUGAUAUUUUAAUAAAUAUAAAAUAUUAUUUAAAAGACAAAACACAUUGACACGUGCAAUGCAUGCACCAUUAUGUAGGGGAUGUCUAGUGGCAAGACCGUGGCUUCCAAGGCAGUGUUAGAAUAGUCUCAACGGCGCUUCCAUCCCUAGGCAGUGCGUAUGGGCAACGAACCUCCAGUUUGGUGCUAGUGCUCUUUUCAUAGUUUUUUUUUUAUGUUUUUCUUCUUGAUUUCUAUGCCUGACCUUUAAAAUUUUCAAAAUAAUUUAUUUAUUUUCAUAUUUGGUUCAUGUUCUUUUAAUUACUAUUUGUUUUAUUUGAAAUAAUUAAUAAAAUUGAUUUUUUUUUAAUAUCACCCCCUUUUAAUUUUUUUUCAUUUGUCAAAUUUGAUCCUAAUUUUUUUAUUGCAAUUUGAUUUAAUUGAGAUAACUUUUAAAAUUGAUUUUUUUUUAUGAUUUCACCUUCCUUCAGUUUCGUUUUCCUAUUAGAUUUGAUUUUCAUGCUUUUGAUUACUAUUUUUUUAUUUUGUCAAAUUUUUAAAUUGUUUUCUUUUUCAAUUUCAUCCUUCAACAUUAAAUUGGUUGGAAAUCAAGCUUCUUGGUUAAGUCUGCGUCUAAGAUUUCACUGGUUACGAGUUUGGGAGAUUAACCCAGGUUUAGAAGUUUCGCCCAGGUUUGCUUGUUUUAUUUUUCCCUUUUUUUAAGCUCGUGUUUUUUUUAGUUUUAUCAUUCAACAUUUAUUUAAUAGAGAUUGUACUCUAUUAUUUUUUAUAAAUUUUCUUUCUCUAGGAUUUUUAACUAAUUUUAAAAAUAACCCGAGUUAUCUUGAGUCAUUUUAUUUCUUGUUUUUUUGUUAAAUUUAGAUUUUUCACAAGAAAUUUUCAUUUUAAAUUAAAUUAAAUUUAUUAAUUAAAUAUAAGAAUUAAAUGUUCAUUUCAUGAUAUUUUAUUUAAUUUGCUUUCCUAGUUGUUGAUUUGACAGUGAGUACGAUGUCUUUUGGUAUCAUCGUGCAACCUUUCGUGGUGACAUUUGAACCAUUUCAGUGAACUCUUCCUAAUGCUAAGAUAGUGUUCACGAUAAUGAUUCUCCAACUAGAUUUUCUUUGUUCUUCUUCAAAAUAUGAUAUUGAUAAUUUAUUUUUUAUAGUUAAUUAUUAUCUUCUUUUCACUUUAUUUAUUGUCGAUAUUUUUUUUAAUCAUACUAUUAUAUUAACUGAGAUUAUUAACUCAAUCAAGUCAAUGAUCCUAUCUUGAAUUUUUCUUGCUUCUAUAAAAACAUUAAUGAUGCCUAAAUAUAAUUUUUUAUAUUAUAAAAAAUUUUACCCCAUCCAUGAGAUAAUGUGAAUCAACUAUCUAUUAUAUAUACAUAGCAACACCAAAUCAACUUUUUUGCAAGUUUUUUCAAAGGAGUUCACGAGGAAUUCAUUUUUUUCAUUGGGCUUCAUCCCGGGAUUAUAAAUUUGGGAUCAUACCACGAUGAUCAACUUAGAGACAAGGUUAUGGUCACAUCUACGAGAGGCCAAACCCACAUUGAGAGGCUGAAAGAUCUGGUCUCCAUUCAAUGCGUGAAAAAUUAUCCAGGGCAAGUGCAUGUAUCGACAUUUUUGGAAGCAUGUGCCUUUAAUUAUAUGGGUUCCUUUUAUCAAGUCACAAGAAAGUGUGGCAAGUCAUUUAUUUGAUAAUGGCAAGAUUAAUAACUAAGUUUCUGUGGCAGAUUGUAGACACCGUCUUGAAGUUAAAAUACAGGCAAGAAAUCAAACCUCGAUUUAUGCUAUGCACCAGAAAAGAAGAGUGAGUUCCUAGGAGAAAAUGGGAUCAUCAUGGCAGCUAAAGCAAUUGGUAAGAAGGUCAAGGAAUUGGCAGAGAAAUGGUUAUCAAAUUGGAAAGAAUAUCUGAACAAGGCAGGCUAGAAAUCAAACCUCGAUUGCCAUUCUUGAUUAAUCUUAAAAAUUAAAUUUUGAUCAAAAUUCAUAAAGAAAAAACAGAAUAAUUUUAAAUUUUAUGUUAAGAAAAUGAAUUGAUGCAUUAGUCCUCUCAUUAAAAUAAUUUCUUAAACAAAAGGGAAAACAAUUAUUAAGAUCUCAUGUCUAACCAUAUCAAACACCAAAACAAGAGACAAUAUAAUUUGAUCAAAUGAAUUUAAGAGUUUCCAAUUCCAGUACAAAUAUGAUGCAAAAGGAUACUAAGAUUUGUUACAAUUUUUAAAUAAAAAUAAUACCAUAAUUAUAAAUAAGACUCUAGAAAUAUUUAAUUUUAUGCAUUGUAUCCUUGCGAAAAUACUAUUACAUCUCUUUAUAUAUAUAAAAAAAAAAACUAGAAAGCACUAAUAAUAUUGAAUAAAAAAAGAAGUAAAACUAUUCCUUUAAAGUAGAAUAAAACUAGAAAAACAUAAUAAAAAAAUAAUAAAUAAUAAAAUUAACAAAAAAUUUUUUUAUUUUUUUCAAAAAGCAUUUGCAUCUGUCUCCUCGAAUCGAAAAAAACAAAUCCUCAAGUUUAGAUUUUAGUCAGGAACCAUCCCCCACCACAAACAACUUCUUAUGUGUAGACCACCACACCAUAGGUUCCUAACACCUUUGCAUGAGCUUUCCUAUUAUGGAUUUCUGGCACAAUACUUUUUUGUGUAUCGCUUUAUCCUAGAUCGUUAACACACCAUUUUUAUGCGGGCCACCACAUCAAGAAUCUCAUCACCAUGAUUUCCAAUAACAACAACUACUGUUAACAAAAACAACACAUUAGCUCCUAAAUUUAUUUUUCUUGAAGGAGAUCUUCUCAUUCAUUUAUUCAUCAUCACACGACAACCAACCAUUAGAAAUUGUUAGACUUCGAUACCAAAUGAUGUGUAUAAAAACAACAUAAUAAACAACACAAAAUUUUGCCUAAUAUUAAGGUCAUUGUAUAAAAAUUCAAAUUUAAAAUUUUAUUACUAAAUAUUUCUUUUCAAGUGGUCCCUAAAAUACAAGCCAAAUAAAAAUAUUAUACUAGUUCUAGUUUUACCUUAAUGAGGAAAAAAAAAUACUAAUAAAUAACUAUAGAGUUAUUAUAGGAUUCCCUAAAUAGAAAAAAAAAUUUAUUAAGCAUAAUAUUUAAUUCUCUAAACUAAUAGAAAAAAACAAAAAAAAAAUUUCCUAAAAUUUAAACAGUCUCCUCGUGUUGGAAAGAACUCAUCAUCUAGUUCAAUGUAUUCUUUCCUUGAUCUCUUGGAUGUCCAAUUGAAGUUCUCCAACCCUUUUUUUUCUUUACUUUAUGUGUAUAACAAUUUUAAAUAUCAACUCCAGUUUUUUAUAUAAAAAUUGCAUUAUAAAAAAAAUUGGCAAAUUAUUUCUCUUCCAUUGGAUUUUAAAAUAAUGAAAUGUAAACAUCAAACUUACUUCAUCAACAUGUAUUCUAUUCAUAUAACCCUUGAACAAUUAUACAUUUCUGAUAAUCUUAAGCUUGUAGUCAAAAUAAUCAGCAUAAUCCAAAUUAACUUUUUUUUAUUAAGCAUAUUUCAUAUUCUCUCAGUACUCAACAUUUAACUUAUUAAUAAGGUUACUAUUAAUGAUAUCAUUAUUGCUAUUAUUGUCAUUAUUUAUACUAUUAUUAUUAGAAUAAUUAUCAUCAAAAUAAACAUCAUAAAUUGGUGUAAAAUAUCAAUCAACAUCUAUCUCGUCAUAAAUGAGAUCUUCAUCAUGAUAAUGAGGUUGUCUUUUCUACUCUCGUCUUUUAAAUGGAUUUUCAAAGUUGGUCAUGAAUAUGUGAUCAUUGUCCUCAUGAUUUUCCAGGGUUCUCACCUCCACCAAUUGACAAAUCAAUUAUAUAAUAUGUCUCCAAUUGUUUUCUAUUACUAAUUCCUAAACAUCUCUUUUCCAAGUGUAAUCUCCUCAUCCCUCAUCACAUGAUCACGUUAUAUUAUAUGAUCUCUUAGUCAUAGUUAUUCAACAACUAAUCAACAAUAAUUAUUGGAUUUUGAUACCAACUAAUGCAAAUAGAAGCGAAAAAUAAUGAAAUUUGUUACAAGUCAAAACUCUCAAAGAUAAAAAAUACCAUAAUUAUAGAUAAACUCUCAAAAUACUUAAUUUUAUUUAUUCAUAUUGUCUCACUUAUCAAAAUGCUAUUUUAACCUUUUAUAUAGAGAAAACUAAAAACAAACCCUAGUAAUAUUGAAUAUGAAAAAUAAAAUAGAAAAACUAUUCUCUUUUCUUCAAGUAGAAAAAAAAAACUAGAAAAAGGUAAUAAUAAAAAAUAAAAAUAAAAAAACUUCUUAAUAAAAAUAUUUAUUUUCUAAAGCAACUCAUGCAUAAAAUUUCAAUUUGUCUACCUUAUUAAAUUUUUUAUUUUAGUUUUCAAGUAAUUACCACAUUAUGAGGGAUGAUCAUAGCUCGAAUACUUGAUAACCUACCAAACCAUGAAUCGUUGAACUGUUGGCCAGAAAACACGAUAGUUGGUCCACGCAUAGGAAUGAUUAUUUGCAUGAAACAUCUUAGUUUAUUUUAUUCUAAGAUAAUAGAUAUGUGCGUUAUUAUAACCUCUUUAACUUAUAAAUAUAUAUAACAAUAUACCAAAUCAGCUUUGCAACUCAAACUCACCAUGACGAAUUCAAUUAUACAAAUGAAUUUCUCCUCAUCAAUACCUUAUCUCUUUCCCCUCUUCACAACUAUGAGGGCUACUGUUUUGCCUUAACAGUGUUACUAAUGGAGGGAUCAUAUUAAGCAAAUUAGUAUGUUAGAGGGACUCAAUCAACUCUUAAAUUAUCACAGGGACUUGAACAACUAACUGGUUAUAUUACAAGGAUGGCACUGAUUAUUAACCCAAUUUCACUCUUAUAUAUAGUAACUCCCUCAUCGUGUUAUCUUACAAGCGUCAUCUUCACAAAAUAUGGCUCAAUCUCAUUCUGUAAAAGUCAUCGAUCGUGUCCAAGUCUCGCCACCACCAGGCUCAGUACCCACCACCUCUCUCCCUCUCACUUUCUUCGACUUUCCAUGGCAUCUUUGCCCUCCCAUGGAACGCCUUUUCUUCUAUGAACUUCCUUACCCUACUCUUUACUUCAUGCACAAAAUCUUGCCUAGCCUUAAAAACUCUCUUUCCCUUGCUCUUCAACACUUUUUCCCUCUUGCCUCCAAUCUUAUGUGCCCACUAUCACCUCAUAAACCCUAUAUCCUCUUCAAUGAUGGGGACUCAAUCCCAUUCACAAUUGUUGAGUCAACGAUGGAUUUUGACCAAAUAAUCGGAGACCAGGCUGGAGAUGUGACAGGACUGCACGCUUUUGUCCCUAAGUGGCCUCCCACACGCGUGACAUCAGAUGGCAAACGUGUGGUGCCACUUCUUGCCUUGCAAGUAGUUGUGUUUCCAAAUUCAGGUAUUUGCAUUGGUACCAAAUUUUGCCAUGUGGUAGCUGAUGGGAUGGCUUUUAACCAUUUCAUGAAAUCUUGGGCGUCCAUUUUUAGGUCCAGAAAAAACAUGGCUUGCCUUGAAAAGUCAAUGCUGCCGUCUCAUGACAGGUCGGGGAUCAAAGACCCAUUCGAGCUUGAUUCCAUUUUUUCAAAGGAGUGGUGGAGUUGGGCUUCAUCUCGGGAUUAUAAUUUGGCAUCAAACCACGAUGAUCAACUUAGAGACAAGGUUAGGGUCACGUUUACGAUAGGCCAAACCCACAUUGAGAGGCUGAAAGAUCUGGUCUCCAUUCAAUGCUUGAAAAACUAUCAAGGGCAAGUGCAUGUAUCAACGUUUGUGGUAGCAUGUGCCUUUAUAUGGGUUAAUAUGAUCAAGUCACAAGAGAAGGAGGCAAGUGAUUUAUUUGAUAAUGACAAGGUUUACUACUUCGUUUUUGUGGCAGAUUGUAGACACCGUCUUGAAGUUAAACUACCAGCAACAUAUUUUGGAAACUGUCUAGCAAUAUGUUAUGUUCCUGCAAAAAAGAGUGAGUUACUUGGAGAAAAUGGGAUCAUCAUGGCAGCUAGAGCAAUUGGUAAGAAGGUCAAGGAAUUGGAGAGUGGGGUUUUGGUGGGCGCAGAGAAAUGGAUAUCAAACUGGAAAGAAGUGUCUGAACAAGGCAGGCUAGUUACUGUUGCUGGGUCACCUAAGUUGCGUGCUUACGAGACAGAUUUUGGGUGGGGGAGGCCGAAAAAGACUGAGGUUCUCCAUAUAUAUGCUUCAGGUGGUUUCCAUCUUUGUGAAUGUAGAGAUGGGGGAGGUGGGCUUGAGAUUGGCUUGGCACUUCCUCAGGGUCAAAUGGAUGUCUUCUGUGGCAUCUUUGAACAAGGUAAGCGGAAUCUGGUUUGAGUGUGGCUUGUUGUCUACUUAAGAAAUUCGCAAUACACGGUACUUUAUGUUAAGGAAAUAAAGAGCAAAGCCAAGAAACGAAUAAAUUUAUAUUUGUUUACCACUUGUUCUUAAUAUAUAUAUAUAUAUAUAUAUAUAUAUAUAUAUAUAUAUAUAUAUAUAUAUAUAUAUAUAUAUAUAUAUAUUUUUUGUUAAAGUAAAUCAUAAGAUAUUAUUUAACUGUUUAAAUUAUUAAAUUAAAAUAAUUCUUUAACAUAAAAUUAAAGCCUUAAAAUCAAGUGGUCACAAGACCUUGUGUAUUCUAUAUAAUUCAAUACAAAGCUAUGCAUUAUGCAAGGCAGUUUUUCAAAUAUUUAAUUUUCUUUUCAAUGCUCACCAAAUAGGUAAUGAUCUCCUUAAAUCUCUUGCAUUUUAUUUCUUUGGACAUGUGAAGGACCGAAUAGCUUAACGUUGAAUAAUGUUUUCUGGCUUAAUUUUGGUUAAAUUUUUUGCAAGACGAUAUAUACCAUAAACAGAUGAAAAUAAACCAAAACGAUAAGAGGGACUAGACAAAGACCGUACCAUGUAUGAUCUGAAACAUAAAUUUCUUCGUUUGCUCUGUACGUCCAUGGUGCUUGUCUUCAGAAUUCUUAUUUACUUUGGUUGUAUUGGGUAGAAGAGAGUUGCCCAUUUAAUAUUGAGCAAAGGUGGCAAAUAAAUAGUAUCUUGUAUAGACAAAAGAUGCUUUCCUCGGAGAGAAGAGAUGUAUUGUGUCCUUUUUUUUUUUUUUUAAUGUGGUGUCCGAUCCGGGUUAGUGCACCUUAACUAAUUUCACAGGUUUUGAAGUUAACGACCAUCUAAGUUUUCAGUAGUUCUGAGAUUUGUGUGACUCAAAAUGGUAAUCUUCGGAGAACAAACUCAGAACCUGAUCAAUUGAGUUACGCCUUUCAAAAUUAUUAAUGUAUUGUAUCUUUAAAUAUACGCUAGGUGUGGGUUUAGAGAGACAAAAAAAAAAUAGUUCUUAGAGCAAUAAAACCUUGCUUUCUAGGCCAAUUUAUAGAAGCGGAUUUAAUUUUAUAUGAAUAAUGAAGGUCAUGAACUUAUUUAAAUAUUUGGAGUUCAGCUUAAUUUGAAAGAAAUUUUAAAAAAUAAAAAGCUUAUAAUUUCCACAACUCAAUCUUUCUUGAAGUUUUCUUCUUUUCUUUUAUUCAAAGCAGAAAUUACAGAACGUUUUCAGCUGUGUGCACGUACAGCCAGGAAAUUCAAAGCAAUUCAAAUCCAUUCUUGCACGGAGAAAUUUCCUUGAUCAUCUCAUUCAUCAAAACUUUAUAAUUUUUUCCGUGCUCUUUAUAAUUAUUUUUUUGGACGCAUAGAAAAUUCAGAAGAUUGCUAAGCUUGUUAGGAUAAUUUGGACCAAAGAAUGGAAAGAACGAAUUGCUGCUGCGGGCUGUGGAAAGUUUGUGUUUGAUAUUAUAAUUCAGAAAACUUUUUGAAAAUAUUUUUUAUUUAAAAUGUAUUAAAAUAAAUUUUUUAAUGUUUUUACUUGAAGGCAUUAAAAAUAUUAAAAAUAAAAAUCAGAAAAUAAUUAAUAAGCCAUCAAACUACUAUUAGUCAUCAACAGUUGAAUAAAUGAACCUUGUCAUGGGAUGAAAUAAUUAACUAAUGAUAAUGUAUUGAAAUGAAGCUAAAGGACAUCUGUUAAGCAACUAUGAGGGCUCCUGUUUUUCCUUGACGGUUUUAACAAUGGAGGGACUAUAUUAAGCAAAUUAGUAUAGUAUAGGGACUCAAUCAACUAUGAAAUUAGUAGAGCGACUAGAUUGUAAGAGGCUAUGUUAGAAGGAUGUCACUCCAUCGUCAGUAUCUCAUCUCUUUCCUCUUCGCAAACAAUGGCUCAUUCUCAUCCUGUAAAACUCAUUGAUCAUUUCCGAGUCUCUCCACCACUAGGCUCAGCACCCACCACCUCUCUACCUCUCACUUUCUUCGACUUUCCAUGGCUUCUUUGCCGUCCCAUGGAACGCCUUUUCUUCUAUGAAUUCCCUUACCCUACUCUUUACUUGACGAACAACAUCCUUCCUAUUCUUAAAAACUCUCUUUCCCUUACUCUUCAACACUUUUUCCCUCUUGCCUCCAAUCUUAUGUGCCCACCAUCACCCCAUAAACCCUAUAUCCUCUUCAAAGAUGGUGACUCGAUCCCGUUCACUGUUGUUGAGUCAAUGCUGGAUUUUGACCAAGUCAUCGGAGACCAUGCCAGAGUCGAUCUUAGAGAACUGCAAUGUUUUGUCCCCAAGUGGCCUCCCACACGUGUGACAUCAGAUGACACACGUGUAGUGCCACUUCUUGCCUUGCAAGUAGCUGUGUUUCCGAAUUCAGGUAUCUGCAUCGGUGCCAAAUUUUGCCACGUGGUAGCUGAUGGGAUGGCUUUUAGCCAUUUCAUGAAAUCCUGGGCGUCCAUUUUUAGGUCCAGAGAAGACAGCGCUUGCCUUGAAAAGUCAAUACCGCCGUCUCAUGACAGGUCAGGGAUCAAAGACCCAUUCGAGCUUGAGUCAAUUUUUACAAAGGACUGGUGGAAUUGGGCUUCAUCUUGGGAUUACGAUUUGGGAUCAACCCCUGAUGAUCAACUUAGAGACAAGGUUGGCGUCACAUUUACGAUAGGCCAAACCCACAUUGAGAGGCUGAAAGAUCUGGUGUCCAUUCAAUGCAUGGAAAAUUAUCCAGGGCAAGUGCAUGUAUCAACAUUUGUGGUAGCAUGUGCCUUUACAUGGGUUAAUUUGAUCAAGUCACAAGAGAAGGAGGCAAGUGAUUUACUUGAUAAUGACAAGGUUUACUACUUCGUUUUUGUGGCAGAUUGUAGACACCGUCCUGAAGUUAAACUACCAGCAACAUAUUUUGGAAACUGUCUAGCAAUAUGUUAUGUUCCUGCAAAGAAGAUUGAGUUACUUGGAGAAAAUGGGAUCAUCAUGGCAGCUAGAGAAAUUGGUAAGAAGGUCAAGGAAUUGGAGAGUGGGGUUUUUGUGGGGGCUGAGAAAUGGAUAUCAAAGUGGAAAGAAGUGUCUGAACAAGGCAGGCUGGUUACUGUUGCUGGGUCACCUAAGUUGCGUGCUUACGAGACAGAUUUUGGGUGGGGGAGGCCGAAAAAGACUGAGGUUCCCCAUAUUUAUGCUUCAGGCAGUUUCCAUCUUUGUGAAUGUAGAGAUGGGGGAGGAGGAGUUGAGAUUGGCUUGGCGCUUCCUCAGGGUCAAAUGGAUGUCUUCUCUGGCAUCUUUGAACAAGGUAAGCAGAAUCUGAUUUGAGAAUGGCUUGUUGUCUCUCCUUGUGAAAUUCGCAAUGCACGGUGCUUUAUGCUAAGAAACUAAAGAGCGAAAACAAGAAAUGAAUAAAUUUAUUUUUGUUGACCUCGUGUGUGUGUUCGUCUCUUUAUAUGGGUUAUUGGUCACUGGCUUGUUGCAGUUGAGAUUAAUUAGCAUAUCUUUUAAUAUUAUUUUUAAUCAUAAACUUAAAAUGUGGUGUGUGUGUGUGUGUGUGGUGCUAAUAAAAUAUAUUGAUUUUAACCUAUUAAAAAAAAAAUAAAAAAAUUAUCCGAGUUUAAGUUAAAUUACUAAUUUAACUUAAUUUUUAAUAAAUUCAAUAUUAAAAAAUAAAAUAAAAAAAAUUAAUUAAAAAAAAUAACAAAAAAAUAAUUUGAAUAAACCUGAGUUAAUUUGUUAAAUCCUCAAUUUAGAUAAUAAGAUCAUGAUAAUUUAUAAAAUAAUAAAUAAAAAAUUUAUAAAACAUCAUUUUAACAAAUCUAAUGUUGAACAUUGAGUUUGAGAGAGAGAAUUUUUUUUUAUAAAACUAGUAUAUAAACCAGCAAAAAAAAUUGAUAAAAAUUAUAUAGCAUAAUUUUAAAAAAAAUUUAUUGUUGAAUGAUGAAAUUAAAUAAAAAAAAUACAAAAUACUAUUUCAAUUAAUAAUAUAAAUAUAUUUAUGGUGUGGCUACUAUCUUUUAAUAUUUUUAUUAAAUAUAUGAUCAUGUGUGUUGUCAUUGGAAACUUUUAGUUAAUAUUAUUAAACUUAAUCAAGUCCAGUGAAUUAUCAUGGUGACUUGUCAACUUGUUCGAGCUUCUAACCAAACUUUGUGAGAGCUGAUUAAGGGUCAAAAGACAUGGUGAGUGAACUUUAAAAGCGAUUGAGUUAGUAAAAAAUUUAUUUGAAUUUUUUUAAAAAAAUAUUAUUUUAAAAACAAUAUUAAUUUAAUAUUUUUAUUUAAAAAUAUUAAAACAACAAUGAUUUUUAUUAACUUGGUCGAACCAGGCAAAACUGCCGAACCGAACUUGGCUGUGUCAUUACUUGUUUCUAGGCAUGACAAUAUGUUUUCUCUCCUCGGUGGGUUUGAUUGGGCUGCACUUAGGACUAAUUAUUCCAUUUUGUCUAUUUCUUUUCUCUUCCCUUCUUCUCUCCCGGGUAAUGCCUUCAGUAGGCUCAUUUAAGAUGAAAUUCGUAAUUGAAUUCAAGAGUUAAUGGAGAAUCAGGGACCAAAUUAAAAGAGAAGGGCUUGAUUGGGGUGAAAUUCAGGAUUGAAUUGAAGAGUUAGUAGAGAAUUUAGGACCAAAUUGAAAGAAAAUGAAAAACAAAUCUAGCGUGUGUACCACACGCACCAACAUUUGAGGAAGCAUGUCGCAUUGGAUAGGCACGUGCAGCUUCUUUCAAGCACCGAUGAAAGCACUUUUUGAUGUUGUUAGAAUUAUCUGAAAAAAGGUUUCCUUUAAAGGUGGUGUUGAAGACGAUGUACUAUUGGUGUGUCUUUCCAUUACCUAUUUAUUUUUCUUUUCUUUUCUUGCCUUGAUUUAUGUGCUUGAAUUCGAAAAGAAAUGUAUUUGUUUCCUUAAUUUUAAUUUAGGCCUUUUAUUUUCAAUGAUUUGUAAAAUAAAAAAUCCAAAUUAUUUUUCACAAAAUCAAGCGUAAAUUCAACAUCAAGAUGUUCUUCCAACAUUAUGAGACCCAUAAUAAGCUAAUUGAAUCAAACUGUAAAGUUAACAUUAUGAGCUAAGUUGUGGUUUUUUUUUUCUUUUGGUUUUUUAUCAUUUGAAUAUAUUUUUUAAUUUUAUUGGGUUUUUAUUAAAGUUUUUUUUUUAAUUUUUUUUUUCAAUUCUAUCCUUCAACAUUUAGUUGAUUUUUAAUUAGUUUUCAUUUUGUUUCAAUUUAUUUUCUAUAAAAUUAUCAUGGUCUCAAAUAAACAUCCCGACAUUAGAUUUGUGUCUAAGCAUUUAUUUUUAUUAUCAUAUAAUUAAGUAAAAAAAUAAAAAAAAAUAUUAAAUUCAGUGAAAUCCAUGACCCAUGUCGCAACUUUGUUGGGUAAAAUAUGAUCCAUGAGUCGAUCUAAUAUAUCAUUAUCUUGAUAUUUUUUUAAGAAAAAAAUAUUAUAUUGAAUUUUUUUUAAAGCUAAACUAUAUUUUUACUGAUUUAUCAUAUAUUUUUUUGGACUCGCCGAAUUGAAUGAAUCAUGUCAAAAUAAUUUCUAUACAAUUUAACUUAAAGCACGAGUUAGAUAAAAAAAUCAUCUCAAUACAUAUCAAUAUUAACAUGUUAGGUCGAGUCUAAUGAAAUUAUUAGAGAAUUUCCUAUAACUGGAAUAUUUUUAUCCAUUAAAAAAGUUUAGUCCAACGAUCCAGGGGGGCUAGUUUUCUAAGGGCAAGGAAAACAAUUGUUAACAAAGUUAAGGAAUUGAAAGAGUAUGGUUGUUUUUUUUUUUUAGGGGGGGGGGGGGGGGGUGAUGUCAAAUUGGAAGAGAUUGGGAUUAAAAAAAUAAUAAUGAAAAAAUGAACAUAAAAUAAAGAAUAAUUUCAAAUAUAAGGAUAGAUUGAGAGAAAUCAAAUAUGUUAAGACACAUUGAAAGGUUAACAUAAAAUAUAUAAAACAAUUGAGCUAAUUAUCCUGAAUGCAUUUGUUAUAAAGAUUAACAUAAACUAUAUAAACAAAACUAAAUAUUUGUUAAAGCUUGAUUUUACCUUGGUUUUUUUAUUUUAUUUUGUUGAAUAAAGUUUAUGGGUCUCAAAUCUCAAUUAGCUUUAGUUUAUCCUGAUUGGGUUAUCAUCAGAUUAUAUGUAAUUUAAAACUAUUAUGUUAAAGUGGGCUCCCAUAAAUAAAAAUGGCUCCACAGAACCCAUUCAUUAGGCUCAAACUGAAACCAACACGGGCUAACCUGGGUGCUUGAGUGUUGAAAGAUCUGCUGGUAAAUUGGACUUGAUCUAUGUAGUAAUACGAGGCCCAUGUUAUUUUAAUUGUUUCUCUCUUGCCUAAAAUCAUCUGCCUCACUCAGCAAAACUCAUGGAACGCACAAGACCUCUUUUAUCCUUUAAAAAAAGAAAACUUCACCCAUAUUCCAUGCAGAACAGACAUGCCCAGAAGUUCUAUUACAUCACCAUAUCAACAUCCAUUUUGGUGGCCAGAAACACAAAUGGAUCGUCCAUCACCCCCACCAAAAAAAUCAUCUACGUGUGAUUUUGAUAUUCACGAGACAAAUCUCUGCCACAAGCCUAGACCACGUGCCCUAGCUCAUGUUCUUAUAACCCAACAACGGACAGGAUCAAAAACAAGUUUAUCUUCUUAGAUCAUGCCAUAAAUUCUUUAUACAUUAGAGAAUUUAGAGCUGAAAAUUCUGUUGAUGUACACAAUAGUUUCUAUCAACUACGUAGUAUAAAAUAUGUGCAUGAAGUACAUAGAAUAAUAGUGUCUCAUACUUUGCAAACCUCUAUUUUUUAUAUGCAUGCAUGUGAACAGAUAAAAUUUAAAUGAUGCCUUAAGAAGAUGAAACGCAAGUACAAAAACCCACCAAUAUUCAAAGUUUGUUGGAGCUCUUGGCUGUCUCUCCAACAAGAAUUUAACAACAUAUGUAUAUCUACCAUAUACUUAAUCUUGACAUCAUAUAUUUUUACGAAGUCAACUUUGAGAUGUGUAAUAUGAACAUGGACAUAUAGAGCAAGCCAUGCACAAGCAAACCCUAGAUUCUUGACAAGUAAUUACUUCAACCAGUAUAUGUUAUGUAAGCAUAUCUAUUAAAAUUAUAAGCAAAGCAUUAUAAAAGAAACUAUGGUGAUGAACUGUUUCAGGAACUUUCCACGACAAGGUCAUAGAAUGAUAUCACCACCCACUUAAAUGGUAAAUGAACGAACGAUCACAAUAUAUAUAUAUAUAUAUAUAUCUUGCAAUCUUUCGAAAUUAAUUGAGUUAAUGUCAUGCAGACAGCAAACAGGGGGACAAGAGGCUAAAUAAGAAUUUUCUGUUAGGACUAAAUAAUUAAGAUCAUGGUUUGUAUAAUUAAUUUCUUUCAAUAUAUUGUAUUAGCUGCUAAGCACACAUGUAUAACAUUCCUAAUACGAUGUUAUCUCUACUAAUAAUCGCUAAUGACAUGGCUUGGGAACUCACUUGAUUUUACAUUUUCUUUUUAAUUGUAAGAUUCAUCAUGCUUUUAGACCUUGAAUAUAAAUAAUUGAAGAUUACUAUUUUCAACAUAAUUCUCCCUAAAUAUCCAUACUAAUUAAACUAAUUUGUUGCUAAUAAGUUGUAACUCAACUUGUAUAAUUAGUAGUCUUCCUGUUUUAAAAGGGUUUGAAUUCUAAUAUUAUGUUUAUAAUCUAAAAAUAAUAAUAAUAAAGUAAAGAACUAACUAAACUAACUUGUUCUUCAAGAUCAAAUGGAUUGAAGGCCUUUCCAAGGAGUAAAAAUACAAGGAAAGUGGGUAAAGGAAGCAAGGUUUCUGGGAACAAUAAUACUGACCUAGGGCAAACCAAAGCUAGAUGUAAUAUAAUAAUAUUUGACCAUUGCCUCUGAUUGUUAGCUAGAGGGUGGAUGAAAUUAACACCAGAUUUUCAAUGACUUUGAUGAAUUUGCUUCCAGAGAUAAAGCAACCAUGUAAUCUUUAGACUGCCUUGAGACAAUUGUCAAAGUGAGAGACCUACAGGCUCAUAGAGAAGAGAAGGUUGACUUUAUUGUGGGAGUUAGAAAGGAGACCUGUAACAUUAUGCUACGUGGCUGGAUUCUGGUGGCCAGAUUAGAUUGUUUCCCGCUUGGAGAAUUUUAGGCCUCUUAUUCAAACACACCUGUAAAGGACAGUGGUAAAGCAGGAAACAACAUGUUAAAAUAUUAUCUCGAGGAGAAGGAGCUCAUGAGGCUUUGAUAAAUUAGAAAGGUGGUAAUAUAUAUUCCUAUAUAUAUCUAUGUAAUAUAUUAUUAUUAAUGGUACGUGUUGAUGGAUGGCAGGGGCAUGGAAAAUUAGUAUUCAAUACAUAAAUAUAUAUUGUCAAAAACUUUUAUAUUUUAGCAAAAAAUUAUUUCAUUUGAAAAAACUUAGAUUAUUAAAUAUAAUUUAUAUUAUUAAAUGAAGAGUUAAAGUUCUAUAUUCGAUGGGUUUAUUUUUCUUUUGCCAAAAGAGGAUUGUGCUGAAAUGCUGAUAGCAGCUAACGUAGGAAGGCCUCUGUUAAUUAAUGGGCAAAUGAUUUUCAAAUAAUGAUAGAAACCAGCAAUGCAACAGUGGAAAGUUUUCUUCAAUCAUGUCUAUCUACUCUACCUUCCAACUAUUCUCACUUUGGACUUGUACAAAAAUAAAGUCAACCUCUUAGCACUAUUAUCAUUUUUCUCUAUGAUCCAAUUUCAAUUAAUUCACCUUUUUUCGUAGGCAUUCACACCAUCAACAAUUUGAUCUGUUCAUAGCUAAUUAAAGAGCCUGUUUUGGUAACAUAUAUAUCCUUCACGCUUUCAGAGCUUUUUUUUUUACACAAAAAAAUAGCAUAAAAUCCAAAAUUAACACAAAAUCCAAUGAAAUCAAUGAAAAAUAUCAAACUUGUUCAAACAACAUAUUCAAAAUCUAAUUUGAGGGUUUUUCUAGAGGAGGGAUGGUGUAUGCAUGGCAACCUCACUAUAGAAUUGGACCUAUCGCGGGGCGCGGGGCAUUGAGUGAUGGCAAAUCUGUCUCCUGAGAGGUGUGGAAAGGAAAAAGGAUUUUGGGAUAAUCAUGAAAUUAUAAUUAUUAGUUCAGGAGUCGCCACCUAGUAUUAUGAUUAGUAGGAAACCUAUAGUUUGUGAGAGUCUGAGUAAGGGACUAGUUGUGCAAGAAAAAAACACAUAACCCCUAGUGCAUCCUACCUAAGGUAAGUUGCAUUGUUAUUUGAUCGUUAUUCUAAGUCGCAAUUAUAUCCAUUGGUCUUAUUUAAGGUUUAAGGCGGAUCUCCUUUCGUAAGGAAGUCUCUACCUUAUCAAGCUAAAUUCUAACCGUUCUUAGGUCUAAAUUUUAGCAUCGUAUUUAUUUCUUUGUAUUUUUAAUACCUGAUGGUAUGCUUUACAGUGUAGUUUUACAGUACCAGACGACGCGUCAUCUGAUUUGUUAUUUUUUUACUUUUUGGGUAAAAAACAACAUUAUUUUGGUCAAAACGCACCGUUUUAUUUAAAUGAAAUAACAUCGUUUUGGCUUUUAAGGUUUUAAUGUAGGGAUUUGAACAAAGUUCAAUUUGAUCCUCUAGCUUUUAAUUUCUUUACAUUGCACCCCUAAUUGACCAUAAAUUUUUAAUUUUAUGCAAUUUUAUCCCUGCCGAACUUCAAUAUCAGCCUCGAAUUCUAGUACCUUUUUCAUCUUAAUCAUUGGUCUUGGAUUUAUACAGAUUAACCUUCAAUUCACAAUUAAACUUUUAAUUUUCUUUAAUUUCACCCUUGAUUUCAAUCAAUUAGGUCCUCGGAGUUCGAUGCCUUUUACAGAAAGGUCCUUGGUUGUGAUUUUCUUCAAUUUAACCCUAAACUUUUGAUUUUCUUCCAAUUUUACCAUUGAUUUGAAUCAAUUGACUUGGUAAAAAUGAAAUCCGGUCUCCUAAAAUUCCAAUCUUCUUAAUUAAACCUAAAUUGGGUUCCCAAACUUAAUUUUUCAUCAAUUAUGCCUAUAGUAAAAUUAAUUUCAAAAUACCAAUCUUUUUGCUAUUAUUAUUUUUUAUUUAAAAAGAAAAAUGGUAAAAUUUUGGGGAAUAACUCAAAAAUAGAUUAUGAUUGGACCCUUAGAAUCAUUUAAAAAACAAUGAGUCCAAUCUAACAGUCGAAUUGAAAGUUAUAGUUUUUUAAUGUCAAAUUAUUGGUAUGGUACAACUAAACCUCGUCUUUAGCUUAGCUCUGUCUAUGAAUGUGUUUAUUAAGCUAUUUAUAGCCUAUUUGUUUUUGUGUUUCAAAAGUGUUUUUGAAAAAAUAUAAUUUUUUUUUAAUUUUUUUCUUUACUUUAAAUUAAUAUUGUUUUUGUGUUUUCAAAUCAUUUUGAUGCGUUGAUGUUAAAAAUAAUUUUUUAAAAAUAUAUAAAAAAAAUUAUUUUGAUGAAUUUUCAAGUGAAAAACACUUUAAAAAACAACCAUAAUCACACUUUCAAACACCGAGUUACAUGAUUUGUUGAUGACAGAACCCGUUGAGGAUUUCUAUCUAACUAUUCAAUACCUUCAAUUUCUUUCUUCCCAUCUACCUCAAAAUCUCACUUUUAUCAUAAAUCGUCUUUAAAUAAGAACACAUUCAUGAGAAAAAUCCAUAAUUACUCUUCCACAAUGGAUCAUUUUUCACUUGUUGGGUUUUAAUCACCAUAUCCAUAAAGUAAUACAGUCUCUCUCCUUUAACUCGAAUGUUGCUUACGUUGUACAAUUUUUCUGCCAUGGCACGUGUCAUCGUGUAUAAUUACAAGAUUAUUGUAUACACAUUAUACACAUGUAUUAUUGUAUUAUUAACAUAGAGCAGAGAGAUACGUGGCCUGAGGCCGGUACCAAAUCUUUUUGACUUGAAAUCUCUCUCCCCUUCAUAGCUGUCCACUAUUUGUAUAUAUAUGAAGGGUCAUCUUCUCCUCAUCAGCCACAGCUACACUUUCUGUUUCAAGAGCCAGCCCCCUUUCUCUCCCUUUAACAACCCUGUCCCCUUCCUUAUAAUUAAGCCAUAAACACAAGUACUACGGCAAAGAAAAGGAACAUAGUAUCAGUAACAAUGGGAAGAGUACCUUGCUGUGACAAAAAUGGACUCAAGAAAGGUCCUUGGACCCCAGAAGAAGAUCACAAGCUCAUCAGUUUUAUUCAACUUCACGGACCUGGCAACUGGCGGUCCCUCCCCAAAAAUGCAGGUAUAUGUUAGAAAAUAUUUUGUUUUCUUGAAUCAAAGAAAAUAACUAUUUUCCAUCUUAAUAUGAUGAUGAUGAUGGAUUUUUUUUACUUAUAACAUAGCUAAUUUAAUUCACUUUUUACAGGGCUUCAAAGAUGUGGAAAGAGCUGUCGCCUUCGUUGGACAAAUUACCUGAGACCUGAUAUCAAGAGAGGAAGAUUUUCAUUUGAAGAAGAAGAGACUAUAAUUCAACUUCACAGUGUUUUGGGAAACAAGUAAUUUUAUGUACCUUUUAAUUAUUUUGAUUUUUCUUGGUUUUUUUUCUUUUUGAUAGCUUGUAGGAGUAGUGUACCUAUGAAUAAUAAUAUUGUUGUUGUCAAGAUAUUCAUAAUUUAAUUUGAAUAUUACGCUAACAACUCUUGUUUUUUUCAAUGUAAGGUGGUCAGCUAUAGCAGCUCGUUUGCCAGGAAGAACUGACAAUGAAAUCAAGAAUUACUGGAAUACUCAUAUAAGAAAAAGGUUGCUUAGAAAUGGAAUUGAUCCUGUGACUCAUGCCCCACGUCUUGAUCUUCUUGACCUAUCCUCCAUUAUAAGUUCAGCUUUGUGCAACCCAUCAACACUUCUCAAUCUGUCAACCUUGGUGGGCAACACUCAAGCCCUACUAAAUCCUAAUAUUUUAAGACUAGCCACCACUCUAUCAUCAUUGAAACAAGAAAAUUCGGACAUGUUUUUGCAGAAACUACAAGAAAACCAGCUUUUCAACCCACUGUUACAAAACCAAGAUGUCCCUUCAUUAUUUUCACAACCUAGGCAGUUUCAUAAUCUAGCUCAACAAGUUCCUGCUUGUACUACUGCUACUACAUCUACUGGCGGGUUUAUAGACCAAACAACACAAGUCAUGCAAGCAAAUGUAGAAGGGUUUUCGUCGAAUCCGACGAGCACUUUCAACUGCCAAAAUUCCCCAGAAAACUUCGUGCCUUCAAGUUUGAAUGAGAGUUUGGUUUCACUGCCAAACUUUUAUUGCAAUGGUACUACUACAGAUCCUACAGUUCCUGAACCUGGAGAGCACUCAGGAUUCCAAUCAGCAAACAAUGGAUAUCAGAACUUCAGCAUCGACUCAGUUAUAUCAACGCCUUUAAUGAGCCCGGAUCCAUUGAACUCAUCAUCAACUUAUCUCAACAGCAGCAGUACUGAGGAUGAGAGGGAGUGCUACAGCAGCUUGUUGAAGUUUGAAAUUCCUGAGAGUUUGAACAUUGAUGAUUUCCUGUAAAUAUAUAUUAUGGCCUAAAAUAUGAUAGAUAAUGUAAGGCUAGAGUGAGGUUUUUUGCUGUUUUUCAUCUUUGAUUUUUGUUUUGAAUUCUCAGUAUUUAUGUUCAUAUAUGCACAUAUAUGAAAUUUGUUAUAUUUUUUUUCUUUUAAUUUCUUGAGUCAUGUACAUGAAUUUCUCGUAAUCUAUAGAUUUGUUUUGCCUCACUAAAGAAAUAUAAACCAUCGUUCUUUAACCAGAAGAGCUCGUGAUAUUGGAGUGGUAGCUAGGCACUUGGAAAUAUUCCUUAAUUUGCAAGACAACUUGGAUUUAAGUCAACCCACUUAGCAGAUAAUUAAUCUAUAGACGAGGUACUAUAAGCAACCUAGGGCCGCCUCUAGUGACGUGACCAAGAUCUGAUCUCUUAUGUAAUGUUGAAAUCCGCUAAUAAUUUUUAUUAUGGAUCUCAUGAUAUUUAAGUGAGAAAUAGAGAAUACAAAGUCGGAUAUAUCUAUAUAUGAUAUAUUUAAAAAUAAAAAAAAUAUGAAAUUACGAUCAUGUUUGUUAUUUUUAUUUUUUUAAAAGAAAAACAUAGCAGAUAAUUUUAUUUUAUUUUUUUGUUUCAAUCAUUUUUAAAACAUAAAGUGAAAGAGAAUUGAAAAUGAUACCAAGCAAUCUUUUGAUCUAACCGGACCUGCAGUUUUCAGCAUUGUGUGUAAUUGAGUUACAUUCCUACCGAUGUAAUCCUGGCCACCGGCUUUUAAGUUACGUGGUGUAAUUUCUUUCUUUCAUUUUGUACUUUUUAUUCUUAUAUAUAUAUAUAUAUAUAUGGUCUAAUUUCUUGAUUUUUUUUUAUAUCUGAAUUAGAUUUGUAUAAUGUGCAUCUAAGUAUAAAUUAGUUGGGAAUGAAUUUUUUAAAAAAAUAUUUUUCUAACGAGAACAUGUAGUCUUCGAGCAACUAAAAUUACUUGAAAACUAAUUUAAAUAAUUCAAGUAAAAUUUUAAACGUGUUUUAAAAUAACUUUUUAAAUUAAUUAAGUUUACAAAAUUGAUUUCUAUUUAAUUUAUUUUAAAAUUCAGUUCUCUAACAUAGUAAAUUAUGUUAAAUAUGAAAAUCAGGUGGCUGUUUCAAUUAAUUUCCAAAAUGAAUUCGUCACUUGAUACGCAAUCAAGAUUUGAUCAAUUUCUUAAUGUGGUUGUUAUGAUAAGUAUAUCUACCAUCACCACUCAAGUGGAAAUUGAUGCUGAAAAUACCAAAUACAUGUAUGGAUUAAGAAGCAAGGAACUUUCCUUUGAAUUUCUUCUCUUUGGAUAUACAAUAUCAUACUCAUUUCCUUGUCAGUCCACUUCUUCUUUUUCUCCCUUGACCGCCCACGAAAAAAAUAGUUUCGUAAAGCACUCUCUCUUCCGACCAGAACUGGAUCAAAUUACGUGCUCCCAAAGAGUUAUUACAACCUCCAAAUUACAGCACAAAAAAGUGCAUUCUUUUCUUCCCAUGUAUAUAUUACUCUAAUUUUUAUUAAAACAUCAAAAUAAUUUGCUGAGAAACAAAAACAAAAACGCAGCAGGAUUGAGAAAAUUUGUGUAAAUUAAGGGAUUAGAAUUCUUGAUAGAGAUGCUAAUGUUUGUUUGUGUGUGUUUUAUAGCUUUCAAGGGAACGUUUUGAUAUCAGAAUCUACAGAAGAGUUUUCAAUGCUGAUGAAUUAGUGUCAUAAUAUUGAAUCAAUUUUUCUUCUUUUGCAAGGAGAAAAAGAAGAUUAGGAGUUCUGCUAAACAUAGGAGUUUGUGAUUAUGUGAUCUUCAGCAAUGCUUUUUUUUUCCUGCAAUCUUCAAGCUUCAUUGACAUGGAGGAAGCUUCAAAUAAAAUCUGUCUUCUUUUUUCCUCGAUUCUUUGUGGCGGCCAUAGGAGAUAAGGGCAUGAGUAAUCAUUGCUUCAACAAUAUUGUGAACAGUUCAGCUAUAUUUAUUGCUGCAAUAAUUUCAAACACAACGUUGGUCUUCCACUAAAAGUCUAAAAGGGGGGUAGCAGGAACCAGCAAGCCACCUGGUUCUUCCAUCAUGUGCUUUGAGUAAGAAGCCUUCAAGAAUCACACAAAGCAUGACAUAAUUAUUGUCCUAAAAUUAAAAAAAAAAUUAUCAUUUUUAGCAAUUUAUACAAGCUAUUUAUAUAGUGAUUUGCUGCUUCUUUUUUCCUCCACUGUCGAAGUAUACCUUCAAUUAUUUGAUAGUACGCCUACAUUUUCAUAGCUCAGCCCGUUAAUUAUACAAAAAAUGGUAAUGAUUACUAAGUCAAUUAUUUUUAUUAAAGUGAUAACAUUUUAUUUAUUUAUUUAUUUUAUUAGUAUUAACCCGAUCUAGUUUGCACAUGCUUAGUAUAAAUUAUAGUUGUAAUUACUUUGUGAAGGUUUACCGUAAAUUAUAGUUAUAAUUAUUUUAAUAAUUCCCCAUAAUUAUAAAUUUAGCAGUAUAGCAGAGUCCAAUAUAGAUGGGCCUUGGUCCAUCCCAGUAAAUUUACUAAUAGAAAGUUAGCCCAAACUUUAAUACAACCUCCCCCAAAAUCUAAAGCCCCAACUCAGUUUGGGCUAUUCUAUACGCUUACACUAUAAAACUAAGUGUUUCGGCGACGGUUUGAUUUCGUCUCCAUAGCACAGAUUUUUUAUGCCGCCGAAAGCUUUGGCGACGGAGAAACCAAUCUAGUCGCCAAUGUUUCUGUUGGUCCUCUUCUGCUUCUCUCUCCCCAGCUUGGUGUAUUUAAAAAUGUAGUAAUAAUUGUUUUUUAAAGUAUUUUUUAUUUAGAAAUAUAUUAAAAUAAUAUAUUUUAUUUUUUGAAAAUUAUUUUUAACACCAACACAUCUAAACGAUCUAAAAAUACUAAAAAAAUUAAUUUAAAGUAAAGAAAAAAAUAAAAAAAUUAAUUUAUUUCAAAAAUAUUUUUGAAAUACAAAAACAAAUAGUAACGCUCUUUCAAUUUUUAGCUAAGAUUGUUAGCAAUGGAUACGAUAUGAGGCAAUGGAUAUUGGAUACGAUUUGAGGGAGAGUUGAUUUUGUUUUUUAUUUUGACUGAUUUAUUUUAAUGAAUAGCAGAAUAUUUUACCAAAUUGGUAACGAUAAACAUGGAUUGGAAUUCAAAGAAAUAUGUUAAUUUCAAGGUUGAGUGGAAAUGGAAUUCUCACUAAACUGGUUAUUAAAAACAAAGUUGUAACUAUAUAUCUUUAGAUUGUUUUAUGGUGACUGGAUUAAUAUCUUAAAAUGCAUCCUACGUUGAUCAAAUUUGUAGUAAAACUUCAUGUUAGUUUAGCUAUAUAUAUGAAUUUUAAGCUAUACAAAUAUUUAACUAUUGUUCAUCGAAGUUGAUGAUGUAGUCGGAUUAGAAGAGUAUGAAAGCUCUAAACAGUUAGAUGGAGAUCUAUAACCAAUGAAUCAUACAGAAAACCUAAUAAAUUUAUUUAUAGGCUAAUAAGACAGAUUAGCUAAUAAAAAAAAAAGGGCAUGUUCGUGCUAAACCAAUAGUUAAUUUGCUUUGUUAGCACUUGUUUCUUUCUUGUUCAGCUAAUUAUGCCGUCAUAAAGCAGCCAGAGUUUAGAACGAAACUCAUAUUUGAAUUAUUAAGUGAUUGUGAUUUGCCAACUGCUAAAGCAAACACCAUCAUCAUGCAUAAUCUAAUGUUAUGUUGAUAGUGCUGCUCCCAUAUACGAUGAUCUUUCAUUCUUGAUUAUUUUAGUGAAUAAACAAUACACUAUAAUGCUACUUAAGGGGGCAAGUAAUCCUCAGAUUGAUAAGCCACUUGAGAUCAAUUAAAAAUAUUGAAUUAACCUAAAAGGUGCCAUUGUCAACAACCUUUUCGUUCACCUUCUGGUGUGAUUUUCAAGGCGCCAUAGUUUUUUAUACUUUCUUUCUGUCGAAAAUGGGGGUGGUUGAUGUUUGUGCCUCGGCAGCUGCUUUUGUGUGUGGAGAGUUGAGAGAAAUGGCGAAGUCUAUAUUGCAAUCUUUCUCACCUACCACUUUCUUUUGUAUGGAACUUGAAAUUCUAAUUUUGCUUUUUGGAUUAUUGAAUUAGAAACUGUGGAAGAUAUACAAGCAUAGAACUUUAAUCCUGACAGUGCUGCAGAAAAACUUGGAUUCCAAAACGAGCUCAAGGAGAAAAUGUUGGUCUCAAAACCGAGUCCAUCAACAGGGGGGCGGAGGAGGAGGAGAAAUAAAAUUGAGAAGAAAACGAAGCAAGGCCAAGUAGGAGAAGGGAAAAACCUUGGGCUCAGAAUCGAGCACAAGAAAGACAAGUUGAGCUCUAAAUUGAUCAUCUCAUGUUCUGAACAUUUCUUCAUGGCACACCAAAUGAUUUUAGGCAUGUUUGCUCUGCCGCAACCAUCUACAUGAAUUUCCCAUUUUAUAAGUAAUUUAAUUACUUGUUUCACAAGUUAACAGCGGGAAAGAAUUGUUUUACAGGAGUAGGAGUACGAGAACCAUUGAUCUAGCUCAAUUUUAAAAAAUUCCUCAAAGACCAUUAUACAAUCAUGAAAAUGCCCAAAAUUAUUUGAAGUUUUUCCACUGUGACUAGGUAAUCACAUGGUGUCGUUGUGGUAAGAUCCAAAGUGCCAGCCGAUGCCUGAUAACCCAACAGGCAGAAAAAUGUCUGCAGAAGCAUGGUUCUAACUUUUCCCUGGCCUCUUUUCAAGCUCAAUUACCGAAGCUCUUUUUACACGACAGGGCCAUCUCUCACUUUUGAAUCUCUCGACAAAGGCUAAAACAAAAGGUGAGUCCUUCCUUUUCCCUGUCACAAAUACUGAAACUAAGGGGCCCAGACCCCGAAGAAGGAAAUAAAAUUAAAGAGAAAAACAAGCAGAGGGAAAAAAAAUCAUAGGGAGUAGAGAUUGGAAGCUUUUCGUAAAGGAACUUUAUGGUGGAAUAAUUCUUGCUUGAUUGGCGCUUUACAUUUUGUCUUUUGAUUACUAGAUAAUCUUCUCCUUGUGUCCAUUGGUAACUUUUUUUUUUUUAUUAUAUAGUUUUCAAUUAUAUUGAAAGUUUUGUCCUGAUAAAAAAAAGAAUCUUUUUAUGGGGGGGAUUUUGUCCUUUGUAGAGAUGGAAUAUGAAAGGAAUAUAGAAAUAUUAGUUUGAAAAUGGGGAAUGUUGGCUGGUUGUCAAGCUCAUAUUUUGAAUAGUGGUGGCUUGUAAUGAUUUUCUCAAAACAAUUGUUAUAAAUAUGAAGACAUUUCUUUCGUUUUAUUAGAUAAGUUUCAAAAUAUAAUAUAUGUUAUUCUCUAAUAUAUUUUUUUAAAUAAAAGCUCUUUGAGCUUAAAACUUAAACAUUCAUUCUAUCUUAUGUUUAAUUUUUAUCAAAUAAAAUAAAGAUAGUGAGACUUGAACUCGUAACAACUUAGUUAACUAGAAUAUAAUAUCGUGUCAAAAAAUCAUCACAACUUAAAAAAUUACGUUUUAAAAUAAAAUUUUAAAAUAUAAUUUAUAUUAGUCACUGAAAUUUAGAGCCAUUUUCACCACUAAAUAAACAAAACUUUCAGCAAUUUCAAUAUUUGGGUAAUAGUGUUUACGAUUGUGAUAAUAGUUGUUUUUUAAUAAUUUUUUAAUUGAAAAUAUAUCAAAAUAAUAUAUUAUUAUUAUUAUUAUUUAAAAUUUAUUUUUUACAUCAACACAUUUAAACAAUUCAAAAUCAUAAAAAAAUUAAAAAAAAUCAAAAGCAAAAACAAAUAAAAUCUCUCUCUCUCUCAUCCUUAAAGCAAUUUUUUGUUAAAGAAAAGUUUGAUUUUUCUGUCCUGGGCUGUCAGGCAUGGCUCCUGUCCUAGAGAGGCAGCUAAUCAAGUCAAGCUGAAAUUGCUCCUCAGAAGAGUUCAAUAGAUAAAUGUCAAAUGCCUAGGAUCCCCUCUUCUUUCUAUACAAUAACCUUUCUUUUUCUACGUCCACCUCCUUGAAAAGCAAAAUUGCAAGUCUCUUUUUCACUAGUUUUUUCCCCUUCACUUAGUGUUUUCGACACUAUUUUUGUAGUAUUUCAUCGAGCUAUGUUAAAGUCAAGGCAACAUUAUUUGAGCAAUUGAUAACACAAAACAAAAGUAAUUAGUGUGAUUUUAGAUAUAAAAUGAUAAUCUAUAUAGUUACCAAAUCUUAAUGAUAGUAAUUUUGUAUGAGCAUUUCAUGUUUAAUGAAUCAAUCAAUCCGUAAAAGAAUUCAAAACUUAUUAUUUAUCACUUGUUACACUUGUUGGUGUGGAGUUUAUGUAAUAUAUAUAUGUUAAUUAAUGAUGUUGGUUCAAGGUAUUUAAUUGUUAAGUGAUAUUAGAUAUUUAUUUAAUUUUAUGACUCCUUAAUUAAUAAAAAAAAUUAGACUUCUUGCAACUUAAUUAUAUGAUUUAUCCAUCAAAUGUAAGAACUCUUUUGACUUAUAAAAUUAUAGAAAAAACAAAUAAAUUCAAGAAAUUCUCUUAAAACCAUUAUUUUCCUGUGGGCAAACUUGGUAAUUGAAAAGGGAUCCCAAGCAGUGUGAUUGGAUUGAAAAAUAAUGAACAAUUAUUACUUUAUUUCCAGUCUUGUUCUGUUUUCUUGUGACCUAUCAGUGAGACAAACACAUGUACACAUGCAUGCAAGAAAUGACAAGGCCCUCCACAUGAUUUGACUUCCACACCAUGUUAUGUACAUAUGAUACAAAAAAUAAUGGUCCCUAGUGUUUCUGUUUUCAUGGAAUCAUCCAAAAGAUUUGUUAAUUUUUAUCCCUGCCAAAGCAAACCGUCCCAUUUUGUGCUGAUUUUGAUGAUCAGUUCUCAAAGGUCAGGUCUUUUCUUUUUCCCGGUCUAAAUUUGGCGGUUUAUGGGCAUCAUUUGCUUUGUACUAUUGUUCUUUUUGUCGAAAAAAAAUGUGAGGGUAAAAUUAAGUGCAAUUUUGUUGGUAGAAGUUGAAUUGUUGUUAGUUUUUUAAUUGUUUUGAUACAUGGAUAUAAAAAAUUAUAUUUUAAAAAAUAAAAAAUAUAUAUUAUUUUAAUAUAUUUUUAAAUAAAAAUAUUUUGAAACAAAAUUUCUACAACACUCUCGAACAUAAACUAAAUCUUAUAGUAUUAUUAUAAAACUCCUAACUUACAAGCAGGUUAAUUUGGGGCCUAGUCUUAUAUUAAGAUUUAUAAAAAGAGGAAUAGGUAAUUUAGAAUUAAGUGUGUUUGUUUUCACUUUAUUUUAAAUUUUUUUUUUGUAUUUUUAUAUUGUUUUAAUGUGUUAAUAUAAAAAGUAUUGUAUUGAAUAACCAUAAAGCUCUAGUACGGUUUGAAAGUCUAGUUCAAUUUCAACUAAAAAUGGAUUAUUCUUUUUUUUUUAAAAUAGAUUUAGAGUAGUUAAAAUUGGUAUAUCGCUCAUCAAAUUAUAUACUAAUUUUAAAACCGUUUUUCAUAUCAAUUGAUCUUCUGUGUAUUUGGUUUUUAUGUUCUUGAGUUUUUCUUAAAAAGACCUUUCUUGUUUUUUUUUUUUGUAUUUUAAUUUAAUUGGUCUUUUUAUUGAAGAAAGUUUUUAAUUUGGUAUACUAAUUCAAUUUAAGAUGUGAUGUAGUUAUUAUUUUAAGACCCGAUCUAAUCUAAUAAAUUUAUUUAAAAAUUUGUUAAUUUGAGCACUAAACUAAGUUGGGUUUUGAUUUGGAUUAGACAUUCAAUUGACUCGAGAAAACUUGAUUGAUCAAAUGAGUUAACUCGGUUAAAUGUUUUUUCAAAACCUACAAUGAUUUUUUUAAUAAUAAUACAAAACAACGCCGUGUUGGAUUCAAAUUAACAGAAAAACUAAUUGGUUUAGUCAAUUUGUGAUGCGAGCCGUGAGCAAGGCCAUGUGCCGGGCCACGUCUUGUGAAAUAAAAAAGAAUGAAGUGGCCAUAUUAAAAAAAGUGAAGAAUAUAAGGACAAAAUGUACCAUAUCCUUUCAUUCAUAGCCAGCGGAAGUUAGGGAAUGAAAAAGAAAAGGACAUCACUAGUUGCCAAGGUCCUCUGCCACCAUUUCUCCCCUCCUUCUCUCAUAAACAGAUGAAUCUCUUCUGUUUUCCAUCGGACCCUUCAAGUUCCCCUCCUCUAUAAACAAAAGAAAAGGACUUAAAAGCUUAUCUAUACAAAAUUGCUAUACAAUAAUGGAUGAUUGCUGUGAACUUGAAGCCUCUUUCAGCACUACCAAGAAAAGAUCUUUGCCCUUUUUCAUGUGGAUGAUGAUGAAUCCAUAAUGUGUCAUCUCUUUGCAUAAAUAUAAAGUGUAAAGAGAGAAACAAGAGAGAGACUACUUCUUCUUCAUCUUCCACAAAUUUCUCACUUUUUUCCCCUUGUUUUUUUCCUGCUAGAUUUCAAGAUUUGCAUCUUCUCAGCCCUUGUAAACCAGACAAGAAGAUCACCAAAAUCCACCAAAACCACUGAUUCUUUGAACAUCUCUUGAAUCUAUAGCAUAUGCACUUUCCUCUUUUGUUCAAUAAUUUUCAAGAGAUAUAAAGGAGCGCUCUCUUUUUGUAGUCUUUGAUAAAGCUUCUAAAAAGCUAAAGAUUCAAAGCCCCAUCAUUUCUUUAACCCGUCUCCUUUUCCCAAUCAAAAUCUCUCAACUUUCUUUCACACACAAAUCUUUCCACACUCAUUACCUGCUUAACACCAUCAUUAACAACUAGAGCCAAGAAAAAAGUUAAGCCCACUUCUUGAUUUCACUAAAGAUGCAAACUUUACUCACAAUAUUCCUCUUUACUUCUUUAUUCACUCACUCUCUUUCAAGCUUCCUAUCUGAGCCAGUCUCUGGCCAAAACCAGCCUCUAAAACCAGGAGACUAUUCAAACCCCAACACAGUCCCCGCGUUUCCAGUCCAAACUGAGUCUCAAAUUUGCCACUUGGACCUUUCAGCUGAGCUUUUUGGUGGUGUAAAUGAUGCAUGUGGUAGAGACCUUGACCGUAGCCGGUGCUGUCCAGUUCUUGCAGCUUGGCUCUUUGCAGCUCAUGCAAGGUCAGCCCUCCAAGUCCAAGCUCCAGCCCCAACAUCAGCACCUGAUUUGCCAAUGAUGCCUGAUGAUUCACAAAAAUGUGUGAAUUCAUUACAAAGUGCACUUUUGAGUAAAAAUGUGAAGUUGGCACAACCUAAUGCUAGCUGUGAUGCUAUAUUGUGUUUUUGUGGGAUUAGGCUUCAUCAGAUUAGUUCACUUAGUUGUCCUGCUGCUUUUAAUGUGAGUUCUGCGUUUCAUAAUGCAACUCCUACUGCUGCUGUAAAGAAUUUGGAGAAGAAUUGUAAGAAUUCCACUUAUUCAGGGUGUACAAAGUGCCUUGGUGCUCUCCAAAAGGUCAGUUUUUUAAGGAAUUUUGCAUUUAUUGCUCCUUGUGAUUGUUUCUUCAUUGAAGAGAGGGAUUUCUUCAUUGAUUAAGGACUCAUUUUUUACAUUACUUCAUUUAUCAAUGCUGUGCUUUUGUGGGUUUUUUUUAAUUAAUUCUCUCUCUCUUUUUUUUGGGUUUCUUGUUGAUUGUUAAUUCAUCCAACAAUUUAGGAUUUUUUUUUUAUUUUUUUUGCCUGGAUUUGUUUGACUUUGCAAAUGAGGGGUGUAUCUAAAACAAUUUGAAGGGCUGAUACAACUAAUUUGUUGUAGAUACACCACUCGUUUCUUUAUUCUGUGUUAAAUUUUUUGUAGAUACCUAUUUAAUGCAAGAAUUUUUGUGGGAAACUGUUGAUGUUGUAUGAGUAACAAUUUAUUUUGUUCAUGUGCAAAUAAGUGGCAAAAGGACUAAUAAGACUUUGAGGGAAUUUCAAUGGGCUAGUUUUCUAUUUCUUUUGAUGGUUCAAUGAACUUUAUACUCUAAGCAAAACAGGAGUUCAAGCUGCUCGCAAUAAUUAGGCUUUUAGGUAAGUAUUGACUAAUGCACAUUGCCUGGUAAAAAUAGCAUCCAAAAAAAGCAGAAAUAGAAGCAUGAAAGUGAAGUGGGGCAGUGUAGGUUUUUUCCAGGGUCUUCCUUUUGAUGUUUUGUGAAACUCACAAUAGCUUUAUAUGCUAGAUAGAACCUUUGAUUUUCAAAUUACUUUUUAAAUUGUUUUUUUUAUAAAAAAAAAUAUUUUUUAUUUUUUCAAAACUCGAAAUCAAACAUGCUCAUAUCCUACCGAAUUCCAUGUGCUCUCUUUACGUAACCAUUUUACAUUGCAAACAAUUGGGUUCUUCACUGGGAUUCCUUUGCACAUCCAUCACCUUUCCUCCUUGGUAUUCCACCUUGAACACUGUUUUCUUAUGACUAAAACAACCUUGAAUGUGAUUGUUAUUACAGUUGAAGGCCAAGAAUGAAACACAAGACAAGAGCACAAGGGAUGAGAGGGCAAGCAAAAUGUUCGAAAGGGAUUGCCAACUAAUGGGUCUAACAUGGCUACUUGCAAGAAACAAAACUCAGUACAUCCCCACAGUUUCUGCUGUUUUAAGAGCCAUAAUGUAUAGCACACACCCACCAGUCCAUGAAUCCAAGUGUAGCCCUGAUCAAGAAAACAUGCCAUUGGCUGUUGAUUCGCUACAGUUCGGGAAGGCCCAGUCAUCAUCUUCUUCAAGACUAACAUCAUCGUCAUCAUUAUGGUCUGGUCUUCGUUUCCAUGUUUUGCCCCUCAUGAUUUUAGUUUCUUUGUUUGGAUAAUGGCUGGUUGGAUGCUAGUGUACCUUUUGCCUUGCCCCUGUAAUUUUUUUCAUGGUACAUUUUGUUUUAGGGCGAUCACGUGAAGCUAGUAGUCAAACUAGGAGGCCAACUAGGGUUUAUUUAUUUUUGUCUUAUUUUUUAUCUUAUUUCACUCUGUAAAUUUCAGCUCUUGCCCGAGGAGGAAACUAUUCAGAGAUUGCUGUCACUUUGGUAGAAAAACAAUAUAAGAAAAAUUAGAUAUGGUUGGUGGAAGUAAAUCCAUAGCAAGUUAAAAGAUAGACAAACGGAUUGGAUUCCAAAAAUUUAAUCUUGUUUAGCACAAGACAAAAGGUAUAUCUAGGGGCUAUUAACAAGAAAAAUGAAAUAUUCAAGUUUGAUUAAUUAAAUCCUAAUCAAACGAAUCGGCUUCGAUGACAGCAAUUAACAACAAUGUGAUCGAGGAACCAGUUCCCUAGAACUGAGUAUGUUGGUCGUAUAUUAAUGUCAAUAACAAGCAAGAGUAGGAGAUUGUUUUGAAUAGAAAGUUUGAUAACUUUAUGUUUUUUUGAUGGAUUCGAGACAUGGAUUCACAUGUUUUAGUGUGGUUGAGUGCCUGUCCUUUUGUGCUAGUCUUUCUAUCAAUGGAAGGUGCUUUCAUAGUAUCAACAAUAUUUUUUUUAGCCUGGGAUUUUGUGAGUAUUGCAUGAAGAGAAAAUUGUUGGGAAUUUGUUGGCAGAAAGGAAAAGGAGAAGUUGAAAAUUGGACAAUCUUUUCUCACUUGUUUGAUGGGAGAGCUUGAGCUCUUUCUAUUUGUUGGGUCACCAUUGCUAAAAGCUUCAAACUCAACCCAAGGAUUAAGCUGCCACAGAUGCUUAGUGGAUUACUAAUAUUUGAUUUUUCCAUUACAUCAUGAAUCUCCUUCACAUAAAUUCGUAGUCUUUUCCUCCUAAUUAUAGACAAUAAGCGACAAUUAACCCCGGCAAAAAUACAAGCUAGAGGAAACAAUACAAGCCAAUUUCUCAAUGCAUUUUGCUCUGGUCCCUGUGAAUGAACAAAAUGAGAUUUAUUUAAAUAAAUUUUUAGAGGGAUACUAAAAUUUUCAAUGUUAUUAAACCUGACCUGAACUAAGGAGUUAACUUAAUAAUGAUUUAGACAAAACCUUCAAAGUUUCAUGUCAAACCAUGUGGGAGUUGAUAAAGUCAAACUCAAUCAACCCUACUAAUUAAUCACUGUUCUAAUCAACCUUGUUAAAAUUCAUUUAAUAUUCGGUUUGAAUUUUUUAUCAAAACAAUAUCUUUCCAAAUUUUUUUUUAAUAUUUUUAAAAUAACUUUGUUUUAGAUUAAUUCUCCUAACCUAUAAUUUUUGUCCAAUUUUAGCCUUGUAAAUGUCAUGGCCCGUAUAACUCUGGAAAUUAUUGUAAAGAAACUGAUAGUUCAAUCAUGAAGUGAACAAACCUUGUAACCUUUUGGUGCAGGACACAAAUACUGAGAUAACCAUUGGUUAACUCAGGAAAGAUGCUAUCAUUAUCAUCCAGCCCUGUCUCCAUACCUGGCUGUGAAAUAGAAUGCCGGGACGAAUAAGAAGCUAGAGAGAAUGAAAACGGUAAAGAAGCAAAAAUAUCCGCCUUCAUUAGCCAAAAUGGAACAUUGAAAACCGCAGCAUAUGGAAAUAUUGCAGCGCUAACUGUACACAUACUGAUCUGGAUAAAUUCAGGUUCCAUGAAGGAGAGGUCACCGGUCAUUCCACCCUGCACAUCAGCGUCUGCAACUCCAAAUGCACCAGUAAUAGCACAAAUACCGAUGAAAGUUCCAAGGCCUCUGAUGUAGCUAAAUCCAACUCUGGCAGCAGCAGCAACAAAAAAAAGGACCAAAAACAAUUAUUUGUGGACAUAGAAUUGAAGAAAUAUGUCAAUGAGUUGCAAGGGAAAUUCAACACCAGAAGACUCACAAGUCACAACUAAAAGUUAAAGAGUGCUAAUGAAGAAAAGGAUAUAUCAAAACACGUUCCGCAUUCGAGUUUUGAUCUUUGAUUCAAUGUGUGCAAGUACUGCAGGAGUUCCCCGUGCAAAUGACUAAUAUACAAGAGUAAGGACCCUUGUGGUGUGGUAUCGCUGCGUAAGGAAACAAAAAUACUGUCAAGUAGCAGCAGCAGUGGCAGCAGCAACUAGAAGAUGGAUAGAGUAAUUAAGAUUCUCGUAGAUUUGUAGGGGGAAAAAUUACAUCCAUGGAGUAAUUGCAGAUUAUUGAGCACAACCUAGGUUCAUAGAUCAGAUUUUUCCUUAUUAAUGGAGAAAUGACGUGCAUUUUGCGUGCCUUCCAUCAACUCUUUAAUUUACAAAUAUAUUAAAAUAAUAUUGUUUUGCAAAAAUCUCUUUGAUUAUUUUUAAAAAUAUUUUUUAAUUUACAAAUAUAUUAAAAUAAUAUUGUUUUGCAAAAAUCUCUUCCAAAGCUUCCUAUUUAACUCAAUCAAAGGAUAGAAAUUACAAACCUCUAGCUUCGCUGUAACUACACUGUCAUCAAAGUUGCAUUUCGUUAAAAUCCUAAGACAAAAGGAUAUAUACAUAAAGAACAAAAACAUGUUUAGUUACAUAGAUGGAAAAUGAGACAUAAAAGUAAAAGCAUGUCCUCUCUGUUAAAACCGUCAUUGUCUCUUUUAUUUCAAGACAGUAACUAAACGAUAUCCAAGUGCUGUAACAUUUGCUUUCAAGUAGCUCCUGCAAGUAUAUACAGCUGCAACUGAUGCAGAUUGAAUUUUAUCCAUCAUUAUCAAGUAUAUGACCCUUAUCAUUAAAACAAAAGCAAGAAACCACCAAAUAGGUCAAUUUCCAUUGUCGGAGUGUAAAGAUCCUCAUAGAAUAGCUAAAGUCAAAUACCACAUCAAUUAUAAUGAUGAUCACAAUAAAACUCCGACAAGAUAUCUGAAUUGAAUCUUCAAAUUUAUUAUACAAACAAAAUUGGAGGUUUAUCAUCCAAGGGAAUCCAAAUCCUAGAGGGAGUCACGAGAAAGAAGUUUCUUAUGAACACGCCAAUCCGGAUAUGAAUAACCUUCUCAAUAUAUGACAGAGUGGGACUCGGUCUCAAUGUGUGAAAAUUCUCGUGGAAACCUGACUAUUGAGACCAAAAGAUUGUAUACAAAUUGGAGCAAUCAAACACUCUCUACCUUCUUAUGAAUAUAUUAUACAGCAAAACAAGCGACUUCGUACAAACUUCAAUCAUCAUUUAUCUCUACUUGCAAGAAAAGGCAAACAGAAGCUUCCAAGAGCAGGAAUAAUAGCAGGAAAUAUUGUUCAAAAGAAGCAUCAAUCCUCAUCCUUUUGAGGGACACAGAGAAUUAAAAAAAGAACAAAAUAAAAGACUAAUUUGUAUUUGAUUAGCACUGAUCAUCAGCUAGUUUCCGGGGCAUAAAUGUUAUAAGAGAAACAAUCGAUUCUUCUAUUUGUCUAGGAGAACUGUACAAAAGAGAGUUGGAACUGUAAUAAAGAUUGGUUCAGUACAUCCACCAAAUUCAAACGGAUGACUAACAUUACACUUUGCAAUCUCGUCAUAAAUCACCAUGCCGUAAAUCUGAAACUGGCUUAGUAUAAAAAGACACUCCCUACUUCAACAUCUAAGUUCCAUGUUCACCAUCCCUUGCCUAUAAGCCACAACCAGUCAAGAGUAACCCCAGCAAAGAUUCCACCAAGAAGAAACAAUACAAGCAGAUUUCCCAACGCAUUUUGCUCCGGUCCCUAAGAAUGAAAAAAUGAUAUUUAUUUUAGUAAUUUUAUUCAGCACUACACAAAAUCAUUACAGGAAACAGAUGCUCAUGAGAAUCAUGUUGCGAACAAACCUUGUAACCUUUCGGUGCAGAAGUAAGGACACACACAGUGAGGUAACCAUUAGUCAACCCCAAGAAAGAUGUUAGCAUUAUCAUCCAGCCCUGGUCUCCAUACUUCGCAGUGAAAUAGAAAGCCGGGACGAGCAAGAAGCGAGAGAGAAUGGCUAUCAUUAGACUUUUCCGGGACUCCAACUUCAAGAAUUUCAGGAGUGGAAUAUAUCUCCCAAUUAAAUCACACACAUUAUACAUUGCUAUCAAUACAAGCGCAUACCUGACAUAGCACAAGAUUCAGAGAUUCUGAACAUAUAGAACACACUCAUUUGGAAGAAUGUUUGCUAUUGAAAUUACCUCCAAGAUACCAAAUUAAACUGAGACUUACCAUCCGCCCAAACUGUGUGUUCCAGUGUCUUCAGAUAAGAAUCCAGGGAAAAUAGACAGUGUCAGGACAUAUAUCAGAAACAUAUCAAUUGCAUAAUCAAUAUUCUGCAAUAGCAACUCCUUGUUGCUCAGCCGCUCCAGUUGUUUUGGAUCUUCUUGGGCCUGUUAUAAUUACAAGGUCUUCAGGAUAAAGGAAAUACCAUAAACAUAUUGUUUCAUAUAUACACCAAGGGAAGGAGGUAUACUUCCGGUUUGAGCAAUGUUUGGAUGCCACCAGCAGCAAGAUCAGCUGAAACAGUUUUUGAUCCUUCUGAGGCUGCCUUGGAGCGGUAGUGCUUCACUAUGUCCAGUUUGGGGAAAAUGUAAGCAUAGAGAAGAACACAGAGAAGCUCAAAAAAGGUACAGAUGGCAAAAAAUAGAACUGCAAUAAAUAGUGGAAAACUGUUAGCCAUAGAAACGGAAUCGGCAGAAAUUGAAGAGUAUAAUAUUUCUUAAAAUCACGAUUUGUCAAGAAUUAUUUUCCGUAAGUAUACAUAUAUGGCAGUACAAUAGUUACUUGCUAGCACUAUUUAAGAAAGUUCAAGAGAAUGAAUUUGUGUUCAACCCCAACCAAUAAUUUACAAAGGGCAUAGAUAAUAUACUAUUCAUGUCAUCGAAUCAAAUUCUAAAAGCUGCUGCUCCAUCUACUAAGCAAGAGAAUUAAUGUCAUUGUCUCUCCAUGUAUAUAUGGUAACAUGCCCCUGAAUUCCAAAAGAACUGAAAAUGGAAAUUUGAGUGAAAUGAGAUGAAACUAUAUAGUCAUAAAUCACCCAGAUUGUAUCAGUGAGCAUGCUUAAACAUUUCCAUGGUAACUUGGAUCAGCCAGCAGUGACUUGAAAUGAAUUGGAGAACUCUCAAAUACAACACAAGUACGAAACUCAAUUGAGAUAGAAACUUAAGCGCGAGAGAGGAGCAUAUACUUUUUUAGCCCACAUGAAGGACAGACAUAUCAAACAAAAGACAGAGCAUUAAUACUGGUUUUUGGGGGUACAACUAUUGAAAUGUCAUUAGAAAACAGUUUUCCAAGAAAAAAAUGCAGUUUCAUUUUUCAUUACUACUUUUUGAAAUGAAAAUUACAUGAAGCAAAAUCAAAAGGGGAUUGAACAUACUGGCUCCCUUGCGAAAACCAUCCUGAGAAUUGUCAAAUGCUGCUUUUGUAAUUAGCCUCAAUGCAGAGGUUAGAGCCCCGGAUGCUGCUAAACCAGCAAGGAAAGACUGCAAAAAUUUAAACAAGAAAAAAGAUUAACUCAAUCAAAUCAGAAUCAAACAUUUGUGGAACCAUCGAUGCCCAUGAAACAUUUCACAAGGCUGACAGUACAAACUGACCUGAAUAAAUUCAGGCUGCAUGAAAGACAGGUCGCCAACCAUCCCACCCUGCACAUGCGCAUCUGCGACUCCAAAAGCACCACUAAUUGCACAAACUCCAAUGAAAGUUCCAAUACCUCCUUUUCCCGAUGUAGCUAAAUCCAACUAUGGCAGCAAAACAAAGAAAAAAAGGAUUGAAACAUAGUUUACGUGCAUAUAAUUAAUGAAGUAGACAAUGAGAUAUGUGGAAAUCUAAAGAUGAAAGAAUACUCACUACUAAAACCAAAAGAGUGCUGAGGAAGAAAAGAGCAUAUCCAAAUAAGUUCCUCAAUCUGGUAUUGAUCUUCGCCUCAUUGUAUGUCAGCACUGCAAUUGUACCAAGGGCAAAGGGUUGAUAUACAAGAGUAAGGACCCUUGACGGGUGGUAGUGCUGCAUAACGAAACAAAAACUACUGUCAAAUCAACCAUCUACACAAUCCAAUAUGCAGCCAUUAUAAGAUGCCCACAGCAUUUAAUAUGCCAUUAAACUUUAAAGGAAAGAAAACUUUAAGCGUGAAGAGUUGGGAAAUAAAAACGAGUUGGCAGAGCAGUGCACACUUUCAAAUAAUACAUCGACUUUCAGUUCAAAUAAAUGCUGAAUAAAUCAACAAAUAAUGAAGAAGGUAUAGAUGCUUGUACCAGACAUCCAUAAUUUCUUAAACCAUGCAUCUAAAAUUGGCAUUGCAUUGUGAAAAGGACCUUUCUCAUUACUUAUCAUUAUUAGAGCCCAAUCAGCACCAUUCCGAAAACAGGAGAAUAGUUCACAAGAACUAUAUAUGUUCUCUGCAGUGGAAAAUAAAUUCUGAAGAACACUGCAGGCAAUCACCAUUCACAUAAAAACUUCACAAGUUUCAGUAGCUUCAUCAGCGAAAAAGUCGAAUUCAUGGUCAUAUAUAGGAAUCAGUGUGGGUUUUAUAUAUACAUGUGUGUGUGUGUGUGGUGACAAAACUCUGUUUAAGGCAGCUCUAUAUUUGUUCUAACAAACAUCCAACAGAUUAUUUAGGCACCAAUAGUUCGUCAUCUCCAGUUUUUUAAGAGCUGGCUUGUCAAACAUCCAAAUUAAAGCAUCAACAAAACAGCGAUAUGGAAAGAUCCAAAACAAGCUGAAACCAACAAAAAAUCGCAGCAAAUAGAGAAGGGAAAUACCGGGAAAAUGUAAACAUAAUAAUCUUCAAUUGUGAGCAUACUAUUCCAUGAAAAGAGGCAACCAAUUCCAAGCAGCCAACAUACUAUCAUAGCAGCAUACUUUCCCUGCAUUGAAGGCGCAAGCAUAUCAGAAAUUCCUUCAAGAAAAUAGACUUUACCUUGUUGCCAAGUUUCCUACUUCAAUCAAGCAAAGGAUUGAAAUAACAAACCUUAAGCUUAGCAGGAGCUUCACUGCCAUCAAGUGCUGCCAUAGUUGAUUGCUUUCAAAUAUCUCCUGCAAAUAUACACUACAACUUAGCACUACAAGAGAUUGAACAACAAGGUAUAUGCUAAAUCUGUGAAAGUCAGAAACCUUGCCUAAAUAAACCAGAUGGAAAUCAAACAUCAUCAAGAAGUUCUAAAAAUAAAUUUGAAAACCAAUUGGGGAUCACAUAAUAUUUCCAUGACCAUGACCCCUAUACUUUCUUCCUCUCUCAUCUUUAAAAAUAUGCUAUCUCCCUAAUAAAGUAAACAAAAAGAAAGCAACACACAGGUCCUUUCAAUUAUUGGAGUGUGAAAAGCCCAUUUAAUAACCUUAGUCAAAUAUACCUUCAAUUCUUAUCAUCAUCACAACAAGAAUUGGAAAAAGAUAUCUGAACUGUUCGGUCAAGAAUUUAUUAUACAAAAAACUGAAGCUACCAAAUUCCAUCUACCAUCAUAUCAAUAAAUCACACAACAAAAAGAAAACAAAACCUUCUAAGAUCCAGUAUUUCUUGAAGAAAAUAAUCAAGCAUCAAUUCCCUUCCUCUCAAUAUACAUUCAUAAUAGACAUACGUACAUACAUAUAUAUAUGUAUGCAUGAAAAAUUAGACUUACCCUUUUAAAAGGGAGCACGUAUCACAUGAGAAGCUUUAACUUUUAAUAGAAUUUGGAAUCUGUUGUUUAGUAUAAAAAGAAGAGAAUAUAUAAGAAACGUUUUCAAAGAGGGCUUUGAAGAUUGAAGAUUCCGAUGUUAGAUAGAAGAUCUUUUAAACCCCAAAAGCCUGACCAAACUGGCAGUUCUCUUAUGUUAAAAAUAACGAAAAAAGACAGGUAAGAUUACUUAUCCACUCACUGACUCACAAGUCUACGUUCUCCUUUUCUCUUUUUUUUUUUCUCUGUUUUGCUUUUGACUUGUGCGGCAGCAACUUCAUCUGUUUUUAUACAUGUGUGUUCUAACUUUUUUGGCGGCAUGGAUUGAGACUUGGACUCAGAACAAGUAUAAUAAUCAGCUGAGUAACAUGAUCAAGGUCAAGGCCGGUUUUGUAAAAACGAACAAAAAAUUAUAUUAUGCCCAUUUUUUUUACGACUCAUUUUUUUAAUGACCAUUCUCCUUAGGUUGUGUUAGUAUUUCAAAAGAUAAGUGAUAGGUAAAAAAAAAUACAAAAAUAUAUUUAUUUGUGGAGAUGAAAAUAUAGAUAUAAAAUAAAUUUAUUUUUGAAAUAAUUAUAAAGUAAAUUUUUGUAUUUUUAAAAUAAAAAGAGCAUGAGAUAUGUCUCUUUUAUUUUAAUUACUUUAUUUUUUAUUUAUUUUGAGAUAGUAAUUAAACACUAUCAAAAUAACUAUGAAUAAAUUUAGAUGUACAAUGUGUCUUUAAUUUUUUUCCCCCCUAAACAUUGAGUUUUAUUUAUGUCGAGAUAGGAACUAUAUUUAUAUGCAUCGCUUAUAGAAUCUAAUCACGGUUUAGAAUCGGUAUUAUUUUGCUGUUUCCCUAUCAAUCUCUCAAUUAAGUCUGUCGAAAAAUUAUUUUAAAAACAAAAGAAAUUGUUUUGGAAAGGCAAUAUAAGACCAAUAUUUCUUCCCUUUUUUUUUCCUUCCAAAAGCAUUGUAGAAUGCCUCAAGAUUAUGUCAUAGAGUAGCAAGUCUGAAGUGGGUUUUUUCGAGUGCUUUUUUUAAGCUUUUUCCAGGUUGAGGGUAUUGAGCUACUUGGUCAUAGAACAAAAAAUCAAUUUGGUCGGUGGAUUGGAUCCAUUAUAUAUAUAAUAGUCUAUGCAUGUAAUUUUAAUGUUUAUUUGUUUGAGUUGGAUCCAUUAUUUAAUAGUCUAUGCAUAAGGUAGCUGUUUUCUAGGAGCUUUCAUGGGAAUAAGGCUAUUCUUAAGGAUGAUAAUUAAUACCGUCUGAAUCGAAAGAAAAAUCCUUGUGGAUCACGCAAGUGAAAUUUUAAAAUUAGGAAGCCUUGUCCUUGUAUUGACAUGAUGAUUAAAAAAUAUAUUUAUAUAUCCUUGUUUUGAUUUCAUGAUCAAAAAAAUAUUUUAUUUAUUUAUUAGAUUUAAAUUUAAGGAUUAUAGUAUCUAAAAAGGAUUAUUAAUUUUUUUAAAUAUACCAUAUCAAUAUAGAAUCAUUACCAGCGUGGAUAUGACUUGGAGUGCUACAUAGAAAAGAAGAGAAAGUCUAUGUGUUCACAUUUUAGGAGCAGGUGGCGUUGCCGUCAAGGAACCAAAUACUUCAUUUUCUUGAGUGUCAAGAUUUUGCACGUCAAAUUAACCAGCAAAAGCAAAACUAUUAAUGUGAUUUGAUGUAUGAAGAAUAUUAUUAUUUUUUAUUAAAAAAAUAUAGAUUAUAUUUCGAUAUUUUAUUUAAUAAUUUAAAUUUUUAAAUUAAAAUUAUUUUUUAAUAUGAUAUUAAAAUUUUAUUAAUUAAAAGGUCAUGAAUUCUAAUUUUACAGUCUCAAUAUAUUUAAUAAAAUUAAACAAAAAACACACUACCAGAUUUAACAGUUUUGCUGAUAGAAAUUUAUGUGGGUGUUUAUACCAACAUUUUGUCUGUGAUUAUUUUACCGAUGAAAUCACGGACGGAAAAUGUUUGUAAAAAAAAACUCUUUGGUAAUUUCAGGUAUGUCGGUAAGUCUGUCAUUAAUAAAUUUACCAAUGUUUUUACAAACGGAUCAUGCAUGCCAAAAAGCAAUUACCCGCUUCAAUCCGUCAGUAAUUCCCUUGAUGAGUUGCAGUGACAUUUGCAUUAAUUCUUUUUCAACUCUCUAAAACAUACCGAUGAAAUUAUUUCGUUGGUCAUUUAACAAUUGCAGGGAUGUUUUCUGUAAUUUUUUUUUUCAACUCUCUUGAAUAUACCAACAGAAUUAUUCCGUCGGUGAUUUAACAAUUGCAGAGGUGUUCGUCGUAAUUCCUUUUUAACUCUGUGGAAUAUACCGACAGAAUUAUUUCAUCGGUAACCCCGGUAGUAAUUAUUUAAAAAUAUUUUUUUAAAAAAUAUUAAACAUAAAUAGAAAAUAAUUAAAAAAAUAAAUUUAUAUAAAAUUCAAAUAUUUAAAAAUUAAUUAUCUUAAUAUAAAAACCAAAUAUUUAUUACAAAUUUUCUUGUAGUAAUAGUGGUACAUCUGUAUAAGUUUCAAGCCCAAAAAACUUUUAUUUAACAGAUUAUAUUGAAGACCAAUAUAAAUUAUAUUUUUGAGUCUCAUCUAAUAACUAUAUUUUUUUAAUUGAGAUGAUUAUUUGACAUUAUAGUAUCAUUAAGAGUUUAAUUAUGAUUUAUAUUUUUUUUUAUUUAUACUCUCUUAUGUUUAAUUAUAAAGCAUCUUCAAAUUAGCUUGUUACGACAUAACAAGACUAAUGUUUUUGUUAGUGAAGUCGUAAGCAGGUCAUUUAUUUCUUAUGAUCCCACGUAAGACUCCAGCAUUGAGUGAUAUAUAAGAGAUAAGUUUACUAACCACUGAAGUUAAGCCUCUAAAGACACGUGCAAUUAUAUUAAAAUCAGGAGAUAGUUGAACUUUACUUUUAAAAGCAUUUUUCUUUUACCCGCUAUUAAUUAUACGUUCGGUUAGUGUUCCAGUACAUAUAACAAAAAAAAAAAAAAAGCACAAAUAUAUUAAGUUAAAAAGAUAAAAAUAUAAAUAAAUCAAAUCGGUAUAUCAAUAUCGAUUUGAUCUGAGAUCUCUUAUUAAAUUGGAAUAAGUUCGGCCGCAGAUCACGAAAUCUUGGUGAUCUUCUCUAUCUAAUGAAUAAUGAAUGGAGAGCCUGCUUUGAAAUCGUCCGCCCUGGAACCACCCCUGAGUCUAUGUCUUCAACAGGAAUUACACAAGGGUAGACUGACACAAUAGAAACCUCUAGAAAAUACCCGCCUGUAACCCAACAAAUAAAGUACAGUACAUAGUUCGUUUUAGGAAUUGGCGACUUACCCAUUCAGUGACUUUGACACUUGAUGUUAUGUUCCCAAAAUAAAAUGGAUACUAUCGGGUCGAGUGAAUUCAAUAAUAGACGUCUAUUGGCAUUCCAGCUUUCAUUCUCUUUUUUCUUUCAGAGCCUAUCCAAAAGAGAAUCUAAUACUUCUUGGUCGUGAAUAUCUGAAUCAAUUUUAAAAUUAAUUACUUUUAGGAAGAUAAAAAAAGUGUUUUUUUUAUUUCAACUAUCUUCGUUUUUUUUUCCUUCUUGGAUUUAAAGAACUUUCAUUUGCAUUUUCAGUAGAAAAUGUAAGGUGAACACUUUUGGUUUUCACAUGUGAAAAUUUUAAUUCAUUCAUCCAAAAGGAGAAAGAAAAAAAGGAUUUUAUCACAAGUGGGAUAAGUUUUCCGGCCUGCAAACUCAUUAAGAAGUGUGAACACCGUUAUUGGAUAAUCCGGGAGUCAAGCUGACAUUUCUUAAGGUUGACUAUUUUUCGUCGGAUUUGGGCCAAUAAAAAAAAAUCUAAUUCAUUUUCUCUUUGUCUUUCAAUCGUUAUUUUAAAUAUGAUACAAAAUAUUACAAAAAUAGCUUAAUAUUAUUAUUUUGUUUCUGGUUGAGCAAAAAUAUCUUUUUUUUAAUCAGUAUGGGUGUUUAAGCUAAUUUGUAUAUAUUUUGAUUAAAUUUAUAGACUCUAAAAUUAAUAACCAUAUAAACCUUCCAUGAUUUUAAGAUUUAUAAAACUCAAACUGAUAAUCUUUAAAAAAAUAAAUUUAAAAUCUAAUUAAUUAAACUAUCCCUUAAAAAAAUUAAAAUUAUCCUUAAUUUACAUGCAAGAGGAAAUCUCUUGUUAAAACUUGAAGAAUACAAAAAAAAAAUAUAUAUAUAUUAGCUCAUUCUUAAGUAAGGAUGACAUGCGAUGGCAUGAGUACAAGUUUCUUUUUCAUAUUCACAAAUAUUGGGCAAUAGUGGAUCCCUUCAAUACACCACAAUGGUAAAAAUUAAAGAUUAGCUUCUAGGUGGUGGUUCAGUGGUAAUAUAUAUAUAUAUAUAUAUUAGCUCAUUCUUAAGUAAGGAUGACAUGCGAUGGCAUGAGUACAAGUUUCUUUUUCAUAUUCACAAAUAUUGGGCAAUAGUGGAUCCCUUCAAUACACCACAAUGGUAAAGAUUAAAGAUUAGGUUUGGCUUCAUUUAGCGUCAUAGCGGUAUGUGUUUUGCCCAACUAUAUAUUAUAAAGUAUUUAGUUAAUUAAUAUAUGUUAAUUUUAGGAGUCUUACUAAGAAUUUUUUCUUGAAAUCUUGGUGGAAAAAAAAAGCUAUGAUUUAUUGGUUUUUUAAAACCUUCUUUUUCAAAUAUCAAUAACAAGUUAUUAUAAUAUUAAAUAUACAUUCAAAACCGGUUUAAGAUGAAUGAAAAUUUCGAGCAUAACUAUAAAUGACAUUUCAAGACCGGUUUAAAAAAUAUUAAUUUUUUUUAUGUAUGUAUAACAAGUGGAGCCUGAACAAUUUUCAUUUCAUAUUUAGAACUUUUUAUUAAAUGAAUAUAAUUUUUAUUCAUAAAUUAUAAUUAAUAAAUAUAUUUUACUUAUUCUUCAAAAAAAAUUGUUAAGUAGAGGUAUUGGACUCUUCUUCAAGUAGCAUUUAACUUAAACAGGCUUUCCACACACUCGUUACUAUUUGAGAAUGGGUCAGGUUACUCUAUUCUUUGAUCAACUUCCAAGUCAAUUUAGCCCCUAGAUCUUGAAGAACUAGAUGAGAAAUAUUUGAUAAAUCUCUAAGAGUAGCAGAGCACGAUGCAGAAUUUGGAUACAUCCUGUGCCCUCACGUACUAUGUGCCAAACAGAACCUUAUGCAAUCCCAUCAACAAAUAGGAGGUUCCCCCUUUCUUUAUUAUAGUAUUGGGCCCUAAUUAAUAAAAAUAUUUAAUAACAGGAUAGCAUGGAUUUCUUAAUAGUGAGUCAGUAUUUAGUAAUCGAAUUACGUUAGAAAAUGAGCUCAGUUGAAGCCUGGAACAGAAAAUUUGAUUGGUCUGAAUAAAGACAUUAUGCUAAUCUCUUUAAACUAAUCUAGAAAUUACCUAGGGGGCUUAAUCCGAAUAAUAUCACCUACCGCUGAAAAACAAAGGUUGGGAUUAUUAUUCUUGGCCUAAUUAUUUUUAAUAUAUUACUCUUUUAAUAGUUAUAAUUUUCUAGGUUUUGAGAAAUUUUGAACAAUUCAACACAAAAUAUAGUUCUACCUGAAAUUUUAUCAUAUCUUUUUAAAGUUCUAAUUAUAUUAGGAGCAUGUAGUUUGCUAGAUUUUUUAGACCCAAAUCGAGCCCCGAAAGAUACUGUAUUAGAAUUUUCUUUACUUUCUUGUUAUUUUUCCUAUUUAGAUAGAACUUUCAAUUCAAUUAAAAUUCUACUGUUUAGGAUGUUUUUCUUGUAUUUUAACAUCCUUUUAGGCUAUUUUUUCAAAGAGAAUUUAUGAAAUAAAUCUUUUAGAAUAUAUUAGAGUAAUUUUCUUUAUAAUGAAGGGUUAUAACCUUAAGUUUGAGAACCCAAGUAUUUAGAAGCAGAAGAUUUUGUUUUAAUUUUUUUUAUUUAGAUUUAGAUUUUAUUUUGAAGAACUCUGUCAACCCUAUACGCUGUGUCAAAUAACCCCUUUCUCAUAGACAGUCAUUAGAAGAAGAGAGCUCGGGUCGCUCAACAUAUCAUUUGUUCAACCACCAUGGCUCAUUCUUCAUGAGUCACAUCCUGUUUUUUUUUUUAUUAUUAAUUUUGAUAAGGGAUUUGUUUUGAGAUAUUGCAGAAUGGCAUGAGAGAGGUGGUAAAUGUAUCGUGCAACUGAUGAGAACCAAGCUUUCAAAGUUACAGUAGAAGUUCUAAACAAGAGCUAACAGGAUUAGAAUUCCUGACUUAAGAAUGUUAUUGCGGGAUAGAUUUGAUCUCCUAGAUUUGAAAAUAGUCAGGAUACUAUUGAUCAUUUGGCAUGUAUGGCAGCUACAAAUAACAUGUAUGGUUGCCAUUGCUCUAUUGGCUACGGACAUAUAUGAUAAUGCAAUAGAAUUUAGGUAUAAAGAAUAUAUUGUCAAGCAUCACAAGAUUAGCCAUGCUUAAAUCAUAUGGUUAUCCUUACAUCUUAUGAGCUCCAAUUCACAUUGCAUGCCUCUAUGACAAAGGAUGUUUUGGCAUUGUUGCAAAACAAACCGAUUCGCGUCUUGAAUAUAUGAAACAUUUGAUGAUUGAUUGAACAAGAGGCUUAAGACCACCAUGGAGCAUCUCCGGUUCUGAAAUCUGUUUCAACCCAUGGAACAAAGACCACCUUGCCGUCGUCUACGUCGCAGUGAGCCAGUGCCAAUGACUGCACAGAGAAGUGAUAUUGAAGGCGGUUAUUGCCAGGGUGAACUCAAAAAUCGUUAUAGCAAGCAAACUGUUGCUGGUUGUUGAUUUUAAUUAAGUGCUGUUGUUCUUUUAUCAUCUAAAAUAGAGUAAUCCACCAAUAAAUAAAAGGGAAAUUGUGUUUGACUUACCAGAGGAGCAGGUCCUCGGACAACUCUUCCUUGGUCAUUGUACUGUGAUCCAUGGCAGGGGCAGAUGAACUUCUUCUCAGCUUGAUUCCAGGGCACGACACACCCAAGGUGUGUGCAGACUGCAUUAAUUCCAUAAGUUGCAAGAACUCUAUCUUUCUCCACAACAAGGUAGGUUGGAUCUCCCUGAAAUCCAUAAAAAACAAUCCAAAUGAUUUUCACUUUUCAGUAUUACAAAUUAUUUCAGAGUAUCCGAAGUUGAUAGAAAUCAAUGUUUGAGCGCCGCAUGAUUGUGUUUUUGCAAGUAACAUCAGUUUUGUUAAAAUAGAUCCUCAAAAAACAUUUGAAGAUAUGUUAUUGAAAAUCCUGAAUAUGAAACAACACUAAUUUUCUCAUCAUUUUAGACAAUCUCCACAGAUUCUUUUCACAAGGAACAAAAAUUGAUUUAGUUUGCAACAUUUUAUAAGUCUGCUUACAACGAUACUACCCCGUGUAGAAGUGUGACAGCAAUUUCACAAAUAUCUCACUGGCUCAAGUGCAAACAUAUAACGAGCUCUGUUUUACGCUAGAGCAAGACAGCAUCACAGCAAUGAUUGGAUCCAUGCCAACAUCUCUUACAAUGCAUGACCAACUUCUAAUAAGAACUUGAAAGAAAAUUAGAACCAAAGGUGUAAUAUUUUCUGACAAGUCAAUAAACAGAAAAUAUGAUUAUCUUGCAUCAAAACAGCGAUAAAUGUACUCCUUCUAAUGACCAAUCAGUGUACAACGAAUUUAUACAAUAAGAAAGGGAAAUGCAAUGAAAAACAUGUGCUUUAAGAAAGGAAAGGAAAGCUGCCAGUACCUUCAAUCCUUGAGAAAGGGUUCGGUCACCAGGGCCAUGAGUGUUAAGCCAUUGCUCUGCAACGAUAUCAUUUCCAAGGGCAUCCUUGGCAACGGUACCACCACCACCUCCUCCGAGCCUGAUAAAUUUUUCCAAUUACAGCAAGGAAAAGGAACAACGAAAUGCAGGCAUGUUAUGGUUGCUAAUGGCCAGAAAUUUAAUCCCUAAACAAAUAAACUAUAGCAAUUGUAUAUAUGAGGCAAUUUAGAACUUAGCAAGCAAGGUUAAUCUCAAAGAAAUAAUUUAUAAACUUAAACACAGCAUCGGAAUUUUUGUAUUCUUUACUUCUCAAGUUGAUUUUAGCUAUGACAUAUCAUUAGUGGAAUUUUAGAAAGAAUGCCCUUUAGAGAAUCAAAAUUUCCAUUGAACAACCUAUUAACUAAGCAAGGGGAAAUUAACAAAAAUAAAUCUAAAAUAAAGGAAAAAACCAAACUAAAUUUGAAGAAGAAGAAGAAGAUUUCUUACCCAGUAGGGACAAAGAAAUAGGUGUAAGGAACCAACAUGCCAGCAGUGGGGAGUGAAAGAGCACCCAAAAGAAGCAGAUUCAUAAGCUCCCUCUUACCCAUGUCAGGCACUCUAUCAUCAGCAGGAACACUUGUAGCCUGGCAUGAAAUUCUCAUUCCUCUCUCCUUUAACACCAUAUUUGUCCUUGUUGGUUUCACAAACACCGCAUGUGUAGGAGAGAACAUGCCACUCUUGCUAGAGCAUAGCUAAUACACAAAACAAAAAAAACACAUAAUUCAAUCCAAAACAUCAAAGAGAAAGAAAUUAAGUUCAAGAAUAAUCAAUGUUUGAUGGGAUUUUUUCUUUUCUUUACCUGUGAGGGAGUGGCAGGGGAGAGCGUAGAGGAAGCCAUGGAUUGAUGAUUCUUGGACAGGAAACUGAGUAUACUUUGAUGGUAUUAUGAAUGGUAUGGUAAUGCGAGGGAACUGUUAAAACUAUAACGACCACAACUGUUCUAGAUAAGGCACAUUAGCUACUUUGGUGCCACACGACCACAUGUUUAGAGAUUUCGCUUCUCUUUCUGACACAAGUUGCUGGCUUCCCCAAAUUUGGGCUUUCUUCUAAGAGCUUAUGUUCUUAGGCUAAUUCGUGGCCCAAAGGGCCUUAGAAAGUGCUUUAGAGUUCUGUCUAAUGCAGGGGGGAAUUACCCUCCUCUACUAAUUGAAAAACUUGAAAAACUUGGGAAACUUGACCCUCUCUACUUUUCAACUCAUCCCCUUUUCUUUCUUUUUUUCAAUUCCCCUUUUUUUUAAUUCCAUCCUUUUUUUCUUGAUUUCAUCUUCAUAAUUUUUUUUAAUAAUCAUUCGAUUUGUCUUUAAAACAACCAAGUUGAUUGGAUUAUGUUCAAAUAAUUUUUACAUAAUUUAAUUUUAAAUUUGAGCUAGGCAAAGAGAUAGAUCAAGAGAUUUUUUCUGUCAAUUUCAUUCUCAUAUUGUUUUUACCAGUUGACCGAGUUGCAUUUAGAUUAACCAAGUCAGUUGGGUCAUGACGGAGAAACUCUCACACGAUAUAAUUUUAAAUUUAGGCUAGGUAAGAAGUUGGGUAGAUAAUAUUUUUUAUGUCAUUAGACCGGAAGCAUCCUAUCUAAAAAAAACCUUGAAACUCAAUCCUCAAUCAAUCAAAUAUUGAAGGAUGAAAUUGAAAAAAAAAAUCAAUUAGGCAAAAGGAUUCAAAAUAAAAAAUAGCAUUUAAAAGAAUAAGGAUCAAAAUUGAAAUAUAAGAUAAAUUUUAUGUUUAAUUAAAGGGUGAAAAUGAAAAGAAAAAUCAAUUUAAUAAAAUGAUCCAAAAAAAAUCUAAAACAAUCAACAAAGAUUGAAAAUCAAAAUUGAAAUAAAAAAUAAAAAAUAAAAUUGAUUAAAGAGUGUGAUUGAAAAGAAAAACCAAUUCAAUAAAAGGAACAAAAAUAAUAAUCAAAAGAAUGAAAACCAAAUUGGAAAAACUAACAUAUCCCAAAUUGGAAUUGAAUGAAGAAAUUAAAAAUAAAUCAAAAUUUUAUAAAAAAAUCAAGAAUAUAAAUUAAAAAUUAAAAGAAUAAGAAUCUAAAUAGCAAUAUCUAUAAAUCAGAGAACAACUAUGAAAUCUUGCAUGGAUAACACGAAUUUUAAAAAGAUAAAAGAAAAAGAAAAGGGAAAGAAAAGAAAGUGUUGUCGACAAUAAAUUAAGCCAUCAAUAAUCACAUGCGUCGCUCUAAAAUAAAAAGGACACUAUAGUGCUUCUAACUACACAACAAAAGAAAGAUUUUGAUCAUAGAAAGUCUUUGAAAGUGCUGCAUGACGAGCACGGACACCUCUCACACGAACGCACAUGCAAGUGCUAACCAAUGCAUGCUCAGGAGGAGACUUACUAGAGUUUAUAUAUUUACUGCCAUUGACACUUCCAUGAAUGCUUGCUCCACAACCGAUUUUUGAUUUGAGGCCAAUACAUACAUGUAGUAUAAGCUUUAAUUAACUGGGUUGCUUACCUCACGUAUAGCAACCACAUUAUUCCUGUUAGAGGAAAUUAUAACCCAAUCCCUGUAUUUCAAAGAAAUAAAUAAUUUACUCCCUCUGGUUUAUCAAAUCCUACAUUUAAUACGCGCAAUUUUAUCCAUUUAGAGCUUAAAGUUUAGAAUCUUGAUUUAGAGUCUCCGUUGAUUUGCAGCUAGUUCAUUGCUGGGUUGUCACCAAUUUCCUGUAAUCUUCAACUUUUUUUUGUUGCUGACUUGACGGUCAAAGAUGAUCUAACGAUUAAUUAAUUAUUUUUGAAAUUAGAGGUAUUAAGUUAUUUAGUAUUUAAAAAUAUUUCGGGGACUGAAAUUAUAUUUUGUAUACUCUUUCUAGUUGGUAUAUACGAGAAUUGGGAGAACAAACAGAAGCCAUGAGAUGGCAACCCAAGCCGAGAGCCUCAAAUCCAACCCAUACCAUACCAUAGCUAAGACCAAACCACCCUGAGCCUCCGGGAUGAAUAACCCCAAAGUCAAAUUAGGCAUGGCUUGUUUAUUUGUAUUUUUUGAAAGUGUUUUUUAAAAAUUUAAAUUUUUUUAUUUUAAAUUAAUAUAUUUUGAUAUUUUUUGAUUAUUUUGAUGCGCUAAUAUUUAAAAAAUAAUUUUUUAAAAAUAAAAAAUAUAUUAUUUUGAUAUAUUUUCGAGUAAAAAAUACUUUAAAAUACAAUUAUAACACACUCUCAAGCACGCUAGGAAAUAAUGUUGACUACUUGACAUUUUUUUUUUCCUCCCAUUUUUUUAUGCCACCUUGAUUAUAACCUACAGGCUGCAAUCAUUGACCUUCAAAAUACAACCAUCAAUUAUGGACAAUUAUUUUCGAAAUUAUUAUAUAUUGUAUCCAUAAUUUUUUUCCCCAAGGGUAUUGCAAUGGAAACUAAAUUUCUUCGACUGAAUUUGUACGUAGUGGUAAGCAAAGAAACUAAAUUCUCGUAGAUGAAGUGAAGAAUUUGAGCUGAAAUUAAUUUCUUCGACUUGAACACUAAAAACAUUCCUUCAAUUUCUCCAUGUCAAUUAGAGCCUUGUGGGAGCUAUUUGAUUGGACAUAGCAACUUAAGAAUACAAAUUGUUGUGUACAAAUAUAAAUCUAAGAAAUUAAUAGGUCAAGGAUGACAUUAUUUAUUUCAAAGCUUGCUGUUUAAUUAGUUGAAUUCCAAUUUUAAUGAAACUAAAACUUUUGGUAUCAUAAAAUUCCAUCCCAACCUAAUUUAUCAAUUAAUGUUUAUUAGUUUUUGUGUUUGUUUCUUGAACUUAUGUAAUAAGGUAGCUUUUGACAUGGCUUGGGAUUCUGGACUUCUCUAUACAUGUCUGGACUCAAAACUUGUGUCCUUUUUAUGUAAAAAUCUUUAAACAGUACGGCCCCCAAAGCCCUCUGCUGGACGGGCUUGAAAUUCAGAAAGAGUCGCAACAUACCAUGAAUAUAUGAGCCCGUCAUUUGAUUUUAGUCUAAUGUGUAAUUUUUUUGUUUUAUUAUAAUGGUAAUUUGGGUUAGUUUUAUACGUUGAAGUUAAAUAUUUCUCAAUUAGAUUUUAAGCAGAAUCUCUAUACAUUAAAUUGAUAUAAUUUAGUAUGGAAUCCUUAAUGUUUGAACUUUGAAUAAUAAUAAAUUGAAAUUAAACAUGGCUGGACCAGCUAUUUUGGGCAUUUAGCAUAGAAAACUAUUUUUUUUUGUGAAAUAAUAUAACUGUAAAAUAUAUUAUUAAAAUAGCAUAGUUUGAGUUUGUUACAGUUUUGAAAGGUGAUAUUUAAUUGAUAUUAUAUUUCUCAAACGCGACUUCUUUAUAUGUUUUUUUAACUGUGAGAUUAAUUAAAUAUCGUAUUUAAAAACUGUGAUUUUUUGAUAUAUCAUGUUUUGAAAUCAUGAUAGCCAACAAAAUAACUAAAAGUUCUAAUAGCCAAAUCUCAUUUCAUCCUACAUCCUACAUAUUGAAGGGUUCUUAUAAAAUUUAUGGUGAAUUAUUUCACAUCGUAUGAAUUUAGAUUAAAUUGCAUAACAACUCCAAUUCCAACUAGGGUGGGGUUAUGUGCUUGUGUUUUGUGAUACUGGGAAGAAUAUAAAUUUUAUGACAUGUCACGAUUCAGAAUUAUAAUAUGUAAAGUUAUUAUUAUUCUAAAGUGCAAUAUGAAAAUUGUUACGCUAGAUAAAAGCAAGCAAUGUUUAUUAAAUAUCGCAAUCCUAAAUCGCAACAAUUUUAAAUUGUGUUAUUUCUACAAAAGUUUUUUAAACUGUAUUGGUUUAAAUUUUUCUCACUGUACUAAUUUUUUUAUUAUAAAAAAGUCUUUAUGAUUUUAUUAUUUAUUAGUAGAAAGAAUAUGAUUGAAUUUUUUUGCAACCAUCUUAACUCAUCAACACAGGACUAGUGUGGAGUUUUGCCCAUCCAUAACAAAGCCUUGUUCAGCACUUGUUAGUUGACUUGGCUCUCUACUCUACACUUUUUAAAUGAAAAUGCAAUGAUUGUGCUUAUCUGCAUGGGGGCAUGGCGUGGAACACGCACUCAUCAAGCAAUUGCAUGUGUGUCCUUCACUCUCUCCCUCGAAAAACCUCUCUAUCUCUCUCUCACACCUCGCCCUGCCUCUCAAGUUGUAAUACUAUAACAAUGUUUGUGUGCAUAUUCAACAUAUAUCAACAAUUUGAUAUGUAAAGAGAGUGAAGAAAAAGCAAAAACGUGUGGGAGCUAAUGAGUCUAUGUUUUGAGUUUCUCAGACUUUCUCUUGCAUCAAUACAGAGAAAAAACAAGAAAGAACCCAUUGUUUUCGUCAAAGAAGAAGAAUCCCAACAAGUAAAAGUAAAGAAAAAGGAAAAGGAAAAAGAUGGUGUAAAUAAAUAAACAAAUGGAAAGGAGAGGUGUACGAGAUAGAGCAACCUUGAAGCACCCAGAAAAAAUAAUAAUGGAACGUUCUUCAAAGACAUUUCGAAAGUUAUGAAACGCUCAAAGCUAUUUGUCUUCUUCUGAUAUCACGAGCCUUUUGUCUCCAGCUUCGGUCUAAUACCUACAUAAUUAAUUAAUUAAUUAAUCAACAUAAGUUUUUUUUCCAGCAGAAAGUCAUGCACACUUAAUUAGAGAAUAUAAUUAAUUAAUUUAUUCCAUGCGAAAUGAGAUUGAUACAUUUUGAAGAUGCAUGGUAUCCUAAGUAGAAUCCAAUUGGGCAAUUAAUUAAUAGCCAGAUUUCAAAAUAUGAAUCGAUUAAUUUUCAUGUACAUAGAUUAAUUAAUCUCUUGAACAUAAAAUCCUUAAUCCACUAAUUCUAUGACUAUUUAUUACCAAACUACAUCGUUAUCAUUAUUUUUAUGUAGUAUGAGUUAAUUAAAAUUAUUAAAAAACAAAAUAAAUCUUAUCAAACAAUAUUUUAAGUUUUUAUAUUGAAAUGUUUUUUUUUAUAAAUAUUGGGAUUCACUAUAUACCAAGUAAUAAAUAAAUAAAAAAUUCUAAAUUUCCCUUGUUCCUUAAUUUGAUCUUCUGAGACAUCCUUCAUGUGUGACUAGAGUGAGAGGUUUGCGAGCAGUAGAUGACAACGAUGUUGAAACCAUAUAUAAAAGCUUUGUAAUUAGAAGAGGAGCAUUUUUGGAGAAAGAUGACUGAGUCUUUGGGAAAGUGAAUCUCCAUUUUCGAUUGUCAGCAGGUCGUGAAAACACAUGUAUGCUUGAGAUCAUCAUAUUUUGGGCAGUGCUUUGCAAAGUUAUAGGUAGAGUUAUUGAAUUCGAUUAAUUAAAGUCAAACAUUAUAUGUUUUGUACUUGUAGCACGUUUAAAAUAUUGUAUGUGUACUUCAUUUAGCUAGCAUAUUAUAUUUUGCAUCAAACCAUAUAAUUAAUUCGCAUGUAUAUAAUUUAUUUUCUUUCCAAACUUUGAAUUUCAUAAUUUACAGAAAUAUUUUAAAUAAUAAGCUAAACCCAUAUAAAUAAUAAAACUUAAAUGAAAUAAAAAUAUCUCAAAUCUAAUUAGAUUACAAAAAUAAUCUUAACCCAUUACAAUAAUUGAAUUAUAAAUUAUGCCCUCUCAAAUUAGUAGCAUACUUGUAUGGAGAGACAACGUGUCCCCCAAGAAAAAAAAAAACUUAUUGUUUAUAAGUUGGCUGGCAGUAAGUGAUUUAAUUUCGUAAAAAUCGUACGGACGACAGCAAUUAGUGAAUAGAAAUAAUAAAUUCCUUGGAAAUAAUGUUGGGGAAAGUAAUUAUACAGUAGACAAUAGUUGUCCCACUACAUUGAAUUAUGGCCGAACCAAUUUAAGUUUCCCAAGGAAUAUGAAAAUCUUCCCAUUGAUGAUUAGAUUGAUAUCCAAUUAUUGUGUCCUAAAAGUUAAUUAUCAGCGGAAAGUAUACAGGGCCUAGCUUUCAUAUUUAAUUAACGAAAACUUCAGAAUUUUCCACAGCUAGACUCCCUUGAUCACCACUCAAGACUACCUUGAAGCCACAGUCUUUAUAAUCAUCAAAUCCAUCAGAAAUUUUCUGGGAAUGAUCAUGACCAUCAUCAUAACUAUGAUCAUCCAGCAAUGUCAUGUCACCAUGUUCUUUCUUUCUUUCCCUUUCUUCUUUUAAAGAACGGUCAUUUCUACAUAGCUGUCUCGAUUGCAAAGAAGACAAAGGAACUAGCUCCAAGUGGGUUUCAUGGACUCAAUGGAUUGGUGAAUAAUUUCGAGAGCAGGUGAAUUUGAGAAUGGAUGGUCAGAUGGGGCCUAACACUAUCGACCACACAUGAUUGCCUGCUUUUCUGAUGAGACUUUUGUAGCUUGUGUUCCCAUCAAACUUAGACUGGUGUGAAAUAGUGUUUGAAAAGAGGACCAUGGGACAAAACAAAGAUAAAUUGGAGCACUUUGAUUCAGAAAGUUCAAAGCGAUCAUUUGUUUCUUUUGUCUAAUUGUCUUGAUCCUAACAAAAGUAUUUCUCUUGCUCACUAUUAUACAACCAACACCACACAAUUAGGAUAGUAGUUAGAACUUUGGUUAAAUUUAUGAAUUAAGCGUUUGUUUUUGGAUUGGGUUAUAUUAGCAUUCUUUAAAUUAAACCUUUUAAAAGAUACGAAGAUACUCGGAUAAGAACUAAAAACAAAAUACUCAUAAAAAAAUAAACAAAUAAAUAUAAAUUAACCCCAGUCUAAAAAGUGAGGAGAACAAAAAUCUUGGUUAAUUAUUUUUAUGCGAAGAAACUUUGUUUUUUUUCUUUUUCAAUAUAAAAUUAAAAAAAUGUAAUCAUAUGUUGAGAAGAAAGAUGAAUUGUAUUCAUAAAAAAAAAAUACAUCAAUACAUAACUAUUUUUCAAAAAAAAAAUCAAAACCAUAAUUUAUAAUAGUUAUUUUAAUAUUCGUGAUAAUUUAAUAUUAAAAUAUUAAUUUUAUUUUUUAGACCAAAAAUUAUCAUGAAACGUUAUGUCAUUUCCUAAAAAAGGGAGAAAGUCUUUAUGUUAGAUUUAAAAUGAAAAUUAAAUUAAUGACAAAAGAAUGAAGGUGUGAAAAAUUAUUUUAAUCUAUUACACCGAGUGUUUGUAUCAUGAAAAACAAAAGGUCAAAGACAACACAAAAUAAAAUAUAAUAUUCAAUGUAAUUACACUUACUCCCUUGCCAUAAUGGACCGGCAAUUUAAGCAGCUUCAUUAAAUAACACAUCUUCAAAUGAUUAAAAUAUUUUAGCUGUUACUUUUUUUUGUCCUAUUGAUAGCCUCUUCUACUUAAAAAAAUGAGAAGACAUUAAUUCAUUCAAUGCAGUUUAAUCUGUUUUUAAAAUUAUUUUUCACUUAAAAAAACAUUAAAUUAAUUUUUUUGAUAUUUUUAAUGUACUAAUAUAAAAAAAUAUUAUUUUAAUUUAUUUUUAAUUAAAAAAUACUUUUACAAAUACAUAUGAUAGCACAUCACCAAACACAUAUUUAGGCCAAGAAAACAAUCUGUCAAACUGCCACUGCCAAAUAUCUCGAGGCCCUUUAAAUUCCUUAGUACAUAUAUAAGAUUAAAUUGGUUAAAAUUUAUUUUUAAUAUUAAAAUAAUUCAAAAAUACAUACAAAAUAAAAUAAUUUGAAGUUAAAAAUAUAAUUUUUUUCAAAAGUACAAUCCAACUAUAAUUCAAAACAUUCCAUGGUGUAUUUUUCAAAACAAUCCAACUAUAAAUCAAUUUAAUAUUUUUUAAGAUAAAAAUACUUUUGGAAAGCACUGAAAAAGAAGCAAAGCUCUCCCGAACAUAAAAAAAAAAGCUAUGAUAUUUGUUUAUUUUCUCAAAAACAAAUAAAUUUUAUUCCCCAUCCUUGCUUUUUGUUACCUCAAAAGUAGAAAUGGUCGUCUGGGCAGACUGUAUUGUUUGAGCUGGAUGCGUUCAUCACAGGCUUGGAAUUAACCCAGCAAGAGUGGGAAACUCCUUUUUGCAUGUGAAGGUGAAGCACCUUUCAACACAGUUAAUUCUUAAAAUGAAAGAAAGCGAGGAGUAAUGAAGCAAGGCUGUUCAAGAAAUUUCCAACCCUAACCCUAUCAUCUAAGUAUGUGUUUUACAUCAUGAUAAUUUUUGUGAUUAUAAUUUAAAAAUAUUAUAAAUGAUAUAUUUUUUUUAAUAAAGGUUUCAAGAGAGACUUUUAUUAAAAAGAAAUACCACACUUUAUAGUUUUUUUUUCAAUGAAAACUAUGCAAAACUAUAAUAUGUAUUGAUUAACUAAAUAUUUUUAAAAUCAUGAUCAUAGCAAAAUGUAGUUUUUAACUAUACUACCAAACAGACUUUAAAUACAAUAUCAAUGGAAAAUAAAACAUCAAACAUUGAAUCUUCCACCUAAACACCACGAAUCAUACUUGAAAUCUGAAUUUAAUCUCAGAACACUAAUAUUAAAAUAAAGACUAGACUUAUGAACCAUGCUAUGGCACGGGCCUAUUAAUUUUUUUUAACGUACAACAUUGAUGUUUAGGCAAUGGUAUUAUUUAUAAAGAAGCAAGAAAAACUUGAUGCUUGAGUUAUUAAGUUGAUUAGAUCCAAUAAAAUUGAGUGAUAUAAUAGUUUGAUUUAAACCAUAGGCAACAAUAACAGAUAAAUUGUACAAAAAAUAUUUGGUAACAAUUAACUAAAACAAAUAAGUCGCUAAUAUCAUAUUCAAAAGAAAAAGAAAAAAAAAUUCACUGGAGACUCACCUUAUUCCACUAUGGACAAUGCCCACUACCAGAAGACCUUGCCGAGACGGUCCAAACCCUAUUGCUAAAGAGUGCAUAACACAUUAAAAGAAGUCGCAUGGGUUGCUAGAGCAAUGCCACGAAAAAAACAAAAAAUGAAGUGCUCAUUCGUCUAUAUUCAACCAAUCAAUUCUAUUUAACUCAAUUAUAAAUUUUAUCUAUAAAAAUAAACUUAAUAAAUAAAAAACAAUAAAUAAAAAGGCAUGAGAGAACCCAAUCAAAUAAAAAAACAAAGGAUAAAAUAAAAGGUACAUAAAGUUGGAAAAAAUGGAGCCCAAUCUCCAAUUUAAUAAAUAUCAAAGGAUAAAACUGAAAAAUCAUUAGCUUUAAAAAAUAUAAAAUAAAAUAGAUAAAUCCCGAACGAAUCCCCUAAAACUAAGUUAAUUUUCAAAACUUGCAACCUGUGAAAUCCUAGACAUGAGCUAAACCAGGAAACUAAAAUCCAAAUAAAUUAAAAGUUGAAGGAUGAAAUCGAGUAAAAAAAACCAAUUUAAAGAAUUUUGCAAAAAAAAAAAAAACAAUCAAAAGAAUGAGGAUAAAAUCUAAUAGAAAAAAUAACAAUGGAGGGUGAAAUUAGAAAAAAAAAAUUAUCUCAGAUUUUAUAAAUAGAAAUUAAAAGAAUAAUGAUCAAAUUUGAUAAAGCAAAAACUUGAAUGAGAAUGAAAUUGAAUUUCAUAAAUUAUUUAAAAUAAAGCAAAUAAUAACCAAAAAAACAUGAAAUGGAUAAAAAAGAAAGAGAAGUUUGCAGGAAUUGCAAGGCAAACACAAAAAUUGAAGAAGAGAGGAAAAAAAAUGAAUGGUGUCCGUGACAAACUAGCGAACUUCUACAUGCAUACAUAUUUUUUUUAUGAAGAACACACCGAGAUGUAUAAAAAGCAACCCCAGGACAACAAUUUUGAUCUCCUGAACCAGCAACACGUGUCAACAUAUUUUUUUAUUUAUUAAAAUACUUAAAUGACAUAAACACCCUUUAAUCUACGAGUUAAAUUAUUUGAUAUUAAGAACGCCAAGAUCUUUUUACUGUGCAACAAAAAUUAAAAUUACAGAAAAGCCCCCCUGUCAGAUAGUUUUUUUUUUCAAGUGUAAAAAGCUUAUUUUACUGUGUAUUUUUUCUAUGAAAAUACAAAAGAAACUCUAGUAGAAGUUAAAAAAUUAUUUAUUUUAAAGAUAGGGAUAUAAUUUUAUUGUACAGUUAAAAUGUAAAAUUUUCAUUUUAUCCCAAUCAAUUUUUGAAUACAGAGAUUAUUUUACCCUUAAAUAUUUAGCUAAGAUUUUUUUUCUUUGAAGGUCAAAGAAAAUGCUAUUCCUGUUCACAUUGAAGUGUGGUAGGUGAAAAGUGUUUUAUUUUCUUUUAUUAUAAUGUUACAUAAUAUGAGAAAAAUGUUAAUUUAGUUGGAUCACAAGUGCCCUAUUUCAAAUUAGUGAUUUGUUUUCUCUCAUAAAAACUAAUGGAUUCUAACAAUGUUGCAAAAAUCUCAUUGACUCACAAGAGCACCAAGUCAAAACAGUUAAAAAAUAGAUAAACCAGUUGCCUGUCUUCUUUCUUUACAUUUCCAACCAAUCCUUUUUCUGACAUACCUUCUUCCUCACAGAAGGUCCUGACCCCAUCUUUUAUCACCACUUCACCAAAAAUUUUCCUUCUCAAUGAAGAGAGAGAGCAUUGUAGUUCUGGUAUUAAUAGCCAUCUUUGUUGAGAAAUAAAGGCUCACCUCUCUUUUUCUCACUGUAUCUCUGGUUAACUUCUCUCCAAGUAAUGUAUUCUACAUCUUCCUUGCUCUAUCUGUCUUUAAAGCUGAACUGAGAGCUGCAAACUGAGCAAUCAAUGGAUUUUAAUCUUGAAAACCCAUUAACAAAUUCUCAUGAGCUUCACUUUGACACAACCCCUUCUCUCUUCCUCAUUGAAUCUGACCACAUGCCUUCAAAGAACUACUUAAAGACCCUCAAAGAGAUAGACUUUGAUGUCUCUUUUAGAAGAGAAGCCAUCUCUUCUGUCUUAAGGGUAAGUGGAAAAAAAUGUAAAACAUAAUAGUCUGCUUUGCAUCAAGUAUUUAUGCAUACAUUUCUUGAUCAGUUCUAACAUAUUAUUUCUUGUGAUCUUUUCAGGUUUCUUGCAACUUCGAUCCGUCCUUGUCCUAUCUUGCUGUUAAUUACCUCGAUAGGUUCUUAUCGAGCCAAGGAAUUCCUGUAAAGAAUCAAAAUCCUGUUUUAUUUAUACACAAAAAAAAUAUAUUUUCAUGGGUUGUGUUUGUCUAUUUAUAUUUUGCUUGAGAUCCAACUGAAUUUGUUAUUAACGUUUAAUCAUCACAGCAACCAAAGCCAUGGGUCUUUAAGCUUCUCGCAGUUGCUUGUGUCUCUCUAGCAGCCAAAAUGAAGGAAGCAGAAUUCUAUGUCACUGAUAUUCAGGUAAAUAUUCAUCCAAUACAAUGUCUAUAUCAUAGACCCACUUGUGAAAGAUCAAUAAUUUUCUUCAUCUUGACUGUCAAACAAAAAAAAAAACCAUCUUGAUUAUGAAAAAAGAAAUAUUUUUUUCAUCUGUGUAGGGUGAUGGUGGUUUUGUAUUUGACCCUCAAACAAUACAAAAGAUGGAGGUGCUUAUACUUGGGGCUUUAAAUUGGAGGAUGAGAUCAAUCACGCCAUUCUCCUUCAUUUCUUUCUUCAUUUCUUUGUUCAAACCUAAAGAUCCACCAUUGAGGCAGGCUCUUAAAGCUAGAGCUUGUGAAAUCAUCUUCAAAGCUCAAAAUGGUAUGUAUAUUUAUACAAAAAUCAUAUCCAGGCAAAUGGAAAAUGGCUAAAAUUGGAGCUAUAUUUUUUGUUUUUUGCCCCUUUUCAUUGGAUUUUCAUGACUGAGUGCUGAUUUAUCUUGUCUGCAGAUAUCAAUCUUUUGGAGUUCAGGCCAUCAUUAACUGCUGCUUCAGCACUUCUCUAUGCUUGUCAUGAACUUUUUCCUAUGCAGUUUUUAUGCUUUAGAAAAGCCAUAUCCAUCUGCUCAUAUGUAAAUAAGGUAAUUUUUAAUUGAAUUCUGAUUUUUAACCUUUUAUUUUUUAUCAAAUUAAUUGCACACUUUAAACAUAAAAAGGGAAAAGAAUUGUUGCCUCGAGAUAGUGCAAAUUAAUGGGUGAGUGUGAGAUUUAAAAAUUGAAAUCUCACAUAAUUUUUUAAAAUUGAAAAAUCUAAAAAGCUCUAUUUUUUAAAAUGCUAUCUUCAUAAUUUUAAUUUAGAGUGCACAAUAAUGUUGUAAUGGCAUGGUAAUUAAACUUUCCAACUGUAAGAAAAAGGGCUUUGGUUGAUCUCCCUCUUUGUAUUUUAAACCUUUCUAAAACAAAAAGAUGUAUUUAAUUAGGUCUUUAUUUCAUCUCUUUAACCAAAUGCUUUUAUAUAUAUAUAUAUAUAUAUAUAUUGUGUAUCUUUCGAUUCAAUUAUAAAAUACUAACUAAACACAACUAAUACAUUACCCUUACACAAUGAUGUUACAGGAAAACUUGUUGCAAUGCUAUAAUGCAAUGCAAGAAACAGCAAUGGAUGGUUACAAGUCACAAUUUGACAUGGUGUCAAGUUCUGAUACGCCAGUCAACGUGCUUGACCGGCACUUUUCAAGCUCAGAAAGUGAAAACACCAAUGGGACUGUUGUGAUGAUAUCUAGCAAUGGCAGCAACAAAACCUGGCCAGAGAAAGGCAUCAAGAGAAGAAAGAUCAGUGCUCUCUGUAAUAAUCAAACGGUUCAGCUUUCAGCUUUCUCAGAUGCAACAACUAUGCUGAUGUGAGGAUCGAGUUUUUUUUUUGGUGAAAUAGUUAUCACUGGUUCAUUUGAGUGUGACUCUAGCUGCUACAAAUAACAAGGAUGAAAAUGAAAGAAAAGACAUUGAGAAGAAAAAGGGGAUUAUUAGAGAGUUUGCUGGAGGGAGGUUGAUGUAUUGAAGAAAUUUCAAUCCUAUCGUGCAUGCCGCAUGAACUCACUCAAUGCAACCUAUUAUCUUUAACUAGUUAUAAAAUUAAAAGGGGAAUUUUGAUUUAUUACUGCCAAAAAGGACAGAACUUCACUUUGAAUUGCUGGGAUGGAUUUCUGUGGUUCUUUUUGGUUUUAUGUGGGUUAUGUCCUCGUGCCUGGCUGAGUCACUGGAUCAUAGUACUAACAAUAAUGGGGCUGCUGGGGAAUACAGCACAAAUGUUAUUUUAUAAAAAAUAUUUUUAUAUAUAUUUUGGAUAAUUUUAAUGUAAUAAUAUUAAAAAUAACAUAAAAAAAAUGAAGAAUAUAGACUUGAACUAAUUUAGUAAUUUUUCAUAUGAGGAUGGUUUUUUAUUUUUAUUAUUCUAUACAUAAGCAGAUGUCAAAAUAAUGGAUUAAAAAUCACCUAAAUUUAGUAUCAGUAAAAGUGUUUUAAAAUAAAGAGUUUGGCAUGCCUUCUUUUAUUUUAUUUUAGGGUUAGCUGAAGGCUUCUGAGGGAGCACUUUAUCCAUGUCUCAGGGAUUUGCUGUGGAUAUGUUGGGCUCAAACAGUAAACAAAUUGCACAGCCACAAAAAGGCUCGUCAUGCUUUGCUUCUAUAUAUUAUCAAAAGUUUUUGGGGUUUGGAGACCAUACAUGGAAAUGAGACAAAAAAUUUUUUUUAAAAAAUAAAGUUUAUGAUUCUUUAUCAUGGGACAAAUCCAUGGUCCCCUACAAAUUGAGAUUUCCCUAUCAAAGAUUAUUUGGAUCCAUCGCUGAGAUCUCUGUUCUUUGAGGUAGCAGAUGAUAGGGAUUGUACACAAGAGAGCAUUAAGAUUUAGUGCAUGCGCGUGUUUCAGUGUUCGAGAUUGUAAUAAAAAUUAUUAUUUUUUUAAAUGUUUUUAAAUAAAAAAUACUUUUAAAAUUAGGUAACCAUGAGCUAACAAAGAAAGGGUUAUGAAAUUGAAAAAACAAAAUUGAUGCAAUGGGUGGAAAAAGGGUAUAAAUUCUUUCAAUUUUCUCUAUACUUUCUUUUGGAAAUAUGUAACAAAACAUUAUCUCUUAGUUUUGUCUCUAAUUAAAAAACUUUGUCAGAUUGGUAUCAUGCAAUGCAAAAACACCUUCGACAGGAAAUCCUGUUUGACAUAAAAGCAAGAAAGUGGGUAGCUGGGAAGGACACUGUAGUGAUGAUCAAUGUGUCUCUGCUUUGAUCCAUGGCAUCAACUGAGGAUGGUCAAUGCCUCUCUUUUUAACUAACCAGAUCAACAUCUAGCUAUAAUUGAGACACAACAAUAAUUCAUUUUACUUUUUCUGUAAUUGUAUACUAGUAGGACAGGAAGUAGAUGAACGUACGAAAUUUAUGCAACUUUUCUUUCUCAUAAUUUGCCAAUCAAUUACAUGUUCAUCUUAUUGUAUUAAUUAAAAUGUAAGCGUAUUUUCAAGAAUAAAAGUUUGAUUCUUAAAAAUUAAAAUUAAUUUUCAAUAUAAUAAAAGAAUAUGUUAAUAUUAUGGAUACUUUAACCAAGAACAAAUAAAUUAUAUUUUUAUAAAUACAUCAUGUAAAUAAGAAUUAAUUAUAUAAAAUAUGAAAGGAAAAAAAUAAAGAUAAAUUACAAUAAUCUCUUUGAAAUAUAAUCAAAUUAAAAAAUAACUACUAAUUAAAAAAUGUGUCUUAAGAAAUUUUAAAAAAUAAAAAUAAAAGAGAGGGUGAUAUUUAAAAUUAUCAUUAUAAACAAUGUUUCCACCCCUUCUUUUUUUAAUUGUAUUGUUAUGCUUCUUCAUUAGCAUAUAGAAAUGUCCAAGUAAUGGAUUAAAUUAGUCUUUCAUCUUUAACGUGAUAAUCAGAUUAAUUUAAUUAUAAUCGUAAUGAAAUCAUAAUGGAUAUGAAGUUUGAUUCUCUCUUCCUCCUAACAUUUUUUAUGUUUAUUGAAAUAAAAUUAGAUUUAAAAAUUAGGGUAUUGCACAUUUACAUCUAGUGAUAUGAUGGCAAAUUUAUCAAAUUUUUUAUUUACAUAAUCAGGUAUGAAUUGAAGCUCCGUCGAGAAAGAGGAUACCGUCCCUCGUUCCAUACCCAACCCAAUAGGGAUUUUUCUUUUGCUCUACCUCCAUCUCCAUCGAGAAACUGCUUGGAAACAGGGAAGGACAGUUUGUCUAAAUAUUUUGUCUAAAUACAAUUUUAGGCCAGCAUGCUUCAUACAGGGAAGGACAGUUUUUCGUUUUUUUGACACCACUUCGCAUGCGAAAACAAAACUAGCUAGGUUAAAAGCUUGGCUAGAAACAAAUGUAAACUCGCUUAGUGGGGCCAAUAACUUACACCAAUCUCCCUUCCCAAUCCUCAUAGCCAACAAAAGCUUGCAUGAAAUAAAUAAAAAGCUAGAAGAAGAAAUGGCAGAGAAAGGUAUGGACUUCAGAGAGUGAGGAAGUCCCUUUGAUUUCAUUUGUCAUUCUCCUGCGCUGGCUGGACUCUGCUGCGUGCUAGUAAUUAGUAAUGCAAUUAAAGUUAGUGGAUACCCUACUCAAAGUCACAUGGAACCCGAGAAAGAGAUAAAAGUUGAUAAAGUUCUUACUCUCCUUUGUAAAUCCACCACUAUAUGUGCCAUAAUAACAAAGAACAAACGUUGCUUACAGGCUUGAGUAUUACUUGGAUAAUUUACUUUGGAAGAUAUCAAGGGAAUCUUUCUCUACGAUUGUUCGAUCUAAACCAUUGGUAUCCAUAGCGAGCUUGUAAAUCCCUCUUAUUAUGGUUUCCAUUAACGUUUUUUAUAUGAAAGCGGCCGGGAUGCAUUUGACGUCCUUGGCAAUCCUUUUACAUCAGUAUCGAACUGACAACAGGCGUUGCAUAUUAUAGAAGAAGCUUCCACCAGCCCGCCCUGGUUCGCGGGGUUGGGUGGAUGGAUUAAAUCAGAUGAAUCAAAACGAUAUCGUUAGGAUUUAAUGACAUUAUUUUAGAUUAAAAUGUGACAACGUUUAAUAUAAAACCUGAUCUAAAUUAAGUAUCAGAUCAAUAGAUUGAUCUAUAAAAACGGUACCAUGUUUAACAUGGUUUGAUAAUGGCAUUCUAUGCUUAUAUUAACCCAAACAAAACAUGUCAUACUUACACACGGGGCUUGUAGCUCAGUGGCCUUGGCAGGCUUUGCCCUGCCUGAGUGCCCUGGUUCGAGCUCUGCUGUGUACCCAGCACUUGAGGGUCUAGUUGCUGUGGUCCAUCGUGGACUUGUUCCGCCCCCCCUCCCGGGUUCGACCCUCUAUGUGCACGCCUGUCACCCCCACGGUGCCUUACCUGCUCCUGGGCUUGCAGGAUGUCCAGUGGGCCGUGGGGAAUAGUCGUGGUGCGCGUAAGCUGGCCCGGACACCCCACGUGAAUCAAAAAAAAAAAAAAACAUGUCAUACUUUUUAAUUAAUCAAGGCACACAGCCUUGUUUAUUCUAUGGUUUUGCUCUCUACAUUUGUCAACUUGUCGGAUUCCUUCAUACAUAAAAAACUACAAUCCAUAUUUUUGGUUUAAGGAAAAUUCUGUUAGCCAGUUUAGGCUAAAUAAUUUUAAGCAUGACAAUCUCAGUGGAAAUAACAGAGAUUUUUGUUUUGUGGAAGUCCAAGAUUGGGUAUUUUAUUUUCUUGGUUCUGAACAUUAAAAUUCUUUUGUCACUAAUCCAGAUAAAUCACGGGCCUUAUGGUCUUGAAGCCAUGGCCUGUCUUUGAUGUUGACACUUGUUUUUGGUCCUGACAGAUAACACUUUAUCCCAGGCCUGGUUUUAUCUAGCCAUUUUAAAACUUCAGCUGCUUAGACAAUUCCUCCAUGUUGGACCUGUUUUAAAGGUCCAAUCAAGCCUAUAGCAAGUCACUUAGCCCCGUUUGAGCAAGCCAUUCAUAUUUCUUCGAGUUCCAAAAUGUUCAUUAAUUACCCUAAAAAAUAAUAAUAAAAUGUUCAUUUUGAAUAAGUACAGUGUUGUUGGAAAACACACACACACUUCCUCCAUAUUGGACCUGCUUCAAAGGUCCAAUAAAGCCUAUAGCAAAUCUAUUUCCACUUAGCCCUGUUUGAGGAAGCCAUUCAUAUUUCAUGAAGUUCCAAAAUGUUCAUUAAUUACCCAAAAAAAAAAAUUGUUCAUUUUGAAUAAUUACAGUGUUGUUGGAAAACAAGCGCGCGUAUGUGUAUGUGUGUGUGUGUGUAUAUAUAUAUAUAUUAUGAAAAAGGAUUUUCAUAGAAACAAGGAUUUAUUUCCUUUUGAUUGAAAAAAUAUGUUUUUUUUUUUUUAAAUAUUAAUUCCAAAAUAAGCAUACGAUAUAAGUUUGAGUGAGUAUUAUAUAAACAAUUCUCAACACAUCUUAUAAUCGUGUAAAUACUUUUUGAUUGAAUGGUUUUUUCCCAUAAAAAGACAUCAAUCACACAAGAUAUUCUAGAUAUACGGAUGGUAAGCGCAUAUUUAUGUUAAGGGCCUAGAAAAUUAAAUGCUUGAGUGAAAUUGAAUCUCGUUUCACACUAAAAAUAAAUGAUUUGACUGAAAAAGCAAAGCAAAUAAUUGUCAAAAUCAAUUUGAACGGAGGAAGAAAAAAAGCUGACAUCAAAUCUUGUCCGAUUCAAGACUCGUGAUUCUUGGCGAAUUGGGUUUACUUCACUGUAUGUGUCCUCUCUGCAUGCAUGUAACACGACUACCAAGCCAGCACCCACAGCCAUAAAAGGUGUAUUGUUUGAUAAAAAGAAGGAAAAAUAGAAGUAGUUUUUUCCAUCCACUAAAAAUGCUUGAUAUCUUAGUCAAAAGAUCAAAAAAAGAAAAUCCUUAAAGUCAUAAAAUUUGUGACUAGCAUGCCAUGAUGUCUUACAAAGAUACAUUUUUUUAAGGUAUAAAAUUGUUUAAUGUAAAUCUCAAAAGAUUGAUUCAAAUAACAAUAAUGUUUUAGGUUUUAUCUUAACAAAUUCAGUUGAUAUAUCAAGGAAGGAGCUCGAAAAUGAGAUUAAAAGGGUCAAAUUAGAAAAAUUAUCAUGGGAGAGCUGGAAUUUCAUCAGGGAAGCUAGAAAAAAAGUUUUUCUUGCAUUGGAUAUAUCAAUAUUUGAUUAAUUUUAUUUGUAAAUAUAGAUGCAGCAAGGUUUUUUAAUUAUAUAAACAUGCAUAAAAGUCCUAAUAGUUUAUAUACAUCCAGUAUAUUUAUUUAUACACCAAUUUUUCUAGCAUUAAAUAUAUAAAGUCUAUCCGAAUUGGAUGUCUAUACAAAAAUUAAUAAGCUUUGAUCGAAUUGCAUUUCGCGCGGGGGUGUGUGUGUGUGUGUGUGUGGAUCUUCUUUUCCCAAAAAAUAACGUGACAUCCAUGUUUUGCAAGUCAAUUAUGCACAACUAUUGAGGGACACAUGAUCCUCAGAUUCUGAGGCUCAAAAUGCUGGGAAUUAAAGAUCUCCAAGGCCCACACUUGAAUUUUCUUGAACUGUUUUCACUUUGAUGGUAGCCUCUGAACAGCCGAAGAUGCAUAGCAUUUUCUUGAGGACAUAUUUAUUCAAGGCAAGUUCCUCUAACCUUCAGGUCUUGGUAAUAGUCUAUGAAGUCAAUUUCUCUGUUCAAAUGCAACACUUUCACAUGCCCACUAUGACUUCGAGUGUGUAUUUUAAUAGGAUCAGAGGGCCCAGGAGAAGCUACGACGAAAAAGUCUUGAAGGAUAGAACAAUUAAUAUACGUUUUCCAUGUAUAUUUGAACAAGGAAACUUCCUCUGAAGAAAGUGUGAACUCACGCCGGGUGAAGCACUUGGGGAACACAUGCAUUUCGAAGUAAAUGCAUUAUUCUUAUAAACUUAAUUGCAUCCUCCCAUUUCUUGUCUGGUUAAAUAUUCAUGGACGUUUGUUAGUGUAUUGGCUUAUAUUAUAUAUACUAGAUUCUUGACUUGUGAUGCAUAGUAGGUUUGAUAAUUAUUUUCUAACCUUUAAAAAAAUUAUAAAGACCUUGAGAAUUAAAAAAAUUCUAUACAUAUUGAACAAAAUAUUUUUUAAAUAUUAAAAAGGUAACAUAUUAGAUGACAUAAUUUUUUUUAAAAAAUUAAAAUAACAAUAUAUUGACUCAAUUUAGAUUAGCUAUAGUUAACCUGUGAUCUAGGACAUGAAACCAUAAUAAUCUUAUAGAACUCAAAUCAAAACAAAAUAGAGAGUUUAAUUUUAACUGCACCAAACUAGAGGGAAUUAUACUAGACAUGCCACUCAGAGAUGUAGGCCCAGCAUGAUGAUUCAGAAAAACUUAAGAAAAGCUGCUUUUGACGACCAUAAGCCACCACACACGCCACUUGAACAUGGCGAAGAGAUUUAUAUUGCAUACGCUAACCACUUUUUUUUUCUUUAUUAUUAUUUUAUAUUUAUUGUCAAAUUAUCUCUUUGACCACAUAAUUAUCACAAAAAAAAAGUUGAAAGUAUGAAUAAACCUCUAAAGGCAAGUUAAAUAAAUUUUGAUUUCCAAGGCAACACAAUCAUUUAACAAUAAUAUGAAAAUAAAAUUUUCAAAAAAAUUCUAAAUCCAAGACAAAAAGGGUAAUUAAGGAAUUAUAUUGUGUAAAAAUAUAUAAAAAACCUAAGUUAUUCCCAAUCAAUUUUAUAAUGAUCAAUAAACCAUGUAAAAAAAACCAUAUUAUCUCUAAUAAACAAUUACAUUUUUUAAAAAGAAAAAACAGUAAUUUUAAUUAUCCAAUCCACCAUGAUUAAAUGAAAUUAUAACUUAGUCGCUUAUAUUUCAAAUACCUAUAAAAUAGUCUCUGAACCCUUAAUAACUACUAUCUAAUUUAAACGUCUUAGUUUUUUUUUUUCUUUUUUUUUUAAUUAAGUCUCCAUGCAUCACGUUGUUUUUCCUCUAAAAAAUUAAAAUCAUUGGAGGGUAUAUUUCAAAUUAAAGGAAAUGAUGAAUAAAAGUCAACGGACUAUAGUACAAAAUACCUAUUAUGAUAAUUCCUUAUAAAAAUACCUAUUAUUGGAGGGUAUAUUUCAAAUUAAAGGAUUAUAGAUGCCAAAGGAAUAUGAUUGAGGCAGUCUUUCUUUAUGCUGCUGGAGUAUGUUUUUGAAAUUUUUUUGAAAAUAAUUCUUUAUAUUAUUUUUGGAUUGUUGAUAUAAAAAAUAAAAAAUAAAAAAUAAAAAAUGAUAUUUUUAUGUAUUAAAAAAAACGUUUUUAAAAACAAUCUUUAUUAUAAUUUUAAAUAGAAAUAAAUAAAAAACGCCAAAAGAUGCGAAAUGAUUAAUUGGAAUGGGAACAAUAGUGGGGACAAGCUUGUUGGAUGAUAUUAUUUAAAUUUGAGGACAGUUGAGUUUGUUGAGAUAUCAACCUACAAAUUGCCACUUUCUUCGAAGCUCAGCUGUGGUAAUUAAACAUUUCUUUACUUAUGCAAUUAUCAAAAUCGUCGUGGGAAUUUUUUCUCUCCCAAUGAACCUAUACAUGCACUAAUUCCUUCUCGAAGGAUUUGAGGCUUGAGCCUCUUUCCGGAAUAAUAAUAAUAAUAAUAAUAAAAAAAAACAUAAUAUUUCUUCUGCCCUAUAUUGCCUCCUAAUUCAAUAUUUUAUUUUUUAAAAAAAUGAGGUUUUAAAAUUGAGAUGAAAUUAAACUCUUUUUUUCUGUCAGCAUACGCUUUUAAGAUAAUAAAAUUAUAUUUGAAUAUAAGUUAAUUCCUUAAAUUAUAUACAUGUUUUUCAGGUACAGAUUAAAUGACUGGUUUUAAUAGAUUAGCCUAAAAUCCUUGUGAUCAUAAUGAUAAAUUAAAAGAUUAACGCAUAUUUAAAAAUAAAAUUAACUUCACAAAGAAUAUAAAAAAUAAAUUAGAGAAAUAUCUCAUUCGGAUUUAUCGACAAAAUACAAUCGGAAUGUGUAGUAAUUCACACCAUAUGAAAAUCCAUGCUAGUGGAUUUCCUGCAUUUGGCCAAAUCAACAGGCAUAUGCCCUUGCAUGUUUCAGCCAUCACAACUUUGACUUUGAUUUUACCUCCUCAACUUGAACCCCGUUUCAUGCAUUCUUCGAACAUAGACGAUUUUCUUGUAAAUCAUUCGUUUACAAUGUUUAAAUCAUGUUGCUAAUUGAUUUGUCGAGUGGAAUAUAUAUAAUAACUCAUGAAAUCAUAUUUUAAGGCUCUCAUUGCUUGGAUAUUUAGGGCUCAUUUAGUUGAUAAUUACACCGAAAUUGUUAAUGCAUGUGUUGUCAUUUGUCAGUGGAUUAAUUUGCCACAAUUAAGCUUAAUUAGUCAAUAUUCCUUCUGGGAUAUUUAUGGACAAAAUGAUCAAAAUUAAGUAGAAAAAAAUGAUCAAAAUUACAAAACAAAAUAUAAUUUAUUACACUAAAAUUUAAUCAGAAAAUUCUAUACACCCAGUUUUAUAUUGGUGUCUGCUUGUUGUAGUCAUUCAAAGUUUGAAAGACCUUCAAAUUAGAUUUAAAUUAUACUAUUCGAGUUAAUUUUAUUAUUUUUUCUGUUUUUUUUUUAAUUUUUUAGGAUUCUUAUUGCCUUUUUAUUUAUUUUUAUAUUUCAUAGUUUAUUUAGAUUUAUUUUUGAAUUUAUUUUAAAAAUUAUAAAUAUCUUCUUUCCAUAGAAUUCUAUGUUUUUAUAGUGACUGUUUUUCUUGUUUUAUCUUCAGAAUUAACCUAUGACCUAUCUAGAUCUUAUCUAAUUCUACACUUCAAAAGGUGUCAGAGGGUCGAGUUUCUCGUAAGAAAUUCAAAUUGCAAAAUCGUUUUAGAAUUCGCUAUUUCUUUUAUUAGUUUAGACAUUUUAAGUUUAAUGCACUUUGAUUUUUCCUAAGUCAUUCAGAGAAAGUUUGUAGACAUUAAUAUUAUUGUUUUUAUUUUAGAUUAAGUUUUCAGUGAUCAUUCUCUAAUGCAGUAUCAGAGCUGUUAUUCUUGUUUGCAUUCUUAUGAAAAAAGGCUUGGCUAAGUUCUUGUUUGCAUGCAUGAUCAUAUAUGGAAAUGAACAUAUCUGAUUUUUAGUUUGAGAAAAACAAGCAUUUUACUCCAUAACUUCUCUAUAUUAGCAGAUCCCAUUUACAUAUAUAUAUAUAUUUAUAUAUAGAAAUUCAAUUCUACUACCAUAUGAUUAGUGUUCUACCACAAAUCUGAUCAUGGAAAAAAGCACCAUUUUUAUUUAAUAACUAUCUUGCAGUUCCUGCAUCAUUUGCUGGAUCCAAUUCAUACUAUCAUCGUCAUAGUUGAAUGGAUAGGAUGGCAUGUAUACUUCUUCUGUGAAUAACAAUGAAUGAUAACCAUCUUGGCUGUCAUUGUUGUCGGCUAUAAAUGGCUGGUUCCAGAAACCUGAAUCUUGAAAUAUUUCCAUUGGAGAGAAACUAUCUGCAGCACCAUUCAUGCCUGACACAUAAUCAUUAUUCAUGGAGGAUAACUCACUGCAGGAUAUUUCUUGAGGUGAAGGAAUGUUCUCUACAAUUUUCGGGUGACGAUCAGGUUCUGAUGGAGUAUUGACAGAAACACUUUCAGUUUCGGACUUUUCUGCUUGACUAUCUUCAGACUCUGAAGUUUCACUUGACUGCUCUUUAUUCACCAACUCAGAAGAAACUGAUUGGCUUUGCUUCACUCUCUUGCUCAAGUUGGUGUGCCAAUGAUUUUUAAUCUCAUUGUCUGUUCUUCCAGGUAAUUUCCCAGCAAUGAUAGACCAUCUGUAGAAGACAAAAUCACACUUAGUCAAUCAUUUCCAUCAUAUAGCUAUGCUUUCGAUUUUCCAGUCAAAAGAAAAAAUAUAUACUUAAUUUCUUCACAUGUAUGUGAAAGAAGUGUCAUGUUGUGAAGAAAAUUUCGAUGAAGUUGCAUUCAUUUUGAAAGUAAUGGCAGCUUACUUAUUUCCAAGUUCUUCAUGCAUUUGAAUGAUCAAAUUAUCCUCUUCAUCAGAGAAAUUGCCACGCUUCACGUCCGGCCGGAGAUAGUUCAUCCAUCUUAAUCUGCAACUCUUGCCACACCUUGAUAAACCUGUAAAAGAUGACUAAAUUAAAUUCUAAAGGAAAAAACAGAAAAUUGCACCAUAUUUUGUUUCUUUUUUCAGAAAAUUUUAUGGGAACAUUGACAGGAAGCAACAAAACUCAUAAAAUUAAGGUAAUAUAUUUUCAUCAUCUCUGGAAAUGGGAUUAGAACAUGCUAAUGCUUAUGAUGAUAAAUUGAGAAAACAUGAAUUUAUGGGUGAAAUUCCUUUUUGAAACCCAUUUUAUUUGAAGCAUCAAAGAUCUAGAAAGAAAAUGGUAUCUUACUUACCAGCAAACCUGGGAAGUUGUCGCCAAUUCCAGUGGCCAUAUUUCUGAACAUAAACUCUCAACUUAUCAUCUUCUUCUUUACUCCAUGCACCUUUCCUGAGUCCAUUUUUAUCAACCAAGGUUGCUUUGACCAUCUUUCUAUUGAGAAGAGGAUCUAGCCUUUCUAGUUUCUAUAAUCCCUAUAUUAAGGUAGGAGGGCAAAGUGUUACGAGUUAAGGAUCAAUAUACCUUCACAUCUAUAUAUAUACAUAGAUCACUUCCUUUAACAAUAGGAAGUGAAUUGUCCUCAACCAUGUAAAGUGGAUGAAUGACAAUAGAUCUAAAGGGAAUUGAGGGCCCAUUAGAAAUUGUUAUGGUGGUAUUCUCUUUCGAAGAUUGAAUAAUGCCAUGACUAGAGUGAACACGGAGGCUUCCAAAAGGUGUUUUCUUUUGGUCAAAGUCACAUAGACCAUAUAAUAUUCAGUAUUGCUUUGUUCAGGUCCAGUCAACUGAAAAAAACAGAAAAGAAAGAAGACUAUGUACAGUUCAGUCAAAUGCUCGUGUAAAAACUUCUAUGCAACUAUAUUGCACUAUUGUCUUAAUGGAAAUAGAUCAGAAACUCCAUUUCUGUGAUAUGAAAACUCCCUGUGAAUAUUUAAUUUAGUGUAUGUGCAUGGUUUUUGUUUUCUCAACUUGGAGAGUGGGUAUAGUAGGGCAGCCCCUUCUUAUUCAAACAACUCAUCAAUCUUCUCCACAACUUCGAUGAAAUUUAAGCUCAGAAUCCAUUCUGAUGAGAUGUCAACUUCCUUCGAUAGAACAUUAGCCAUCUUUAUUUUUAAUUUCAUUUUCAUUUUUCUUUUUCAAUUAAAAAUAGGCAAUUGCUAUUCCUUUUCUGAAAAAAAGAAAAAAGAAAUUCUACUAAAAAUUAAGAAAACAUAUCAAGAUUAUAACUAUGUUUUUAUUUUAAAGAAAAAAUGAAUAUGAAUGAUAAUCUAAUUAUAUAAUAUUUAGUUUUAUUUUAUUUAAAUCAAAACGUAUCAUCCAAAGGUAGAUGACAAUAACCAAAUAUGAAUCUGCAAAAGAAGAAUAUUGCAAACAAAAUUUCAAUCCAAAAUAAUAAUAUCAUGACAAAUGUUUUUUGGACAAAUUUGAAAAACAAUAUAAAAAUAAUAUGAAAACAUACAAAAUUCUCCAAUCUCAAUAUAAAUUUAAAAACUAUAGGAUGAGAUAAUACAUUUGAAUUUAUUAUUUUUUAUCUGGUCCAAAGCAAUACAACAUUACUAUGUUUAUAAGAGCAUAUGUCUUUUUGCGUUUUAAAAGUGUUUGUAAAUUUUUUUUUUUUUUUGCGUUUUAAAAGCGUUUAUAAGAGCAUAUGAAAAUACUCUAUCUUGAUAAAUCCAUCAAUAACCUUAAAAAUCCAAAAAAUCAUCCCAAAACCUGAAAGUCAAAAAAAAAAUAUUUCCAAUCUUAUAUUUGUUUAGACACUUUAAGGUAAAAAAAUAAAAAUAAAAAACACAAGUUGUACUCCCUUUCAUCAAAUAUAUAUAUUGCUUGAUUAAAACUGUUCAUGGGCUGGGCUAACUUCAAACAUGCUCUUUUCUGCAAGACUCGGCUAGCAUGACUAUUUGUGCUACUUUCAAGGUCUGAUUCAGCUCUGGAUUCAUUUUGGGCUUUUUGAUGCCAAGUUUUGGGUUGAUCUAAGAAAAAAAAAACUAUAUAUAAAAAAUAAUUUGCGAUCCAUUUAUUUUAUCCAAAACUCAAAGAUAUAUUUCCCUUCAUUUUCAAAGUUAUUUCUCUUUCGCACCAAAACUAAAUAAUCUACAUAUAAUUAAAUAUCAACAAAAGAGUUAACUCAGCACACAAAGACUUCUACUAAUAUUCCUGCCAGAGAUAAAGUUAGGCUAACCCUUCUUGUUCUGCUGUGUGCAUUCAUAUUUGGAAGAAAAAAAAUGGCAGAUGACUUUCUGCAAAUAAAUUUCUACUUUUCAUGGUAUUCUUCCACAAUCAGAUUUUGAUGCCAACUGUAGAUUGGAAUAAAUAGGAAUAAAUUGCAAGACAAGGAUAGAAAUUAGUACUGAUAAACAAGUAUAAAAAAAUUUGUUCCAAGAGACAUAAUCAAGAUUGGAAAAGGAAAGGAUAUUGUACAUGAUUUUUCUUGAAUCAAUUAACUAUCUACACCCAAAAUAUUAAAAGAAUUUUUUCCUCGAAUCAUUUUUCUUGAAUUUGAGUUUAAGAUGAUAAUUACAUUUGUCUGUUGGCAGCUAAUACAAUCAUCACAAUUCACUGAACAAAAAAAUAAAUAAAGAAAACAAGUGCAAUAUUUGACAACAUAUGUAUACAGACAUGUGGCCAGGACUAAUUGUUCCCUGGCAGUUCUUGCAUCAUUUCAUAAUAGAAAUCUAUGCCAUCAUCAUAGUAUGAAACAAAGGGCUCCUCUUGAUAAAAAGAUAGCCCUGGAAAAUUAUCUUGGUCGUAGGCACUAUCUGCUACAAAUGGCUCAGUCCAAAAAUUUCCAAUGGACUCGUCAAAUGUUGGCACUGAAGAGAGAACAUCUUCUGCAAUAUUAUUCCUGUUUGUGCCAGCUGAUACAGGAAGUUUUGGAGCAAAAUCAGUGCUCAAGUUGGAGAGCUCACUGCAAGAUGUUUCUGGGGAUAAUGGAGUGCUCUCUAAAAUUGGGUUAGAGGGAGUGUAGGAAACUACAGUUUUAGCUUCCAUUUCUUUAUUCAUCUGGCUGCCUUCACUUUCAGAAGUAAAACCACUAGAUUUCUCUUUCAACACCAAUGUGUUUUGUUUUUCCACCGUUCGCUUCUUCAGAUGGGCGUGCCAGUAGUUUUUCACUUCAUUAUCUGUUCUUCCUGGUAAUUUUGCAGCAAUUAUGGACCAUCUGCAAGCAGUACAAUUUGUAAGCCUUACUUUCAUGAACUUAUAUUUUCCAGCACAGAAAAAAUAUUCAAGCAAACAAUAUUAAUUAUCCAUUAAUUUGGUCAAUACAAAUACAUGGGAAGAUCUUUUUUUUUAUGUGGAGACUUUUGUAUUGGAAGAAAUGUAUAAAAAGUAGAUCAAAGAAAUAAGUUUUUUAUACUUAUUUCCAUGUUUUUCAUGUAAUUUGAGGAUUAAAUCUUCUUCUUCUUUGGUGUAGUUGCCAUGUUUUACAUCCGGGCGGAGAUAAUUCAUCCAUCUUAGUCUGCAACUCUUGCCACACCUUGAUAAUCCUGUAAAUCAAGCACAGACUCAAAUUAAUUAAAACCCAAUUUAAAUUUCACCAAGAAUAUUAUCGCAGAGGCAUAAUUUAUUUUGACACAGAAUAAACGAGUUAAAUAUUUCAAACAACAAAAUGUUCCUCUAGCUACCUGCAAACUUGGGGAUUUCACGCCAGUUCCAAAGGCCAUAUUUCUCAAUAUGUUCUCUUAACUUAUCAUCUUCUUCUUCACUCCAUGCACCUUUCUUUACUCCAUUUUUGUCAAAGUAAGGAGCUCUCACCAUGUCUAAAACUAUGCAAGUCUUCCUGCCUUAUUUGUCUUUUAAGUCAACCAAUUAAUAUUUUCUUAGCUCAAUUAAAUACCUCCACACAUUAGCUCAUAUAUGCACCUACUCAUGUGUGAAUCCAAAACGUGAUUAAUGUAGGGAUAGCUACUGUCAAGAUAGGUCUCUCACGUUUUUUUAAUGUAGAGGGCCCGACAGGGGGCAAAGUAAAAGGCUAGCCCUAAAAUGAACAAUGAGCCUUUCUUAAAGUGUCACAUGUAUCUCACCAUUUUCCCGCUUUCCUUCUUCAUUACUAAAUUUAAUAUAUCAUGUAGUUAUUUGAUUGAUUAUAUGUAAUAUUAAUUAUAUUUAUGUAAAUAAGUCUUUAUUAUUAAUAAAAGUAUAAUUUAUUUUUAAUAUUUAUAUAAUAUUUAUAUAAUAUUAGAUUAAUGAAUAUAGAAUAAAGAUAAAGUUUAUGAGUCAAAAAUAUUUUGCAAAGUAAAUUAUAAAGUUGUUAUAAUUAUGAGAUUUCUAUUGCAUUAAAGCAUUGUUUUUAAAAUAUUUAUGUGGUCGAUGCUCUCUUAAUUACUGAAUAUUCAUUAUAGUCGUAAAAACUGAUAUAUAUUAUGUUAUUUCCUUUGUGAAAGGAAACAUUUGUUCUCAUAAUUAGUUGAGAUAUAAGAGAUACCUAAAACUAAUAUGUACGUGCUUGUCAUAAGAUAUGUACACUGAACUAAAAGGCAUGAGAAUUCCAUAUGAAGAGAUUACUUAUGUCUAUGGAAAGGCUCACGUGACAGUUGUGUAAGUAAUCUUUAUACUUGAGAUCACUAAGUCAUCUUAUAUAUAGAAUGUUAUGCUUUGAUCUUAUUGCAUGCUAUCUUAAUUAAGGUAAUGAAAUGACAGACGUUGGGUACAACAUGAAUCAUAUGAAAGUACUUGAGUGAUCUAGAGAUGAUUCAUCACCCUAGAUGAAUUAAGAAAAAUAUUUCAUCUAUUUUCAAAUAGUAUUGAUUGAAAAAUCAUUGGUAAGAUGGAAUGAGAUUUAAAAAGAGUUUUAAAUUUUAUUCAAAUGAUCAAUUACUAUCAUGUAAAGAACAAAUAUGAUUUAACAUGACAGACAUACUUUAUACUUUAAUGUUAAAUCAGAGCAUUAUUGAUGAAAUGAUAUUAAUUAAACUUGAAAACCAGUCACUGAAAGGUUAGUCAAACCACUAAUAACUUUUUUAAUAUUUGGGGGAUCAUGAAACGGUGCUAGACAAUGCAUAUAAUCUUCAAAUAUAAAUUAAUUAAUUAUUUAAUUGAUAAUAAAUUAAAUUAUUUAAUUAGAAUUAGAAUUUAUAUUUGGGCCAAUAUAUUUGGAACCUAAUGGGUCAUACACAUUAAGAACCAUUAAUCAAAAAUUAAAUUGGGAUGAUUUAAUUAAGAAUGACUUAAUUAAAAUAUAUUUUAGAAAUUAAGGACUAGAAUAUAAUUAAUACAAGGAUUAUAUUUCUAGACUUAGAAAAAUCAAGUAAAGACUUGAUUGAGUUAGUUUUUAAAAUUAUCCUGAAUUAAUAAAUAGAUAUUAUUCAAGGGGCAAAUUGAUAUUUUGCCGAUUUAUAGAGUUUUUCAGAUUUUUCUAUAAAUAGUAAGUUAUGCCUCUUAUUUUUUAAUUGUUAUCUCUUAGAUAUAAAAACUAUAAAAACACAUAAUUAGAGCUAGCUCUCUAGGCAUAAAAAUCUCUUUCUUUUAAAUAUAGAUUUAGGAGAUUUCUCACAGGUGGUUCGUGUGGAUUACUGUUAGAGACCAGACAAUUGGACGUCUUAUGGUUUGCGACAACCCAGCCUUUAAAAAAUAUUCAAAGCUGAAAAAGAUCAAAUCUUCAUGUAUUUAAUAUUUAAAUAACUCUAAAUCUGUUUAACGGAUCAUAGGGACUCCUUAAUAAUUUUAUUUUAUAAUUUUCAUUACAUAUAUAUGAUAUUCAAGAAGGAAAAAUUCAACGAAGCAUCUUGUUUCUUUCCAGAUUGCUAGACAUAUAAACAAAACAAGGUUAAACUAUAUCUCAUCACAAGUGAUAAAUAACAAAUCGUAUAUCUCAUAAAUAUUAAUGAUAGUUAAAGAACGAAAAUAUAUAGUCAUGACUAGACUUGUUUGUACAUAUAGCGAAAAUAGCAUAUAUGAUCAUCCACACUUGAAAAAGAGGUAAAAUGCAUUCUCCUGUAUAGAGUUAAGGUUUUCACUAAAUGAUAAAAGCUAUUAUGUAUAUUUGGAUAUUUGGUUCAAAUUCUAAAUAUGAGUAAGGAAAGAAAAGGUUGUUGGAAACUAAUUAAACACACAAAACAUUUAAACCUCUCUUAUUUCAUUCAUUAAUAUUUAAUAUUCUUAAAAUUAUAAAUAUAUAAUUUUAUAUUUAUAGAAAUAAUAUAAACUCAAACUAUCAUCAUUCUUCAAAAUACUAAUUCCAUAAAAAAUUUAAUUAAUGAAUUAAAUAAAUAUUUUAUAUAUUUUUUUCUAUCUCAGAAAAGCUAGUAAAAAAUAAAUAAUUUGUUAAUAUACUAAUUACAACAUAAAUGAUUUAUCUCAUUCACGAUAAAUAACCCCAAAAUAUUAUUAUGUUAGGUCAAAACUAACUUAAAUUUUGCUUUAAUAAUUCAUUCUCCCUCAUUUAUUUAGUGUUCUCAAUAUAAUUCAAGAAUAUAUAUAUAUAUAUAUAUAUAUAUAUAUAUAUAUAUAUAUAUAUAUUUCAUAAACAUAUAUUACUACACCUAUAUUCGAUUUUCUUCUAUAUUAAUUAUACAUCAAAUCACCAUGAAAUUGACAAAUUCUGAAAAUCAUGGUUCGUCAGCCACCUGGUCGAAACAGGCCACAAGUGAUCGGCAUCACAAUCAAUAGGUAGAGAUGCAUGGAAUUAAUAAAUAUUAUACAUAUGUGGUCCAAUUCUAAGAAAAAUGUAGCAAUUUCAUUGAAUUUAAAAUCAAAGGAUUCUUAUCUUCUUUUUCUAAUUUUCUAAUUCAAUAUUUAAUUUAAUAGAAACUUCAUAAUUUAUUUUAUAAGUGGUUAACUUGGUUUUAUAAUUCGUAUCUGAGUUUGACUGAUUUACUUAAUUUUUUUGUUUUUUUUAAUUGAUAUUUUUUUAUCUCAAUUUCAUCAUUUAAUAUUGAGUUGAUUAAGAAUUAGACUUCAUGAUUUAUUUUUAUUUGCUUUCUAUGAAGUUAUCUCAGUUUCAUAACUUAAGUUGCGAGUUUGGCUAGUUAAUCUAGUUAACUUAAGUUUUUUUUUUGUCUUUUUUUUAAUCAGUAUUUUUUUUAUAUUUUAUCCUUCAAUAUUGAGUUGAUUAUGAAUUAACCUUCAUGAUUUAAUUUGGUUUGCUUUCUAUGAGGUUAUCAUGUAUAGACUUAGGUCGUUUUAUUAUAAAUUGUUUUUAGAUUGAUUUUUUUUCUUAUUUUCAACCAUUAACAAUGAGUUUAUUAAAAAUUGAACUUCAUAAUUUAUUUUGAACUGUUUUUUAUGGGGUUAUUAUAGUCUCACGACUUUGGUUGCGGCUUUGGCAAAUUAAUUUAGGAUGACUGAAGUCAUUUUUUUUUGUUUAUUUUCUAUAAGGUUAUUCCAAUUUCAUAACCCAGAUCACGGGUUUGGUAGGUUAACUCAUGCCAAUUUAUUUGUUAUUUUUUAAUUAUUUUUUUAAAUCACAUUUUUCAAUAUUGGAUUGAUUGUUAAUUGACCCUUGUAAUUUGUUUUAAUUUGCUUUAUAUGAGUUUAUCAUAAUCUCAUGAUUCAGGUUGUGAAUUUGAUAGGUUAAUCUAAGUUGGUCCGGAUCGAUCUAAUAUGUUAUCGCUUCAAUAUUAAUUUUUUGAAAUAAAUGUUGUCUUAAAUGUUUAUGGAUCAAACUAUGUUUUUAGUAGUUUUCUAAGUUGUUUUGGAUCCAUUAAGUAUCAAGUCACAUCGGGUCAACCUCCACAUGAUUUAAAAAUCUUUUUACUAGAAAAAUAUUAGCAAUACCUAAAAUUGUUUUUAAAUAUUAAAAUAAAUAAUAUGACUUGUGAUGUAGAACGAGUCAACCAUAAAAUCAGGCUAAAAGUCUUGCUUUCUCAUUUUAUUGGUUCAUUUUUAUGUUUACUUUUAGUUGAUUUUUUGUGUUUAAUGUUCAUAUAAUUCACAUGUUAAAGUUUAAUAGUAGUUUGAAAUUUGUAUUUAAUGUUCAUAUUAUACAUACGUGGCCUCAUUGCUUUGAGCUUGUUUUCCAGUGCUUAAUUACUACAUUUAAAAAGAUAAGAAAAACAAAUCGAAUUUUUACAUUUGCCUUUUGCCUUAGAUGCUAGAUGUUACCAAUAAAGCAAUCUAAAUAUUCAUAAUAUGUAGUAUUAUUUUUUAUUUCAUUAUUCUAGUACUUGGAAAUUUUUGGAGGGGAGGGGGAAAUAUCCUAAUGCAUCUUUAAAACUUUGAAUUUAUUGAUUUAUCUGUUUAGCUAAAAUUUAAUGAAUUUAAUUUCAACUAUAUUGAUAACAAUCUUAUUUAUAAUAUAAAUGAUAUUCAAAUGUAGAUAAAUUUACUUCAUUAAUUUGUUUGUUUUUUCCAAUCAUGUUUUUUUUUUCUUAUCUCAUUUGUAAUGCAAUAAUUUUUUUUUUUUUAUAAACAAUCAUUUAACUUUUUAGGAGUGAUCUUCUAAAUAACUACAUAAAUUCUUGGUGUCCAUAAGGAGAAAUAAGAAGCUCUUGUCCGCUCAAUUGUGAAAUAGUUAAAAAGGAAAAUUUUGUUUUAUUUAGCUUUAAACAUUACGAGGAGUAGAGAACUUAAGUAAGUGUUUUUUUUAGCUAAUGGGAUGUGUUCUUGCUUAAUUAUUAUAGUCCAAGCCAGUGACUCGGCUGGGCACUGUUGCGAGCAUGCGUGAAUUUUUCACGCAUGCUUGCAACAGUAACAAGGUAAUUAUAUUACCUUUGCACAGUAAUAAGUGAAAUGAAUUUGCAAAGUGGGGAAGAGGAAGAACUUACCUGGUGCAGCGAGGCGUAGCUGAAGACGAUGGCGCACUGUGCUGGACGACGACACUGCCUCCUCUUGCUUCUGUUUCUUUUCUUUUGCUUUCUUUAUUUCCCAGUUCUUCCCACGUUUGUUUUUGUUCGUUCCUCUGUUUCCUUCCUCCUUUUGUUUUUCGUUCUUGCUCUCUUCCCCUGUGUUAUUCGUUCUUCACCCGGUCCUCCCCCUGUUUUCUGCUUCCUGCAGUGUUUGUUCUUCUCGUCCUCCUCCAGUUCCCCUCUCCCUUUUUCUGUGGCCUUCUCUGGCUUCUAUAAAGCCGGAGAAUGGCCUUUCUUCACGUGUUCGUGCCUCACGAUCGUGAGGCACGAACGCCUCUGUUUCUUUGAGAAGAAACAGGGGCAGAAAAUUUGCUCUCCUCUGUCUUGUUCGGUCUCUCUCUUUCUCUGUAUGUCCUGGGUUGUUUUUUUUUUUUCGUCUCCCCUCGGUUCUCCUUUUUCUCUCCUUCUCCCUCGCGAGGUUGCCUUUGCCCAGCUUUUAUAAGGUCAGAGACAGCCCCGGUGGUGGUAACGGCCGGCCUCCUAAAUGCUCUGUAACCGACGCCUUCAAUGAAGAAACGUACGCGUUGGCUGCCAACGGAUGAAACGGAGGAAGAAGACAGUGAACAGUCGUCCAAGAAACGGCUCCGUUUUCCAUUCAACCGCUAAUUUCAAUUUGGUCCUUUACGUUUUGACAGUUUUGUAAUUAAGCCCCUAGUUAAAUUGUAAUUGGACCCCUGCAUUUCGGCGCAUUUUACACGCUAGUCCUUUAACUUUAAUCUGCUGCAAUUUGAACCCCAAUUAAACCCCAAACUUUGAUAUUUCUUCAAUUAAGUCCUUGAUUCCAUUAAUUAAAUUAAUUUCAAGUUUAAUUAAGUCCCAAACUUAUCAAUUCUUCAAUUAAGCUCUUGAUUUAGUUACUAAAACUGAUCCAAAGUUUAAUUAAAUCCGAAAACUUUCAAUCAUGUUGUUUUUAACCUAAAUUUUAAUUCAUUUUUUAUUUUUAUCAUUUCACUCAAUUCUUUUAACAAAAUAGAAGAAGUUAAAAAUUAGAUUAUGACAGCAGUAAAAAUUCUCACCAACCCUGUUGUGGGUCACGUCUCCUACUAGAUCUACCAGUUGCCCAAUAUCCCUCGUCCCCACGAUGCAUAUCCAAGGGGUCGUUACCAACAGUCCUUCAAUGGGAGGACUAUUAGUCCCUGUUUUUUCUCAAACACGAACAAGUAUGCCUCAUCGAACUGAGGUUAUUCUCUAGCUUUAUAAAAACCAGAGAAAGGUUACAUACCGGGGACAAAAAAGGGCUGGGAAUCAUAAAAGAUUGGUAACCAUUAUAGAUGAAGAUUGGAGAUGAGAUUCUCUCUUAUAAAGGGCCACCUUUAGACAUGGUAAAAAGGGGAAUUCACGGUCAAGAACAUCAAAAUCCAGUUCAACAUGACAACAUGGAGAAAUAAUUCUUCAUCAAGUGUAAAUUUCUGUAGUAAAACCAUUUUUGGAGGAAUUAGGGUUCAUAGCACAUGAAGACUGGGACAUGACAUUACAAAGUCCAGUUCAUUUCUCCAUUGUCAAGUCCAGUCGUCUUCUCCGGUUUCCAUUAGGUGUGUGCAUCCCCUUUUUUAGACAUUAUCACAAUAUCCUUUCAAGGCAAAAGAAAAUAAGAAGCUUGGUUUGAGGUAUACUGGGUCAAAUGUGGGCUUGGGUAUUACUGGGUUUUGAUUUCAGCCUUCUUCGAAAUGGUAAGGCCUGGGCUGCGAUUUUUGGGUCAUGGGCUGUUCUCAUAGUCGUGGGCUAUAGGCUAGUGUUUUUGGAGCCUUCAUGUAUAACGGGCUGGCUUAAGUUUCCUUUGAUAAAUGUGGACACGUUUGAGCUAUUGGUUUGGAUUAUUUGGGCUAGUUUGUGUUGGCCUAUAUUUAUGGGUCUGAUGGGUUGGGUUAAGUAUACACAUGUUCAUAUAUAUAUAUAUAUAUAUAUAUAUAUAAUAACAUAAAAUUUAAGUAUUUUACGUAACAUAAAAUUUAAGUAUUUUACGUUAUUAUAAUAACAUAAAAUUUACGUGAAUAAGUAUUUUGUGUGCAUCACGGACAAAUCUUUCCAAAAAAAAGCAUUGUUUUUUAUUUUCCAUCAUUGUAAUUUUUUUUAAUGCAUUCGUUUAUAAAAAAAAAAUAAGAAACAAAAAGAAAAAAAAAUAUUUUUAUAUUUCAACGUUCGAUAAAAAUACUUAUCUUACAUAAAAAUUUAAAAAUAAUAAACACAGUUUUUAUUUUACAUUGCAAUCUAAAUAAAAUAUUGUAUUAUUUCCUUUUUUUUAAUAAAAAUAAUUUUUUUGCUUAAAUAUUUAAAUUUAAUAAGUUUAUUACAUGUAUUAAAACUUGACCCAAAUAAAUUCAUCCAUUAGGUCUACAUACAAAAAAAAAAUUAAAAAAAAUAAAUAAACAUGAUACAAAAUUCUCAAUUUACAAGAUUCCAAGACCCAAUUUUGUUACUCUUAGUGUGUCCCAUGCCCAUUUUGUAUCAUCCACAUGGGGCAAUGCCUAUUUUCUUAGCAACUUCGACCUUUAUCCCUUUUAAGAGGGUAAUGUCUUUCUUUGACUAGUCUUUGUUUUUUAUUUUUAUGAAACCGACGUUAUUUUUUAAAAAAGUAAUUAAGAAUGAAUUGAGGCUAUGCUGAAAAUAAUUAUGAUAAUUAACAACAAUUAAAAGAAAUAUUUAAGAGAAAACAUAUGAUAAAUAUAACCUUUAAUAAAAAAAAAUACUUUAAGGGUAAUGUUGCUCUUUCUUUAAGUAUAACCAAUUUCUUACCUGAAUCUUUGAAACCAAUAUAUAUUUUAAGAUUUCUAGUUUUAUUUUUAAUUACUAGGUGACGAAUUCAGUUAUCCUCAAUUUAUAUUUUGUAUAUUUUGCCCCCUUGUCGCAAUGUCUACCAUGGUGCGACAUAUUUAAUAUGAAAAUAAUAAUAAAAAUAAUAAAUUGUUCAUAAAUAUUCAAUUCAAAUAGUUUUUUAUUCUUAAUUUUAAAUAUAUUUUGAAUAUAAUGUUUUUAUAUUUAUGAUUUUUCUUAACUUUCAACCACAUAUAAAAUAUAAAUAUAUUAUUUUGAUAUAGAAACAAUUGUUGUAGUUUAAAACCUUAAACAAGAGAUAAGUUAAUAAAAAAAUUAUCUAUUGUAGAAGAUUGUAUUUUUAUAUUUAAUAACAAUGUAAAAUAAUUUUCUAAAAUCAAGAUAAAUUUUUAUGUUUAUGAAAACUUUGCUUCCUUGUAACGAAGUGCGAAUAUAUUUUUUUUCCAAUUCAAUUUAGUUCAGAUCGAAUUCUAAUUCUAGCAUGUUGAUUAUAAAAUGAUCCAUAUCAUCAAAGUGGAUUGAUACGAGGUUGUAUUCAUUAGUUAAUCGAUUGAAAUGAGUAGUUGGAUUUGAUUUUAGUAACAUUGGAAGAGGGAAAUUAAAAACUAAAAAAGGAAUUCUCCUUAAGGUUAUUUCUUUGCAAAAAUAAAUGUAUGAAAAUUAUGUAAAUUUUAUUAAAUAUUGAUAUAAGACAUAUAAAUAAUAAUGUACAUAUUGGACUGCCUUCCGUUGUGUGUUUCUUUCCUUAAGAACAAAAUUUGUAAAUCAAAUUCACUGGUUUUGCCACCUCCUGUUCAUGUUUAGGUAGCCAUUGCAUGAAAAUGUGAGAAGCUGUUUCUCCUUCACUGUUAUAUCUCUCGAUGUAAAUAACACAAACACAAGCAGCAAGGUAUUUAUAUAUGUCCUUAAUUUUCCAAGAUGUUUCCAUCUAUUUUUUCUCUUAUGAAUUUUCCUAUCUUUCCUUUUGAUUUGAAUUUUUGAAGAAAAUUCGAGUUUGUAUAUUGUUUUUUAAUUUAUUUAUUUCCUUUUUUCUUCGAUUCCAUAACAAAAAUGUAAGUAUCAAUAGAAAAUGACCAGAAUUUAGUAUUUUAUUCAAUAGAUUCUGCGUAUAAAAUCUAAAAAUUUCAAGUCCCUCCUAAUUAAUUUGAAGAUCCUAAUUCUCUCUCGCUUUACGGUCCACUUUUUUUUAGUGAUGGCCGGUGGUAAUAUCACCUCUCACUUCUUCUUUUUCUUCUUGUACCUUUCUUUGUUGAAUAAUCCAAGUGAUAACCUCAAAAGAUUAUAAGGUGGUUAAUGAGAUAUCUUCGGGUUUUUUUCCUUUUACUUUGUAUGUUCAGAUUUUAAAACUAAUAUCAAGAGGAAUUUAUUGAAAUUUCUUUGAAUUCAUCGCACAUACACGCACGCGCACAAGCGAGGUUGCAUCAUUAAAAUCACUUAAAAAAGAAAUUUAAUCUUGAUUAAUGUGUAAAUUGGCUUAUGGAUAUCCCUGACCAUUAAAACAAAAUAAAUUCAAGUUCUAAAUUUUAUAAUACUAGAUGUUAUGAUCUUUGUGUUUCUUACAGCUUAUUGGCUUUUUGUACUGUUUUUUUUUGGGGGUUAUCUAUUUGUUUGAUGCUCCACUAUGGGUUUCAUAUGAUGAGCUCAGUUCGAAAUUUUUUUAAAGGUUCUGGAUGGACUGAAACCAAGAUAUGUAUUGGUUGUAAGAGGAAGAAUUUUCAAAACAGUAGAGCCAUCGUUGGUCUUUGAGAAUACAUCAACCAACGGCACCAUUUCCCUUAAUUAUAACUUUUGUAAAUCGUGAUAAUUUAUGAUUUUCUGGGUUGUGGUAGGUUUCUUUAAGUUCUUACAGAUGAAAUUUUCUUCUAUAUACUUUUGGAUGUCAAUUCAGUAGUUUGUAAGUCCUCUCAACAACUAUUUAUAUUGACUUGAAUAUUUGUAGUGGAAGCUUCAGUGGAAACAUUUAUCUUCAUAAAAAAGAAAAGCCUCUCAUUUUCAGCUAAAAAAAGAUGAUCAUGGCCAUCAUUUUGGUAGAAAGAAAUAAAUAACAAUGACAAAUUGACAUCCACCUUUUCUAUAAACGAAAAGCUCCAUGAUUUUUUAACAGCACAACAGUAACUAUGGUGUCGCCAUCCCCUCCACAAAAUCCCAACCCCAUAAUCAGCUGUUCAAACCGGAAAGCCCCAUUGCUGGUAACACAUUUGCUGUCGGGAAUACUAAGAAUGAAAUCACUUUUCAAGCCCAAUGACUUGCGGUUGGGUAUCCGUAAUCCUCACAGAUCAUCAAAAUCAUUUUACACCACCAGAAAGUCAAAACAAGAGAUAAGCCGGAAGGUACACGUCAAGUAGAGGAAUGGGCAAUGGGCAAUGGGCAAAUUAAUGAUUUUCCUUAUCGUGAUGAGAGUGAGACAAUAAACAUCGCCAUACAGUGCCUCCACAUGCAUGAAUAUCAGUUGCCACUCAAAAAUGCUAAUAGCAAGUUCCCGAAAAGAAAAAUAAAAAAACAUUGAAGGAUAUUGUGAAAUAAUUAUCAUCUCAUGAGUUUCAAGAAUAUAAUUUUAUUACACUUACUAACAAUAUACAAUAGAGGAUAACACAACAUUUUUACAGCAUAUGACCCAAUGAGAACAAUAAUGUGAGCUUCCCCCCUUUCCAUGCAUGCCUUUAGUAUGUGACGUCCAAGGAUACAAAACCAUCUCACGAGCUCGAAUCGAGGAAAAUCUUCGUUAGAAGUACCAUAUUGAUCAUAGAUAAUAACAAGAAUUGCACAAUUUUUAGCUGGUUUCAGUAUAAGUUAUAAUCCUCCGUAUUGAUGAAAGCAAAAGGGCUUGAAAUCUCGCCAUCAAAAAUUGGUGAAUCCGGGUUCACCAAGGGUGCCAAGAAAUCAUUAGGCAUGAAAUAAUCAUCGGACAAGAAAGGUUCUGUCCAGAAAUUCCCACUAGGGAUCUCAUAUGCCUCCAGGAAAGACAAAUCAUCGUCAGAAACGAGGUCCAUGUUUGUUGCCGCUAUGUUAUCUGUGGUUGAAAAAUCACCAGAUGAUGCCUGGGGAGACAAUGCACUUGAGGAGCUUUCAAUUAUUUGAGCACUAUUCGCAGGAAUUUGUUUAUUGACUUCUGUCUCUCCUGUGUCUUUCUCCUGGCCCUUGUCAUCAUCUGAGCACGAUCGUGUUGCUUCCACUGAUUUUUCGCUCAAUCGUUUCUUCAGAUUUGUGUGCCAAUGGUUCUUUAUCUCAUUGUCAGUUCUUCCAGGUAACUGGGCAGCGAUAGCAGACCACCUACAUGUGAACCAACAUCAUAAUGUAAUGUAAUUCAUGUAAUUCCAUGGGAUGUAAGAACGACAUAUAAUCGUUUUAAUAACUAAAUUAAACAUAUUUUUCACUCUAUUAUUAUAUUAUAAUUAAAUCUAAAUAUUAUUUAAGAAAGUAAUCCAUUCUUAAUCUUUUAUAUUACGUCGUGUUCUUGUAUAUAUGUUUGUGCAUCAAUAUAAAUUAAAUAUUUUUAAUUUUGAACCAGAAAAAAUAUGAUGAUAGCUUUGAAAAAUGCGGUGUAAUUGUUAAUGUAACAAAAGAAAAAUAGAUUAUAAUCUCUUAUGAAUCCAAGGAUGAUAAUGAUGACAAAAUAAGCACAUGCUUUCACUUAGGGAAGCACUAAAAAUAACGUAAUUAUCAUGUAAAACUCAUAUAUAUGAACUUUCAUAUCAUACAUUUAAUUAAGAAAAUCCUGAAAGGAAUGAUAUAAUUAAUGUGAUGCAUCAUCUUCUAUUUUUCUUGUCUAUUUGUUUUAAUCUUUAUUUGGUCAAAAUCAAUGAAUUAGUACCUGUUCCCCAGUGUUUCAUGCAAGCUGAUGAUGAUUUCCUCUUCUUCUUUAGUGUAAUUCCCUCUCUUGAUAUUUGGCCUCAAAUAAUUCAGCCAUCUCAAUCUGCAACUUUUGCCACACCUUUGUAGACCUGAAAUGAAAGCAAAUGUGAUCAAUGGAUUAGUUGUCAAGCCAAGUCGAAUGCGUCUACGAAAAAUAUCCUGGCUCUAGCUAGACUUUGCUCCAAAUAAUAAUGAACUGCUCCACAAUAUUUGAAAAAAUUCAAAGAAAAAUGGAGCACAAAUUGAAUUGCAUAUAGAUCCUGAAUUUCAGGUGACAAAUAGAUUAAUCAGAUUAAACUUUUUUAUAAAGGGUUUUUCUUUUUCUCUAUCGUUUUUUUUACAGUUUUUGAGCUCUCAUUCUUAUCAAGUAAGUCCUCAAUGAAUCAGAAAAUGUUGAACAAUUUGAGUUUAAUUGAUUGACAUAAUGGGAACAAAGCAAAAGGAAAAAAAAACAAGAAGAAGAAGAAGAAGAAGACAUUUCCACUAUAUGAUGAUUAAUUCAUUCACAUACCUGCAUACUUGGGAAGUUGUCUCCAAUUCCAAGAGCCAUAUCUAGUAACAUAAGCCAUUAGCUUCAUAUCUUCUUCUGGUGUCCAAGCACCCUUCUUUAGUUCAGUUUUAUCACAGCAAGGAGUUCUCGCCAUUCUCACACUCUCACUCCCCUUCCCUGACUCUCUUCCUCAGUUACCAUCACUUGUGCUGCCAGCUACUUAUACCACACACCCCAAGUUUAGAAAAACAAACGUGCUUCACAUCGAUUUAAUGCUUCCACACUUUCUGCUAACGUUUUUUUUUCCAUUAAUAAUACACAUAUAAUUAUAACAAAAGCUAAAUUGGUGGGGGAAAUCACUGUAACUUUUAUUAUAAGACACUUUGAAUUGUUAUAGUAUUUUUCCAUAUGGUUUUUUUCUUUUUGUUUUUUUGUUAUGAUUUUUUUCAAAAUUAUUUUUAUCAAUUAUAUUUUUUAAUAUUGAGCUAGUUAAAAAUUUAGCUUUAUAUUUUUUUUCUUUAUAUUUUGUCUUUCUAUGAGCUAUGCGUGGUUUGCGGGUUUAUCGAAAUAACUCAGGUUGACUCACUUUAUGGAUUUGGUGGGUUUUUUUUAAUUGAACUUGAUUGUUUUAUAGUUUAUUUUUUUUCUCAUGUUGUUGAAAAAAAAAUUUUAGAAAGAAACCAUGUUAUUAAAUUUUAUGAAGUAACAAAAAUUAAAAGAUGUGAGGGAAAUCAAUGUUCAUCCAGUACCCAUUGCAUUGUGGAUUACAAUAGUAAUCCACAAUGUUUUGCUUUCUUUUUUCUUUUUCUUCUUUUUUAAUUUUUUUUAUGAUUUUUUUCAAAUUUAUUUUUGUUGAUUUUAUCUUUUAAAAUUGAGAUUGUUAAUAAUUUAGCUUCGUAAUUUGCUUCUUUUUAUUUUUUAUUUAUAUGAGAUUAACGUGGUUUAUAAGUUUGCCAAAGUAACCUAGGUUGCCCCGAUUUACGAGUUUAGUGCGUUGUCUUUUAUAUUUUUUUAAUUGAACUCAACUUUUUUUAUAGUCUAUUUCUUUAUCAUAUAGUUAGAAAAAAAAUAGUUUUAGAAAAAAAUCAUGUUAUUAAACUUUAUAAAGUAACAAAAAUUAAAGGGUGUGAGGAAAUCAUUGUUCACCCAUACACAUUGCACUGUGAAUGACAAUAAUAACUCACAAUGUUUUGCUUUAUUUCUUUUUUCUUUAUGUUUUUUUAAUUUUUAUCAUAAUUUUUUUUCAAAUUUGUUUUUAUCGAUUUCAUUUUUUAAUAUUAAGGUGGUUAAGAAUUUGAAUUCAUAAUUUGUUUCUUUUUAUUUUACUUUUUUAUAAGGUUAGCAUGGUUUGCGGGUUUGUCAGACUAACCCGAAUUGCCUUGGUUUAUGAGUUUGAUAGAGUGUCUUUUUUUUAAUUGAACUUGAUUUUUUUCAUUUUUUUUCAUAUAGUUACAAAAAUAGUUUCAAAAAAAAUUUAUGUUAUUAAACUUUAUAAAGUCCAUAGACCUAUUCACAAGUUUGAUCGGUUGACUUGGUUCAUGGGUCAGACAAGUUUAACUUUUUUAAAUUCAUCCUUAGAUACCUAGUUAAUUAGGAAUUCAGUUUUAUAAUUGAUUUCAUUUUGCUUUUUAUGAGGUUACCAUAAUCUAAAAAAACAUCUCAGUAUUAGAUUAGUGUUUGAUUUCGCAAUCAUUUAUUUUUGUUAUCAUGCAGUUAAAUGAAAAAUAGAUUAAAAAAAACAAAUUAUAAUCUCAGUGAAGUCUAUAACCUAGUUCAUAGGUUUAGUGUACCAACCUGGCUUACCUGAUUCAUAGGUUUAACAAGUUUACCUACCGAUAUGAUAUUAUUUUUUUUAUCUUUUAAUUGUUUUUAAUUUAUUUAUUUUUUAUUUCAUCAUUUAAUAUUAGAUUGGUUGAGAAAUGAACUGCAUUAUUGAUUUUUUUUUUACUUUUUAGGGAUAAUUGUCUCAAAUAAGUGUCUAUUUUUAGAUUGAUGUUUAAUUUUGUAAGCAUAUGUUUUUAUCAUAUAAUUAAAUAAAAAAUAUAAAAAAUUAUUAAAUCCAAUAGAGUCCAUGACCCGGGUCGCGGCCCGGGGGUGAGGCGAGGUUGAUCUAAUCUGUUAUCAUCUCAAUAUUUUUUUAAAAAAAUAUCAUCUUGAAGUUUUUUUAAAAGUUAAAUCAUGUUUUAAUUGAUCAUUAAGAUUGCAUUUGAACCUAUGAAAUUGAUUGAUUUAAAUUGAGUUAGCUCUCAUAUAGUUUAAUUAAAAAUUUGAGUUAGACAAAGAGUUGAGUCAGAAGAUUUUAAAAUUAACCCACUUGGUUAGAUUUAAUAAUACUAUUAAAAAAAAUUCAUACUCUUAAUAUUUUUUUUAUAUUUAAAACAAAUAUACUGGUAUAUUUUAUUUCGUGGAGGGUCACACAAGAAGAUUCACUAAUCAACUUCUUUUAUUUUCAUACUCUUAAGAUAGCCUUUCUUGAAAUAUUUAGAGUUUUAGAAAUAAAACAAUUUACUUUUAAUGCAGUGCCACGUGAUGCACCCUGACAUAGAUCUUGAUCUAUGGAGAUUGAAAAAAAAUAAAACAAAAUGUAGGGGUGGAGGUUUAUAUAUAAUUGGCUGAAAUUUUAUAAUAUGCUUUUUCUUUGACUGAUUUUGUUAAUCCAGGGUCAACGUGUGUGAUUAUAAUCAAGUUAAAUCUUGAUUGGUGGACGCCGCUGGCCACAUCAAAUUUUUUUUUUUACUGAAAAACAAAAUUCAAGAAAUGAUUAUGUUUUUAAAAAAGGAGAGAUAAUCAAAUUAAAUCUUAAUUAAUUUGAUAAUAUAAUAAAAAAUAAGGUAGCAAUCAAAAAAAUAUUUUUUAAAUAUUGUUCUGGGAAAGCUGUGAAAAAGAAAAUGAAAAAAAAAAUAUUAACCCUUAUUAACUUUCUAAGCUCAUGACUUAAGUCAUCAGAUUGAAAGCAUCAUGUAUGAAAAAAUCGUUAAGCUCAAUCCCUAAAAAAUAAAGCGUUAAAAGAUUAAAUUGAAAAACAAUUAGACAAAAAAAUAAAAAAUAACAAUUAGGUUUGUUACUAUCUAAUUUUUUACCUAUAUUUUUGAUAAAUUUUUAGAAAAAAAAACCAAAAGUUUUAUGAUUAAAUGAAUACGAAUUCAAACCCUAUCAUUUUUAUUCUAACUAAUUAAAUUAAUAAGAUUAAACAUAAAGAUAAUAGUAAAUUUGUGUAAGUUUCAAAUUCAAAGAAUUUUUAUUUGCAAAAAUACAUUAAAAGAUAAAUAUAAAAUUAUUCUUGGAACCUCACUUAACCAUUUAAAUUUUUAUAUUCAGUUUUUAGGUUUAACAGUGCAUUGCUUAGAAAGUGUAUAUAUCUUAAAUUUAGAAUAUAACAUAUAUCUUUUUUUCUAUGAUAAGAAUAUAAUACGUAUCUAUUAAUAAUGAUUAUUAUAUUAAAAAAAUGAUUGAGGUUGUGAUUGGUUCCUUAGCUUAAAAAAUUAAAAUCAUGAGAGGAUGAAUUCUGAAGAAGAAAUGCAAUGCCUUAUCUAUUAACAUAAUAUAUCUUCCUUUUAAAUAAAUGCUUUUUGAACUUGGAUUUUAUAACUUCAUCAUUAUUUUAUAUUUAAUUUUUAAUAUAUUUAGAAAAAAAAUAAAAUUCAAAUUCAUAAUUAUUUAUUCAUGGUAUAAAUAUUAUCUUUGCAGGCCUAAGUUGUUCCAUAAAGAAAAAAAAAAUCAAAAUCAAAAUCAAAGGAAUAUUAGGUCGUCUUUUGCUCAAAGAUUAUGAAAAUCCAAGAUCUCAUGUUUGUGAUUCAAGAGGAAGCACGAAUCACAAAUUAGGGAUCAGACACGUGAAGUGGUAUUUAAAAAAAAUACCAUUUGCAUCUUUCACAGUUAAAGAAACGACGAGGAACCAUCCACGAGCUAGUAAAGGAUCAUCGUUGUGUCUUUCAAGUUGCAAAUUUCUUUGUGUAGCCGUGAAGUUAAUCAUUAGUUUCUGGCUAAUCUACUCCUCAAUCCUGCAUAGCGUUUUGCAUUGCAUUUGAAAAGUAGUUUUAAAAAAUUUUGAAUUUUUUUUUAAAUUAAUAUGUUCUUGAUGUUUUCAAAUCAUUUUGAUGUGUUAAUUUCAAAAAUAAUUUUUAAAAAAUAAAAAAAUUAUUGAUAUACUUUUCUGAAUAAAAAACACUUUGAAAAACAAUCAUAACCACACUCCCAAACACCAAAGACUCUAAUAUAUUUCUCAUUUUACAAUCUAUCAUACUCUAUAAAUCAGACUAAAAAACUUACACAAAACGUAGCACUAUCUUCUUAUGUCUCUGUGUGUGUGUGUGUAUAUAAGUAAAAAUAAAUAAAUGCAAGAUAUAAAAUAAAUUUAUUUUUAAAAUAAUUUUAAAGUAAAUUUGUGUUUUUUAAAAAUAAAAAAAGACAGGAAAGAUAUCAUUUAUAGGAACCAUAAACUAGAUGCUAAUCCAAGCGCUGUGUCUAUAUAUAUAUAUAUAUGAAUGAGUUUGGUGAACUUUCAAAUCUAUUAUUGCCGAUAAAUUUAGAGAUAUUAUCUCUUUGAUAGAAUCAAAUAUAUUUUUCCUCUAAUAAAAUCAAAAAUAUUUUUUAUUUGAUAAAGUAAAGACCUUUAAGUCAUCUUAUCGAUAGAAAGGUAAGAAAAAUGAGCUAUAAAGACCCAUUAAAUUCUCACAAAAAAAAGUUCUCAAUCUCCAUUCUAACUUGCAUAUUUGUUUUUAAAAUCUCUCUAAAAUAAUAUUAUCUUUUCUCUAAAAAAAUAUUUACUUCAGCAUCAGAAAGUCUCUAAAUGCAUCAAAAAAAACUUUUUACAGAUAUCAGACAAUAACCACUAUUUACUUUGGCUAAGAAAAAUAAAUUAUAUUAAAUUAUUAGAACUAAAAAAAUAAAUAAAUUAUCUAAAAUAUUAAUCUUGAUUCCAAGCUUUUGAUAUCUUAUAGCCAAAUAUGAAAAACUCUUGUUUGAAAGUCCGUUAGAAAGGGCCAAAGACUGAAAGGCGACUCCACUAUUGCAACUGAAAUUCUAACACAACAUACGUCCACACGUUUUUCCCUUCACUUUUAUUUUUCCUCGCCCAUUUUCUUGAAUUGGUAGAAACACAUCAACUGAUUGAUUUUGUUUUCUUCUGAAAAGAGAGAGGCUUACUUGUAAGUCAAAAAGCUCUGUCGACCGUCGUUGCUACAGUGAAUUCUGACAUAUUGUUGCCUUCUUGGUUUUUUCCUUUUCGUUUUUUUCUGAACAGUACGGAUUUCGAUUAAUUUUUUUAAAUUAAUUUUUUUAAUUGUAUUGUUGGGUUAAUGUUACAAAUAAUUUUUUAAAAUAUUAUUUUAACUGAAAAGAAUUUUCAAAAGAUAAUAUACUUCAUUAACAAACACACAACGAAGAUUUUAUUGAAAGAAGGAAAAAAUCACAAGGAAAAUUAACAGCACAGUCUCUCAAGAUCAAUAUAGAAACUAGCAAAAAUCUUAAUGUUUAUUAAUUUAAUAUCAUUUUUCUUCUUGGAAGUGGGUAAUUAAUUACUGAUCAAUAUAUUGCUGUCCCUUCACAACAAAAAUUACAACAACCAAUAGAGAAGAAUCAAUCCAGGAGCUUCAAGUCCAUUCGUGGGAUCAAAACAAGAAAACGGUGAGCUGGUCGAACCACUACCACGAAUACCUAGCUUGAUAUAUAUAUAUAAAUUCAUUUCAAAACUAUUUUGAGAAUAAAUUUAUUUUAUAUAUUGUAGUUUCUGUAUUUGUUUGCUUUAAUCUUAGCUGUGCUGGCUAAAAUCUAAUGAACUUGCAAUUUUUAAUGUAAUCUAACAACUUUUAGAAAAUUGAAACAAUAGAGAAAUAUUGCCAAGAGGAUCAAAUUGCCCUGCAUCUUUCGUUGUUUAUUGGAGCCAGUUGUUAGAGUGUUUGCAGCAUUGGCCCAUGCACGGUCGGAACCCUUCGUUAUUAGACAAGAGCACAUGACUUCGUUAAGUAACGAGAUUCUCUGGCUGCUUUGUGGCCAUGAACUUGUAUUCAUGCACCAAGUUGAUCUACCUCUAAAGAUCUAACUCUUUUAGUGUUGACAAAACAUCUAAAAAUCACUCUAAUAACAUUUUUAAACUAAUUCUUAAUCUCUAAAAGUGUAAAAAAUUGAUCUAAAAUUUAAAAUCAACCCGAAAACUAAUUUCUUCCCGACCUCAGAUAUGGUUUUUCUAGACACUUUCAAUGUAAAAAAAAAAAACACUUAAGUCAAACUUCCCUCAUUAUAUAAAAUUAUUUAGAACAAAUAUUUAACAUUUUGGUGGCCGGAAUCGAAGAAAUGACAUUUAUCUCUCUAGGCUGGAUCGAUCUCGAUCUCUCUCUCUCUUCACUGGACUAAAAGAUAAUGAAAAUAAAAUUUAGUACCGAAAUCCAAUUGUUAAAAAUGCAAAGGACUGGUUACUUUAUAGCAAAAAAAUAUAUAUAUAUAUAUGAAACAAAAAUAUACUUUACAAAUAAAUUUGAACACACCACCCAUAUCACUCUUAAUUUGCACUUUAGUUUCCUGACAUUCAAUUCAAUCCUCAACCACAAAAAAAUAUUCAAUUAGGCUAUAAUUUGGGCUCAAUUGCGCCGUAACAAAGGAAUCAAAUUAAAAUUUUUCAAAAAUCUUACCAUUACAAAUUACAGUGAAAUCUGAGAGAAGAAACAGUAAAAAUAUAUACAGUAAAAUAGGCACACGUUUUAUAUUAUAGGUAAUACAUGAUGCAUUCUUUUUGGUCCAAAUUAAAUUGGAUUAUUAUAGUUAUGUCCCUUUCAACCUUUUUAAUAUAUGGUUUUUUUGGGGUAGCCCUAUGCCUGCUAGGCCUGUAACAGGGUUGCCUGCUAGGCCUAUAACAGGGGACCAUAAAUAUAUUUUUUAUUUCGAUGGAAGGACCUUAUUUAAUAGUAUCUUCAUGUUCGUUACACUUUCAAAUUAUUCAACACUUGAAUUAUUUUGUCUGUUUUAUUUAGCAUGCAAGGCUUCCACAUGAAUUGGUCUGUAUCUGCAGUUUUUAAACUCAAAAUUUAGAACAUUUGUUACCCUCUAAUCAAUUGUCACCCUAUUUAUUAUUUGUGCAAGUGGUCAAAUUUGGCCAGCAUUGGUCUCUAUGUACGUAGAUUUUAUAUUUAUUUAAGUAGACUUAGAUUUAGUUGCACGAGACGUAGUUUUCGAUGAAAUUUUUUAAAAGCAGAUAUAGCUGUUAAGUAUAUGGCUUAUCACCAAAAGAAAGAAAUAACUCUUCAUUAUUUGUUUUUUUUUUAAAAAAAAAUCAAUAAUCCAACCAUCUAUUUUGUUUGGUAUUGUGGUAGCUUUUGUGGUUAUGGUUUGAAAAAAAUUAUUUUAUGAAAAGUACUUUUAAUUGAGGUUGGUUUCAUAUUUAUAUAUAUUUGGUUAAAAGUGUGAUUGAAAUUAAUGUUGAAUAAAAAAUAGUUUAAUGUGUUUGGUUAAACAUGCUUUUUAAAUUGAAGUUAUAAAACAACUAAUAUAUAUAUAUAUAUAUAUAUAUAUAUAUAUAUAUAUAUAUAUAUAUAUAUAUAUUGAUUGUUUUUAAUUUAAAUAUUGUAAAUUUAAUUACCACUAUUACAUCAUUAAAUAAAUAAUAUUUUAUAUCAAAUAUUUUUUAUUGUUCCAUUAACUUAUCUACAAUUUCAUCACGUAUGAACAAUGAACAAUGAACAAUGAUAACACAGUUCACGUGAACAGUGCCACGUGAAUUAAUUCACUGGCACUGUUCCCUUCAAGAAGUGAACAAUACAAUGAAUUAAUUCACGGCAGGAAAGGAGAAGCAAAUUAAUAUUGCUUUCUGCUAACCAUCGUUUGAAACGUGAAAAAUAGUAGGUCCCAUAUACAGUAAAUAAUGUUUUGGAUUUUACCAAACAUGUUGCUCUUGUGUUUUGCUUCAAACACAAACACAACCUCGUAAACAAACAUAGUCUCUUUUUUUUUAUUUAAUACUUUUUAUCUCUCAAUUAAAAAAAAAUACAAUUUCAUCAUUUGUUAUUGAUAAUCUAUUUUUUUUACUCAACUCAAACCUAAAAAAAUGCAAUUUCAUCAUUUAUUGUUAAUGAUCUACCUUUAUUAUCUUGGCCUCACGUGCCUAUCAUGAAUUUUUACUUUUAAAAAAUAUGUUGUUUCAUACAAAACAAUAUCAUGCGUUUUAUUGUCGUAUAAUUAAAUAAAAAAAUCUUUGUGAUAAAAAAUUUAUUGGGUCUAAUGACGUGCAUGACUUGUAUCACGAGUUUAUUCGGUUGACUCAAGUUCACUAUUUUUUUUAAUCAAAUAUUGUUCUUUAUCGAUUUUUUCCUUUAACAUUGAGUCAAUUUCUUUCUUACCCAAUAAAAUGAGAUCUCAUUAGGCAUAAAUAUGGUCCAUGCCCACAAUUUCAAUUUCAAGAGCAUAAACCUAGGUAUAGAUAACCUAUAAAAUAAACAAGCCCAAAGAAAAUUUAAGAUUCUAAAUAAAAAAUCAUCAAUCACUUUACCUUUUUAACAUUGUCCACUCAUAACCAAUUCAAAAAAAUUAGAAUAAAUUAAAGUUUAAAUUGACUUAAAAAAUAUUUUUCUUGCAAUUAAACCCUUAUUAAAUUCAAGUAAACCUUAAAAAUUAUAAUUGAGUUCUUAAGCAUCCAAUAUUGAAUUUUCCUUACCAAUAAAGCCUUCAUUAGUAAAAAAUAUGUUGUCAAAGUUUGUCAAUUUUGUGUAUUUUGAUCUUUCUCAAUCAGUAUUUGGUAACUUUUUGGUCGUUCUUCAUGUUUUUCCCACUGAUGUAUAUAUUUAUUUUUUAAUUUUCCAACAUUUUCUCUUUUAUUUGUAUUUUGUAUUUUUUGUAUAUAUAUAUAUAUAUAUGGGGUCUCAAAAUGGGUAAAAACAUCAAUUAUUUAAAAAGCACGAGCCUUGAAGUUCAAGGAUUUACAAGGCCUAAAUAACCUAUAAAAUAAACGAGCCCAGAGAAAAUUUAAGAUCCUAAGCUCGAAGAAUCAUCUGUUACUUUACCUUUUAAACAUUACCUACUCAUAACUAAUUAAAAAAAAAAUGAAAUAAAUUAAAGUCUAAAUUAACUUUAAAAAUCAAUUUUUUUUAUAAUUAAUUUCUUAAUAAAUUCAAUUAAAUCUUAAAAAUUUUCUAAUUGAGUUCUUAAACAUCCAAUUUUGAAUUUUCCUCUUUAAAUUAAAUUUUCCUUAUUAACAUAGACUUUAUUAGUCAAUAAUAUGUUGUCAAAGUUUUUCGAUAUUGUUUAUUUUGAUCUUUCUCAAUUAAUUUUUAGCAACUUUAUGUUUGUUCUUCGUGUUCUUCUCACUUAUGUAUAUUUUUUAAAAAAAAUUCUAACCUUUUCUCUUCUCUUUUUUGUAAUUUUUUAUAUAUGUAUAUGGGGUACCAAAAUAGGUAACGACACCCACUAUUUCAAGAGCACAAGCCCAGAGAAAAUUUAUAAGGCCUAAAUAACCUACAAAAUAAACCAGCCUAGAGAAAAUUUAAUAUCCUAAGCUCGAAGAAUCAUCAGUCACUUUACCUUUUUAACAUUGUUUACUCAUAACCAAUUCAAAAGGAAAUGGAAGAAAUUAAAGUUUAAAUUAAAUUUAAAAAUCAAUUUUUCUUGCAAUUAAGCCAUUAAUAAAUUCAAUUAAACCUUAAAAAAAUCUAAUUAAGUCCUUAAACAUCCAAUUUUAAUUUUGUUUCUCUUGAAAUUGAAUUUUCCUUGCCAACAAAAUCUUUAUUAGUUUUAAAUAUGCUGUCAAAGUAUUCAAUCUUAUGUAUUUUAAUCUUUCUCAAUCAAUAUUUGAAAACUUUAUGGUCGUUAUUCAUGUUUUUCUCCCUAAUAUAUAUUUUAUUUUUAUUUUUCCAACUUUUUGUUUUUUUUAUAUAUUUUAUAUUUUUUUUGUAUAUUUAUGUAGAGUCUCAAAAUAGGUAAUAACACCCACAAUUUCAAGAGCACAAGCCUUGAAGUUCACGGAUUUAUAAAUCCUAGAUAACCUCCAAAAUAAACCAGCACAGGAAAAAUUUAAGAUCCUUAGCUGGAAGAAUCAUCAAUCACUUUACCUUUUUAACACUGUCCACUCAUAACCAUCAAUGGAUUUCUUACAGGUUUUUGUGGCCCCUGGGAAGCUCUUGGCCUAAGUUUAAGAAAGUUAAAAUCUUUGAACAUAAAGAAUACCUGUGAAACUCAUAGUAGGAAUGUCUAUUGCUUAGAAUGUCUAUUAAUUUUUUUUAAAAUGAUAUUAAAAAUAUAUUCUUUGUAUUGACAUGAUGCAUGCUAAUUAAUAAAAAAAUAAAAAAAUUAGAAGGUCCGCCACUGUUCAUGUAAACAGUGAACCUUCUACCAUUGUUUUUCAAUUAUAUCAUUUUAUAGUCUAAUUAUAUAAAAUUAAGAUUUAAAUUAAAAUCAAAGAAAAUACAUGUCUCCCCCCAAACUCAUGAAAAUUCUUAUUUUAAUUUAAAAUUUUAUUUUAUUUAUUUUUCAGUUCCUGAGUCGGAGAAAGAAGAGAGAAAGUUGCUAGAAAACAUAUAUAUGCAUGCAAUUUUUUUUAUUAAACUUGUUAUAAAGUUCAAAUAUAUAUAUAUAUAUACAAAUUAUUAUUUUUUUGUAUUUCUUGUUUUUGUUAUAAAAAAAUUGCUAAAAACAUUAAUGCUAAAACAAGCAUAAAGUUUUGGAUUUUUUGUAUUAUAAAUUUUUGGAUUUUUUUUUUAAUUUUCAUGAAAAGCCAAACAAAGUUUACACACACACACACACACAAUGUCCAAAUAUGGCACAAUGAAUUUUUUUUAAGUACUUUGCCCAUGCAAAACUUUAAAAAAUAAGAUAAAAUGGACAAGAUAAAAUCCUAAAGAUGAUAAAAGCCAUGAACCGAGAGCAAGGAGGGUUUUUGGGACCCUAAAUAAGCACAGGUAAGACAAAAACUUCUCAAUGAAGUUGCCCAUUUUCUAGGGUUAUCAAACACGAUCAUGCAAUAUAUGACAAGAGGAUAUGAGAUUGCAAUGUAAAGGAAGGCCAUACCACAAGCACUUUUCAUCUUUUGCACGUGAUUCAAGUGAAAAAAAUUAAGUCCAAACAUACAUAUGUUGCCAUGUAAAGCAAAGGCUAGCUAUAUCCUGACCAAGGGAAAAGGACACCUUCAUUGUUUUCUUUACGUGUAGGGUAUGCAUGAACUAAUGCAAAAAUCCAAUGGGUAUUUCUUUGUUCUCAGCAUAGACCAAGGGCGAAGGACACCUUCGUUUUUUGUUCUCAGCAUGGCAAGCAAUAAGUAUGUUAUGAAAGCUAUUCCAGAGGAAAGAGACCGAAACUAAACAAAGCUUAAUGAUGCAGAAGCAGCAAUAUUAUGUUUAUAUCUUGGAACUAAGAAUUCUUAUCAUUUAAUUAAUUAGCAACACCGGAAAAAAAAAAAGAUCCGUGCAAAGAGAUAAAAGUAACAAGGUAAUGUGCAAACUUUCUUUUUCUCUCUCGCUGUCUAACGUUCAAACCCUUUCAUUUCUUUCUUUUUUUGAAAAAAAAAAAAAACUACAACCAUCACACGAUUAUGGACCCCCGCAAAGUCUGUGUUAGUGAUCUUAUGGAUGGAGAUAAAUACAGCUAAAGUUUGUUCUGCUUUUGAUGGAAAGAAAACACCAAUAGUCCUGUCAUUGUUGGACUGUUGAGGAUGAGUUUUUUUUCACAUUCGAUGCAUGAUAGUCGUGGAGGUAAAGAAAACUAAACCAACUAGUGAGAUUUGGAAUAGACAAUUUGAUCUAUAAUUUGGAUCAGAUUUGGUGCAAUUUGGUGGAAAGACUGUGUUAAACCAAAGUCAUUUUGGUGGCUUCUCGGGCGACUUUCUCUGGUUCAAAAGAAAAAAGAAAAUAAACAAUGAUCGAACGACAUGUCGUUCGUAUUAAUGGUUCAAUGUCAGUUUUCAAUUUACUCUCUGAACUUCUAAAACCUUUCAAUUAAACCCAUAAUUAUCCUUUUUUAUAAUCUUUUUAAUUUUACCCUUAGAUUUUACAAUUGGACUCUUGGAUUAACAAAUGAUAUGAUGCAUAUUAAUUAACAAAAUAAGAAUACACGCAUUUAGAAUAUUAAUUAUUACAAUUAUUUUUUUCAAAUAUUUUUUAUUGCCAAUAUGCUUUUCAGACCAAACAAUCAAAUAUUGAUUAAUAUAUAAUCGAUGAAUAAUAUAGUACUAAAUGAACCGCACCAUAACAUUAUUAUAAAAUCAAGGUAAUUUAAACCAAACCAACUACCUUAUUCAGAUUUAUUUAAUAUAUCAAUAAAUCGUAAAAAAAAAGAGAAGUUUUUUGUUAUCCUAAGUGACUGAAAUUUCUUGAUUCCAAAGAACUGGAUUCAUGAAAAAGUUUCUAUUUCGCGCUAAUUUGCAAGGAAAAAAGCGAGUACAAAAAGCUCUCAUAUGUAGCUAAAAUAGUUACAUAUAUGUUUAAGUUAAAAUAGUUAUAUUUAAGUUUGGAAAGGCAUGGAUCUCUCAUAUGUAGCUAGCUUUAUGGCAGGCCUGAAGCUGCCGGGCCUCAGUACAAAAAGCUCUCCACUAUCUAACUCAGCAACGCACGCUCCACGCUGGGAUUGGCACGUGGGAUGGGCACACAAGAUGAGACUGACCAUGAUUGUGGGUACCGACCGACUCUUGGGUUAUGACAAAUGAUAUUAAAAAUAUACACUUUGUGCACUUGAGGGUCUAGCUGCUGUGGUCAACCGUGUGACUUGUUCCGCCCCCGUCCCGGGUUCGACCCUCUAUGUGCACGCCUGUCACCCCCGCGGUGCCUUACUUGCUCCUGGGCUUGCAGGAUGUCCAGUGGGCCGUGGGGAAUAGUCGUGGUGCGCGUAAGCUGGCCCGGACACCCCACGUAAAUAAAUUUAAAAAAAAAAAUAUACACUUUGUAAUCCUGAGAGAUGUAACUUAACUGGACAAGCUCUAGAUUUGCUUUCUAGAGAUCACCAGUUCGAGUCCCACAAACUCAGGGUCAAAUUAUAAUUUUUGAGAGUUGAUUUGGUCAAAUCAGGGACUUAAUUGAGUAAAUAUUGAAGUUUGAUGGCCAAUUAGAGACUUAAUUGAAGAAAUCCGAAACCAACGACCAAACUAGAAAAGGCACAUAAAUAGAGGGGCUGUAAUUGACGGAAUCAGGGGCCAAAUUAAAGAAAUUAGAAGUUUAUUGAUCAAUUGAGGGUCAAAUUGCAUAAAUCAGAGACCAAUGACUAAAGUGAAAAAGGCGGCCAACUUCAGGGGCGACAUUUGAAUUUGGAAGGUAUACAAUUGAAUUGAUUUUUAAAUCAAAAUUGCAAUUUAGGACUUGAUUGAACAAAUUACAAAUUGAAUACUGAUUUGGACUUUGACACGAUUUUGCCGCCAUUUUCUUUUAAAUGAAACGACGCUAUUUCAUCCACUGUUUAUUAAAAAAAAAACCCGAAAUGGUGCUGUUUUGAACGGCACUGUGGGUCUUCUUCUUCCCCUGGACGCGCGAGGCAGGGGAAGAAGAAGCAGCAGCCUUCCCCUCUCCCUCUCUCUCCUAAAACUCAAAAAGACGCCGACCCGAAGCCCUCACUUGCCUAAGCUCUGACCCGUGGCCUACCACGAUGUGGAAAAAACAGAGGGGACGUGCCCCUCUGGCAGUUUUUGGGGCGGUUGCACAGUGGUCGUCUUUGCCUCUCUCUCCCCUAUUUUUCCUAUAAAUAUAGGGAAGAUAGUAGAAAAAAAAAGAGAGGAAGGAGCAGAACAGAAGAGGGAAGGAGCUGAAGACUGAAAGAAAAAAGAACAGAAAAACAGAGGAAGAAAAGAAAAAAAAAUACAGAGAAGCAGAGGAAAAAAGAAGAAGGAUCGCCGCCUGGAGCCACCGCCAUUUCGCCACUAGCAUCACCGCCAACGACAGCAGCCACCACAGGUUAGCUUCCCCCUCCUCUUCCACCUCCUUAUUCUUCUUCUACGUCUUCUUCUCCACUGUUCACGUUGUAUGUGAACAGUGGAGAGGCCCACUAUUUAAUGGGCCGGGUUCGGCCCAAUUCAAAAAAAAUUUCAAAAAAAUUCUUUUAAAAAAAAAUUGUUAUAUUUCUGUGUAUUUUUCGAUUAAAUUUUGCUUAAUAUUGGUUGGUAUUUUUAUACCGUAAAAAUAUCAAUUCGAUAUUAAAAUACCCGGUUUUUGUCAAAACAUUGAAAAAUUAAAAAAAAUUGUUUUUACGCAUAUGGACAAAUCUCUCAAAGCUAAAACAAAAACCAUAUUGUAUUUUCAUACAACAAAGAAAACUUCAAAAAUGUUUUAGCAUGCAUGUCGGCUUUAAUAACCAGUUUAUUAAAGUCACGAGAACUUGGUCAAUAUUUCAAAAAUUUCAAAAAAAAAAAAUAUUUUUUGUUUUGCUUUAGUAUUAGGGAUUACGAAUUUAUACGUAAAACGUAUUCCCGAUAUUAAAAAGGUAUUUCUUUUGACGACAUAGAACAAUUAGAUUUUUAUCCGGUAAGAUAAGGAUCUCCUUACCGAGAAUGACUUUUCUUAAACCGUAGACAGACCGGCAAUUAGAAACCGCAACAAGACCUUAUAUUUUAUCAGACAACAAAACAAUGCAGCUUACCUUAGGUAUGACAUAUUUGGGGUGCUAAUACCUUCUAUUUACGCAACCAGUCUCCGUACCCAAUGUUUGAGAUCGGUUAGGGUUCCUAGUGACCAGAAUACUAGGUGGCGACUCUCAUUCAAAUUUUCCACUGAUAAAAGACAAGAAUUUCUUGUCUCUCCAUAUUUGUCAGAUAGACAUACAUUAAACCCUGAGGGAGGACGAUCGUCGCGGCGCCGCACACGUGCGACAUUAAUGAUUUUAUUUAUCUAAUUGUUUUUAGGAUUUUAAGAAUUUUCCACUCUUAUAUAUAAAUUUUUAACUCCACUAUGUUAGCCACUAUUAUAAACUUGUUAGCCACUAUUAUAAACUUGAUCUGACCUGACAAAUUAACCUAAGAUCUGGUCAACCCGAAACCUAGACUGGUUUAGGUUAAAGAAAAAAUAGAGGAAAAAACUGACACAACCUAGCAGGUUGAUUUAGAACUUAGACUGAUUUGAGUUGAAGAAAGAAUGCGGGGAAGAAAUUGACCCGUUCAAAAACCAAGGUUGUUCACGGCCUAUUCAAUCUAGGUAAAACCUAGUUAAAAUCCAUGUAUUUUUUUGAAAAAUAAAAAUUUAAUCAAAAUAAUAUCAUCUUGAUUUAUUUAUUUUUUAAAAAUUAUUUAACUCCAAUUCACACCUCCCGACUUGAUCUAAAUCUUAUCUAGAAUCACCUCUGGAUCGGUUGUGCGAGCCCAUCUUUCUUUACAACAUGAGUUAUUGUUUAAUCUCCAAUUCCAAUCCAGAAAUUAGUAAACAAGACUCACGAGAUUGAAUAUAAUGGCACAAGACCUAGAAAUUAGUAAACAAACCCAUGAAAACAAAAAACAAAAAACAAAAAGAAACUAAAAAGCCAGACCGUAGUCCAAAUUUAAAGGACGGCUACGUUAAAACCUCCAAGCUCCCAUUCACCAACCUAGCCAUUAAACCAUCUUUCCCUUCCAAAAAUACAAAAAAUAAAAGAGAGUGAAGGUAUUUAAAAAUGUAAUAAGAGUUAGAGUUUAAAACUAAUUUUUAUUUAAAAAUAUAUUAAAAUAAUAUAUAUUUUUUAUUUUUUAAAAAUUAUUUUUAAUAUCAACACAUUAAAACAAUUUAAAAACAUAAAAAAAAUUAAUUUUAAAAAUAAAAUUAACUUUUUAAAAUAAUUUCAACUAUAUUUCCAAACAUUACCUCAAAACCUCUUCUCUAUCCCUGCAGGGCAGCCCUACACUGCCCAUCGUGACAACCUUUUCUAACUCUAAACGCACACCCUCAUUAAUUUGAUCACUUUUCGUCAAGAGAGAGAAGAAAUCACCCGCAUGUAUAAAUAUCCAUUAAAGUUCCCUCAUAUAUAUAUAUAUAUAUAUAUAUAUAUAUAUAUAUAUAAGUCAUCGUAACCUUGACUCCAACUCCACUUCGAAUUAAUUUUCUUAUAUAUAUCUUGUUUCAAGUAAAUUAUGUGCAUGCAUUUAUUAGAAAUUGUAUUUAAUCCUAUUAAAAGUUGUGUUUAAUUCUAAUCCUAUUAUAUAAUGAUUUUAGAAUUUAACUCUUGAAAUUAGUAUUAUUUAUCUUAAUAUAUGAUGAAAAGCAUGUGUUAUUAAAACAAUUCGAGAAAAAAAUAAUUAAAUCUUGAAUGGUAUAUAAACUAAUUUAAGUAUAAAAAAAUUAAAAAUUAUGUUUUCCAUGAACUUUCUAAAUUAAAACGAUGACUAAUUAAUAACAUGAAGAGCACAUACAAUUAGCAACUGAGUGAUCCUAAUUACCUAUUAUCUAAGUAUUGCUAAAUAUACCCCAUCCUUGCCGACCUUCUGCUUCCAAAUAAGAACCUCACAGACAAAACAAAGCACAAGCUAUCGUCUGAUUCAUUUCUUUUUUCCCUCGUUCAAACCCAAAACUAUGAAGAACAGCAAUCUUUAAACCACUUACUAGCUGUUAUAGUUAUUAUCGACAACCUUUCUCUAUGCCCAUCAAGUCUUUGUGUUACAAACAACAAUACUCAUGAAGAACGUUUCAAGAAACAAGUUGUUGCUAUGUUUUAAGCCAGUGGUUAAUGUGGAUCAGCUACUGCUCGAUCACUCCAAAGUUGGUGUUGUUGAUCACUCAAAUAUCCAGGCUUUGAAGCUUCUUGGAAGGAGAAAGAAAGAGGAUAUGAAGCGAUUGGUGUCCAAUUCUUCUUUUCUUUCGGAUGAUAAGAGGAGGUGUUCAGCAAUAAUUUCUUCUUCGAAAAAUUCAUUGAUUCUUCAUCCUCCAAAGAAGAACUUCUCCCGUGUCAUCAAGGCCGUUUUCUUCGAAACCAUAUUGGUUAGUUCAAUAUCAAAUUUCUUACUUCAUCUAUUUCUUUCCAGGCUUAAAUUUUUAGUACAAUAAUUAAUGAUUGUUCAAAAUUUCUAUAUUUUGAUAGCUUUUCAAGGUGAUUUCUUCCUAUGAUCAUGUUUUCUUCUUCUUUUUUUCUUCGUUUUCAGUACUCCUUCAAGCUUAAAUUUUCAGAAGAAUUGAUUGUCUCCAAAAUUAUAUUUUUAGUUCAUCAAAUUCUUUAUUUCAGGUUUUUUUUUUAUUUGUUUGUUUGUUUUAAUGAUGAUCAUAUGUUCUUUCAUUGUUUGUCAGUCCAAGAGAGUUCGUGAUCGUAAAGGGAGUCAAUGUCAAGACCACUCAAAUGGAUCAAAGCAUAUCUCUUCUUCUUCACCAAUGAAUAGCAAAAGAACUUUGGAUGAUACAAGUGAUCAUCAUGACAAUACUGACCAUCAAGUUAGCGAAGCAAAUUUGGUAAAAUCUUGUUCAAGUUCACUAUCAGAAACAAGAAAAAUGUCCAAGAUAAAAAAGAACUCAACAAACCCAAAUCAAGAACUUGAAUUCAAGGCAAGAAACAUGGACAAGUCAGACAUAUAUUUACUCCUCAUGAGUUUUACAGUGACAAUUUUGUGGGGUAAGCUAUGUGCAAUAUUUUGCAACUUAAUUUGGUUAUAUUUUUUGCCUCGAAGACGGCAUAAUACUAGCCGGCCUGAAAAUGUUAGAACAAGCUUGUGGCUGCCAGAGAAAAAAGAGAGUAAAGAUCAGUACUACUACAAGAAGAAGGUCAUAAUGGCAGGGCUGCUUGAAAGGAAGCAUCAGAGGGUUAAUGACAUUAAAUUUUUGACGUGAAAACUCUAUUUUUCGUGUUCGAUGCAAUCUCUUCAUCUCUGGUUUUGUGAAAAAUUAAAGUUUUGGCAGGGUUCAGGAGACAGAUCACACACUAGUUUCUUGUGUUGAUUGCCUCUUUGCAUCUUUGGGGACUAUGGCAGAAUCUGAGUACAUAACAUUCUCAUUUACUUUUUGCUUCUUUUCGAACUUUAUUUUCAUUUUUUUAAUAUUUUGGAAAAUUGUAAUCUAUUAACGAGGGGAAAGAAUAUAAAGAAAUUGGAUUGAUAUAUCAUGGAAUGUAUGGGAUCAUGGUUUGUUGGAUGCUUUAAACUAACUUAACUGGCAAAAAAAUUUCUUUAUUUAAACUGAUUUAUAUGUUACUUGGAAUUUUUUAAUGUAGUAUUAAUGACGCAUUUUUAAUAUUAAUUUUAUUUAUUUAAAGAAAUAAAUUCCCCUAGAUAUUGCUACAACUUAAACUCAUGAAGUCAAAUAAAUUAGUAUAUCUUUUUUAACCACCAGGUCUAUUUUGAGGAUUAAUCGGUAAAGAUUGAAGGAUGAAAUUCAAUUUUUUUUUUUAUAGUUUAACGUGGGUGUCCGGGCCAGCUUGCGCGCACCUCGACUAAUCCCACGGGCUCUGAAGUUAACGACCAUGUAAGCCUUCAGUGGCCAUCAUAUGAGCAACUUCAGGGCUCGAACCUGAGACCACAGAGGGAGCAAACCUCUUGAUCCCAAGCUCUUACCACUAGGCCACCACCUAGAUGAAAUUCAAUUUUAUUUCAUGGGCUUGAAGCUAAGCCAAAACUUGAGAUAAAAUUAUUAAUCUUAUAGUUUUGGUAAUUUUGAUAAUUUGAUAUAUUUUUUCUUGGCAAAAUGACUAAAAAUUUAUGUUUGAUAUUUGCAAAAAAUCCUGUUUUUUUAUUCAUUUAUUUAGAAAAGAGGACUCAAGAAAAAAAAAGGUCAAUCCAUCAAUAUAAUUUUAUUUUAGAUUUGUUUUGAAUUGAAGAUGGAUGAAGAAUUUUGCUAUCUCUAUAAUGCUCUUUAAAAGUUUUUUAAUCUUCUUUAUUUAUACUUGAAAUCUAUAAAUAAUGAAAUUCACUUGAAUCAAAUAUAAAUGUCUCAUAAGAGUUUUUCAAUAAUAUUUUAAAGACAGGUUGAAGAAUACACAUCUAAAUUUUGUAAAUAAAUUAAGUUAUCAUAAAUCAAAUUCAAGGAUAGAAUCAAAUGAUUGUUUUAUUUUUAUUAUAAGAGUAUUUUAAAUAGAUAUUAUAUCAUAUUAUAUAUUUUAAUAAAAUGAAAUAUUUAUCCAUGUGUAUUUAGGUAUUCAAAUUUAUGUCCACAAUUAUAAUUAUUAAAAUAUGAAAAUAUAUAUAUAAAAAUGAACUUGAAAUAUAAAAAAUAUUAAUUUUAUAAAUUAGUCGUUAUUGAUAUGUUAUUUACAAUAUAAUGAUCAAUAACAAUCGUCGCUAUUAUAUAAUAACAUUAUAGUUAUUAUUGAUGUGAUUCAUCAGCAAUGAUGCUGUAAGGCCAAAUAACGUUAAUGGGGAUACCCGAAUCCGUUAAAUAAUAAUCAUUAUGUAUACAAUAACCGCAAUAAUUAUUUAUAAGCAUGCUCCGUUAAAUAAUAUUAAUUUUAGGAAAAUUAAUGCCAAUUUUUUUUUUUAUAUUGUUGGUAAUUAGAUUAAGAUUGAUUAAAGAAUAAACCUAGUUCAAAUAUUUAGAAGAGCAUUAAAAAAAAUAACUGUUUUCUCAAUUUAUAUAUAUACAAGUACAUAACUCAUAUGAAAAUGUAAGUUUUUAUUAUUAAAAAAAAUAUAAUUAUCUUUUUUUUUCAUUUUAAAUUUUGUAUAUUAACUUAACUAGAUUUACAAACAAAUUUAUAUUAUAUAUAUUGGUGAUUUGAGAAUUUACUUUUUUUUUAUAUCUAGAUUAGUUAUUUCAGUAUAUAGAGGUGAUGGGCCUUUAGUCUAAACUUGUUAACUAGUUGAACGUUUAGUCCCAGUUGCCCAUUCGAGUAGAAUUUCUUGACAUAUAUUACCAUAAAUAUAGUUUUUAAACGCAGCUCGGACAAGUUCCAGAUUAUAAAUUGAGUUAGUUAUUUAAAUAAACUUGGGUCAAUUCUAUUAUUUUUUUAUAAAAAAUUGACAUAUUUUUUUUUUAAAAAAAGAUAAUUAAUAAGAUUUGAUCAAAUUUUAAUUAAGUUUUUCCGAGCUCAUCAAGUCAUAUAUUAACUUUAGCACAAAAAGAUCACAAAAAGAUAAAAAUCCCUUUUUAAAAUACGAGGAUAAAUAAUGGCUAGCAUACAACAAAUGGAAACAAGAUCUGAAAGCAAAGCAGAGGAAUCAAUCAAUGCAAAAUAAACUUUAGCACGAGUAAUUAUCAAAUUUUAAAGGGAAAAGAUUUUAAAGCAAAAAACUCUUUUAAAAAGUAAUUUAUGCUACAAUAUCAAAUACAUAUUAUUCUUUGGAGUGUUUGUUUUUGUGGUUCAACUUACUUUUUUUAAAGUACUUUUUUAUCUAAAAAAAUCAAAUUGAUAUUUUUUAAGUGUUUUUCAAUAAUUUUAAUGUGCUAAUAUUAAAAAUAAAAAAUCUAAAAAAAUUUAUUUUUAAUGCAUUUUUAAUUAAAAAAAACUUUUAAAAAAUAUUAUCCAUUGUAUUAUCAAACACACACUUAAUGGUGGUAAUCCUAAUUUUUUCUAGUUUAGCUUGCUAUAAGUGCUAUAAACAGAAAUGGACACCCUAUGCUCAACCACAAAACUAAGGAAAUUUUUUAGUUUUUACCAUCAAGAAAAAUUAAAUCAAUAUGCUUGAAAAAUGUCAUUAGAUCACAUAGUCGCGUACAUACCAUGCAAUUUUUUUCCCUCAUAAUCUACCAUAUUUUCGCUUUUACUUCUUUUUGUGUUUUUAACUUAAAGAAAAAGAGAACGAAUUAUGAGCCUAUACGAAAUAUUCUUAUUAAUUUUGAUGAAACUGAAUGUGAUUUGUUAUUUUAUAUUAAUGUUCGUGCUCUCUUCAAAAUGGAUUUGUGAAAUAAUUAAUAAUAUUUACUCCAAAAAUAAUAUAAAUUUCUUGAGAUGUAUAAACCCUAGGCUGUGUAUAAAUAUGUGUGUGUUCUAAGAUAUUUUAAAAUUGAACUCUCUUACAUUAAAGAAAUUAAUAAAUAAAAAGAAAAAAAAAAUACUCCCUUUUAUAUAUGUAGACCACACCACGACGAUCUUCUCGUGAAUGAAAAUCACCAAAAUAAUAUACUAGCAAUGUGUGAAAUGCCCAACACCCUAAAAUGGAUGUCUGCCAUCAAGGAAUUAAGCAAGUUGAUUUAAUAACUAAGUGAAGGGAACCUCGUUAAUUAGUCAUUAAUUGAUUGAUAAUUACAUAUAGGGAGUAUGUGUGUGUCUAUAUAUAUAUAUAUAUAUAUAUAUAUAUAUAUAUAUAUAUAUAUAUAUAUAUAUAUAUAUAUAUAUAUUUGCAUUUUCUUUCAAUGUGUUCCCAAUGAUAAAAAUAAGUAUGAAUUUUUUUAGUUUAGAUGAAGAAUUUUUUAUAUAUAAUUUAUAAGGUAGUAUUUAGUUAUUAUUUUAUUACAUAAGAUACGAAGAUAUAUAAUUGAGAUAGAAAAAAUAUAUAUAUUUUCAUGUACUUCCUGUUUUGAAAUAAAAAAAAAUUAUUUAAGAAAUGAAUUUAUUUUUGUAUCUAUUUUUUAUUUUAAAAAGAUAAAAUUCACUUUAAAAAAAAUUAGAAAGAGAAAAUUAUCCUAUAAAAAGCUCUUCAUAUCUUUUUUAAAAAAUAAGGACCGAAUAAAAUAUUCUAUCAAUAUGAGUUAAGAGCAAAGUUGAUAGAAAUUGGUCGUUUCUUGAGGUUCUUCUUCUUCAAAAAAGAAAAGUUGAUUAAAGCUAAAAGCCAUGAUUCUCAAAUAAAAUCAAGUUGUAGCUAUGGUACCUAAAGCAAGGCCAUUUUACCAAAUUUAUUGUUCUUUAUAAUAGUUAAUGACUAUAAAUAUUCCUAAACAAAACAAGAAAAAAUAAUUAAUUAAUUAGUUUAUUAAGUCCAAAAUCAAUAUGUUAAUUUAGAAGUAUGAACUUUUCUACUUAAGAGUAUUGUUAUUAAAACUCAUAAUAAGUAAAACUCAAGAUAAUAGGGACUAAAUAUACAGUCAAACCCCUUUUGAAAAUAACUCCCCUGGAUAACAGACCGCGCGCUUCUUAACUGCUUAUCUCCCUCUCUCUCAGGUGCCUUUGCGUUUCUUCGUCCAGCUAAAGCUAUCUCUGGUUUCUUGAACUGAUAACUUCGAUGUGAAUGAUAUCAAAUUUGAUUUUUCUAUCAUCAUUAGUGUUACCAUCCUUAACUUUAUCUUUCUUUUGUUAUUUUCAUUAGUUUCUUCAAGGUUAAUCCUACUGUUUCUUGAACUUAAUUUUGAAUGCAAUCAAGAACUGAAACAAUUUCACUGUUUCACUGUUUCUUUACCAUUCUUGUUUGAUUUAAUAAAAUGCGUUUGGUUUAAUCUCUUAGUUAACAUGUUCUAGUUGCUAUUUUUUGUGUUAAUGUGUAGAUAAUUAUGUAUGCUUUCACAUUGUAUAUGGAUUUGCUAAGUUACUUUUCAUUUUACGUGAUUUUUUGCUUUAUGGAUUCUUGAAAAAUCCCUCAUUGGGGGUAGUGAAAUUCAUUGUUAACUUCAUGUUAGACCUGAAAUCUUUUCUUUUGAUUCUCUAUUUUUUUUUUCCCUUCCUGUUGACAAGUUUACAGUUGCUUUAUAGUCUAUCUUUGAUUUCAUGUUGUAUUGUGGCCGAUUCUUCUAACGAUGGAAUUGGUUCUUCAUUGCGCAUUGAAAUUCUUUGUUUUGUAGAAAAAUCUUGUAAAGAUGACACCUCCAAGAGCAUUGAUUCAACAAAGUGUGGAGCAUGCUAAAACGAAGAACAAGAAGGAGAGGAGGGAUAGGACUGUGCCGACCAAGAGGGAGAUAGAUAGUCUAGAAUCAAAUGCUGCUCGAAAACUGCAACUAGAAUAUCAGAGUACAUUGGGCGAUCCAAUAGCAGAGUUUGAAAGACUCCUUCAUUCUGCUGCUCCAUUUAUCACUUCCUCUUGUACAAAUAAAAAUCAGCAGUUAGAUAGUUCUCUUCAUCAGGCUCAGUUACCAAGAAUAUCACUUCAGGAUGUUUGGAAGUGGUAUGAGACACCUGGGAGUUAUGGGUUAGAAGUCAAGGCAGGAGAUUCUCCAAAUAUUAAUGGUUUUCUUGCUGAAUCGACACCAUUCUGUGCAUAUUUUGUUCCUUACCUGUCAGCUGUUCAAUUUUUUGUUUACCCACAUCUCUCAGAUGUUUGUGGGAAGGAUAAAGUGGACACCAAUCCUGAACUCGUAUUUGAAUUCUUUGAAUCUGAGCUUCCACACGAUCGAAAGCCUCUUCAUUUAAAGUUAGUCUUCUUCUUACUAUUUUCAAUCUUGCCUGUGUUAUUACUGUUUUCUUCUGGGAGUAUGAGCUCUUUACCUGUGCUAUUGAGAUUCAGGCAACAGCAUGCCUAACUAGAAUAUCCUCUGAUAUGUAAUCUCAUGUGUGCAUGAAGGAUGGACAUUUUAUAAUGAUGCCAAGUAGCUGAGCCUUGAGGCUUUUUUUACUCAGGAAAUGUUCCUUUAAUUUGCCAGGAAAUGUUCCUUUAAUUUGCCUCACUUUUGGUUGCUUUCCACUUCUUGAACAAACAUUCUGGUUCCGCCCUUCACCGCACCCUCUGAAACCUUGUGGUAGGAUGCAACUGAUUUUGUGUUAAUCCCUUGCUAAUUGCAGAAUCAGGGACCUCAUCAGUAUCAACACUUCUAACCUUCAAGUGUUCGGUGAUCCAUCAAAGCUAGAAUCUAUGAACCUGCAUGAUCUACACCCUUCAUCUUGGUGAGAAACAACAAGAUCUUGUAGUUCUUGUUAUCCGUAGUGCUUAUGUGACAUGUAAAAUUUAUCAUGCUCAUGAACUCUGGAUAAAUGGUUUCAGGUUUUCAGUUGCAUGGUACCCUAUAUAUCGAAUUCCAGAGGGCGAGUUUCACGCAGCAUUCCUGACAUACCAUUCAUUUAAUCAAUUAAUUGUACGUAGCAUUCCAAUUGAUUCGCUCAGUAAGACGUUUCAGAUGAUUGUCUUCCCAGUUAUGGGAUUGCAAAGCUACAGGAUAAAGGUAACUUCUAUAUAACACUGACUCAAACAUUCCGAUGAUUUUAGGUCCGGAUUGUGCUUCUACAUGUCGAAAUGGUGUCCGCAAGAGAAGGAAACUGCAAUCAGAGAUUCAUGUCAUCACUACAUCUGAUUUUCCAUGUUCUUCAUUUCUGAACAAUGACAUGUUCAUUUUAAGUAGUUGAUGAGAAUUUGGUCGAAUUGCUUGUAUCAAAAGACAUGAUUGAUUGACAUACCGCACGAUAAAAUCCUUCUGCGUAUACGAUGAUUAGUUCUUUUCUGUUGUGUUGUUUCGGUUUAUGAUACUUUUCGUCUGUGGUCAGUACAUAAUAGAUGAUAAUGCUCUAAGAAUGGUGUAUUUGGUGGGAGCCUGCAUUCCCAAUUUGCUAAGACUUUUACAAGGAACAGGCUGAUUAAUACCUGACAAUCUUGUAAUUGUAGGGUGAACGCUGGUUUGAUCUCAGAACUCAUGUUGAGUCUUCUUCAGAAGAAAGUACUUCUAAAACUUCUGAAAUUCUCAUAGAAAGAAGCAGAGCACUGGAGGAAAGAUGCAGAACACUGGAGAAAAAUGCCUUGCUUCUCUCUACAAGAAGUGUUACAGCAGAUCAAGUCAAAAGAUUUAAUUACCAUCGAGAUUAUCAGUUCUUCAUUAGUAGGAAACGCUAGGUUGAUCUUUCCUGCAUCACAUCUUACACUGUGCUGAUUUCUGUAAACAAAAAACGUGAGGUCUAAAAUGCUAGUACGGUAUCAAUUUUGCUGGUUUUUGUAGGUAUUAAGAAACAGAAAGUAUACAACAACCCCACGGCAGAAGAGUUAAUUUCAGUUUGUACAAUCACUGUAGUUGAUGUCCCUACAACAUGCAGUUCUGGAGGUUUUCCACUGUAAAACUUGAAAUUCCUCUCCUAUCUCUCUAUUGCUAUUUCCCUCUGUUUCUUUUCAUUGAAAUGUUGAAUAGAUAAUACAAUUAGGUGAUCAAAUUGUUAAGUUUCUCCAAAUUAAAUUGCAAUUUCAUUUGUAUCCAUGCAUUCUGGGUCAAUGCCAGUCAAUUGAGGACAGCUUUCUUUCAGUUGUUGACUGUUUUUGUUCACCCUGCAUUGUGCUUAAAAUGAGUGGAAUCAGCAUGCUUUGUAUACAUAUUCGCAAGGUGAGAGUCAGAUGCAUGGCCUGGAAUAUCAAAGCUAUUUUGUCUUCUGUUUAGCAGUCUGUGGUUAUCAGAAGCAAAUCCAAAUUCACUGCUGAUGAUUCGUCUUUAAUCAUAAGGUCUUCUGCUUCGCACACAAUUAACAGAUUCUUGGUCCCAAGUCAAGGCUCUCCCUCCAACUCAGGUAACCAAUUUGUAACUCUUUUAAGUUCUAAGAAAGAAACAAAGAAAAGGAUAUCAUUUUUACAUGCAUGUGGGUGGGUUGGACUUUUGAAGCUAGAUUCUUCAUUGGUGUGCUGGACCAUCCAAGUCUUGCUCAUUAGUGAUCAAAUUUUAGAUUGUAUGGUUUCAGGGCAAGAUCCCAGGUUCCAUCUCGCUGAUGUUAUUGUAGUAAUGAAUGAAAAAGUAGUUUGUGGACAAGUAAUGCUUAAGAUAUUAAAAUCUCUUUCUUUGAAAGACAAUUUACUGGAUAGCACCACCUUGUUCUUGGAGGAAUUGCAAUUCUGAAAUGGAUUGAGGAUGAAAAGGUCUGAGUAGACUUGAAAAUAGCUGCUGCUUGCCUUAGUCAUAGAUUAUAUAUACAUUUAGCUGUGUCUAGAUAUCUCAUAAACCAAUUAUAGGCUGAAGUUGAUGUCAUGAAGCAUGAAACAUGCCAUAGCUUUGGAGAUUAUAUAAGAAGAAAGGCUUUUACAACAGUACUAGGAUUUUGCCACUCUCAGAAAACUUUGAAACUAGCCUUCAAAUAAGGUACAAACCAUGUACAGAGAAGAAAAAAAACUAACUAUUACAAUUAACUAAGACUCUUGCAUUCUCAAAUAUAAUAGCAGUAUUACAGUUACUUGAACCAGAUUUCUCAGCGUCCUUCUUUGGUUCUCUUUUUAAGACUUGGGACUUUUGUUUGAUGUGGUGUUCUUAGUCUGAGUAGAAGCAGUUGAGGUGUGGCUCUGUGCCUGUGAACUUUGGCUAGAAGAUGAUUCUGUGAAGAAAAUUAUGCUCUCCUGGCUGUCAAACACUUGGAGACAUCUUGGAGUUGGAGGUGGAUUCACGCUCACAACCCCUUCGAGGAUCUGAACUACGUGGCCCAUUGAUGGCCUUUGGGUUUCUUCAUCUUGGAUGCACCAGCAAGCAACUUUACAGACUCUUGUUAGCUCUUCAAGAUCAGCAUCCCCCUCCAACCUGUGGUCCAACAAGCUAAGGAUGUCACCGUACUCUUGAUUGAUUUGGCUUGCAGCAUAACUUGGGAAGAACUUCACUUUCCCAUCUUCAGAUUGCUCAGAGUUUCUCCUUCCUGAUACAACUUCAAAAAUCAUCAUUCCAUAACUGUAAACGUCUGCUUUGGCUGUUAUAGCCACUCCUGAAAUCCACUCUGGAGCUAGAUAGCCUCUUGUACCUCUCAUGGUUGUCAGCACCCUGCUAAAAUCCCGGCCGACGAGCUUUGCCAGGCCAAAAUCAGCCACUUUUGGGCAAAACUGAGCAUCUAAAAGGAUGUUCUCAGGCUUUAUAUCGCAGUGUAUGAUACAGUCCCUGCAUUUCUCAUGGAGAUAGUUCAAUCCUCUAGCUGUCCCCAAAGCAAUACUGUACCUAGUUUUCCAGUCUAAGACCUUUGUGUUUUUCUCACUGAAAAGAAGGGAAUCAAGAGAACCAUUCGGCAUGUAGUCAUAGACCAACAGCUUCUUAUUUCCCUCUGAGCAGAACCCACGAAGGCGAACCAGAUUGACGUGCUGGAUUGUCCCGAUAGUGCUGACUUCUGAGCGGAAUUGCUUCUCUCCUUGGCUGAUGCUAUCAAGCUUCUUCACAGCUAUGACACUAGUAUCAGGCAACAACCCUUUGAAAACAGAACCAAAACCUCCUCCCCCCAGUUUCUCAGAGAAAUUCUUCGUCGCACUUUGUAAAUCUCUGUAUCCAAAAGCCAUCAGUGAACCCUCUACUGCUUUGCCCAUUUUGACUGUUUUUCUCCUUCUCAAGAAUAUGAACAGAACAAGGGCAAGGAUAGACACUAUCGCCACUGAGCCCACAACACCGCCAAUAGCUAUUCCUUUAUUAUUCUUAGAACUUGAAAACUCAGAAGCUGCAAGCCUGAUAUAGAUAGAUUUUCCAUCUGUGCCAUCUGCAAGUUGCUGCAUGUUCAAUAGAUCGCCGGACCAAGCUGAGCACUGACCACCAUCAAAAGCAUAGGCAGUACAAGAACAAUUCUUCAAGCAAGUUGAUUCACAUUCCUGUGCACUCCCAGCUGCCACUAUCUGUGGAUUUGCAGGCAACUUCAUAUUGUAACUUGGGAAAAAUCUGUCACUCUUCCCAUUAACAACACUAGAAUUCCCACACUGCAGAUUUGUUGCCCUCUCACAUCCCCCAGAAAAAACCUCCGAAUACCAGUCCCCCGUCGAAUUCGGGUUGAAACCUCUCGGGCAGUCGCAGAAAGGCUGUGAUUUCGCAUUACAGCUUCCAAAAGCCCCACAGUAAGCAUACACCUCACAUUGCGUCUUUGGUUGAGACCAGAACAAAAACCAUGCGUUGGUACUCGCCGACCAUGUUUGCUGUUGAAUCUGCCCGCCAUCAUCCAUCACAAACCGAGAUAUGACUGUACUGUUGUACAUUGAAUAGGUGAAAUAGCUCUCAUUAUCAUUGCUAACAUAACUAAAGUUGUAGAUAUAAUUCAAUCUCAUUUCAGGAACUAAGCUGAAAAUCUGUCCAUUCCAUUCUCCACUAGUCCAAUACUGUAUAGACCUCUUCCAGAAGAUCAAAUAUUGACUCUGAUUUGGGUCUAGCUCAAGAGAGAAAAGACCCGGUGCAGGAUUAUCUUUGCUUUUCCAUGAAAUGAGACGUGUGUUCCUAUUGUUGAUUUUGCUCAAUCCAACCUUAGCACCAGGCAGCCAUGUAUCAGCUGGAAAAUCAAAAGACUGCCAUAGUGGUGACAAUGAUGGAUUAGACCUAUCUCUCAAAACUAGAUUUCCAUCAUUACCAAGUACUGCUUCCACAGAUCUAGAGCUACUAGAGCUCAAAUUUGUGGACCAAAUUAGGAUCUUGGACUCAUUAAAGAGAGCUAAAUUCCCAUCAGAUAUUCUUAACUCCGAAGAAAAUCUAUCAGAAACAGGUGUCUCUCUGUUUGCCACCCAAACUAUGGUCUGUGCAGACACCUUAUCUCUAUAAUACCACAUGCCUAUGUAGUAGUUUGAGGAGUUACCUGGCUUGAAGAAACCAAGUUCGAAGACUUUUCCUGCUGAGACAACAGUUUGGUCUCCAGAAAGAGAGCUGUUUGCAGAGAUUGUAUCAGCUCCAAGGGAGACAUGGGGCUUGAGAGAAAAGCAUAAGAAAAUAACAAAAGGCAUGAUCCAUGGAUUGUUUCUGACAUCCAUGGCUGCUGCUAAGGUAUUUUGCAGGUAAGUUUGAGAUUUUCAAGGUGUAAGAAUGUACAGCUGGUUUUAUGGAGUCUGAGAGAGAGAAAACAAGACUUGGUCUCAGUAUACGCCGUAAUCAUUUGCCAAUGAAACUUACGAGAUUGUUGUUUUGAACAUGAAGUCACCGAGCUUUCUUGAGGGUAAAAAUCUAUAAUAUUUUUAAUUCUCGUUACUUAUGUAUCUAAAAAAAAUAUUUUUAAAAAAAAUAUUUUAAAUUAAUUUGUUUAAAUGUUUUUUAAUUAUUUUAAAUCAUAGAAAAACCACUUAAAAAAUAUUUUGUUUUAUUAUUGGGGCAAAAGAGAGGAAAUAAUGGGAAUAGUAUAUUUUCUAUUUUAAAAGUACAAAAAUUAAUAAAAAAAUCAAUUUACUUUAUUUUUCUCAACCUUCUCAUUAUCUUCAUCUUUUAUCAUCUCAAAAUAAUAACAGAAAAGGUUAUUUAUUUUAAUCAAAUCCACUCUUCAUCCAUUGUAGCCAUCAUAAAUGAAUUGAUAAUGAUUGAAUUGGAUAAAAAAACAAAUUAUAAAAUGAAAAUCAUGAUCACAGCAAACCAUUUCAAUCUCAAGAGCUAAAACUAAUGUCUUGUUUUCGAUCAGUAAACCACAAAGUCAUUCUCGUGCCCAGAAAAGAAAAUUCAAAGUUUCCAGAUUUUGCAACCUGAGACCUUCUAGAGAUCAAGAUUGAAUUCUGUGAAAGACAAAUGGUUUGUCAUCAGCAGAGGACCGAGGAUUCAAGCCUGGUCAGCAUGAAACAAGAACAAAUUUAUAGCCAGACAUCAGGUUGAAUGUUGAAUAUAUCUCUUAAAUGUAAUCUGAAUUAUUAUAUAAAUAGCACUAUCUGAUUAGGAGAAAAACACAUCUCAACCAUCAAUCCAACCUCUUAUUAGUAAAAGGGUGUCAGGAAGUCAACACUAUUCAAAUAAUUAAGCAACCAAAGAUAUUUCUUUUAUUUUCCCCAUAAUCUAAUAAUUUUUUUUUAAAGAAAAGGACAGACAGAGCCAUUGCCGUGUUGAAAACUCUCCUCGAUCACUUUCAUGAAAAUAAAACGCCUUUAUGGCUGGGUGGCACAAUUGCUUUCACAUGGCAAUUGAAACUUGCCCAUCAAUUUUCAACCUGCCUCGCUACUUCAUUAAAAUUUGCAAUAAGAAAGGGUUGCCCUUUGCCAUAAUAUCAUUCAUGAUUUUCCCUGCUGCAAAAGCAUGCUUUAAGGUUCUAGAUUCGAGCUUCGUUCUUAAUUUCUUUUAAGAAGUGGGAUCUCUGCAGUAUCAAUAAAUAUGCUUUAAGGUUGUUGAUUCGAGCUUCGUUCUUAAUUUCUUUUGAGAAGUGGGAUCUCUGCAGUAUCAUUAAAUAAUUAUGAUUAUUAGGUGUAUAUAUAUAAAUAUCUUAAAAUUUAAAUUUAAUAUAAGGAAAUUAGAGUUUUCUAUGUAUGUGCGUGAAAAAAACUUUUUUAUUAACUUAGAUGUUCGGGUUAGCUUGAUCGCAGCUCGACUAAUCUCACGGGUCCUGAAGUUAACAACCAUGUAAGUCUCCAGUGGCCCUGAGAAGACUCGAACUUGUGACCAUUAGGAAACAAAUUCAAGACCUGAUCAAUUAAGCUACUCCUCGGGGUUUUGAAUUUUAAUAUUCUAUAUUAGGUAUAUGGUCAAUCUCCAUGUGUGUCUGAACGAAUUUAUAAUGGUUAACUGGUCUAAAUAUUCAUGUAAACUUGAAUGACUAUCCUAAUUGAGGGAAGAAGAUUUGAUGGGUUGGCUUAGCAACAGCCACAGGUAAUUGUUUAUUUCUUUCAAGUCAAAAGUUAUAAUUGGAUCCUAAAAAUCAAAACAAUACAUAAACAUUUUCUGUUUCAAUAUUAAAGUUAUAAUUGGUCAUCGGAUUGAUUCUCACUUCCUCUUCCUCGAAGAAGAUUUGCCCUCUCCAAAGAAAAAACAAAAUAUUCCUUUUUCUUUCUUUCUAAUAAAUAUAGAGAGUAUUUUACAAUGUGGUUUGGUUGCUUUUCAAAUAACUCUUCGUAUCGAAAUACAUGCCAAUAAUUUUUUUUAUUUUUUAAAAAUUAUUUUUGACAUCAGAACAUCAAAACGAUCUAAAACAUACAAAACAUAUUAAAUUUUAACAGAAAAAAAUAUUUUGAAUUUUUUAGAAACGAGGUUUCCACCGCGUUCCCAAACAUGUUAAUAAUUAGGUGAUCAUAGUAUUUCAAAAGAUUUAAGAUAUGUCUUUUAAGAUUAUUUAAAAAGGUAAUUUAACUUCAAUUUACAUACAAAUUAAUUUAAAAAUAUUCUUAUUAUAAUCACUAAAAUAACCAUGAAGCUCUAUUAUUAAAUUUGGUUGUGUUCAUUUACGUUAUGACCUUCAAGUUUUAAAAAAAUUAUUUAGAGUGUAUCAUGUGAUUCGAUAAAAUUUUUUAAGUUGGCUUAUGAUUCUAUCAAAACUUGUUGAUUUAAAAAAAAAUUAAUUAAUCUAAAUCUAUCUAAAUUAACCCAUCUAUUUUAUGACUUGAGUUUGUGCUAGAUUAUUAUUGGGGGUAUUUAUGAAAAUAGUUAGGUUAGGUAUGAAUCUAUAAUUAUAUCUACUCUAAUUUAUAAUAUUUUAUAAAUUACAAACUCAACUCAUUCAAUUUUUUUUCCUAAGAGGACCUGUCAGUGAUAUAAUGGAGGAAGAUGGGGAUGAUGUCAAGUCUGCGUAGCCGGCUGGGCCACACACGUGUUACUAUGACAAUUACAAUGGGAAGCAACUUUUCAAGUUGAUUGAGGUGUGAAACCAGUGAGCACAUGUACUGACCUCGACACAACCACUCACCGUUAAUGAUAAAUUAGAAAUCACUCAAUCAAUUGUUUAAGCAUAUAAAUCAUAACACUCUUUCGAGUUCUUCAAACUCAUCAGGCAAAAACUCUUUUUAAAAAAUAAAAUAAAAAUAAAAGUCAAAAUAGAUGGCCCCAAAGAAUUUCUUUUAUUUUUAAUUUAAUGAGGUUUGCAACUAGCAAGACCACAAUCAUGAAUAUUUGGUCAUUUGUGCAGAGCUAACCACCCACAUGACCUCCCGUAUAGAUUCUCAUACAAAACAAAUAUGUUUCUUCCAGAAAGAUUAGUUUUAUGAUUAGAAAAUGAAAAAGAAGUUCUUUUACUCUCCUCAAAAGACUCUCCUUAAAUUAUUUAAAUAUUAAUCUUUAUUUUCCUAAUCCUAAAAAAAUAACAAAAUAACCGGCAGAAUGACGCAUGUUACAAAUUCUAAAAAGUCAUCGGAAUGACGCCACAAACCAUCCAUUGGUGGCUCUGCGGUGCUCACAUAAUUUUCUAUUAUAAGGUUCGAUCUUCUCUAUUUACACACGAACAAUUAUCUUUUUUAUAUAUAUAUAUAACCCAGGGUGUUUAGAUCAGCUUACGCGUACCACAACUAAUCCCCGGGUCCACUGAACAUCCUGCAAACCCAAUGGGUAUGUAAGGCACUGUGGGGGUGACAGACAUGCACAGAGAAGAUCGAACCCAGGUGCAGAGAAAGAAAACAAGUCUCUUUCCCCGCUAGGCCACGACCUUUAGUGCGCACGAACAAUUAUCUUGAUGUCUAUCUUUCCGGCUAGUGGCUCUUUUUUUAAAAAACUUGUUUCUUUAGUGAUCACCUAUCUUUUUUAUUAAUAGUUAUUUUCCAUUAAUUUAUAUUAUCAGUAGGUAUCAAUUUUUCUCGCUAAUCACUAACAAGUGUCAACCUUUCAACUAAUAGUAUCACAACAAGGUACCACAAUGAGAAAAAAUAAUUCAUCAUUACUUUACUAUUUAUAAGAUAAGCUUGUAUAACCAAUAUGUAUAAAUAAUUCAUUGCACAGGUAAACAGAGAGUUCCAUUCGCAAGUUCAUUCACUUAUAACUACAAGUUCAUACAAUUUCAAACACUCCCUAUUUUUAGUAAAAGCAUGGAAUACCCAAGUAUAGGCCCAUCAUUCAGUGGCUAAAUCCAAUCUCAUAUCAGCCCAUCAAGUAAUCGUGAAAAGACCUUAGAUUUAAUUUGAAAUUUUCACACAACUUCAUGAGAAAGAUAACACUAAUAAUAAUACAAAUAAACUACACGCAUGAAAACAAUAUAUAAUCUAUCAGCAUCCAAAAAAUGGCGAAGUCUAAGGAGGAGGAGCAUCCCAUUAAACUAGAGAACGAGUUUGUGAGGAACCAAAACUAGCCAAGAAGUCAGCACACUAAUUACCCUCGUGAAGGGCAUGAAUGAGCCUAUUAGGGCCGAAGGAUGAGAGAUGAUACUGAAUUCUUGAAGUGAGGAUGAAAUUUGUCGGGAGAAGAUAACAAACAACAAAUUGCUUCUAAGGAAUCGCACUCAACUUCAAGAGGAGAAAGUUUUUGUCUCUAUAGAAACAUUAAUACCAUGCCAAAUAGCCCAUAGUUCCGCCGCCAUGUUAGUGGCAGAGCAAAUAAAAGAAGAGAAACCAAGAUGCCAGUUACCUAGAAAAUAUCGAAAAAUGUCACCAGAACGUCCGCAACCAGCCUUUCCCCUGAGCUCCCUAGUGAGCUACCAUCCACAAUAUUAACCUUCCGCCAAUCAUACGAGGGAGGGUGCCACUGAAUAAAGCGAAUGGUAGGAGCAGAGUUGGGUUUUAAAAGACGAGAGAACGCAAUCUUCAAUCAUCAAUCUAGCUCUUGAAGCAAACCCCAACUCAGCUUACCCUCCCCCAUGGAUGCGAGGCAUCACGUAGAGGAUAUCACUGUUAAAAAAUUAUUUUAAUAUAAUAAUUUAAAUUUAAUAAAUAAUGUUCAUGAUAUAAUUUAUAUUAUUCACUAAUAUAUAUUUUUAAAUGAAAACUCUUUAGAUUUAAAACUUACAUAGACUCACACUAUCUUGUGUUUAAUUUUUAUUAAAUAAAUAGAGAUAAUAAGAUUCGAACUCGUGACCGCUUAAUUAUUAAGAUUUUAAUACUAUAUUAAAGAAUCAUCUCAACCUAAUAAUUUAAACUUAUUAGUUGAGGUCUCAAAAUAUAGUUUUUAUUACUUUUACAAGCAAAAUCGCAAUAUAAUGUUAGUAACUUAGGUUACAACUAUUUUUUUUUCCUUUUUUUUUCAGAAAUUAGGAUUAAAAGCUCAAGAAACUAAAGAUUACAACCAACAAAUAUGGAAAAGAGCUACCCCAUUAACACCCUAUAAAAGAAAAUUGGCAAUUUCCUAACGUUGGGAAAUUUAAAAAACAAUAAUCUAAAAUAAGAUAUAAAUACACUUAGUUUAUAUUUAGUUAGUGUCUUAAUAAAAAAAAACAGAUAUAUAAGAGAUAAAAAUGUAUUUUGUUAAAAAGAUAAAGAUAAAAUGCUUUUUUUUUUCAUUUAAAACAAGAAGUAUAAAUAAAUAUAUUUAUUAAUUAAUUUUUUUAGUCAAGUAAACUUGGAGUCACAUAUGUCACAAUAUCUGUUAAUAUAUUGUUAGAUUUUUUUUUUCUAAAAAGAAAAAAAUUGUUAAUCACAGGAAGACAUUCCCUCUUAAGAAAGCAGCUGACUAGGACGCAUCCCUUGCGGUUCGCAAACGACAAGAUCCACUUUCUCCUCUCAUCCUCCUUUUUUGACCAAAUCUGUGGAUGCAGAAUAAACUCUCUUUUUUUUCUUUUUUCUAUUUAUUUAUGACUUCAAAUGGUCAAAAUCAAAAUUUAUAUUCACCAAUGUAUGGUUUGAUUACAAUUUAUUUGAUAUAUUUAUUUAUUGGGUUUGAUAAUAUGAUGCAAGAAAAGCAAUUAGAACUAUAGGACAUGAAUGCCCUAUAUUUAAUUGGGCAAAAAAUAACAAGAAAGUAUUUUUUAUUUAUAAGAUUAGAUAAAUUUAGUUUAUGAAUGUCCAAAUUGCUCCCAUAAUACCUUCCAAUCAUAGCAUAAAAAUCAGGUAAAACCAAAUAAAACCAAUUAUUGGGUUGAUUCAAGAAUAUAGAACUAAAAAUCUAAUCAUAUAAUAAUUUCUCAAUUACACGAAAUAAAUUGUUAAAAAAUCUAAAAAGUUGGUUCGGUGAUUAAGAGAAAAGUUGUAUUUUUCAACCUUUUGAAUUAAGAUUUUAAAACCAAUAUCUUGAAAAUUUUAUUAAAUUACUUUAAUUGAUUCGAUAAUACUAUUAAUAAAAAAAUAAAUUAUUAGAAAAGGUAAAAUAAAGGAAAUAGCUCGUGAGUAUAUUGAAAAAAUCAAGUGAGACAGAAUCCAAUCAAAUCUUUUUCUUUGUCCUAUCCAUAUAUAUAUUUUUGAUAAUAUAAAAAUCAAAAUUGCAAUAAAAAAAAAAAGAAAAGAAAAGACAACUUUAGGGUUAGCCUCAGAAAGUUGGAUGCUUUACCACAGCCGCUGCUCUAGAACAAAUUUCUCUCUCCCUCUCUCUAAAAUAUAAAUCAAAAUAAAUAUUUCUUACAUUUUUUAUUGACCAUAAAAAUAAGGCCUUCCGUUUCUUCCCAAUACAACAGUGUCUUUACCACAACCUGGCUAGAGAAAGGUACGGUCUUUCUCCUUCUUUUUUUAUUUUUCUUGUGCCAAUUGCUUUGAUUUUUGUUUUCUCAAAAUGGGUUCCUUUUGAUUUUUUGUGUUUAUUGGUUUUGAUUCAUGAAGUUUGCAGGUUUGUGGAGAUGGGGUUGUUUUUUUAUUUGAGAGAAUGAAUUAUGUUUGCCUGUUUUUGAGCUAAGAGUUGUUAAUUUUCCUUUAUAGGUUGAUAUUGGUAUGUUAUUAUGGAUUAAUGUUUUUGUAUUGCUAUAUGUGUUGGAAAAGAUUUCAUUUUUCUUUUCUUUUUAUGUUUAUGCAUAGAUUGAUUUAUUGUUUCUUUGAAUAUCAGAAAUGUGUUUCUGCUUCAUUGUGUUUUUUUAUUAUGGUUUGUUGCUGAGGGGAAAAAGAAAAAAAAUUGAAAUCUAAUUGAGCUAGAAGAAAUCUUUUAUAUGGGCUCAAGGUAAUUGGCUGCUGCAUUUGUUAUAUCAUAUUAAUGAUUGUUAUUUUCUGGUCAUUUUUUAAUGGAUGAUUAUAUAUCAUUUGUAUCUUGAUGAAGAAGUCUCUUCCGUUUUCUUAUUGCAGCAAGUGUUAGUUGUUUUUUCCCCUUUGUUUGCUUGUCUUGAUUGUAACAAUCCAAUGUGGAACUUGAGAUGUUAUUGAUUAUCAUGGAUAUUGAUUGUAUCACCGUUCUGAACUGUGUUUUCCUUCAGCUUUCUUGUUUAAUCAUGAAAGCCAUUUAUUUUAAGUUUUUUUCCUUAUUUUCAGGCCAGCAUCUCUUAUGUAUAUUAGGAAUUGGGUUUUCCUAGUUGGCAAAGAUUUUGAUUCACUCUGGCCGCUUCAACAAAUUUGAAGUGUUCUCGCACCUCCAGGAGGGUGUGGGGUGAUAGCGAGGGUGUGAUAUUGCUGUGUGUUUUAAGGCGAUCAAGAUCAUCUCAUGUUUGGAGACUGUGCCGUGUUAUGGAGGGCUUGUCUCUUGAUUAUGGCUAAGGUUUGCUAGGUUUCUGGAAGCUUGAUGGUAGUUGGAGAAUUUAAGUUAGUAGAGUCAGGUCAUUGUUUUAGGUUCGUAAGUGUGGAAGCUAGAAGCAGCACAGUAUAGUUGUUUACCCAUUACGUUCUUUAUGUAAUUCAAUAAUAAGGUUAUUUGUGGAUGUAGCUUGUGUUAGUGUGGCUACAAUGGUUAGGUUCUCAUGUUUCAAUGCUCACAUCCCUUCUCACAAACCAAAGGUAAGUUGAGCAAUCACUGAUUUGGACGUAGUAUCUUUGUUCUUACCUUCCAUGGCUUUUCUGAUUAGAGUUUUCCUUUUUCCUUCAGAAAACUGCCGAACUUUCUGUUAAAGCAAUGCAUAAGAGUUUAGAAGAUUUUUCUCAAAUUCAAUCUCCUAAGACACUGACCAAAGCUACAAGCUUGAUACUUCUGAAGGCACAAACAGAUACUGGAACUAUUAAUAGUGUCAGGGAUGCUACAAGCUCUGUAUCUGCUGAACAAAGCUGGGAAUUCGACAAAAUUGAGGACAAAAUGGAUUUCAAGAAUGACAUAGGAGUUCAUCAGACAAGGCUUAUUAAGAAAAGUCAGUCUCUUGGAAGUGGAUUAUGCCAUGAGGGAAUGGUUCAUCGUGACAAUGAUACUGAGGAGGAGAUAGAUCAAGGAUUCUCUGGUGAUUCCAUUGAUCAAAAUGGGUUACCUAGACCAGAUGGCAGCAAGGAUACAGGAAGGAGCCCAACUAGCGUGCAUGAGAAAGAUUUGCAACUAGAGUCUGUUCAGAUGAGUUUUGAUUUUGACAAGGAAUGCAUUUUCUCAAUUGGCAAUCCUCAGCAUUCUGGAAAGGAAGAGCCGGAAAUUUCUGAUUAUCUGUUAUCUGGUGAAGGUGGUGAUGCAUCAGGUAACCAGUCGCCUGGUAGCCCUCCCGUGAUUGAAAAAUCAUGCUCAUUUCCUGACAUGGGCACUUUUUCACCCACAUCCCAUGGACAUUUAGCAUCUCACUCAAGAUCUUUGGAGGACCUGCAUUCUCUAAGUAUGAGGUGGAAAACAAUUUCAAUUAAUGGGGAUGAAACUCACAAAAUGAGAAAACAAGAAAGGGAUGAUUGCAUUCCUAAAACUGAGGAAAACAAUAUUGAAAGUUGUCUUGAUGAAGGUUUUGAUUCGUAUAAUUACUCAGCUAUGGCAAAGGAUUGGAUAAUGCCAGUUGUGAAUGAAGCAAACCUUCCAAAUAAAUUCCAAGGAGAAUCCUCCACUCAUCAGUGGGAAGAAUUACCAAGUAAGGAUUUUAAAAUGAAGCGUAUUGCGGACUGGGUAAACAAUCUUCAACACUGUAGUUCAUUCGAAGAACCAAAUGAAUUGCCUGAUACUGAUGACACGGUCCAUGGAGAUUCAGAUGAUUUUGCCACUGCAAAGGUUGAUAGUAAGGUCACUCCUGUCACGGAAGCUGCUAAAAGAUAUAUCUCUUCGUUGACUGUCUCUGCUACCACAGCUCAUCUGUCAAACCUUGGGCUGGCAGAGAUCCCUUUUCUUAGUGCGUUUGGCAGCAUGAGGAUGCUUAAUCUAUCAGGGAACUCUAUAGGUUCACAUCUCGAACUUUUUCCUGUUUUUAUUCUUGCCUUCGUUUUUUAUCUGCCUUGGUGAAAAGUAGUCAUGAACUCGAGAGAUUGUUUAUUUCUCUUACAUGCUUUUCAGUGAGAAUAACUGCUGGUGCCCUCCCUAGAGGACUCCAUGUGUUGAAUUUGUCAAAGAACAGCAUUUCCUCCAUUGAGGGUUUACGCGAGCUUACUCGACUUCGUGUAUUGGACUUGAGUUACAAUAGAAUAUUCAGGAUUGGACACGGUAUGUCGAAUGCGUUGUGUUUGAUGGUUGUAGCUUUCCCAUUUUCUCCUGUUUUCGCUUUCAAGUGUCCAAUUUGUAGAUAUUUGAUUACUUCGAACAUUGUAAUGAUUCACUUUCUGCUGUUAAAGGUUUGGCAUCUUGUUCCUCCCUGAAAGAGCUAUACUUGGCGGGAAAUAAAAUAAGUGAGGUAGAGGGUCUCCACCGCUUGUUGAAACUAACGGUUCUGGAUCUGCGCUUCAACAAAAUCUCUACCACCAAAUGUCUUGGCCAACUUGCAGCUAACUACAAUUCGUUGCAAGCCAUCAGCUUGGAAGGAAAUCCAGCACAGAAAAAUGUCGGAGAUGAACAACUCAAGAAAUAUCUGCAAGGUCUUCUCCCUCAUCUGGUUUACUUCAACCGGCAGCCAACGAAAGCCAGCACAUUGAAAGAUGCAGCGGACCGAUCAGUUAGGCUAGGCAUCAGCUCCCAUCAAUUUGAUCGUGGCCUCAGGUCAGAGAACAAAGCUGCAAGAAAGGCUAGCCAUAGCCUAGCUGGUGCUAGGCCAUCAUCCUCAUCAACUCAUGCUCGUAAAAGUCAUGCUGUAACCUCACCUAAACGGUCCAGGGGCAGGCAUCUCCGUUUGCCACCGAAUGGAGCCAAAACAACAUCUAGUCAUCGCUAUCAUCAUAAUCAUGCUGAUCUUGACAAAUUCAAUUAUGGAUUGGAGUUCUCAUUUCACAGGAGUCGAAGUGAGGGAACUCUGGGAGCGUGCUGAGGUUUUCUAUUAUGCUUUCAACAGCAUGGUUGGUACUUGGAACAUUACUAAGUUUGGUUGUGUGGUUUUCUAUCUUGGUAUUAUUUCUCACAAAUAGGCAGUUGCCAUGUUUGUGCACCAGAAUUAUCCUAUCUUGUUUUAAGUUUGAUGUUGCAAAUUAUCUGUUAAACAAUGUUUAAUGUGGUUUCCCCCUCAAAUGAAUUUCUUUUCUUUAUGAGUGGUUUUUUUGUUCUUAAUACUCUUCGAUCAAUAUUGUAGUAAUAGUUGUUUUUUUAUUUUUAUUUUAAAAAAUAUCAAAAUAGUAUAUAUAUAUUUUUUAUUUUUUAUGUUUAAGAAAAACAAUUUUAAUUAAUGUUUAAAAAAUAAUAAUUUUUAAAAAAUAUGUAUUUAUUCAAAACGGAUAAAUUUUUACAUGUAAAAUUAAAAUAAAAUGCAAGUUUAUACGAAUGAAAAACAUAAUACUUUAAUUUUUAUAAAACUAAAAUUUAAAAUACAAUUACAUAUAAAAUUUAAUAUAAAAACAAAAUAAUUUUUUUUUAUGAUCAUAUAAAAAAUAAAAACUACAACGAUAUCGUAAUUUAUCCCGAUAGAAGUAAAACUGUCUAUGAUCUGUUGAAAAGAGGUAGAAGCAUGCAUCAACAACUCUAAUGAUUCGAUACUUUUUGACAGCGCAGCCUCUACUGUGCCCCAAUCAUCGCUCAUGUCUCAAUCUUCAAACAGGACUCACAUGCCAAGAGACCUAAACUUUGUGGAGUUAAUGUCCAGCCUUUUGCUCUCUCACUUUUCUUGUAUGGUUUCAAUUCAAAGCCGGCAAAUCCCAAUCGUUUCCAAUCACAAAAGAUCAAGAAGAGCACUAUUUUUUUUUUUAUUAAUAUGAUUGUUGGUUUCAGUUUAUACAUAUUUUAAUUAAUCUCAUAAAUUCUAAAAUUAACAAUUAUAUAAAUUUUUAAUACCUAUCAUAUUAGUAAUCACAUGACUUAAAUUUAAAAUCACAGAAAAACAAACACAUUGAUUUUAAGUUUUUAUCACUAAACAUAUAUAUAUAUAUAUAUAUAUAUAUAUAUAUAAAAAAAACACUAUUUAUCUUUGGGUUGUUGGCAGGCAGGCAAAUCAAAUUUGAUAUUUUGACUUCAUUUUAACAUUUUGUUUUUAUAGUUUUUUAAAUUAGUAAAGUUCUGUUGUUAUGAAAUAUAAAAGAUAAAAAUAAUAUAUUUUUAUAUACUUUAUAUUUUGAAAAUAUAAAAAUGAAUAGAUUUAUUUUAUAUUUUUUAUUUAUUCAAUUAAAUAUUUUUUUGUCUCUUAUGUUCUAAAACUCCAACUUAACGCAAUCCAAGAAAACUUUUCUCUUUUCUUUCUUUGACAAUGAGAUUUAGCUACUAAAUUUAACACAAUUUAAAUUUAACUGUUCUAAUUUAUUGAAAUUUAUCCAACUUGUACAUGAUUAAAACUAAUUUCUUUUUUAUUAAUAAUCUUAUAAACAUUGUUGCCAAAUAUUAUUAAAUUAACCACAAUAAUAGUUUCUUUGUGUUUGAUAUUAUGAUGUAACCUGUUUUUUAAUACAUGUUUUAAAUUAUUUUUUGUUUAAAAAAUAUUAAAAUGAUUUUUUUUAAAGUAUUAUUCAAUGAUUUUUAUAUAAUGGUAUCAAAAAUUAAAAAAAAAUUAUUUUAAUAUAUUUUUAAUUAAAAAAUAACAUUAACACAAGAAUUACUCAAACACCAUUCACUUAAAAUUAGUACAACUGUACAAGUACUUCUUGAAAGAAGACAACAUGGUAGUACAAGAAGUGAAGUGGGGAAUUCAUAUAUGUCUGCCAAAUGGACACACAAUAUCUGAUUAGGUGUGGGCUACCCCAUAAUAAUGGAGAAGAGAAGCCAACUCUUUCCAAGCCAUGAGUGGGUCCAGAAGCAUAGAUGAUAAAGCUAAAAUGAUCACGCAACUGCUUACCUUUCAAGCAUAAAAUUUUAAGGGGAAAUAACUUGUUUUUUUAAAAAAAAAAAAAUUAAAAAUUCUUCUGCCUUUUUACUCUAUCUGUUUUUUUUUUCGUUCUUGUAACGCUUACAAUUAAUUCUACAUUUGAUUUUGUUUGUGGAUUUUAGAUUACAAAUUAACAUUUUAAUUUAAAAAUACAUCAAAAUAAUAUAUUUUUUAUUUAUUAACAAUUUUUCCUAAAAAAAAAUUAAGAAAAAAAAAAUAACUUAUUUUUUUUAUUUUAAAAAAAUCUUCUGCCUUUUCUCUAUCUCUAUUUUGUUUUACAAGUUUUUUUUCUUUCUUGUAACUCUCACAAUUAAUUCUACAUUUGAUUUUGUUUGUGGAUUUUAGAUUAUAAGUUGACAUUUUAAAAUAAAAAAAGAUUCUUUAUAAAAUUUAAGUGUAAGUAAAAGUUUGAAUAGCGUUUUUUCAAAAAACAUUUAAAUAAAAUAAUUUUGUGUUGAUUUUUUUUAAAAUAAAAUAAUAGUGUUGAUUUUUUUUAAAUCAAACAGGGUUUUAAUAAAAUUGUUAAUUGAUCCAUCAAAUCAAGUAAAUUUAAUUAUGUUAACUCCUAUUUAAAACCAUAACUAGGUUUGGGUUGGAGAAAUUAUUUAAUUAAAUUGGGGCAAAGUCAGACUCAUCCUAAUCCAAAGUAUUACUAUAAUCAAUUGAACAACCGUCACAGAAUAAAAAUAUUAGAAACAAUGGUAAGCUUGAUAUUAAAAAAAAGAAAUUAUCUUGAUUGGCUUAUAGAAAAUUCUUAUAUGAGGAUGUGACCUUAAACACUUACUCUAAAAUAAAAUAAAAUAAAAUAAAAUAAAUAAUUCUUAUAUGAGACCCACAUUUAACAUUUUCUUAAGAAAAUCUAUGCAGGAUCAAUUUAGUUAUUAAAAAAGAGGAAUAUUGUAUAUAUUACUAACUAAAUUACAAAUGAGUUUGUGGGUGCUAACUAAUUUAAUUAAAUAAUAUAAAUCACAACCAAAAAUCAAAGGGAAACUUCAUCCCCAAUGUAAGAAGUAUAAGGAACAUCCUCUGACUUUUUUUUUUUUUUUUUUUGACCCUUGAGUUAGAUAGGAGUCUACUCUGCAACAAAUAAUCAAUUGUUAAAUAGAGUUAUGAUUAAUAAUUAAUGGGAUAGAUGAGUUAUAUUAUUAUAAUAUAGUCUAAAUUAGUUUAUUAAUUUUAAUUGGAGUCAGCAAAUCAUCAUAGUGACAUGUCAACUUGAUUUAAGUUAAAUUUUAUGUUAAAUUAGGUGCAACUCAAGCUAAUAUUUUUUUUUAUUUUAAAAAUAUAAAAAAUAAUUCUAAAAUUAUUUUAAAAAAUAUAUUUCUUCAAUAAAACAUGUUUUUAUCUCUUUUAAUUGUUUUAAAAAAUUUCAUCAAUAAAAUUAUUCAAAAAAUUCAUUAAUAAUAAGCAAAAGAAUUAUUAUUUCAAAAUCAAAUUUCAUCACAUAUUUAUUUUUAAGUAGGCUAAAUUAUAUUUCAUAAAAGUAUCUAAUUACUUUCGUGUUUGAUAUUAUUGUGGUAAAAUAUGUUUUUUAAAAAUAUUUUUAGAAUAUAUCAAAAUAUUUUUUUUAUAUUUAACAUUAACACAUUAAAAUUACUAAAAAAAUAUUAAAUUAAUAUUUUUUAAAAUAAAUAUACUUUUAAAAAAACAUAUAAAAAACAAAAAUUAUUGCAAUCCCUGCCAAAUUUAAAACUUUAGCUAUGAAGUAGAAAUUUCUGAAGUAAAUGUAAACCGCAGUACAUCGUAGCACAUCAAUAAAACGAGCCUUCGCAAUACUAAAACCUCAAGAAUUUCUAUAAAUACCACAAAAAUCAUGGCCAUGACUUCAUCCUUCUCUCCAAAGUCAACCAUAACCCAAAAUAGACGAGAGAAAAGUUUCCCGUUUCUUUGAUCAAAAUGAACUCAAAACAACCAUACCAGUCUGAACCGGACCUCCCAGUUCCACCACUCCCCACACUCCGCGUCCGCUCACCUUCUCUCUCCACCGCCCCCACAACCAACCGCCGUGUUGCCAUAGCCGUGGACCUUUCCGACGAGAGUGCAUAUGCAGUCAAAUGGGCGGUCCAGAACUACCUCCGUCCAGGUGAUGCCGUGAUCCUCCUCCACGUCCGGCCUACCUCCGCCCUCUACGGCGCUGAUUGGGGGUCCAUUCAACACCAAAUCAAUAACAACAACACCCCUUUUGAUCAAAAUAACCCAGACAGUUCUGACAAUCAAGAAAGGCAGAAACUUGAGGAUGAUUUUGAUAGUUUUACAAAUAACAAAGCCAAUUUGCUGGCUAAACCAUUGUUGGAGGCUGAUGUUCCUUUCAAGAUUCAUAUAGUGAAGGAUCAUGACAUGAAGGAGAGGCUUUGUUUGGAAGUUGAGAGGUUGGGGUUAAGUGCUGUGAUAAUGGGAAGUAGAGGUUUUGGUGCUACAAGAAAGAUGGGGGGUGGUAAAGGAGGGAUUGUUGGUGGUGGGAGAUUAGGGAGUGUUAGUGAUUAUUGUGUGCAGCAUUGUGUUUGUCCUGUUGUUGUUGUUAGGUGUAAUGAUGAUGGUAAAGAGGGAGAGAGUGUGAAAAUAGGAGGUCUUGGUGAGGAGAUUGAGGAGGGUCUUCAUCCUGUGCCUGAGGAGGACCAAGAGGAGUGUGUUGAUGAUGAGCUGAAAGGUUUGUAUUUUGGAACUUUUUGCGUCAUUUUUAGGUAUGAAAUGAUGAGUUUUUUAUUUUGUGAUGUGGGUUUUGUGUUUGUGUGGGGAAAUUUUGGGUUAGGUGAUUGGUUUGGUUAGUGGUGCUGUUUGCUUUUCUUGUUAUGCUUUGGUUUGCUUGCUUGCUGUGGUUUGGAAAUUUUAGGGUAUUUGUGUUGAUGUUAGUGAUGCUACGUGGAGAAUUUCUUUUUUGAUGUUGCUUGUAAAUUUUAGUUUGGUUUGGGUGAUUGAUUAGAAAAUCUGUUGUCCAAAACUCUAUAGGGGAUGAAGUUUAAUUUUUUUUAAAAAAAAAACAGUAAUCUUAGCAUAGAUUUGUUGAAUUGAAUAUUCCGAGUUUCUAAACUCAUAGAUGCUGCUGUUCUAGUUUGUUUAUGGGGAAUUAGCUAUCGAAACUUGUUUGUUGUGUUGGAAAAUUGGUGGGCACCCUAGCAUAUCUAUUACGAGGAAUGAGCUGAGUAGUGAUAAAACUUUGGGCCCUUUGUGGUAGGAUGGGAUAUAGGAAAGGGAGAGUGAUAGCCUACUAUCCUCUGUUUGGUGCAGGAUGGCAUAGAGAUUUUAUUCUUGACUAGGGUAAAGUAGAUCUAUAUUCUAUUUUGUGUAGGAAAUUGCUAGAUGUCCUUCUUCUUUCUCUUCUUGGUGCUGCUUUUAAAAUUCAGCAUUGCUAACGUGAUAGCUUAGAACACGUGGGGAUUGCAUUGUUGCUUUAGUAAUUAGAGCUAGGUUUCCUGUCUUUUUGGAACUUAUACCAGCGAGACUUUGGACCUUUUGACUCUCUCUCAUGCUUUUGGUAAUAACAUUGAUGGAUUUAUUUGUUCUUAACUAUGUGGUUUCUUCGCUUGGUAGUGCCUCUGUUUCCUAGUGCCUGACUUACUACCAAGUUUAUGAAUUGUCAUGAUUGUAUAACACUUAACCUCUGUGUAACAGAUGCUUAAAAUGUGCUUGGUGCAAUUGCAAGCUCCCUCUGAAUUCAGGUGAUGCUUUAUUGUACUUCUUUUUCUUUGUAAACUUGAUGAGCCACCCCCACCCAAAUUGUGUACAGAAGGAGAAAAGGGUUUAAGAUGAGAAGUAUGAGUUGUGGGUUUUAUUUACUGCACGGGGCGAAAAAUUAUUGCAGUAACUGAAAUUUUUCUUUUUUUUGAAUAUAAGAUGUGCAGUGUUCAGAUUUUCUAAUCAUACCUUUUAUUCGAUUAACUCAUUAGUUAUUUUGUCCUCAACAAGAUGCCAAGUUUAUUGCAAUCUAUUGGCCAAAUCUGAUGUAUGUAUAUAUAUGUUUCUUGCAGCUAACAAUUUUAAGGCCCCAAAAUACGUGAAGGCUGUGGAUUGUCAUGAAGUUAUAGGGUUAUAAUUUAGACAUAAUUUUCUUUGUUGGACAAUGAACCAGGUUGCUUCUCUUGUACAUGGAUCACGAUGUCUGACAGAAUAAUUACUUUCUGGCUUAUUGGCUUCUUUAGAACUCAAUUCAACUGUUUUUUUCUUCUUUUUUUUUUAAUCAAGAGUGAUGUAUUGCUAGUUACAUAUCUAAAUGUUUACCCAUUAUCUCGGAGAAUGUGUGUUUUUAGCAUUUCAGUGUCUUAUCAGAACUGGUUUUUGGAGUUGUACAGAUUUUAAAAAGUUCCAUGGCUUUUAUUCUUGUUUUUGGACAUCUUUUGCCUCCCCGGUUUUCUCUUGGAUUUGUAAAAAAAUUGCAGCUUGCAUGAUGAUGUUUAAUUAUACUCUCCUUCCUUUUCUGGCCAACAUGUUAUUUCUACAUUAUGCUCCUGGCUACUUGGGCUUUUUGUCAAUAUGUCCACUUAGAGGAGAAAGUAUUGCUUGAGCCUCAACCCCCCGUUGCACAGGAAAAUUAGGCAGAUUGAAGAUUAGCAUGGCUAUGAAACUUGCAGAAACGCUUGGUUCUGCAUAUCGAGAGAACCUUCAAUAUCCGAACCAUACAGCCAAUGUUCAUAUUCCUCUCGGGUUCUUGUGUGACUUUAUGGUAACAAAUUCAUUAAAUAACACCUCAGAAUGCCCACAGUGCAAGAAAAUAAACACCACUCACGAUCAGGGUAAACCAAAACAUAGGAUAAUUCUAGUGCAUAACAAGCAACUGCCUUGAGUAACAAAUAAUUCUGAGAUAAGAAACCCCAUAUAACCAAAGUAAUGAUCCAGCCGGACUUUUGAAAGUAUAAUAGAAUCUCCUAGAAAGCUCCCAGUGUCCCCUCACUUCGACUCCUGUGAACAGAGGACGACUCUGAUCUAAAGUUCAGGAGUUUGCUACCAAGAUCAUGAUGACGAAGACUGGUUGUUGCUUGGGUUCCACUUGGUUGUGAACGGAGAUGCCUUCCACUUGACCGUUUAGUUGAGAUCACAGGUUGACUUUUACGAGCAUGAGUUGAUGAAGGUAAUGGCCUUGCACCACCUAGACCAUGGCUAGCCUUUCUCACAGCCUUGUUAUCUGACCUGAGGCCACGAUCAAAUUGAUGGCUACUGAUGCCUAGCCUAACUGAUCGAUCGGCAGUGUCUUUCAAAGUGCUGGCUUUAAUUGACUGCCGAUUGAAGUAAAUCAGAUGGGGAAGAAGGCCUUGCAGAUAUUUCUUGAGUUGUUCAUCUCCAACAUUUUUCUGGGCCGAAUUUCCUUCCAAGCUGAUGGCUUGCAAGGAACUGUAGUUGGCUGCAAGUUGGCCUAGACAUUUGGUUGUCGAGAUUUUGUUGAAACGCAGAUCCAGCACAGACAGUUUCAACAAACGGUGGAGACCCUCUACCUCGCUUAUUUUAUUUGCUGCCAAGUAUAACUCUUUCAAGGAGGAACAUGAUGCCAGACCUUUAACAAAAGAAAGUAGUGUUACAAGAAUCAACACAUAUAAUGAUAGAAGAUUUCAACACUAACACAGAAAAAGAGAACAAAUAGGAAAGCUACAAACAUCAAACGAAAAUCCAGCACAUAACAUACCGUGUCCAAUUCUGAAUAUACGAUUGUAGCUCAAAUCAAGUACACGAAGGCGGGUAAGCUCACGUAAACCCUCAAUGGUGGAAAUAUUGUUUCUUGACAAAUUCAACAUAUGAAGUCCUCGAGGGAGGGCACCAGCUGUUAUUCUCACUGCAAAGGGUAGAACAAACAAAUAAAAAUCAAACACAAAUUUAGUUCAAGGCUAUUCCACAAGGCACAUAAAAAAAUCAUGGAAGGAAUAAAAUGGGAUGAAGUUGAAAAAGCAAACCUAUAGAGUUCCCGGAUAGAUUAAGCAUCCUUAGGCUACCAAAUACACCAAGAAAUGGGAUCACUGCCAGCUCAUGGUUUGACAGAUGAGCCGUGGUAGCAGAGACACUCAAAGAAGAGAUGUAUCUUUUAGCAGCUUCUAUGCCAGCAGUGUCCUUAUUAUCAACCUUUGCAGAAGUCAAAUCAUUGGAAUCUCCCUUUACCGGGUCAUCAGUACCAGGCAAUCCAUUUGUUUCUUCCAAAGGGCCAAAGUGUUGAAGAUUGUUUACCCAAUCUUUGAUACGCUUCAUUUUAAAAUCCUUACUCGGCAAUUCUUCCCACUGCUGAGUGGAGGAUUCCCCUUGAAGAUCUUUUGCCAAGUUCACCUCAUCCAUAACCGGCAUUAUCCAGUUCUGUGCCAAAGCUGAGUAAUUAUAAGACUCAAAACCUUCAUCAAUACAACUUCCAAUAUUGUUUUCCUCAGUAUUAGGCAUGUUAUCAUCCCUUCCUUGCUCUUUCAUUUUCUGAGUUUCACCCCCCUGAAUUGAAAUCGUUGUCAACCUCAUGCCUAGAGCAUGUAGGUCCUCAGAAGAUCUUGAUUGUGGUGCUAAAUAUUCAUAAGAAUGUCUAUGGGAAGUCAGUGCAUAAGGGCCCAUGUCUGAAAAAGAGCAUGACUUUUCGAACAUAGGAGGGCUGUGAGGAGACUGGUUACCAGAUAAAUUGCCACCAUCACCAGAAAAUGGAGUAUCAGAAUUUUCAGGUCCUUCCUUUUCAGAAUAAUGACGAUUGUCAAUUGAGAAUAUGCAUUCCUUCUUAACAAAACCGUAACUCCCAUUAAAAGAUCCUAGUUGCAGAGCUUUCUCAUGCUCACUAGUUGUGCUUAUUCCUGAAUCCUUGCUUCCAUCUGGUCUGAGUAACCCAUUCUGAUCAAGGGAAUCACUAUAGACUCCUUGAUCUAUCUCCUCAGUAUCAUUGUCACAUAGAACCCUUCCUUCAUGGCAUAAUCCACUACCUAGAGACUGACUUUUCCUAAUAAGCCUUGUCUGAUGGGCUCCCAUGUCAUUCUUGUCACCCAUUUUGUUCUCAGUCUUGUCAGAAUUCCAGCUUUGUUCAACAGAUACAUCAGCUCUUGUAGCAUCCCUGACACCAUUACUAAUUUGAUUACCCGCUUGUGCCUUUGGAAGUAUUAAGCUUGAAGAUUUAGUCAAUGGCAGAGCUUGAAUUUGAGAUAGAUCUUCUAAACUCUUAUGCCUUGCUUCAUCAGAAGGUUGGGCUGUUUUCUGAAGGAGAAACAAAAACUCUGAUCAGAAAAAGCCAUGGUACAAUAACAUCAAAGAUGCUACCUCCAAGUCAGUGAUUCCUCCACAUACCUUUGAUUUGUGAGAAUGGAUGCGAGCACUGAAGCAUGAGAACCUAACCAUUGUAACAAUACUAACACAAGCUACACAUCCACAAUUGCCAAGACUUGAAUUACAUAAAGAAUGCUAUCAGCAAGCAACUAUGGUACUUCUUCCUCCUAACGUCCAGACUCCAGGAGCCCAGAACAGAGACCAGACCCGACUUUGCUAACUUGUUAUCUUCAAGACUUCAACUAUCAUCAAGCUUACAGCAACCUAGAAAAACUUAGCCAUAAUCAAGCGACAAGCCCUCUGAAACACGACACAGCCUCCAAACAUGAGAUGAUCUUGAUCGCCUUAAAGCACAAAGAAAUAUCACACCCUCAUUAUCACCCCACACCCUCCUAGAGGUGUGAGAAUGCUUUGAGUUUGUUGCAGCGGCCAGAGUGAACCAAAAUCUUCGCCAACUAGGAAAACCCAAUUCCUAACCUGCAUAAGAGAUGCUGGCCUGAAAAUAAGGAAAAAAAAGGUUGAGAUAAAUUUAACUGCAAUUUCACCCAAGAAACAUAAAGCAAGAAAACCAAAAGAAAAGGAAACAAUAUACAGCUUGUAGGGUUGCAACUGAUAACCAUGGUAUCAGUAACACAUGCAGAUCCGCAUUGGAUUGGUCCAAUAAAGAGAACUAAGCAUGAGACAAAAUAACUACUUGAUGCAAUUAGAAAACGAAAAAUAGCAUCUGAAGAACCUUUCUUUCUCGAGCAUGGAUCAUAAACAAGAACCAAAAGCAAUUAACCAUCAUUCAUGUACACUGUACAGCCAUCAUUCCUUAGAAAUUAUUAAGGAAAUAGCUACCACAUAUAGCCAAUGCAGCAGCAAAUAAACUAGAACCAACCAUAGCAAAUUCCAAUGUUAACCCAAGAUCAAAAGGCAGAACUUUAUGAAGGAGAGGCACAUUGCUGCUAUUCAAAGACACAAGAGACCAAUCUAUGCAAUAAACAAAGAAACAGGAAUACAAGGAUAUCAAUCACGAUGAGCUUUUAGCUCGAAAACAAGCGGAGAGAAUUCAUUCUCUCAAACAAAAAAAACAAACCCACUCCACAAACAAGUAAAUUACAUGAAUCAAAACCAAGAAAUAUACAAAAAAAAAAAAUCCAUUUUGAGAAAACAAAAAUAAAAGUAAUCAACACCCAAAAAACAAAGGGAGAAGGAGAAAGAUGUUACCUUUCUUUAGCCAGGUUUUGAUAAAGACAACGGCCUUUGUCAGAGAAAAAGGUUUUGUUUUUAUUUAGCUGUUUUGUGCUGUUCUUGAGCUAGAAAAAAAAAUCAUUAUUACAAUGGAAAAAAAAAACUGUAAAAUAUAUUUCUUUAUUUUGAGAGAGAUUUGAUCAAGGAAGAGGCAAAGGUUGGAACUUGGCUAACCCUAAGAUUUUGUGUAUUGAAAUUUGUGAUUGUGAUUUUUAUAGACCAAAAUAUCAAUGGCUGUGAUUAAAAAUAAAAUUCCAAUGGUUUCGUUUUAUACUCCAUUAAUGUGGAAAGAACAAAUGCAAAGAUUGAAUUGGAUUCUUUGUUAAUAAAACUGUGGUCUUGUUUUGAUGCUUUAAAUUCUAAAAGUGUACUCGUUGACAGAAUGCAUACUCUUUUGUAAAACAUUAAUAAUAUCUUUUAAAAUAUUUAAAAAAUAUAUUUUUAUUAUUUUUUCAUGUAUAUUUGAAAAGUAAAAUCUUCAUGUUUUUUUUUUUGUUAAGUAGAAACAUGCAAAAUGCUACAUUUUUCUUAACUUCAAACUCAAGAUAAUGCAUAGAGGCUCGUGAAUAUGUAAUGUGUGUAAUUUUUUUUAGAUUAAUUUGGGUGUCCGAGUUAGCUUGCAUGCAUCUCGAUUAAUUACACAAGCUCUAAAAUUAACGAUCAUAUAGGCUUUUAGUGGUCCUAAGAUUUAUGGGACUCGAACUGAUGAUUUUUGAGAAGCAAAUCCAGAGCAUAAUGAAUUAAGUAAGUCAUGCCAGGAUUUAAAUGCAUAAUUUCUUGUUUAAAAUACAAUUUGGGAAUAACUUAAAAAAGGAGUUUAUUUUGUGUUUGCAAGAAAAGAAGUAUUGCAAGGAGAAGGAGGAGGAGAGACUGUAUCUUGUCGUUUAAGAAUGGCAAGUGAUGCCAAGCCACCUAACUAGUAGUUUCCUAAGGAGGAGGGAAUGUCCUUCCUUGGAGGUACUGCAAAUUGACAUAAAGUGAUUUGCUUUUUCACGUGUAUCACUAUUUUUUUAAUUUAUUUUCAACCAUAUGAAAACAAUAUCAAUAUCAAUUAUUAAGCUUUGAUUUGGGUUUUUUUUUUUUUUUUUGUCAUUGAUUAUGGUGUAUCAUAGUUAAUGAUCUGGAAUUUAAAGACAAGGAAAAGCAAAUAACUAACGAAUCAGGUGUCGACACUAAUAUAGAGCUAAAAAUGGAGUGUUAAUUUCACUCCUUUAAUUGAGUAAUUACUGAAUUCAUCUUUGUAAUCGAGUAAAAUCUUAAAUAUUAUUGAUUAUACGAAUUUAACGUUCCAUUUUUAUUUUUAAAAUAUGAAUUGUAUGCACGGUGGGGAUUUGUGCAAUCACAUAAUCAUGAUUAUACUUAAAAAUAGUAUAAUAAUUUCAAAUUUUAAAGGGCUGGUUUGAUUAUUGCGAAAAUAGGUUUUUUUUUUUUUAAUUUUUUAUAUUCGAACCUCGAGUUUAACAUCCCAUGAAAUAUAUAAAAUUUAUGGGAAUGCGCGCACUGAGCCGAUGUUGGGGUGUGCCCUUAAAAGCGUCCAAGAAAAGAUUUAAUUUCGAUUAAUAUAUGUGAGCUGAUCAAUGUGAAAUGUGUGCUUUUAAAAUCUUCUAGCUAGGGGAUUUAAUCUCUAUUGAUAUGGAAGCUAGUCCAAAAAUAUUUUUUUAAUGUGAACAGAAAACGUUUUAGAGAACAUGCUGAUUAAUUUUGUUUAUAUUUUUUUAUAUAUUCGGAUAAAAUUUUAAAAUAUUAUUUGUUUAAUAUUAAUUAUUUUAUGGUUUUAGAUUCUUUUAAUGUGCUGAUAUAAAAAAUAAUUUUUAAAAAUAAAAAAAAUAUUUUAAUAUAUUUCUGAGCGAAAAGUACUUUAUAAAGCAAUCAAUACCACACUCACAAAUAUCCUAUUAAUAUUUCAACUUUAAGAGGUUAAAUCAUCUCUCCAUCUCCUUCCUAACACUUGGAAGAAAUUUAUUAAAUUCCUUGCCUAUACAAGAUUAUUAAAAAAUAUCUCUACCAUCGAAAAAACACUUUGAAAUUUUAUUUGCUUGAUUUAGGUCAUAAACAUGAAAUAUUAUUUCCUACUAUAACUUAAGUCUUAAGUUUGGUGUUUUAUUUGUACAAUAUGGAUGGAAUGAAAAUCCAUCACAAAUUGCAGAACAUCCUUGUAAAAAAAGAAAGAAACAAUUAUCAAAACACAGAAAUAUGAGUGAAAUGAAUUUCAAGUGGUGAGUAUACAUGAAAUGUUUCAUUUAAUUAGCUAGGGAAGGUUCUUGCUCCCUUCCUCACUUAUUAAAGAAUAUUUGAUGUAGUGGAUACAGAAGAAAAGGUAAAAAAGAGGCAGCAAAAUCAAAGAUCAUCAAUUAUUUCAUUCCUUUAUGAUCCAAUCAAAUCAUAGCUAGGGAAUGUAGGUUCCACCAUUAAUAAAUAUUCCAAGGAAGUGGCCUCCAAACAAUUCUUGCUUUGAGAGUAAUCAAACACAUUCAUACAAGCAUUGGUUUUAUCGGGGGAAAAAACAAACAUAAAGGCAUGGAAUUGAUGAGUGAUGGAAUGGGGUAAAUGCUCCCUAACCACAGCCAAAGGAAAGGGAUAAAGGAAUACGAAGAAGUCAAGAGAAGCACAAGAUGAUAAAGGAGGAGUGUGAGCCAUGAAUGUAGACAGAGUUUUACUCCCAUACAUAAUUAGAUAACCAUUGGUUUUGCCCUUCGUUGUGCGUUGUUGUUAUUAUUUCUUAAUCUCUCAGCUCAUAUCGCUUUUCUUUUUAAUUAUUUUAUGGUUGGUGGUGGAUUAAUUUUCUAGUUUAUUGUAUCUCAUUAGCUAAUUUUUGACUCAAUUAUUUUAUUAUAUAUAUAAAAAACUAAAUGGAAAUGAAAAGUCUUUGUAAACAUAGAUUUAGAUUACUGUUCACAUGACGUGAUGGUGUACUUACCAUUUAAUUUCCUCUUUCCAAAAAAAAAUCAAAUCCAUGGAGGAGAAUUAAAUCUUUUUACAUAGAUUUAAUAUUAUUUAAAUAAAAAAACCUAUUGGGGGGUGUGGGAGAAGCCCACGCAUUUCGAGCAGUGUAUCCUAAAAGCAAAAAUAUCAUUUUACGAUGUCAUUGAAAACACUCUUGCGUCUUCUUUAUAUUGGUGCAAAUCAUGUCAGUGGUUGUAGGGCAAUUUUUUGUCAAUGAAGUUUUUUAUUUUUUAUUUUCUCUCUUUCCUUUCUUAAAAAUUACAGCUUGGCCAUUUUUGUUAUUGAUAUUUUAACUUCAGUUUUUGUUCUUUUGAUUUAUAAUUUUUUUUCUUGAGUCUUUUGUAAAAGUUUUAUUUGUUUUUAACUUCAUCAUUCAAUCCUAAUUUAUCAUAUAUAUUUUUUUUUUCAAUUUAGUCCUUAUUCUUUUGAUUAAUAAUUUUUUUAUUAGCCCUUUUGUAAAGGUUUUAUUGGUUUUUAAUUUCAUCAUUCAAUCCAAAUUUAUGGCAUAUUAUUUUUUCCAAUUUAGUCCUUAUUCCUUUGAUUUUAUUGUACUUUAAUUAAAGUUAUUUUUCUUUUCAAUCUCACCCUCCAAUAAAAAAUUUGUAGUUGCCCUCUAAUUUAUUUUUUAUUUUCAUUUUUAUCCUCAGUCUUUUAAUUUUAAUUUUUUGUUUUUGGAUCCUUUUGUGUAAUUGAUUUUUUUUCUCGAUUUUAUCAUUCAGUAUUUGAUUUAUUAGGGAUUGGGCUUCACAGUUGUUCCAUGUAUGGUGCUUCCAGUCUAAUAACUUAGGUCACUUGAAAAGUUAACAGGGGUUGAUAUCUAUUUUUUUUGUUUAUUUUCUUUUUUGAUUUCAUUGUUCGACAUUAUUUUUUUUAAAAAAAUUAGCAUUGUGGUUUUCUUCAAUUUCUUUUCUAUAGGGCUAUCCCCAUAUCAUAAUCUAAGAUAUGAGUUUGAUGGGUUAACCCGGACUGACUCUACCUUUAUUGUCUAGGUUACAUGUCUAUCGUGUUACCUUGAGUCAGUUUCUUUGUUUUUUUUUUUUUUUAUCAAAUCUUGUCCUUCUAUAUAUAAUUAGUUAAAAAUUAAACUACAUCAUUUUUUCCGCUAUUAGAAAAAAUAUUUUUUAUUUUUUUGUCAAUUUACUAUUAUUGUUUUUUCCCCUCAAGUUAUUGUAAUAUUUGUUUUUUAAUUUUUGUCUUUUUACUAUCAUUAAUUUUUUUUUAUUAUCUAAUUAAAAAUAAAUCAGCUUAUUUAACCAAUCAAGACUAUAUAAACUGAGUUGUAGAGUUUUCUUUUGUUUUAAAACGCACUUCCAACAUUAAUUAAGUAAAUUUUUUUUUAUAAAAAACCCAUGGCGUUACUCGUGCCCAUAUCUAAGUAAUGAGCCCAUGUCUAGUAAUAUAAUAUACUUGGAUAAUAAUAAUAAUAAUAAUAAUAAUAAUAAUAAUAAUAAUAAUAAUAAUAAUAUGAAAACAUGAAAGUCAUAUGCCUGACCAUCUAUGAAUGACCUAAAUGACUCUAAAUUUGACGAUGGAGUUUAAAGGGUUUAAAAGAUGAAAUUUCAAAGAUUUUUUAGGCAAGAGAUAUUUAUGGAUCCCACCAAAUGUGUUGAAUUAAUGAUUAGAAAAAGUCAUGGGUAUUGGUUGUCUUCAUGAGACUUCACUGAACCUUUGUGAAUGCUCUCAAGGUCUCGUUCCAUUUGCACAAAAUGAUUGAUCAAGAGAGCUUCUGUUAGUUCCUUGCAGCGUGGGAACAAGGAAGGUGAUGCAAAGGAAGAUUGGUGGCAAAAAAUGUUAGAAGUCUCAUAUUCUCUGUGAAGACUGUGAUAUGAAGUUGUGAAAAACCCCGUAGGCUUUUCAUAAUCGUGCCUGUGACUGGUCCGUGAGUUUCUUCUAUCUCUAGCAUAGGGAUGUCUCUGAAAAACAAGUCCCUUGUGGAUAUAAGAAACGCUCUAAUGUUUAAUUAAGUUAACAAAUGUAUAAUAGAAAUGAGAGAAAAAUGUUCAGUUUUUUCCCCUUUACAUGAUGGCAUGAUUUUUAGGGGGUUUUAGAGAACUUAGGGUUUAAUUGAAAAACUCAAGUUCUGAUAAAAUUUAAAAAUUAAUAAAUAUUUAAUUAUCUAUAAGUAAAAAACCCCAAUUAAAAAACUACAAUUUCUAAUUUCAUUUUAUUACAACGUUUUCUUCUUCUUCUUCUUCUUCUUCUUCUUCUUCUUCUAGGAUUAGUCUUCUCUCUACUCCCUGUCAGCCUCUCUCUCUCUCUCUAUCUUCUUCCUCUUUUCUCUCACUGCCAACUUCUUCUCUCUAUCUUCCCUCUCAUUCACUUCCCCUCUUUCUCUCCAUCCUUAACGUUAGACACGAUCUUCUUCCUCUUUGCCUCCACGCCAAGUAAGUCUCUUUCUUUUCCUUUUUUUUUUUUUUGCCAUUGUUCUUUUAUGGAAAUCUUUCUUUUUUGGAUGUUAUGGAACUUAUGGUUUGUUAAGAAGAUUUAGUUUAGAUAACAUUAAUUAAGAGAGAAGAAAUAAAAGGGAAUAAUUGAAAUCCAAAAUAGGUGUAAAAAAAUCAUAUACUGUAUAAUAGAUUUUAUGUUGAAAUAUAUUCUAAAUUUUGUUUAUGUUGUGAAUUAUUGAUAAAGAUUGAAAAUCCCUAAUUUUAUGCAAGUUAGAUUUUAUGUUGAAAUAAAGCUGGAUGAGAGAAUCUUGUUUGAUUGAUUUACCUUGGUUUAUGUGUUGUAGUUAAUUAGUAUGUUAAUAAUAUUGUUUUAAUUAUGUUAGUGAGAAAGAUUUGUUUGAUUUAUGGUGUUGUGCAAAUUUUUAGAAUUGUUAAUGAGAAUUUACUGCAUUGACUUGAAUUGGUAUUAAGGUUUUGAUUGUUUUGGAAGAGAAAAUAAUGUGAAAAUCUUAGGUAGUUUCCCAUGCAAGAGAGAUAUUGUCGAUUUUUUUUAAAUAAGAUAUAAUAAAAAUGUUAUUUUUUUUAUGUUUAACUUGUUUAGAUGAUAAAGAUAAAGUCAUUAACGUGUAAUAUGGAUAAGAGCAUUGCUAGAUCUUCUCGCAACGCUUCUAAAGAUUAUGAGUCGCUAGGUGCCACCAUGACUAGGCACUUAAGGCAUAUACACCCUCUUUUGAUGCAAGCUUGUUGAGUGCAAUGCUGCCUCACAAAGGGGGUGUUUGAUCUGCGUGGAAUGUAUAUAUUGAGAAGUACAUUGCGUAAUAGAAGCCAGACCAAGGCAUGCAAGUUUGUUUUAUUUCUUUGCAUGAUUUAAAAAUAAACAAUGAUGAAUAAUUUUUGAAUGGUUAAUUUUAAUGAACGAAUAUAAUUUCAGGUUUACAAGUAUGGAGGUUGCUCGCACAAUAAUAUUGGUGAUGAAAUCAUUGAUAGAAGUGUCUUUGUUUCAAUGGAGUCAGGUUUCUAAAAAUUCUUAAUGGAAGCCUAAAAUUGAUGCAUGAUACAGAAAGUUCAAGGUUAAUAUAUAUAUACCAAUUUUUUAAUUAUUAUUUUAAUUCAAUUAUUUUUUUUUAAUUUUAAUGAACUAAUUAUUUUAUAAAAUUGACGUGAAUGAAAAGGUUAGUAUAUGCUUUAUUUUGGAGGCUACAACUCCGAUUAAACUUUUUGUUUAAACUCACAUACAAAAUGAGGAUUAUAGGAAAAAGGUGCAAUAACUUGUGAAUAACCGAGCUUAGAAGUUCAUAGUAAGUUGGAUCUUAACAAUUUUGUUCUUAAGUUAUUAUUUUUUUAAAAUCUGUUGAUUUUUUUUUCAAGAAACAUAUAACACCCGAUUGCAGGAUAGAUACACGGAUGAUCCUUCAUCCAAAACUCAAUCUGAAUUUGUGGUUAGAGGCUUGAUCAUUCAGUGAACCUGAUAAAAAUCGAGUUUAAAAUAUCUCAAACACUACAACUAAGAAUAUGCAAUAUUCUAGUUAUGAUUAAAAUCAUCCGAAAACAAAAAAAAACAAUAAUUUAAAGCCUUUUAAAGCCAAAUUAAAUACACUUUUAAAAUACAUUCAAAAUACAGUUCAACCGAAAAAAAACAGAUACUAAAUUUGAAAUGUAGACAUUUAAUUUAAUUUCAAUUACUAUGUAAACUGGUUAGAAGAUAAAUUUUUAUCAUCAACUUAAUAAAAAAAUACUAAGAAAACGUUAUAAUCCCUGUCUCAGAAUGAGUGUCCAUUGUAAUAUAAAAUUACAUUUGCUUCCUUAAUUAUCACACCCCCCAUGAGUCUCAAAAUGAUCUGUGUAAUGAUUCCCAAAUCCCAGUUCUUUCUCCGUUGCCAACCAAACAGCAGAAUAUUAGGUGCCUUCACCAUAUCAUCAAGAAAAUAUAUAAGGCAAAGGAUGAGAAGGAGAUGAGGUUGUAUGCUUUCAAUUAUGUAAAUUCAACAGAAAAUUAACCCAACAAUAAAAGAAAAAAAAAUAUUGAUGCUUUCACAAACAGAAGAUUGAAGAAUAUGCGGGGAUAAGAAACAGGAGGAUGUAAGCAACAAAUUGAUUCUGCAACACAAAAUAGGAAGGAAAAAUUGAAUAAAAUGUGACUACCAAGGAAGGAAUAAAAGCAGAUUGCUAGAAGAUGGUUCCGCGGUCUCAAAUGAUUAUCAACUUUGGACAACCACAAUCUGUAAAAGUAGCAAUUAUGUGUUAAAACAAGAGUUAAUUAAAAAGAAGGAAAUUUCUAGAUUAAAUCUUACCACUUGCAUUUCUCAACUCAUAUAUAAAUAUAUGAUCGUUGGAGAUCUCGAGUUAAUGAACUCUCUUCCAUGGUUUGGUUCUUGAGAGUGAAUCCACAAUAUCAAAAAAGAAGAAGAAGCAGCUUAUCUUCAAAGUUGAACUUUGGCAAUGAACAAAUUACUUGGUUUUAAAGUUUAAUGUUUUCGUGUGUUUGAAAAUGCUUUUAUUUCUGCUUUUAUGUAUUUUUUUAAAAGUAAUUUUAGUUUGAAAAAACAUUAAAUUAAUAUUUUUUUUCUAGUGUUUUAUAAUAAUUUUGAUGUAUUGAUAUAAAAAAUAAAAAAAUUUUAAAAAAAUUAUUUUAAUAUAUUUUCAAGUAAAACUAUUUUAAAAAACACUCUCCACUAUAUUCUUGAACACACACUACAAAAAAAAAUGUAUAAAUAAACAAUCAUAUAUAUAUAUAUAUAUAUAUAUAUAUAUAUCUCGAGAAAUGUUAAUCGUGUCUUUCAUGUCUAUAUAUAUCUGAAGAAAUCUCUAUCAUAUCAAUGUUGAGACUAAAAUUUAGGAUAGCUAUAUAAAUACGAUGAACUGAAUAUAAAAAUGUCAUCUGUUUUUACUAGAAUUUAAAACUUUAGCAACUGUUUGAGGUAUAUUAGAGUAGCAGAAGCAACAAAAGGAGGGAAAAUAAUAACACGACAUUUAUUUAUAGGCUAGAAAAGGAUCAUAUUGCCCCAAACAUAGUGAGACCAAUACUAAUAUCAAGGCAUGCACAUUUUUUUAGGGAAAUUUCUAACCUAGUUGAUUAAUAUUUUUUUUUUGUAGUUUUUUUAAUUAUUUUUUUUUAUUUUCUUUAAUAUUGGAUUAUUAAUUCGAUAAUUAAACUUUAUGAUUUUAUUCAGUUUUCUUCAACAUUAAGUAUUACAACUGGAUCAUAGAUUUUACAUCUUGACCUGAGUUGGCUCAUAUCAAUGUUUUUCGAUCUUUUCUUAAAUUAUAUUUUUUUCUUAAUUUUUUUCAUUCAACAUUUUAUUUGCUAGAAAUUGAGCUUUAACCUUUUUUCUUUUGAUGAAGCUAUCACGUUUUCAUUUGAUUUGUUAUGAAUUUCCCUUCAGACUUUUUUUUCUACUUUUUUUAUGAGAUUAUCUCAAUCUUAUAUCAAAUAUCGUAGAGUUUACGAGUUAACCCAUUUUAACCAUGGUUUUUUUUUUUUUUUUUUGACCUUUAGCUUUGGGUUGUUUAACAAUCUGGAUGAACCCAUAUCAAUUUCUUUUUAACUUUUAUUUCUUGUUAAUUUUUUUAUUAGUUUAUUUAUUGUCGUUGUAUUUUUUUCUUCAUAUGAUUUAAAUUACUAAUUAAACUAAUGACUUAGUCUUAGAAUUUUUUUCUUAAUAUUUUUUUAUGUUAAAAAACUCCGAAACGUGGACGGGUCAUAAAUCUAGUUUUAGUCUACAAUUACUAUUGAAUUCCAUGGAUAUUCGCUUCCUUAUCACUCCUCCAUUUGCUUACAACUAGUAAGCGAUAAUGUUGUUAAACUUGGCUCUGCGCAGGUCAGGUUUUAAAAAACAAUAUAGGAAUUAAUUAGAUUAAACCUAGGUGAUUAAGUUAAAACCCAAUUUAUUUAUUUUUUAAAAACAUUAAAACAACUUCCUACUGUAUCUCUAUCUGCAUGGACCAAUAAGAAAAGAUGGAAUCGACAUAUAUGUAUGGACGACCCUGACCUCAUAAUUUUCUAAAUUAAAGGACUGCAAUAAAUUCGUGUCCUGCAUGGGAAACAACGUUCAAUCUAAGUGCUAAAGCGGUUAUCAAUUAAGAAAAAAAAAAAAAAAACUCCCCUGCUAUCAAUUUGGUUAAUUGAGUAUCUAUAAUUUCAUUUCAAUCAAUUGAGUAUAAGUUGCUUAAAUUAAAAAGAAAAAUUUUGUUCAAUAGAAAAAAUAAAAUGAAUAUUGAUAUUAUUUUAAUAUAUUUUAAAUAAAAAAUAUUUUAAAACAUAACUACUACCGGCCCCAUAGUAUCAUAUUCUCAAUAUCAAAUUUUUGUCGAUGACAAGGAAAAUGUUGUCGUGUUCUAAUGAUUGACUUUUUAAGUUCAGUAAAGCAUCCUCUCCCUUCCUUAAUGGUCAGCGUCAACAAAGAACAAGUGCAGUGAAAAUUUGCUUUGCAGUUGACCUUAGUGAUACAUUCAUGGUUAUGGUUGAUGGUAAGAAGAGGUCUUAACCAGAGAGAUCUAUGUGCAAUGCAUAGCAUGCUAUCAACCGUUUGCUUUUCUUAUGCAUUCUUAUUAUGCUCCUCCCUAUUAUGUUGCUUUGCUAGAGAUACCAUCACAUAUGCUGGUAAUUUGAUUAGUCAUGAUGGUGGAGAAACUCUUGUUUCAGCAGGAAAAAGGUUUGAACUUGGGUUCUUUGCCCCCGAACAAAGUUCUGUUUACGGAAGCUAUGUAGGAAUUUGGUAUUACAGGUCGCAUCCACGAAUAGUUGUGUGGGUUGCCAAUCGAAACAGCCCACUUCUUGAUGGUGGAGCAGUUUUGGCUGUCACAGAUGAUGGAAACCUCAAGAUUUUGGAUAAAAAUGCAGAUCCUUUUUGGUCUACAGCGCUUCAAUCAACAUCAAAACCAGGGUAUCGGUUGGCUAAGCUCUUAGAUUCUGGGAACUUGGUUUUUGGUGAUAGUAAUACCCUUUCGACAACUAUUCUAUGGCAAAGCUUUGAACAUCCAACUGAUACAUUUCUUUCAGGUAUGAAGAUGAGUGGGAAUCUAAAAUUGACUUCAUGGAAAAGUCAAGUUGAUCCAAAAGAAGGUAACUUCACAUUUCAGCUAGAUGGAGAAAAGAACCAGUUUGUUAUCGUCAAUGACUAUGUAAAGCAUUGGACUAGUGGGGAGUCAAGUGAUUUCUUUAGCUCAGAAAGAAUGCCUGAUGGAAUAGUAUAUUUUCUAUCGAACUUCACCAGAUCUGUUCCAAAUUCAAAAGGCAGAAGAACAACUCGAUCACCCUCGGAUUAUAAUAAUACAAGGAUUAGGUUGGAUGUUAAAGGGGAGCUACAAUACUGGAACUUCGAUGUGUAUACAAAUUGGUCUUUGCAAUGGUUUGAGCCGAGAGACAAAUGCAAUGUGUUUAAUGCCUGUGGGAACUUUGGCAGCUGCAAUCUGUACAACAUGUUGGCUUGCAGGUGUUUGCCAGGAUUUGAGCCUAUAUCACAGGAAAAUUGGAGGAAUGGAGAUUUCUCUGGUGGUUGCAUCAGAAGCGCUGCCGGAUGUGGGAAGAAUGACACCUUCUUGAGCUUGAAGAUGAUGAGAGUUGGGCAACCAGACACUUCAUUUGUGGUUGAGGAUGAAAAGCAAUGCAGAGAGGAGUGUCUCAAUAAGUGCCAAUGCCGAGCUCAUUCCUUUGUGAAGGGGGAAGUCAAUAUGCGAAGGGACAGACCGCCUAGCGACAACAGUUGCUUGAUCUGGAUGGAUGAUCUUAAAGAUCUUCAGGAGGAAUAUUCUUAUGGUGGGCCCGAUCUCUUUGUUCGUGUCACCAUUGCUGACAUAGGUACUUCCUUCUUUCGACUUGUUCUUUCUCCUUUUAUUACUACAAGAUGCUGAAAUUACGUCAAGGAUAAUUUUCUCUGAUAGAAGAUUGCAAACAAGCAGUUGACUUAAUUCAUAACUGAACUAAAUAUCAGUACUGUUUCAUACCUUAAAAAAAGCUCCAUUUUUUUUGCAGAAUCAAAGGCUAAAAGUUGUGAGCCUUGUGGCAUAAAUGUGAUUCCUUAUCCUCUAAGUACUGGAUCAGAUUGUGGUGACCCCAUGUACUUCAGUUUCUACUGCGAUAAUUCCACAGGAAAACUCAGCUUUAAGACACACAACGGCACCUAUAAUGUCACUACCAUCAAUCAAGAUAGAAGAACAUUUGCUAUCCAAGAGAAAGAUGUAGCUGAUUGUAAUGCCAGUACAAGAGGUCAAAUUGGGAAGUUCAACACGUCAUCUCCAUUUAAGAUGAACGCCUCUAAACGCUGGUGUGACUCCAAUGUUUCAUCUCAAGGUCUGGUAGAAAUAGAUAUUGGUUGGGAGCCACCUCCAGAGCCAGUCUGCUCUUCAUCUUCGGACUGCGACGAUUGGCCAAAUUCAACUUGCAAUGUAACAGGAAAUCGUACAGCGAGAUGCCUCUGCAAUUCAAAUUUUUGGUGGGAUGGCAUGGCUCUAAAUUGCGUUCAAGGUGAGCACUCUAUAUCUUGCUUCAAACUGCAAAAGUAGUGAAAACCAUAAGUUUCAUCCUGUUUAAUUUAUUAUAAUGCGCAUACCCCCUUUUCUUUCUUGAAGUUGUCGAUGGACAAGCAGGAGGAUAUUCGAGAAAAAAGAAACCAUUGUCUUUGAUUGUAGGAGUUACAAUUGCUAGUGUCAUAGUUCUAUCAAGCAUCUUCCUUUACACCUGCAUUUUUAUGAGAAAGAAGGCCAAACGACGAGGUAACUAGACAAAUUUUCCACGUGUAGGUAUUGAAGUUUUUAAGGGAUUCCUCACGUAAUUAGCAGUUGUCUUGUUGAAAUUUCAGAAAGCCAGCAAAAUACUGAAAGAAAUGCAGCUCUUUUGUAUGGCACUGAGAAACGGGUCAAGAACUUGAUAGAUGCAGAAGAGUUCAACGAAGAAGAUAAGAAGGGCAUAGAUGUACCUUUAUUUGAUUUAGACAGCAUACUAGCGGCUACGGAUUAUUUUUCAGAAGCAAACAAGCUUGGAAGAGGGGGCUUCGGACCUGUUUACAAAGUAAUAUUUACGUUAAUCAUUGGAAUUUUUGUGGCGGACAAGUUUUCUGGCUGAAUUUUACCUGCAUGGCAACUUGGUUUCAGGGAAAAUUUCCAGGAGGUCAAGAAAUUGCAAUAAAACGACUCUCUAGUGUUUCAGGACAAGGCCUAGAGGAGUUUAAGAAUGAGGUGAUUUUGAUUGCUAGAUUGCAGCAUCGGAAUCUUGUCAGAUUAGUAGGUUACUGCAUAAAAGGAGAUGAAAAGAUUUUACUCUAUGAAUAUAUGCCCAACAAAAGCUUAGAUUCCUUCAUAUUUGGUUAGUCUCUAAACAGAUUCAUCAUUUUUGUUUUAUAAAUGUACGUUUGCAGCACUCAUGGUUGCUAAUUUUUGUUCUUAUGGAAAUGGAAAACCUCUGAAGAUCGAGAUCUCGGAAUGUUACUGGAUUGGGAGAUGCGCUUAGAUAUCAUUUUAGGAGUUGCUAGAGGUCUUCUUUAUCUCCACCAAGAUUCUAGACUCAGGAUUAUUCAUCGUGAUAUGAAAACGAGCAACAUUUUAUUAGAUGCGGAAAUGAAUCCAAAAAUUUCUGACUUUGGAUUGGCAAGGAUGUUCGAAGGCAAACAAACCGAAGGGAGCACCAACAGAGUUGCUGGAACUUAGUAAGUAUCAGAUCCUAUCAACAUUGAUAUUCAUCAGACAUACAUUCAUAUGCAAACACUCUCUUUUUGCAGCCUCCAAUCCUACAAUCAUGUCAUGGUUAAUUCUGAAUUAGGUGUCUGUCUCCAGCUGAGUUAAUGAUUCUUGUGAAAAUUGUUGUAAUGCAGUGGCUACAUGUCGCCGGAGUACGCAUUAGAUGGCUUAUUCUCUGUCAAAUCUGAUGUUUUUAGUUUCGGCGUGGUUGUGCUUGAGAUUCUUAGUGGGAAAAGGAACACAGGAUAUUUUAAUUCUGAUGAAGCCCAAAGCCUUCUAGCUUAUGUAAGUUCAACCGUGCUAAUCUAAUGUUUUAUCAUUUGAUAAGCUAUGCUGACUUAAACUUCAAAAUUCCAGGCUUGGAGAUUAUGGAGAGAAGACAAGUCAUUGGAUUUAAUGGACGAGACAUCACGUGAAAGUUGCAACACCAAUGAGUUUCUGAGGUGUGUAAAUGCUGCACUCUUGUGCGUACAAGAUGAUCCAUCCGACCGUCCGACCAUGUCAAAUGUUGUUGUGAUGCUUAGCAGUGAAACUGCAAACUUGCCGGUUCCUAAGAACCCGGCCUUUUUUAUACGAAGAGGCCUUUCUGGCACAGCUUUUGCUUCAAGCGAACAAGAGGGAGGCCUUUCUGGCACAGCUUCAUCUUCAAGUAAACAAGAAAGAAGCAUCGAUACAACGAUUGCUUCAGACGAAGUUAGAUAAUUUCCAGUCGAUUUGCAUAAAAUCUUGGAAAGUUUCUCAAUCUUCAAAUGGGAAGGGUGUUUUUUUUUUUUUUCCUGUGGUAAAUCUCAUGUUUUUCCUUGACAAAAUUCGUGUGUAAUUAGUCCUGUUCUGCAAUUGUAAUCAAAACCCAUUUCAGAACUUCAUUAUUGUAUCUGUGUAAUUCCCCGUAAACAAUUUUUCUUUCAAGUGUUCUACAUUGUUAUUAUCAAUUCGUUUAAAUUUAGAAUCCUAGCAAACUUUGAAUACUUUCAACGUUGUGUCAAGUUGCUUGAUCAGAUUCCACACACUAGUAUUUCUUCUUAGGCGACAUUAACCCUUUCUGAGCAUCAUAAUCCAUACAGGGUGCCAAUGGUUUUAACAGGUUAUCACCAGAUAAUCCUCAAUAUCUCUUUAAGGAGACAAAGCAUCAUAUAAUUUUCAACCACCCCUUAUAAUUCACCAACCAUUGCAGCUGCACAUUACUUAAAUCAUGGGAAAAACAAUCUCUUCUGACAAAUCAAGCCCACUGCACGAUCCUUCUUUCACCAUGCUUUUUUCUUCUCUUUGUCAUCUUCUUUAGACUCUGCAUUUUGAAAUUCCUACACUCAGUUUCAAGGGUUCCAUGGAGAAUCCAAAACCAUUUCAAAAAGGCACAGAUACUGGCCUUGCCUACAAUCCACUCUUCGGAAGGUCCAAGGAUAUCAGCCUAAUAUCAAUUUGUCCAAGCCAACGUCCAUCAAUGGUCAAGGAAGUGUGGGAAGACAUUUCUCCACCGGUUUGGAGUCAAGCCCAGGUUGUUGGCCAUGUCUGAUCCAGACAUGAUUAAGGAGAUGCUCUGUAGUUUUUUGGACAGGGGCUUGGUGGGCUUACCGGCAAAAGUCAUGUUGACCUCUAGAGAAAACACUACGAAUUGUAAUAGAGUUUUUUUUCUUAUUCCUUCAGUUUUUUUUUUGGUUCUUUAUUUUUUUUUUUUUGGGAUUAAACUUUAUGGUAUACUUUGUCUGUCUUGGCUAGGGGAUCUCACGGUAUCAAUAAAGAAAAUCAUUGCUCAGUUCACGCUUGGUUUACAUAAAUUAUGUAAUAAAGAAAAUUUCUCAACCCAUAUAUAAGUAUAUAAUCGCUGGAGAUCUCGAGUUAAUGAACUCUCUCCCGUGAUUUGGUUAUUGAGAGUGAGUCCACAAUAUCAAAAAAGAAACAAAAAAAAAAAAAGUUCUUCUUCAAAGUUGAACUUUGGCAAUGAACAAAUUAUUUGGUUCUAAAGUUUAAUAUUUUUGUAUUUGGUGAAAAGUUUAAUAUUUUUGUAUUUGGUGAUGCUUUUAUUUUUGUUUUUAUGUAUUUUUUAAAAGUAUUUUUAAUUUUGAAGAGCAUCAAAUUAAUUUUUUUCUAAUGUUUUAUGAUAAUUUUGAUAUAAAAAAUAAAUGAACCUGACAAAAAUAAAUAUAUAAAUAAACAAUCAUAUAUCUAUCUAGAAAUGAUAAUUGUGUCUUUAGUGUGUGUGUGUGUGUAGCAUAUCAAUAUUGAGACUAAAAUUUUGAAUAGCUAUAUAAAUACGAAGAACUGAAUAUAAAAAUAUCAUUUUUUUAAUAGAAUUUAAAUCUUUAGCAACUCUUUGGAGGUAUAAAAAUAUCACUGUGACAACCAGCCAAUCAAUUGCGAUAAUUAACCACGGUUCUAGGAUCUGUUUUUUAUUUAUUUUAAUAGUUUUUUUAAAAUGAUAUUUUUUAAAAAUUUUAUAUUUUGUUAGUAUUUUUAAAUCAUUUUAAUAUACUAAUGUUAAAAAUAAUUUUUAAAAAAUAAAAAAAAUAUCAUUUAAAUACAUAUAUGAAGAAAUCUCUAUUAUAUCAAUGUUGAGACUAAAAUUUAGGAUAGCUAUAUAAAUACGAUGAAUAUAAAAAUAUCUUCUUCUUCUUUUACUAGAAUUUAAAUCUUUAGCAACUCUUUGGAGGUAUAUUAGAGUAGCUAGAAACAAUAAUGGGAGGGAAAAUAAUAACACGACAUUUAUUUAUAGGCUAGAAAAGGAGCAUAUUGCCCCAAACAUAGUCACACCAAUAUUAAUAUCUAGGCAUGCACAUUUAUUUUUAUGUCAAAAAAAUAGUUGCAUAUUUAAAUUAGAUUAUUUAAAUUCAUCGCCCUUAAAUUUUUUUAUCUUUUAAAUUUAAUAUUCAUUCUUUUGAUUGUUAUUUAUUUUAUUUGAGAUCAUUCUUUAAAUUGAUUUUGUUUUACGAUUUCACCCUCCUUUGGGUUUUUUCCUAUCAAAUUUGAUCCUCAUUUUUUUUUGCUUUAGAAAGUUUUUAAAAUUGAUAUGUUAAACUAAUUGGGAAUUAUGCUUAUUGAUUCAAUGCAAGUCUAGAAUUUCACAAGGUGCAAGUUUUAGAGAUUAAAUCAAGUUCAAGAAAUAUGCCCUAGUUUGCUUUCUUUUUUUUUCUUUCUUUUUUUUCCCUUUUUUUAAGCUAAUGUUUUUUUUAAAAAAAACUUUUUUUUAGAGUUUUGCUUUGUGAUAUUUUACGGUUUGUUUAUAUGGCGUUAAUCUCGAGUUCAUGACCUGAUUCACUGAUUUUAAAGGUUAACGUGUGUUGACUUCUUUUUUAGAGUUUUGCUUUGUGAUAUUUUACAGUUUGUUUUCUAUGACGUUAAUCUCGAGUUCAUGACCUGAUUAAUUGAUUUUAAAGGUUAACGUGUGUUGAUUUUUUUUGUCUUUUUUUAAAAUUGAUUUAUUUUAAUUUCAUCAUUCAACAUUAGAUAUAUAGGGAAUCGGUCUUCGUGCUUUUGUUUCCUUUCCUUUCUAUUGGGUUGACCUGAUCCAAUGCCCAUGAUUGUCUGGUUAGCGGGUUAAACCAAGUUGAUUCAUAUUUUUUUCAUAGCUUUUUUUAAUUAAAUUUAUUUUUUUUAUUUUUUUCCUUCAACAUUGGGUUGCCCGAUGAUUGAACUUUAUGGUUUUAUUCAUUUUUCUUUCAAACGCGGUUACCCUAGUAUUCCAACUAGAUCAGAGAUUUUGCAUUUUGACUCGGGUUGAUUCAAAUCAAAUUUUUUUGAUUUUUUUUUAAAUUAUAUUUUUUUCUUAUUUUUUUGUCUUUCAACAUUUCAUUUUGCUAGAAAUCGAGUUUCAGCUUUUUUUCUUUUGAUUUUGUUUUCUAUAAAGUUAUCACGUUCUUAUUUGAUUUGUUAGGAAUUUCCUUUCAAACUUUUUUUUCUACUUUCUUUUCCAUGAUAUUAUCAUAAUCUUAUAUCAAAGAUCGCAUAGUUUGCGAGUCAAUCCAUUUUAACUAUUGUUUUUUUUUAAAAUAAUAUUUUUUCAGUUUCGCCCUUUUAACUUUGAGAUGUUUAAUAAUCUAGAUGGACUUGUAUCGAUUUCUAUUUAGCUUUUAUUUGUUGUUAGUUUUCUUAUUAGUUUAUUUAUUAUCGUUGUAUUUUUUUUAUUCAUAAUAUUUAAGUUACCAAUUGAAGUAAUAACUUGAGUUUUAAUUCUUUUUAUCUUAGCAUUUUUUUACAUAAAAAGUAAUAAUUCCAGAUCGUGGCAGAACGCAGGUAGCAAAUCUAGUUUCUGUCUAUAAGUAUUGAAUUCCAUGGAUAUUCGCUUCCUUAUCACUCCUCCAUUUGCUUACAACCAGUUAGUGAUAAUGUUGUUAAACUCUACUCAACCCAGGCUGUGAAGAAGAAUUCUCAAUUGAUCAAGAUAAAUCUUCAAUUUCAGAAAAUUUUACUCAAUUGACUGAAAUUGAAAAAACAUGUGCUCAAUUGACAAAAUUAAUAAUGGAGGGGCUCUUUUGACAAGUUGGUGAAAAUAUAGGAUGCAAAUAGUGGGUUUUGUCAAAAUGAAGGAUACACUUACAGAACGAGUGGACAUGAAAGCAUGAAUGCAUAAAGUUGAAAAAUGCCUUGACGGGCCCUUGUUGCCACAGAAAAUUGCGUAGGAAAGGAGAGCCAGGACUUGUAAAAGAAAAGAACACGUACGCAGUUACGCAAUCAUUAGAUGAUGAUAUAAUAAUAAGAGUUUGGAAUUAAAUUUUUUUUUUUUUAUGAUUUUAUGUUCGAGUUCUUUAGUUGUUCAUAUGAUGGUCACUGAAAACUUACAUGAUCGUUAACUUCAGGGCUCGUGAAAUUAGUCGAGGUGGGCGCAAGCUGACCCGAACACCCACAUUAAACCGAAAAAAAAAAAAGAACACAUAUGCCUGUCGCCAGCACAAUUUAAUUAUUUAUGGAUAGUUUAAGAAGGAAUUUGUUUUGAAUAAAAUAUUUUACAAGAUAAAAUAUUUUUUAUAUUUUUUUAAAUAAUAAUUUAUACACAAAAUCAUUCAACAAUCUUAACCAUCAAAAUCUUAUCAUCAUCACUGCAUGCAAAAUCAUUAUUGUUGUUGCCAUCAUUAUUUUUCACUUUACAAUUACUAUCUUCGUUACCACCCCCGCCACUAUAACUCUAUCACCAUCAGUCAUGGUUAUUAGAAUCGAUCCAAAAAUUGACUUGUCAGUUCUAAAUUAGAUUUAGAUUAAUUUGAAUUAAUUUAUAAAUUUUUUAAAAAAAAAUAUUUAAAAUUUUAAUAUUUCAUAUGAAAAAAUUAAAAAAUAAUUUAUAUAAAUAUAAUCUAUACAUGUUAUAAAUAAUAAAAUUUAAAAGAUUAUUUCAAAAGAUUUUUUAUCUCACAUAAAAAGAUAUUAUGUUAGUAUAUUAUCUUUUUAAGUUGAAAUAUUUAAAUUAAUUUUUUUUAUCAUACAUUAAAAAAAUACAAUUUUUUUCUUGUGAAUAUAAAGUAUAUAUACUAAAAGUACAUUAAAAAAAUAAAAUAUUUUUCUAAUAUUUAUAUAAUGAACUUUUAUUAUCAAAUAAAAAUUAUAAAAAAGAUGAGUUUCUGAUUGAAAAAAAAAAUAGAACUCAAUCAGAGAUUUUAUUUCUUAUUCCGAUCUUUUAUCUUACUCGUGGGAAUCAAGUGAUCGAUGCAGUGUAUUUGAUGCUUGUGGGACUUUUGGUAGCUGCAAUAGUCUAAAUAGGAUUCCUUGCAAGUGUUUGCCUGGAUUUCAGCCCAAGUCUCCCGAUAAUUGGAAAUUAGGAAACUUUUCAGAGGGGUGUGAAAGAUUGUCACCUUUGUGCAGCAAUGAUGUGGUUCAGAACUUCCUGCAGUUAAAUGGUUAUUACUUAUUUUUAAAGUGUAAUAUAUACUAGAAAAAUAUUUUAUUUUUUUAAUGUGAGAUUUGAAACCCUUUAAUAUAUAUAUUCUAUAUUUCUAAAGAAAAAAUUAUUUUUUCAAUAUGGAAUUUGAAGCCUUUUAGUAUAUAUAUUCGGACACAACAGAAAGGGAUCUAUGUUUGGACCCAGCGUGCAGGUCAGCAGACCCGCUAGCCUGGGUGGACAGUUAAGCUCGCAGGUCUGACCUCAACACUAGGACAUGAUAGCUCAUGUGCUAGGUGUUCACAGCCUGGGGCGUAACCUCCCCCUACAGCCUUGGAACUCUAUGUGGUUGAGUAUGAUUGCUCUUGAGCCAAGUGUUUGUGCUAUUUUUUUUUAUUUUAUUUUCUAUAAAGUUAUCAUGUUCUUAUUUGAUUUGUUAGGAAUUUUCUUUCAAACUUUUUUUCUUAUUUUUAUUUCCAUGAUAUUAUCCUAAUCUUAUAUCAAAGGUCAUAGUUUAAGUUAACCCAUUUUAAUCAUUGUUUUUUAUUUUUUAAAAUAAUAUUAAGUUUCGCCCUUUUAACUUUGGGAUAUUUAAUAAUCUAGAUGGACUUGGGUCCAUUUCUGUUUAGCUUUUAUUUGUUGUUAAUUUUCUUAUUAGUUUAUUUAUUAUUGUUAUAUUUUUUUUAAUCAUAUUAUUUAAGUUACCAAUUGAACUAAUAACUUGAGUUUUAAUUAUUUUUUUCUUAGCAUUUUUUUACAUAAAAAGUAAUAAUUCCAGAUCGUGGCAGAACGCAGGUAGCAAAUCUAGUUUCUGUCUAUAAGUAUUGAAUUCCAUGGAUAUUUGAUUCCUUAUCACUCUUCUCCAUUUGCUUACAACCAGUUAGUGAUAAUGUUGUUAAACUCUACUCAACCCAGGCUGUGAAGAAGAAUUCUCAAUUGAUCAAGAUAAAUCUUCAAUUUCAGAAAAUUUUACUCAAUUGAUUGAAAUUGAAAAAACAUGUGCUCAAUUGACAAAAUUAAUAAUGGAGGGGCUCUUUUGACAAGUUGGUGAAAAUAUAGGAUGGAAAUAGUGGGUUUUGUCAAAAUGAAGGAUAUACUUACAGAACGAGUGGGACAUGAAAGCAUGAAUGCAUAAAGUUGAAAAAUGCCUUGACGGGCCCUUGUUGCCACAGAAAAAAUUACGUGGGAAAGCAGGGCCGUACGCCUGUCGCCGGCACAAUUUAAUUAUUUAUGGGUAGUUUAAGAAGGAAUUUGUUUUGAAUAAAAUAUUUUACAAGAUAAAAUAUUUUAAAUAUUUUUUAAAUAGUAAUUUAUGCACAAAACCAUCAAAAUCUUAACCAUCAAAAUCUUAUCUUCAUCACUACAUGCAAAAUCAUUAUCACUGUUGCCAUCAUUAUUUUCACUUUACAAUUACUAUCUUCGUUACCACCCCCACCACUAUAACUCUAUCACCAUCAGUCAUAGUUAUUGGAAUCGAUCCGGAAAUUGACCUGUGGGGUUCUAAAUUAUAUGGAUUAAUUUAAAUUAAUUCAAAUUAAUUUAGAAAAAUUUUAAAAAAUAUAUUUAAAGUUUUAAUAUUUUAUAUAAAAAAUUAAAAAACAAUUCAUAUAAAUAUAGGCUAUGCAUGUUAUAAAUAAUAAAAUUUAAAAGAUUAUUUUAAAAGAUUUUUUAUUCAACAUUAAAAAAAUAUUAUAUUAGUAUAUUUUCUUUUAAAAUCGAAGUAUUUAAACUGAAUUUUUUUUAUCACACAUUGAAAAAACACAAUUUUUUUCUUGUGAACAUAAAGUAUAUGUACUAAAACACUUCAAAUUAUAUAUUGAAAAAAUAAAAUAUUCUUCUAAUAUUUAUAUAAUAAAGUUAAAAAAAAAAUUAAUUAUCAAAUAAAAAUAUAAAAAAGUGGGUCUCUGAUUAGAAAAAAAGCAUUGAAAAAAAAAACAGGAAUGAAUGAGAUUUUACCAGUUUUUUUUUCAUCUCGAUCUUUUAUCUUACUGGUGGGAAUCAAGCGAUCGAUGCAGUGUAUUUGAUGCUUGUGUGGGCCUUUUGGUAGCUGCAAUAGUCUAAAUAGGAUUCCUUGCAAGUGUUUGCCUGGAUUUCAGCCCAAGUCUCCCGAUAAUUGGAAAUUAGGAAACUUUUCAGAGGGGUGUGAAAGAUUGUCACCUUUGUGCAGCAAUGAUGUGGUUCAGAACUUCCUGCAGUUAAAUGGUUAUUACUCAAGUGUAUUAUAUGAAUAUUAAAAAAAUAUUUUAUUUUUUUAAUGUAAAAUUUGAAAUUCUUUAAUAUAUAUAUAUUUUAUGUUUCUAAUAAAAAAAUUAUUUUUUCAAUAUGGGAUUUGAAACCCUUUAAUAUAUAUAUUCGAACCCAACAGAAAAGGGUCCAUGUUCGGACCCAGCAUGCAGGUCAGCAGACCCGCUGGCCUGGGUGGGCAGUUAAGCUCGCGGGUCCGGCCUCAACGCCAGGGCAUUAUAGCCCAAGUGCCAGGUGUUCAUAGCCUGGGACGUAACCUCCCCCUUGCAGCCUUUGAACUUUAUGUGGUUGAGCAUGAUUGCCCUCGCACCAAGUGUUUGUGCCUGAGGCUGCAGCACACCAUGCCCCACUCCUAAAUGUGCAAUUCACAGUGCAAUAAGUCUUGAUUAAGAUGACUUUUUCCAUAUGAUUUAGUUUUAUAUAUAAUAUAAUAAUAAUAAUAAUAACAACAACCACCAAAGAAAAACCAUAUAUUAAUAUUAAAAUAAUAAUAAUAAUAAUUAUUAUUAUUAUUUGUGCCAUAAAUAUUAUUAUUUUUAUUAUAAUUGAAGGUAUUAAUAUUAAAAAUACUAUUAUUUGUGUUAUAAAUAUUAAUAUUUCUAUUAUAGUUCAAAGUAUUAAUAUAAAAAAUAUUAUUAUUUGUGAUAUAAAGAUUAUUAUUUUUAUUAUCAUUAAAAGUAUUAAUAUUAAAAAUAGUAUUAUUUGUGGUAUAAAUAUUAUUAUUUUUGGUACAAAUAUUUUUAUUUUUAUUAUAAUUGAAAGUAUUAAUAUUUAUUUUUAUUGUAAUUGAAAGUAUUAAUAUCAAAAAAAUUAUUAUUUGUGGUACAAAGAUUAUUAUUUUUAUUAUCAUUGAAAGUAUUAAUACUAAAAAUAGUAUUAUUUAUGGUAUAAAAAUUAUUAUUUGCGGUAUAAUUAUUUUUUUAUUAUAAUUGAAAGUAUUAAUAUUAAAAUAAUAUUAUUUAUGUUCUGAAUAUUAUGAUUUUUAUUAUAAUUCAAAGUAUUAAUAUCAACUAUACUAUUAUUUGGGAUAUAAAUAUUAUUAUUUUUAUUAUAAUUGAACUAAUAAUAUUUAGAACACAAAUUAUAAUAUGUUUGAUAUUAAUAAUUUCAACUAUAAUAAAAAAAUCAUAAUAUUUAUGAGGGAAAUAAUUAUAUUUAGAAACCUAAGACCUAAUAGCCUUAGGUUUUGACAAAGGACCCAAGAAAAUUGGAUCCUAAUACAGGACCCAUUAGCCUUGGGCAUAGGGCAAACCAGCUCCAGCACCACGUGGGCGCACGGGUCUGACCUAGCACCAUUGUUUUAAAACCCGGACCGGCCCGACAAGCCAACCCGGGCAUGGGACCGGUCCGGGUCUUAGUAAAAACCCGCCGGGGAGUUGGCCCGGCGAAACCCGGUCGACCCGGCGGGUCUACCCGGAACCCGGGCGACCCGGGUAAACCCGGCUGAGACCCGACCUCUUUUUUUUUUAACGUAGACGUGAAACGAAGUCGUUUUAAACUUUCAUUUCCUAUUUCUACAUUUUCUCAGAAACCAAACAGAGGAUUUCAAAGUAAAUCAGUACUCGCACCAACAGAAAGAAAUUGAAGAAAACAAAAGGAAGAAAAAAUCAUAAUUUUAAACAGGAACCUUUCGAUGAUCUCAUGACAUAAACAAAAGAAUUGGCACUUGCAAAAAGAUAUUCCUUAAGUCCAGGCGCUUUUCCCAUCCACUCUCUACAGAAUAACCACCACCAAACAAAUCCCUAGUGAUCAAAGCUGUUGAUUUUGCCCCUCCAGGUUCACACACAACGGUUCAUAAUCGAAUUGAGAGAUUCUUUUUCUGCGUAAUCUGGAUGAGUGCGCGCCCUUUGUCUGCUGAAAGUCGGGUUGAUAUUGACGGCUGGAGAACUCUUCGUAUCGUACAGAGGUUCCCGAAGACCCCUCACUCAAUCGCCGGCUUGACCUUUCAUUAGGAUCGUGAGAGAGAGCAGGAAAGCAAGUAGUAGUCUAGGCUCACCUCAGCUGCCAUAUUCACAAUAAAAGAGCUCCUGCAGCUAGAGAGACAGAGAGAGGGAGUGGGUGAUCCUGUGACUCUAUGUUAAAUACAGAGUCACAUGUUUUUUUUUGGGUUGACACGGGUCAACCUAUCUAACCCGUGACCCGAUCAUUAGACCGGGUCGACCACCGGGUCGGGUUUCAAAACUAUGCCUAGCACACAGGCAAGGCAGCCCAAACGUCAAGUGUCCGCAUCCCAGGGCCUGUAGCCUCACCAAAACUUAAACUAACCAUUUUCUCCCUAACUAUUCUUUCAAUACCAAAUGCAUCACAGCAAAAAGACAAC
RNAcentral lists this long non-coding RNA (201583 nucleotides) under Populus trichocarpa (black cottonwood). RNAcentral describes it as "long non-coding RNA (PTRI_LNC004274)". The stretch from base 4997 to 5128 matches the Rfam family "MIR480 microRNA precursor family". Lineage: Eukaryota; Viridiplantae; Streptophyta; Magnoliopsida; Malpighiales; Salicaceae. The record is from RNAcentral.